AGCUCCUGACAGUACAGAGCUUGCAGAAUACUGAAAUCCAGCUUUGCAAGCUCCAAAAUGGCCUCAUUCCUUGUACUCAUUCUCUCAUAAACUGAGAUGAAGUGUCGCACUUCAACUCUUUGAGGCCUCCUGAAAAGAGGUGUUUCCAGCGCGCGCCGCACCUGAUCGAGCAAUAUUGAUGGUGGAAUUGUUUGUUGCUCCACCGCACGCUGGAGAUGGUCUGUUGUGUAAGCCAUCGCACUGCUGAGUGUUUCUUCACCAUGGGUUCGAAUAUGGGCAGCGUUGUACAUGGCCAAAAGGCUUCUUGUGUCGUUGCAGGUAAUAUUUCAUUUGGCAUCUAUGAACUUUAAGAAUACAUCUGCGGCAUUGUCAUGUAUAGUACAUAGUUCUAUUAGGACAAAUAUUUAUAGAAAAUCACACCUGUCCACCUCUUUGAGAUUUUAGUUAUGUUUGUAAUACCUGGUGAAACAUUGAAUCCCUGUUUCCUGAGCAAAUAAAACCGAAGGGCCACUGUGUGAAGAUCGCUGGCGUCAUCGCCGGCAUCAUGAAUCCCACACAGCAAAUCAUUGAUCUCCUUCCCAUAGUGAUAAUCCAAACCAAGCUGCUGUAAAGUAUCGACAAGCUCAAGCUUCUGAGGCAGAUCAACAGAACGCGAAUCUACUAUCGUUGUCCUCAGUUCUUCUUUCAUUACUUCAGCCUUGUUUUUCAUGAGAAGACACUGCAAGAGCAUGUAACAUUAGUACUUACUUGGUGUUCCAAUGCAUGUUGUCUUAGACAUUUAGACCUGCACAGUGUCCGAGGUUACUCUUUCACAGUCCAUUUUGCAUGAUGUGUGUUAUAUUGUACGUUAAAACUUAAGUUGUUUAACUUAUGCAUAUCGUACAUCUAUUUAGAGUUGUGCAAUGGAAGUAGUGCUAGUUCAUUUGAUGCCAGCCUCCAACAGGAAAGUACAAUACUGGUGUGUGCUAAUUAAAUUUAGUUCACCUGCGUCGGAGUGAAUGGCCUGAAACCAAGGAAGAAGUCCCCCCAGACAGUGGGGUGGUGAAACCGGUGGCUGCCCUGGUUGUCGUUCAUCACAGGCUGCGAGUGUGGGCAGCGGCGAAUCUCCACAGAGGCUGCCAUUGCUGGAGUACGAUGGAGCUCAGCUGAUCACUUGUCUAUGAUAAUGCUAAGGUUAGUGAUGCAUGCCUUGUGAACUGGUUGGCUUUAUAGAUAGAACAGGAGAGGCCCCUAAAUGGCACACGUGUAUAAUACUGGAGACACACAGGAACACUGAAUGCAAGAUUCACGUGAUAUUGUAACUGUCACUUUCAGUAGUGUGACACAAAUGUGCUCAUUAAUUUAAAAACAAUAUUCAAGAAGUUAGGUAGAGGUUUGAAAAUUCUAAGACAUGUAUCUCUUUCAUAGUACAUUGUUCCCUUUUGGCAGGCCACCCAAAAAGAUUCUCCAUGCAUUGCUAUCUUAUAUAUCUAGUAACUGGAGGCACUCGGAGAGACACCAUGUUAAGUCAUGUAAUCUUAAGUCUUUAGAUGGUUGGAUCUCGAAAAUGCAAUGGUGAAUAUGGUUCCAUGCACCAGCUAUAAGCAGUAAAAUAAAAUAAAAAUGUAAAUAAGUCAAACAGUUCUAAAACUCAAGGUUACCAAACAAGAUCGGUUGUUCUAUUCACAUGUGAAAUUUAGCAAAGAAAUGACACCCAUGAUAUUAUUAACAGAGAAUAAAAAAUCGGACCUCCAAAUUACUUCAUGGAUAAAACAAAUCAGAAUUGUUUGGGGGUAGCGAGGGUCUGAGUUGCAAUAGGCAGACCGAGUCCUCAUCCUCGUCGAAGCUGCUGGAGGAAAAGUGAGAAGAGGAGGAGGUCAUUGUCGGAGGGAGGGGUAGAAAGCAGCGGAAGUUUUGGAUCUAGAUGGUUGAUUGCAUGAUAGGUUUGUGCAACUCUGCCCAUUCAUUGAUCGACUGGGUACCGAGGCUCAACUAAAUCACACAUAACCAGCCUAUAGACUAGGUCCGGAUGCGUCUGCUUCUCCUUCUCCCCCUUCCCUCGUGUUCGGCGGGGAGCUCGGUUGGAGGGAUGGGUGGCCUCGAUGCAGUCACGUCACCUAUCGCCGACACGAGGGUGUAUCGGUCUGGAUUCGUCCACUCCCCUUUCUCACCAUUUCCUUGGCAGCGGACGGAUUGGCGCAGGUCUUCCAGUGGAGCGCAUGCAGGUGGUUAUAUCGGACGAGGGCCGCUGGUUGGUCUAAAGUCGGGGCCUUUGUGUAGAUCUCGGGGUUGUCUGGUUGCAGGGCGGCGGCUCUAGCUGCGGGAGGCAUGGCGUUUGGGGCGGAGCAUGUGUCUCAGGUGCGGGCGUGCAACCAUGGUCGUGCGGGUGGCGUGGUUGCGGGUGGUUGACGUAGCUAGGGUGCAACGGAGGGGGUGAGCGCCGGGGUACACCCCUUGCCUAGUCAUUUGACUUCCCGACAGUGGUGACGGCGGUUGACGUUGUAUCCUUCCUGAAGGCCCCGUCGCGGAGUUCCCACUCUUGUCGUAUUGCUCCGGGUGAAAACCUGAUCUUCACGAUCGGGCGAUGAAGACUAUCCAUGGUCGCACCCUUACGUGAGGCACCGCUUUGGAGGGUUAGUUUCAUGGUUUGUCCGUUUCACCUCUCUAUUGUCAAUGCUCAUGGUGGAGGUCUCCAUCGGCUCCAAGCGAUCCACCUCGCUCAUCUCUAGUUUGCUUGGUUAUCGGUAGGGGAGAUGUCGGUGCCCGGCACCUUUGUAUCUAGCCCUAGGUGUGUGCGAUGUGGGUGAUGAUGGCGCGUGUUUGUUCGGUCUCUUAUUCUAUUUCGUGAUGAUUGUUUUAUAAUAUAAAGCGGGGGAACCCUUUUUGGUAAGAAUGUUUCAACUGGAGAACCAGUUGUUGGCACACAGCCCGGAGAACUUUUCAUGCACUGCAUGCAACCAAGCCUUUCCCUUACUUUGUUUCUAGGUCCAUAGUUAUAAGCAUAUGCGGAAAUUCUAAGACAUCUACUAUAUAUGUAAUUAUGCGUGAAUAGAAGUAUGUCGAAAGGAUUAUUCAAGUUCCACACACACUCUACAAGGUUGGGAUGGUGAGUUCAAGUAACUAAUAUGUGUACCACCUGAUAUGAGUUAUUUACUUUCAUGCAGAAUUAAGGAAGAGGCCACAAUGGUGAUGAUUUUAUAAUAAUGUGAUGAUGAUAAACGGGAAAGAACUUAAUUUUCAUAAGAGCAUUGCCGGUCAUGAAUGAAAACUGGGACUACAAUUACAGGAGUCAUCUAAAGUCGAUGAAGUUGCAGGAGUCAUCUAAAGUCGAUGGUGAAAUAACUAAGUGUAAAGGACACAAAGGUUCUCAAUGAUAACUUCAUGAUGGCAUAUUCGUCAAUGUGGAUUUUGUUGGAAUUGUAAGAAAUAUGCAUACGACUUCUAUUACAGGUAGGCUUUGUAUUUAAAGGUGGAUUAGAUCUUGGAGUUGAAUAUCAACUCACUUUGGUUGCCAUUGGUAGUUUCAAUUAUUUACUGAUGUGCUCAGUGUGUUUUCUUUUGAGUUGGAAUCAUAUGUUGUGCCUCAAUCUUUUUUAUAGCGGGAUAAGAAAGGGCCAGGAAAAAGAAAAGACAUGGUGCGAUUGUUCUUAUCCUCUGGACAAACCAUCUUCAGUUGUACCCUUUGUAAUAUUCAUUUCUUUAGUGAUGUGCCUACUGUUUGUUAUUUUUCUUUGGGGUCAUAGACUAUAGUCCUUCUUUUACACCAAAAUAAAAUGAGGAAUUGUCGAUUAUGUUCUUGCAAAGUGAAACUGUUCUUACCUCUCGAUUAUUUUCAUAAAAACCUACAACUAUCUUUCAUUGUACAUGUCGUUUUUUUUGGAGAUAAAUAAUGCACUGAUACAUGCAUACAUCUCAAUUUUUAUUACACAACACAACCCCUAUAUCAUAUCCUAUAACAACAAUUUGAUCUGGACUAACUAUAUUUCCUUCCCAUGUGAACUUCAUCACAAUUGGAAGGGUCAUCGACUCUCCGUCUCCUCGCUUCACUUCCUAUUUAUGAUGUGUUUUAUCUACACUUUGGCUUAGAGGGUGUUUGUUUACAAAGACUUUUUAGUUGGGACUAAAAAAAGUCCAAGGACUUUUUAACAAACAGGGCCUUAUUCUAUUGAUUUUGUUUGCUCGAUAUAAUCAUCGCAAAUAAUAAUAAAUUUUAUCAUGAUUAAAAUGUUAUCUAUGUGGAUUGGUACCUCUGUUUGAUCAUCCAAUUGUUCCUAGAUAUAACAUAAUACAUUUAGAAUUAAUAAAAACAAAAUACAUUUCAUAUUGCAACUAUUGCACUAUGCAUCUUAAAUUCCCCUUUAUUUUACUUUUUUGUAGAUAACUUUCCUUUGUUUUUCAACUUAGAAUUUUCAUAUAAGUUCUCAAGGAUUCAUGUCGCAACGCGUGGGGUAUCUUCUAGUUUCUAAAUAAAAUGAGUUAGGCUUAUAUAUAAUUCAUGCUUAUAUAGGUUUCUGCUCUUCUCAUACUUGGUAUAAAUGUAUGAAAUGGAAAAAAAAUAACAGGGGUGGAGGGAGUACCUAUCGUGGCGGCGGCGGGGCAGGGCAAGGGCGCCGGAGCAGCGACGUCGGGNNNNNNNNNNNNNNNNNNNNNNNNNNNNNNNNNNNNNNNNNNNCACUACUAAAAAAAACCUUAUACACAAAACAUUAGCAGUACCGCUGGAUAAAAGUGGGCUUGUACAGUUUUUUUAGUUAUACAUUGUUUCCUUGGCAAAUGUAUUUCCCUAAACAUAUGUGCAUGGACAUGUGUCACGUAAAUCCUUUGAGGCCCACCAUAUUGUAUAUGUUACGUAGAUCGAACUAUCAUGGAAUCUUAAUUUUAAGAUAUAUACCAAUCGACUACUGAUAUCUUCUAGUUAAUGUCAAUGUGGAAUUUUCUAACAUAGUAUUUCUCUUGCUCCUGGUUCACCUUAUAUUAUUUUUAGUAUAUAAUAGUAUAGAAUAGAAAAUAGAUAGAAUAGAUAGAUAGACUUCAGCACAAUUCACUUAACUUCGUUGACACCAGCUAAUAAAAGCUUCAUUAGUCCGCUGAAGCGCUGCAGCCGACAACGAUGUAUGUCAUGGUCAACUAUAAAGCCGCUGUAACAGUGAUACUGUUAACGUGAUUGUGAAAUAACAGUAUUGAUUGAACAGGAAAUUAAAACUAAAAAAAUGACAGUACAUUUAGGACCAGAAAUUUCAUCCAAUUGUGUGGCCGAUAAUUGCUUUUGGCCGCAGGAAACGCAUUCUUCACGCAGUGAUGCCGACCUAACAUGUACCUCCUUUAAAAAGAAUGUAGAAAACGUGGGCCAAAACGGCUAUGAAGGAGAAAGGAAACAAAACACAGGAAACACAUUUUUGGCGCGAGAAACACAUUUUUUUCACUCAAUAAUGACGAGCUAACAUAUGUCAUCUUCGUCAAAACGUUCUACGGUAGCCUUAUAGCAUAGGUAUGGGCAUAUGGCUCUGUACCGACAACGGAAAUUCAAGAUCUAUAAAGAUAGAUUAAAAACGCUUAAUAAUAUUUUUAAAUGAAUACAUACCGUGAUAAAAUUUUAAAGGAGUUUAAAAUAGAUCGGCAAAGAAGGAGUUUUUGGCUGUGUUAUAAGGUGUGAGUAUUGAGUAAGACUCGAAACCUACACACGGUGAAAAAGAUGGGUAUAGAUCCGUCAAGGAUCAAGCCCAGCAACACUACCUUUAAAGGAGUGAUCUCGGGCGUCGAGGCCUGCUAUUCCGGUACCAUAACGCUGAAUGUAGUGUUCGGCUCGCCACACAACUUCCGUAGCAUCAAAUGGAAGUUUUCACUUCAGCCAAAAAAUAAACCGUCUAGAAAAUGGAAAUACAUUUCUUUAGAAAAGGAAGAUUACCUCCUGCAUGCGUCCCUUUUAUAUACUCACAAAGAUUAUACAAAGUAGUACAUGAGGUUGUCUGAAGCCAUCAUCUUAGCAACAACUUCCGCUACUCCUAUCUACUUGAUGAAGUGGUGCCGAUAUAGUCCGAGUCUAAUACCAUACAGACUUCGCACAAAUGCCUAACAUUAAGGCCGAAGACCCCAAGCAAGCCGCAUGCUGGGUUUGGACACAAACCGGUACGACGCACUUUCAUGUGUCGUCGCUGUCAUCUUCCACCAAUCCAUCUUUAGAGCAGAAACUACUGCACCGACCUUGUCAGGCCUCUCUGCCAUUGACGUCACCAUGACGCCAGACAGCGUCCUCCUGUUGCGCUAGUCCAUCUUCGCGCAUCGGGCGUCCAGUCUCCACUGCGCCAUGCUGUCGAGAUCCAUCGCCAUCAAUGUGUAAGAUGAAGCACCACUCCAUCGAAGAAGCAGUCCUCUCAUCCCUUGAGUCCAUGUACACCUCCAAGAAUAACGCCCCCAAGGGGGAAAACGACACUAGAACAUCGGCGCCAUCUGAUCUAUUGAUCUAGGGUUUUCCUCCAAGGUAGCACAGAGUGGCCAUGAACUUCUCCACGGUGAUGCCUUCAAGAAAGGAACGACGCAGACAGGACUGCCACCGCCGGCCUUGGUAGUAGCCGAUAGCAAGUUUUCACCCAGAUCUAUUCGAAGGGCCUCCAUCAACCAUCUCAUGCAUAGACCGCAGCCAUCUUAGCCGGGGACCGGACGGACGCUGUUGCCUGGCCGACCGUCGCGCCACCAUGAUGCCUACAUCUGGCGUCGUCAGGCCCACCACACUCGCGUUUAGAUGCACACAAGAACCGCUGGCCCGCCCAAGCACAUCUGGGCAAGGCGAGACCCACGAUCCCCGUCGGCACCACAGGGGCGACUAUGCCACGGGCAGUUCGCGCCUCCGCUGUCGCUGUCGACACGCGCGUCAUCGGGAUCCCGCCGCUCCUUGCCGCUGGAUGCCUGUCGUAGCAUUCACCGCCGCCGCUAGGAUAUCUCGCCACGAUGAUGCGAGGGAGAAUACCCCACCGUCGCCACCAGGAUAUCUCGCCACCAUCACGCGAGGGAGAAUACCCCACCGCCGCCACCACAGGCUAGGCUUCGUCGGCGCGACCUCAGGCGGCGGCAGGAAAAAGUAUGUGAGGAGAGGAGGCCUAAGACCAGCGGCGCGGUCGCCCCCCGUGUUGCCUAGGGUAGGCGAUGCGGGGACGGGGAUGAGUUUUGUUUUCUGUUUGGGAACCGCCUACAGUAUGUGUAGCAUGGAAGAGGGUAAAAACUCUUGGUCAUUGCGUUGACAAUGAAAGCAUGCCACCCGAAAUUAUUUAUCUCUGUCUUCAAAGCUUGAGCUCUGGCACCUCUGCAAAUCAAUGCUUCCCUCUGCGAAGGGCCUAUCUAUUUAUGUUUCUGUUGAGUCAUCCUCUUCUUAUAAAAGCACCAAUUAGAGAGCAUAUAUCUCUAUAUCAUAGUAACCAUAGUGAUUCAUAAUCAUAAGCAUAUAUCUCUAUAUGAUGGUAUAUUGAAUGAUUAUUUCUUAGUAAGUUAAGCAAGUAUAAUGCAUGAAUAUGUGAGCUAUGCUAUGCAAAACUACAUCACAUGGAUAUGAUGGCUUGCCUUGAUCGGUGGGGUUGUUCAAACACUCCUUGUCUUCAAAGUUUCCCUCUAAAAAUAUGUUUGAAAUAGCAAAAGAAAAGGAAAAGCAUUAAAUACCUUUUUAUUAACUAGAAAUUCUAUGAGUGUGGGAAAAAUACCAAAUUGUAAAGAAUUUCAAUACCAACCCAAUGCAAAAAGAAUCAAGUGAUUUGGACUUGUAAAUAAAAAUAUUUAAAUGGUCAAAGUUUCUGUUUAAAUCUGAAAUAAAUAAAAGAAAUAGAAAUCCUGGGAGGGGCCACGUGGAAGGUGUAAAGUGGAGGGGCGCCUCACUUAACGCUUCGGCCGCAGGCCGCAGACCCUGGCAGGUGGGGCCUGCCCCUUUUAAACAGAGAGGGAGGAGGGGGGACAGAGGAGGGCGGCUCACCGGCGACGCUCACCAGCGAUAGAGACGGCGGCGAGGCUGGGAGAUGACGGGAAUGGAUCGGGCGCUCGACGGCGGUCCUCCCUGUACCCGUAGCUCCUCCGGAGGUGGACAGACGGUGUCGCCCCGUCUUCUCCGGCGGGUGGAGGCUACCGUGGUCAUCGCUGGCGACGGUUCCGGCAGGGAUUCAACUCACCGACGGCUCAAGGAGCACCAGAGGGACCCAAGGAACACACUGGUGGCCUUGGAUUCGAUUGGGCACGGGCGGAGGAGGCUGGCGACAGAGGGGAUUUGGCGACGGAGCUUUUCGAUGGAGCUGAGGGAGACGAGCUCCCGGCUCUUGCUGCGGGUCUGUAGGGCUAAUCCAGAGGUGGAGGAGAGGGGUGAGAGCUAGGAGGGGUUCGAGCAGCGCCUUAUAUAGGCCAGCGACGAGCGCUGUCGAGCUCUCCUGAAGUGGCGAGGCUCGGGCUUGCCACUGGAGCAAGGAAAGUGAGCUGGCUCUCGUGGCGCGGUGGUGAGGUGAUGGAGGAGGUCAAGGGAGCGACGGGACGGGUCUGGAGCCAUUAAUGGCGUGCGGACGACCACAGUGGCUGAAGCCCACUGUGUUGCUCGUGGCGGAGCUUGGCCGGGAGCGACGACGGCCUUCUCCGGCGAACCAGAGGGUUCGGGAGGUGCCACGCGGCUACCAGGGACCUCGUCGGCGCUUAGGACAAGGGGGGCAUGGUUUGACGGCUCGGGGCGGCUCGGCUGUCACUGGAGUUGCGCAGAGCGUGCUCUGUGGCAUGCCGGCACCGUGAUCACCCCGGUUGCGGCCACCCUGAUGCCAUGCAAGCCUUGAAUCCUUGUCUAUUACAUCGACCAGCCUUCCAUCAGUCACCAUCCACUACUUGCCUAAACACACAAGCUCUGCUGCGACUAGGAACAUCAACAACAGGUUCUGCCAGCAGACUUUGGGAGGUUCUAGACCUCAACAGGGUUGGGAUAAGAGCAAGAUAGGAUGUCUAGGAGAAUCAGCAUAGAAAAGACUCUAAACUGGCAAAAAUUGGCAAGGUUUGAAGAUCAAAUGAAUAUAGUUCCUUUGUAAACCACCUUUAUGGUCCAGAACACAAAUGAUCUCCUAGCACUCAAUUGCAAGCUUUGCUACCAGUGUCAUUUGGUGGGGAAGUAUCAUUUGGUAGUGCACACAUGCCCAAAAAAUUGUAGCUCCAUUGUGCACUCCUAGCUAGCACUUCCUUCACAAAGGUUCUGUUUUAGCAUAAACUUAGCAGAGUGUUUUUGCUCAAAAUUUGUACUGGACCAUGGGAUGUUUUUACAUAUUGGAACCAUAUAUGAUCCCUAGUAACUACAGCAAUUUAUUUGGAAUUUUGCAAAAUAGGAAUCAUAGGGUUGCUUCACAAAGGGAUAAUUCUGGUCAGAUAAUAAAUAAUUAUUCUGGCCAUAAUUAUCCAUUGGACAAAGAAACAUUUUUGAAUAUUUUAAAAUCAUAUGGCAUUGAGAAGAUGUUGCAAAAGUUUUGGGUCUUAAAGCUCAUCCAAGCUAUAGGUUGCUUCACAACCCAUAGUGAUGGCAUAAUUCCCAAAAUAGAAAAAGAUAAUUAUUUAGUAGAAUAAAAUAUUGCAAAUAAAUCUCAGAAAGGUUUUAGUAAGAAGCAAAUGGUUUUCGGUUGUUUGAGACAAGAAAUCGGAGAUUUCAUAAUCCAACUUGCUUUGAGAAUUUGAAAAUCCACCAAAUUGCAAGUGAUCUUCAAAAAUAUUUUAAAAAGAAAAGGUUUGAAAAAUCAGGGUGUUACAGAUAUGAUCAUAGAGAUGAAUGUCUGAGUUGCGAGUUUUGGUACAUGGUUAAGAAAAUUUGGAAAUUGUUUUGCAAUUCAUGCCACCUAGAACACCAUAGUGUGAUGGUGUGUCCGAACGUCCUAGCCGCGCCCUAUUUGAUAUGGUGCAUACUAUGAUGUCUCUUAUCGAAUUACCACUAUCGUUUAUGGGUUAUGCAUUAGCGACAACCGCAUUCACUUUAAAUAGGGCACCGCGUAUUUCCGUUGAGAUGACACAGUAUAGACUAUGGUUUGGAGAACCCUAUGCUGCCGUUUCUUAAAAGUUUGGGGCUUCAAUGCAUAUGUGAAAAAGUUUCACUCUGAUAAGCUCGAACCCAAAGCGGAUAAAUGCAUCUUCAUAGGAUAUCCAAAAUAGUUGGGUACAUCUCCUAUCUCAGAUCCGGAAGCGAAGUGUUUGUUUCUAGAAAUGGGUCCUUUCUUGAGGAAAGGUUUCUCUCGAAAGAAUUUAGUUGAGGGUGGUGGAACUUGAUGAGAUUAGUGAACCGUCACUUCAACCAGUGUGUAGCACGGCGCAGGAAGUUGUUCUUGUGGCGCCUACACCAAUUGAAGUGGAAACUGAUGAUGGUGAUCAUUGAGCUUCGGAUCAAGUUACUACAAACCUGGUAGGUCGACAAGGCCGCAUACUACUACAGAGUGGUACGGUAACCUUGUCUUCGAAGUCAUGUUGUUGAACAACAAUGAACCUACGAGCUAUGGAGAAACGAUGGUGGGCCCGGAUUCCGACAAAUAGCUGGAGUCCAUGAAAUCCGAGAGAGGAUCCAUGUAUGAAAACAAAGUGUAGACUUUGGAAGAACUACUUGAUGGACGUAGGACUGUUAAGUAAAGAUGGAUCUUUAAAAGGAAGACAAACGAUGAUGGUUAAAAGUCACCAUUAAGAAAAGCUCGACUUAUCACAAAGAUGUUACCGACAAGUUCAAAGAGUUGACUAUGAUGAGACUUUCUCACUCGUAGCGAUGCUAAAAAUCUGUUAGAAUUAUGUUAGCAAUUGAUGCAUUGUUUGUGAAAUAUUGCACAUAGGAUGUCAAAACAUUGUUUCCUUGAGGAACGGUUGUAUGUGAUACAACCAGAAGGUUUUGUCAAUCCUAAGGAUGCUAACAAGUAUGAAAGCUCCAGCAAUCCUUCUAUGGACUGAUGCAAGCAUCUCGGAGUUGGAAUAUACGCUUUGAUGAGAUGAUCAAAGAUUUUGGGUUUGUACAAGGUUUAUGAGAAACUUGUAUUUACAAAGAAGUGAGUAGGAGCACUAUAGAAUUUCUGAUAAGUAUAUGUGGUUGACAUAUUGUAGAUCGAAAGUAAUGUAGAAUUUCUGUGAAGCAUAAAGGGUUGUUUGAAAGGAGUUUUUCAAAGGAAAACCUGGAUAGAGCUACUUGAACAUUGAGCAUCAAGAUCUAUAGAGAUAGAUCAAAACGCUUAAUAGAACUUUCAAUGAAAUGCAUGCCUUGACAAGUGUUUGAAGGAGUUCAAAAUAGAUCAGCAAAGAAGGAGUUCUUGGCUGUGUUGUAAGGUGUGAAUUUGAGUAAGACUCAAAGCCCGACCACGGUAGAAGAAAGAGAAAGGACGAAGGUCGUCCCCUAUGCCUUAGCGUAGGCUCUAAAGUAUGGCAAGUUGUGUACCUGAUACGUCUCCAUCGUAUCUACUUUUCCAAACUCUUUUGCCCUUGUUUUGGACUCUAAUUUGAAUGAUUUGAAUGGAACUAACCCGGACUAACGUUGUUUUCAGCAGAAUUGCCAUGGUGUUGUUUUUCCGUAGAAAUAAAAUUUCUCGGAAUGACCUGGAAAUUUACGAGGAUUUUUUGUGGAAUAUAUAAAAAAUACUGGCGCAAGAAUCAAUCGGAGAUGUGGAGCGAGGAGCCCACAAGCCCACCAGCCCCCCCCCCCCCCCCNNNNNNNNNNNNNNNNNNNNNNNNNNNNNNNNNNCCCCAAACCCCCCCCCCCCCCCCCCCCGGCUGCACCUAGCAGGCUUGUGGGGCCCUCAGGGCUCCGCCGCCUCCAACUCCAACUCUAUUUAGUCCCUUUCGUCCGGAAAAAAAUCAAGGAGAAGAGUUCAUCGCGUUUUACGAUACGGAGGCACCGCCACCACCUGCUCUUCCUCUGGAGGGCAGAUCUGGAGUCCGUUCUGGGCUCCGGAGAGGGGAGAUCGUCGCCAUCGUCAUCACCAACCUUCCUUCAUCGCCAAUUCCAUGAUGCUCUUCACCGUUCGUGAGUAAUCUCAUCGUAGGCUUGCUGGACGGUGAUGGGUUGGAUGAUAUCUAUCAUGUAAUCGAGUUAGUUUUUGACGAGGAUUGAUCCCUAGUAUCCACUAUGUUCUAGAUUGAUGUUGCUAGUACUUGGCUAUUCUUAAUGCUUGUCACUUGGGCCCGAAUGCCAUGAUUUCACAUCUGAACCUAUUAUGUUCUCGUCAAUAUAUGUGUGUUAUUAAUCCUAUCUUGCAAGUUGUAGUCACCUACUAUGUGUUAUGACCCGGCAACCCCGGAGUGACAAUAGCCGGAACCACUCCCGGAGAUGACCAUAGUAUGAGGAGUUCAUGUAUUCACUAUGUGCUAAUGCUUUGUUCCGGUUCUCUAUUAAAAGGAGAACCUUAAUAUCCCGUAGUUUCCAUUAGGACCCCGCUGCCACGGGAGGGAUGGACAAGAGAUGUCAUGCAAGUUCUUUUCAUAAGCACGUAUGACUACAUAUGGAAUACAUGCCUACAUUACAUUGACGAGCUAGUUACAUAUCUCCCCAUGUUAUAACUGUUGCAUGAUGAAUGUCAUCCGGCAUAAUUAUCCAUCACCGAUCCAAUGCCUACGAGUUUUUCCUACUGGUCCUUGCUACAUUACUUUGCCGCUACUGCUGUCACUGUUGCUACUGUUACUCUGUCGCUACCGCUGUCACUGCUGCUACUAUUACUAACGCUACUAUUGCUAUCACACCACUUUGCUACUGAUACUUUGCUGUAGAUACUAAGUCUUUCAGGUGUGGUUAAAUUGACAACUCAACUGCUAAUACUCGAGAAUAUUCUUUGGCUUCCCCUUGUGUCGAAUCACCAAAUUUGGGUUGAAUACUCUACCCUCGAAAAUUGUUGCGGUCCCCUAUACUUGUGUGUUAUCAAGACUAUUUUCUGGCGCCGUUGUCAGGGAGGCAUAGCUCUAUUCUCUGAGUCACUUGGGAUUUACGUCUGUUGAUCACUAUGAGGAAUCCGAGAGAUCCAAAAACUAAAGUCUUGCCCUCAACUACGAGGACAGGUAAGGAACUGUCAUCUAGCUCUGCACUUGAUUCACCUUUAGUUAUGAGUAAGUUUGCGACAUCACCUCCUGCUAGAAAUUUUGAUGUGUCGCUUGUGCUUGAUGAUGCUACUUCUGCUAUCCAUGAUGCUUGUGAUGCUUUGCUUGAUACUGCUUUGCCACUAGGUGCAUUCCUAGAUGCACAAAUUUCUAGAGUUGCUCCUAGAUGUGAUGAUACUUCUGAAACUGCUGAGAUUAUUGAAGUAGAACCUGCUAUUUCACAUGUUAGAACUAGCUCUCCUAGAUAUGAAUUGCCUGAUAUGCCUAAGGGUUAUGUUAUGGAGGGAGAGAUAGCUGAGGACUUUCUUGCUUGUAAGGAUAGCUAUGAUCUUGAGAAUUACUGCGCAAGUGGAAAGAAAAAUCUUUGAACGCUAGGAUGAAAUAUGACCCGAAGUUUGCUGCUUCGCCUAUCUUUGUGACCGAUAAGGAUUAUGAAUUCUCUGUCGACCCUGAGUUAAUCACUUUGGUCGAAUCUGAUCCUUUUCAUGGUUAUGAGUCUGAAACGGUUGUAGCACAUCUUACUAAGUUGCACGAUAUAGCCACCCUAUUCACGAGUGAGGAAAAGAUCCGCCACUACUAUAUCCUUAAGUUGUUCCCUUUCUUGCUAAAGGAUGAUGCUAAGACUUGGUUCACUUCUCUUGCUCCUAGUUGUGUGCGUAGUCCCCAGGAUAUGAUCUACUACUUCUCUGAGAAAUAUUUUCCUGCCCAUAAGAAGCAAGCUGCCUUGCAGGAGAUAUAUAACUUUGUGCAAGUUGAAGAAGAGAGUCUCCCACAAGCUUGGGGGAGGCUCGUCCAGCUACUGAAUGCUUUGCCUGAUCACCCUCUUGAGAAGAAUGAAAUACUUGAUAUCUUCUAUAAUCUACUAACUGAUACUUCUAGGGACCACCUAGAUAAUUGUGUCGGUUGUGUUUUCAGGGAACGAACUGUGGAACAAGGUGAGAUUCUAUUGAAUAAUAUCUUGUGCAAUGAGAAUGCUUGGACUAUUCCCGAACCACCUCUGAAGCCAACUCCGAAGAAAAGAGGUAUUCUAUUCCUCAGUCCUGAAGAUAUGCAAGAAGCUAAGAAAUCUAUGAAAGAGAAAGGCAUUAAAUCUGAAGAUGUCAAAAAUCUACCACCUAUCGAAGAGAUCCAUGGUCUUGAUAACCCGACACAGGUAGCAGAGGUAAAUUCUCUUCGUAGAUUCAAUGAGAGUGAUAUUCCUUUUGAUAAACCUGCUAGCUUAUGCCUGGAUGAAUUUGUUAACUUUGUUGCCAAACAACAAAGUUUUAAUGAUUAUGUUAGCAUACAAUUGGAAAAGUUGCUCGUGUGCUUAGUCAUUUAAGUGUUUGUGUGGAUAGAAAUGUCAAUGAUCUUAAGCUUUUGAGUAAACAUGCCUCUAUGGUUACUACUCAAGUAGAACAAGUAUUUAAGGCUCAAAAUGACUUGCUCAAUGAGUUGAAUGACAAUUCUGUCAGAGUCGUCACUAGAGGUGGUAGAAUGACCCAGGAACCUUUGUAUCCUGAGGGUCAUCCUAAGAGAAUUGAACAAGAUUCUCAAGGAGUUAGCACUAAUGCACCUAGUCAUCCUAGAAAGAAAAAGAAAGAUGAUAGGAAUUUGCACGCUAGCAACCCUGUUGUUGUUACACCCGAGAAUGCAAACAAUGUCUCUGUUUCUGAUGCCGAAACACAAUCUGGUGAUGAACAUUAACCUAAUGAUAAUAUCGAUAGUGAUGUUCAUGAUGAUUCUCAACCUAGCAAUGAUAAGGAUGUGGAGAUUGAACUAGUUGAUCUUGAUAUCCCACUACCUAAGAAUAGGAGAUACGAUAAGAAUGACUUCAUUGCUAGGAAGCAUGGUAAAGAAAGGGAACCAUGGGUGCAGAAACCCAUGCCCUUUCCUCCCAAACCAUCCAAGAAAAAGGAUGAUGAGGAUUUUGAGCGCUUUGUUGAAAUGAUUAGACAUGUCUUUCUGCAAAUGUGUUUGACAGAUAUGCUCAAAAUGUCUUUGUAUGCCAAGUAUAUGAAAGAUAUUGUGACUAAUAAGAGGAUGAUACCUGAGGUUGAGAUUUCCACCAUGCUCGCUAAUUACACCUUCAAGGGUGGAACUCCUAAGAAACUAGGUGAUCCUGGAGUGCCCACUAUACCUUGCUCCAUUAAAGGCAACUACGUUAGAACUGCUUUAUGCGAUCUUGGAGUCGUUGUUAGUGUUAUGCCUCUUUCUCUUUAUCGUAGACUUGAAUUGGAAAAGUUGACACCCACUGAAAUCUCUCUGCAAAUGGCCGACAAAUCAACUGCUUUCCCUAUUGGCAUUUGCGAGGAUGUGACUGUUGUGGUUACUAACGUUACUAUCUUAACGGACUUUGUUAUUCUAGAUAUUCCCGAGGAUGAUGCCAUGGUGGUCAUCCUUGGAAGACCCUUUUUAAACACAGCAGGGGCUGUUAUUGAUUGCAACAAAGGCAAUGUCACUUUCCAUGUCAAUGGUAAUGAGCAUACGGUGCACUUUCCGAAGAAACAAUAUCGAGUACAUUGCAUCAAUGCUAUUGAAAAAACUUCAUCGAUUCUUAUUGGGAGCUUUGAAUGCCCUAUACCUACUGUUGAGAUGAAGUAUGAUUUGCUUGUUGGGAUAUGCACAUCCCCAUUGAGGUAACCUAGUGACUAUUCGAAAAUUCUCCGUUUUUACGCGAUUCGAAAAAAGUUUGUCAACGAGACUUGAUCAACCUCAUUGACGGAUUUCUUUUGAUGACCAUGAGAUGGAUGAAUCUGAGAGUCACAGCCCUCUGUUCCAAACCUUUACCUUCGGUUGCUUAGAAGAAAAAUGAUAGAUUUAGCUUUAGUUUUUCCUGUUUUCUGCUUUUUGCGUCCCGUAGAAAAGUGUGCCGAAAAUAAAAGUUCUCCGAAUGCCCUGAAAAUCAAGUAUGAUUUUUUCUGGAAUUUUUGAAAAAUUCUGAGACGGAGAGCUAGUUAGGGGGAUGCACCAGUGGGCCACAAGCCCAGGAGGCGCGGGCACCCCCCCUGGCCGCGCCUACCAGGCUUGUGCGGCCCACGUGUCCCCCCUCCACUUAUUCCAGCUCCCAUCUCCUUCUCCUACCUCCAGAAAAAAUUCAUUCUACAGCUCAAACCCGUGUUCUUGCUCUUCUUGGUGCGAUUUUCGAUCUCCUUGUGCAAAGCCCCAUUCAACAAACUGUUUUGAGGAAAUUGUUCCUUGGUAUGUGACUCCUCCAUUGGUCCAAUUAGUUUUGCUCUAGUGCCUUAUUCGUUGCGUAUUUUUGCUGCCUUGGUGACCCUGUUCUUGAGCUUUGCAUGCUAAUUUUAGCUGGUCCCAAGUAGUUUUGAUGCAUGAUAUGGCCUCUAGGCACUUGUAGGGGUAGUUGCUAUGAGUUUCGUUGAGCCUUGUUUACCUUUCCUUUGAGUCACCAAAGAUUUCAGAAAAAGAAAGAUGUUCAGGAGAAACUAUCAUGGUGGUUCCUCAAGCAAGAAGGGUCCUCGUCUCGCGAUUCGGGAGCCCGAUCCUUACCAACCGAGGAACGCAUAGGUACAACCAUGUGAAUGGUCUUCUGAUGAAUUCAUGAUUGAUGCAGGUUUCAAAGACGAGUUUGAUAUAUUUGUUCACAACGCCCGGCUCAAAGAAUUCAUCUCCGAUAAAUGUGAACAGUGUACUACUCUAACUGCCUCUUUUGUUCGUAGAUUCAAAUUUUCAGCUGGCCGUGACACAUCCAUACUGUUUGAUCUGUAUGACAAAUCGUAUACCAUGGAUUUAGAGAAUUUCAAUAGAAUUUGCAAGAUACCCGAUUGGGGUAGUCUCAAUGAUCCUCCUAAGUCUUCGGUUAGAGAUUUUAUCUCUAGUAUAACUAUCGGAGAAACUAGAUAUAUUACGCAGGCUACCAUGGGGAGCAUUCAUUUUCCUGUCUUGCAUUACUUUGCCCUCUUCAUAGGUAGAUACAUUAACGUCAAGAUCGAGCAUUGUCACCUCUGCGCACCUGACCUUAACAUUCUUAAGAGCGUAGUAACGGGUGAUAGAAGUUCCAACAUGGGAGUUAUAAUAGCAAGGAGGUUGAAUAAUAAUGCUAAUGAAGGGGAUUUCUUUGGUGGGAUCUAUGCCACUCGCAUAGCAAAUUUUCUUGGAGUACCCAUCCGCGAAGGAGAUCCCCCGCUCCAUACAGCUUUCCUUGAUCACGCCGCUUUGACACGCAAUCAGUUCCUUGAGAGGGAUAAUGAAUCCCUCCUAUACCGGUUAAUAUUUAACCGACAGCGUGUUUUCCAUAUUACCCUUCCUGCUCUUGCGUUCUUUGACUUUUAGGUAAAACAGAGAUAUUACAUAACCAGAGGAGAGGCAGAGGAGUAUGAGAGGGAGGCAAAGGUUGCUCGCCUCCGUGAGGCAGCUAUUCAGGCGGUAGCUGCCGCGCUCCGUACAACCCCCAUUAUGAUUUUGGAUAUCGCCGGACCAGCCAUGGGAGUAGACCAACUUAGGCCAAAAGCCUAAGCUUGGGGGAGUACGUGUUUCUCACCGACUUUAUAUUCAUGCUCACACUUUCACUUUGAUAGUCGGUGUUCACACUUUGCCACUGUAUCAUCCAUGCUAGUUUAUUUUUUUUUCUCGCUUUCUUCUCGUGUGUUUGUCUAGUUUGAGAAAACCCAAAAAGAUUCCAUUUUUUUCUUUUUCUUGUUGGGAGCUUUCCCGUGUAAAUAGUUUUCUUUUUCUUUGGGUCAAGGUAGAAGACCAUGGUUACAAUGUUUAGUGGCUCUCGCAUGCAUAUCUGUUUAUCUGUCAAAGAGCCAUAUUUCUUUGUCUUCUCCUUUGUGUUUGAUUGCAGAUUCCAGCGUAGUCCAAUGCACGAACUCUCUUAUUAUUGUUCACAUCAUUUGGUCGUGCAAGUGAAAGGCAAUAAUGACGAUAUAUGAUGAAGUGACUGAACCUGUAAAAGCUGGUAUGAACUCGAUCUAUUUUGUUUAUGUAAAUAUGACUAGCUCAUCGUUCCUAAUUCAGCUUUGUUGUGAGAGAAACAUGUUUGCAAUGACAACUUAGAGAUCAUAGUUUCUGAUGCCAUGCUUAAUUAGCUAGGAGCUUAUAAUGGUUUGUCUUGGAUGCCAUCAUGAAUUUUGAGAUGAUUAUGAUGUAGUAUGAUAGGAUGGUAUCCUCCUUUGAAUGAUUCAACUGGCUUGACUUGGCGCAUCACGCAUGUUUACGCAUAUAGUUGAAACAAAAUCAACAUAGCUUCUAUGAUAUUCAAUUUCAUGGUGAUUUAUCUCCUACUCAUGCUUGCACUCAAUGUUGGUUAAUCUCAAUGCAUUUUGAUGACUGUUGUCGCUCUCUAGUUGGUCGCUUCCCAGUCUUUUGCUAGCCUUCACUUGUACUAAGCAGGAAUACUGCUUGUGCAUCCACUUCCUUAAACCCAAAGUUGUUCCAUAUGAGUCCACCAUACCUACCUAUAUGCGGUAUCUACCUGUCGUUCCAAGUAAAUUUAUAUGUGCCACCCUCUACAUCUUUAAGAAAUAAUCUGGUUUGUAUGCCCAAACCACUCAUGUGGUGACAAGGGGCGAUCAGUAUCUUCCAUGCUAGGCGUGUUAUCCUCGAUAUGUGUUUAUUCACUAUCAUUCACGGGAAAGGGGACGGUAAUUGGAAUGCCCAGUUCCAUGCUCAAAUCGAAAAGAUAAUUGCAAACAUAACUCCCCCUGGAUUGUUGUUGGUAUGGAUGGCACCCGAGUAUUCGGCUAGCCGUGGAGUGUGAUUGAUCGGUGGUGUGGGAGUCAAAACUUUUCUUUUCUAUUUGGGAACCGCCUAUAGUAUGUGUAGAAUGGAAGAUGGUGAAAACUAUUGGUCAUUGCGUUGACAAUGAAAGCAUGCCACCCGAAAUUAUUUAUCUCUGUCUACAAAGCUUGAGCUCCGGCACCUCUGCAAAUCAAUGCUUCCCUCUGCGAACGGCCUAUCUAUUUAUGUUUCUGUUGAGUCAUCCACUUCUUAUAAAAGCACCAAUUAGAGAGAACCUCUGUCAUUUCUAUGCUUUGCUUUUAAUUGUUAAUGAGUAUGACUGUGACUGGAUCUUCUUUGCCAUGAAUUACAAUGUUCAGUCAACCCUUGGUCUUUGAAGGUGCUCUACAUUUAUGUUUUGCGGUCUCAGAAAGAGCUAGCGAGAUACCAUCUGUUCAUAUUGCUUCAUGAUUGUUUUGAUUGAAGUGUUGACGUUUGAAACUUAUUAUUAUUGAUCGCUAGUUGAUUAUGCCAUUGAUAUGAGUUCCUCUUGAGACCUAAAUGUCAUUGCUUAUGUGGUUUGCUCAUGAUCUUGCUCGAAAUCUGAAUAUGAGUUAGACAUAAUUACAACAACAAGAUCAAACAGAGUUCGUAAAAGUUUUUCUUUUGUCUCUUUCAGUUUGUCAAGUGAAUUGCUUGAGGACAAGCAAGGCUUUAAGCUUGGGGGAGUUGAUACGUCUCCAUCGUAUCUACUUUUCCAAACUCUUUUGCCCUUGUUUUGGACUCUAAUUUGCAUGAUUUGAAUGGAACUAACCCGGACUAACGCUGUUUUCAGCAGAAUUGCCAUGGUGUUGUUUUUGAGCAGAAAUAAAAGUUCUCGGAAUGACCUCGAAAUUACGAGGAAUUUUUGUGAAAUAUAUAAAAAAUACUGGCGCAAGAAUCAACCGGAGACGUGGAGCGAGGAGCCCACAAGCCCACCAACCCCCCCCCCCCGGCUGCACCUAGCAGGCUUGUGGGGCCCUCAGGGCUCCGCCGCCUCCAACUCCAACUCUAUUUAGUCCCUUUCGUCCGGAAAAAAAUCAAGGAGAAGAGUUCAUCGCGUUUUACGAUACGGAGGCACCGCCACCACCUGCUCUUCCUCUGGAGGGCAGAUCUGGAGUCCGUUCUGGGCUCCGGAGAGGGGAGAUCGUCGCCAUCGUCAUCACCAACCUUCCUUCAUCGCCAAUUCCAUGAUGCUCUUCACCGUUCGUGAGUAAUCUCAUCGUAGGCUUGCUGGACGGUGAUGGGUUGGAUGAGAUCUAUCAUGUAAUCGAGUUAAUUUUGAUGGGGAUUGAUCCCUAGUAUCCACUAUGUUCUGAGAUUGAUGUUGCUACUACUUUGCCAUGCUUAAUGCUUGUCACUAGGGCCCGAGUGCCAUGAUUUCAGAUAUGAACCUAUUAUGUUCUCAUCAAUAUAUGUGUGUUCUUGAUCCUAUCUUGCAAGUUGUAGUCACCUACUAUGUGUUAUGACCCGGCAACCCCGGAGUGACAAUAGCCGGAACCACUCCCGGAGAUGACCAUAGUAUGAGGAGUUCAUGUAUUCACUAAGUGCUAAUGCAUUGUUCUGGUUCUCUAUUAAAAGGAGAACCUUAAUAUCUAGUAGUUUCCAUUAGGACCCCGCUGCCAUGGGAGGGAUGGACAAUAGAUGUCAUGCAAGUUCUUUUCAUAAGCAUGUAUGACUACAUACGGAAUACAUGCCUACAUUACAUCAAUGAACUGGAGCUACUUACAUAUCUCCCCAUGUUAUAACUGUUGCAUGAUGAAUGUCAUCCGGCAUAAUUAUCCAUCACUGAUCCAAUGCCUACGAGUUUUUCCUACUGGUCCUUGCUAUGUUACUUUGCCGCUACUGUUGUCACCGCUGCUAUAGUUACUCUGUCGCUACUGCUGUUACUGCUGCUACUAUUACCUUUGCUACUGUUGCUAUCACACCACUUUGCUACUGAUACUUUGCUGCAGAUACUAAGUAUUUCAGGUGUGGUUGAAUUGACAACUCUACUGCUAAUGCUCGAGAAUAUUCUUUGGCUUCCCCUUGUGUCGAAUCAACAAAUUUGGGUUGAAUACUCUACCCACGAAAACUGUUGCGAUCCCCUAUACUUGUGGGUUAUCAGUACCGCACCUGAUGUGUGCCUUGCCAUGCUGUGUCAAGGGGUACAAAAGGUGAUCCAGGAUUGAAUCACUAAAACAACGGUCAAAGUUAUCCUUAGUAGCUAGUGGACUAAGGAAUUUUUUCUUGAUUAUGGAGGUGAUUAAAGAGUUCGUCGUAAAGGGUUAUGUCGAUGCAAGCUUUGACACUAAUCUGAAUAACUCUCAGUAGUAAAACGGAUUCGUAUAGUAGAGUAGAUAUUUGGAGUAUUUCUGAAUAGCACGGAGUAGCAGCAUCUAUAAAUGACAUAAAGAUUUGUAAAGCACACACGGCUCUGAAAUAUUUAGAACCGUUGACUAAAACCUCUCUCACGAGCAAGAUGUGAUCAAAUCCGAGAACUGUAUGGGUGUUGGAUUCGUUAAAAUCACAUGGUGAUGUGAACUAGAUUAUUGACUCUAGUGCAAGUGGGAGACUGUUGGAAAUAUGCCCUAGAGGCAAUGAUAAAUUAGUUAUUAUUAUAUCUCUUUGUUCAUCAUAAACGUUUAUUAUCCAUGCUAUAAUUGUAUUGAUUGGAAACACAAAUACAUGUCUGGAUACAUAGACAAAACAUUGUCUCUAGUAAGCCUCUAGUUGACUAGCUCAUUGAUCAAAUAUGGUCAAGGUUUCCUGACCAUAGACAAGUUUUAUCACUUGAUAACGGGAUCACAUCAUUAGGAGAAUCAUGUGAUGGACAAGACCCAAACUAUGAACGUAGCAUGUGAUCGUGUCAUUUUAUUGCUAUUGUUUUCUACGUGUCAAGUAUUCAUUCCUAUGACCAUGAGAUCAUGUAACUCACUGACAUCGGAGGAAUACCUUGUGUGUAUCAAACGUCACAACGUAAAUGGGUGACUAUGAAGGUGCUCUAGAGGUAUCUCCGAAGGUGUCCGUUCAGUUAGCAUGGAUCAAGACUGGGAUUUAUCACUCCGCGUGACGGAGAGGUAUCUCGGGGCCCACUCGGUAAUACAACAUCACACACAAGCCUUGCAAGCAAUGUGACUCAAGUGUGAGUCACGGGAUCUUGUAUUACAGAGCGAGUAAAGAGACUUGCCGGUAACGAGAUUGAAAUAGGUAUGGAGAUACCGACGAUCAAAUCUCGGGCAAGUAACAUACCGAAGGACAAAGGGAAUGUUAUACGGGAUUCUAUGAAUCCUUGGCACAGAGGUUCAACUGAUAAGAUCUUCGUAGAAUAUGUAGGAUCCAAUAUGGGCAUCUAGGUCCCACUAUUGGAUAUUGACCGAGAAGUGUCUCGGGUCAUGUCUGUAUAGUUCUCGAACCCGCACGGUCAGCACAUUUAAGGUUCGAUGAUGUUAUAGUAUAGUUGAGUUACAUGUGUUGGUGACUGAAGGUUGUUCGGAGUACCGGAUGAGAUCACGGACGUCACGAGGGUUUCCGGAAUGGUCCAGAAAUGAAGAUUGAUAUAUAGGAAGUUGGUGUUUGGAUUCCGGAAAGUUUUUGGGCAUUACCGGCAGUGUACGGGGAGUGACGAAUGGGUUCCGGGGGCCCACUGGGUGGGCGCACCACGCCCCAAGGGGUCCACGUGGGUUUAUUGGAUGUACAAUAAGGUAUAAUGGGCUGACAAAGUCAUCCAAGGAAAGCCCGUGAGGAAAAAGUGGAAAAACCAAAAGGGGUGGGAAAAUAAGGAAGGAGUCCUAAUCCAAGUGGGAUUGGAGAAGGACUCCUCCCUCCCACUUCGGCCAACCCAAGGAGGGUUUCCUUGCGGCGCCAAGGCUGCCCAAGGCUUCCUCUCCCCUCCUCCUAUAUUUACUAGAAGUUUAGGGCUUUUGAGAAACAACUUUUGCCACGUGCAACUCAAACCUACACCACGUAGUUCUUCCUCUAGAUUAGAUUUCUGUGGAGCUCGGGCGGAGCCCUGCAGGAAUAGAUCAUCACCAACACCGGCGCGCCGUCACGCUGCCGGAGAACUCAUCUACUUCUCCGUCUCUCUUGCUGGAUCAAGAAGGUCGAGAUCGUCAUCGAGCUGUACGUGUGCUGAACGCGGAGGUGCCGUCCGUUCGGCGCUAGAUCGGAACGGAUCGUGGGACGACGGUGAUUUGAAUCACGAAGUUGUACCACUACAUCAACCGUGCUUCUUAACGCUUCCCGCUGAGCGAUCUACAAGGGUAUGUGGAUCAAAUCACCCUCUCGCAGAUGAACAUCACCAUGAUAGGUCUUCGUGUGCGUAGGAAAAUUUUAUUUUCCCAUGCAACGUUCCCCAACAUAUUAUAUUUCCUGUUUCAAGAUAAUCGUUUAUUAUCCAUGCUAUAAUUGUAUUGAAUGAAAGCAUAGAUACAUGUGUGGAUACAUAAACAAAACAAUGUCCCUAGUAAGCCUCUAGUUGGCUAGCCAGUUGAUCAAGGAUGGUUAAGGUUUUCUGACCAUAUGCAAGUGUUGUCACUUGAUAACUGGAUCACAUCAUUAGGAGAAUGAUGUGAUGGACAAGACCCAAACUAUGAACGUAGCAUGUGAUCAUGUCAUUUUGUUGCUAUUGUUUUCUGCGUGUCAAGUAUUCAUUCCUAUGACCAUGAGAUCAUGUAACUCACUGACACCGGAGGAAUACCUUGUGUGUAUCAAACGUCACAACGUAACUGGGUGACUUCACUGACACCGGAGGAAUACCUUGUGUGUAUCAAACGUCACAACGUUACUGGGUGACUAUAAAGAUGCUCUACAAGUAUCUCCAAAGGUGCCCGUUGAGUUAGCAUGGAUCAAGACUGGGAUUUGUCACUUCGUGUGACGGAGACGUAUCUCGGGGCCCACUCGGUAAUACAACAUCACAUAUAAGCCUUGCAAGCAAUGUGACUCAAGUGUGAGUCACGAGAUCUUGUAUUACGGAACGAGUAAAGAGACUUGCCGGUAACGAGAUUGAAAUAGGUAUAGAGAUACCGACGAUCAAAUCUCGGGCAAGUAACAUACCGAAUGAGAAAGGGAAUGUUAUACGGGAUUAUAUGAAUCCUUGGCACAGAGGUUCAACCGAUAAGAUCUUCGUAGAAUAUGUAGGGUCCAAUAUGGACAUCCAGGUCCCGCUAUUGGAUAUUGGCCGAGGAGUGUCUCGGGUCAUGUCUGCAUAGUUCUUGAACCCGCAGGGUCUGCACACUUAAGGUUCGAUGAUUUUUAAUAUAGUUGGGUUAUAUGUGUUGGUGACCAAAGGUUGUUCGGAAUCCCGGAUGAGAUCACAAACUUCACGAGGGUUUCCGGAAUGGUCCGGAAACGAAGAUUGAUAUAUAGGAUGGUUUCAUUUGGUCAACGGAAAGAUUUCAGGCAUUACCGGCAGUGUACCGGGGGUGACGAAUGGGUUCCGGGUAUUCACCGGGAGGGGCCCACCCACCCAGGAGUGAGCCCAAUAGCACUAUGGUGGCGCACCAGCCCUUAGUGGGCUGGUGAGGCCAGCCCAAGUGGGCUAUGGCGCCACAAGGAGAAAAAACCAAAGGAAAGAAAAAAAAAAGGAAAGAGGAGGUGGGAAGGAAGGAGUGGACUCCCCCCCCCCAAACCGAAUUGGGGUGGGAGUCCACCUCCUCCUCUCGGCCGGCGCCCUUGGGGCUCCCUUGAGCUCCAAGGCUAGCCCCUCCCCUCCUCCUAUAUAUAUUGGUAGUUUUAGUGCUUUUGAGACCCAACUUUUGCCACGUGCAACUCAAACCUAUACCAUGUAAUUCUUCCUCUAGAUUAGAUUUCUGCAGAGCUCGGGCGGAGCCGUGCAGGAAUAGAUCAUCACCAUCACCGGUGCGUCGUCGCGCUGCCAGAGAACUCAUCUACUUCCCCGUCUCUCUUGCUGGAUUAAGAAGGCGAAGAUCGUCAUCGACCUGUACGUGUGCUGAACGCGGAGGUGUCGUCCGUUCGGCGCUAGAUCGGAACGGAUCGUGGGACGACGGUGAUUUGAAUCACGAAGCUCUACCACUACAUCAAUCGCGUUUCUUAACGCUUCCCACUUAGCGGUCUACAAGGGUAUGUGGAUCCGAUCUAACUCUCGUAGAUGAACAUCACCAUGAUAGGUCUUCGUGUGCGUAGGAAAAAAAUUGUUUCCCAUGCAACGUUCCCCAACAUGAACUACCCAUCAGGUGUUUGUCAACGUUGAGUUGACCUGCAUUUACUCACUUCGAGGAUUUUCUCCUCGAUUUCCUUUGUUGCUUGAUAGAAGCUAGCUCCAGGUCACAGGCCAUACUACUCCCCCUCAUUUUAGGAACAUGGAGUUGAGGGGUUUUUAUUGGUACCUCCACUCUUUGUGGCACGUUUCUGGCCGGAUUUAAGGAUUUUGUAACACCUUUCAUAUCAGUAAAUGAAUCUGGCAGAUUAUUUGCAAGAUGUUGCAAAUUAAUGAUCUUCCGAACUUGAAGUUCGGUCUCAUGGGUACGUGGAUCAGAGGAUGAAAUGGCAUGAGCAUUCCAAUCAAUCUCCGGGCAUUCUUUCUCGUACUUGAAAUCUCCCCCGAAUGCCGGAAAAUGUUCCUCAUUAAAUAUGCAAUCAGCGUGACGGGCUCUGAACAGAUCCCGAGUUAGGGGUUCUAGGUACUUGAUAAUCGACGGCGAUUUGUACCCCACAAAGAUCCCCAACCUUUUGUGUGGGCCCGUAGAUGUCAGCUGUGGUGGUGAGAUUGGGAUGUAUGUAGCACAUCCGAACUUACGCAGAUGGGAAAUGCUUGGAGGAUUUCCACAUACCAAUUCCAGAGGGGAAGAACUCUGAUAUGCACUUGGCCUCAAUUGUAUCAAGUCAGCAGUGUCUAAAACAGCGUGACCCCAACAAGAGGUUGGCAAGUUGCAAUUCGUCAACAAAGUAUUGCAAUGAGUUUAAUCCUCUUAAUCAACGCUUCAGUCAAACCAUUUUGUGUAUGAACAUAUGGAACAGAGUGAUGAACUUCAAUCCCCAAGGCCAUGCAAUAAUCAUUGAAAGCACGUGAGGAGAAUUCUGCAGCGUUGUCCAUUCGAAUUGUCUUAAUUCGACCUUCAGGAUAAUGGGCUUGCAACUUAAUGACUUGCCUCAUUAUCUUGGCAAAUGCAUGCUUCCGUGUGGAUAAAAGACACACAUGUGACCAUCGUGUAGAUGUGUCAAUCAGAACCAUGAAAUACUUGAAAGGUCCAGAUAAUGGUUGAAUGGGACCACAAAUGUCGCCUUGAAUACGUUCAAGGAACUGAAGUGGUUCAGCUUGUAUUUUGAGAUGCGAUGGCCUCAAAAUUAGCUUUCCCGUGGCACAAGAUGUGCACACAAAAUCAGAAGAUUGAGGAAAUUUUGACUCAAGCAAAUUAUGACCAAUGGAAUUGCUAGUAAUUUUUCUCAUCGUCCCGAUUCCGGGAUGGCCCAGGCGAUCAUGCGAGGUUUGGAAUGUGUCAACAUUCUAAAAAAUUACUUUGUAUGCAACAUGUUCCACGGUUUUGAUGUACGUACGUAUAGUACAAACCAGACGAUAGAGAAGGAAUUUUGUCAUGUACCUUUUUGCCAUAUCCGUGAUCUUUGGUAAAGAGUAAAUACUCCUCUUUGUUGUCUUCAUGGGUUUCAAUAUGAAAAUCAUUCUUACGGAUAUCUCGAUAACUGAUCAGGGUGCGUGAUGAGUCAGGAUACAAUAAAGCACCCUCUAUCAUCACUUGUGUACCACUUGGGAGGGUGAAUAUGGCACGUCCUGUACCAACAAUCACUGUAUCGCGUCCAGCGAUAGUUAGAAUAUCUCCAUUCAUCUUUUUUAGAGUUUGGAAAUAUUUUAUCUCCCUCGGUAUGGAGUUUGUGGUACCACUGUCCACAAGGCAUAAUUCAUCUUCCAUUGUAUUGUCCCCGUAGAAAAACUAUAUAAAACGAAAGAAUUUUCAAUAAGAAAACAUUAUGUUAAUACAUAGAAUACAAUCUUAUUAUAUCAAAUGUGUUGAUACAAUAUAAUAUAAAGACAACAACAAACUUAUGUUCUUAUUACAAUCAUCACAAAUGGACAUAAGUAAGUAGAUCACUAAGGAGGUCGAGGGACUAGUCAAAGUCGUCGAACAUGCUGUUUGAGGUGUACUCAAUCAACAUAGCCUCCAUUUCAGCUGGGUCCUCAACGGGAUAAGGAAUCAUGGCGUUGCUAGGUCCAGGAAGAACAUCGUGCGAAGCACCAGCUCCAUUUUCGCCAUGCGGAUGGAGAUUGAAGUCGGCUUCAAACCUUUUCCCUUGAGGUGCUUUGCGUCCCAGAGGUUGCUGGUACAGCAUGACCACAUGCUUGGGCAUUGAGCACUUUUCAGUAGAAUGCGAGUAGCAUCCACACUUGUUGCAAAGUUUAGAUUUAUCAAACUUGCUUUGUAGUGCCUUUUCCCUUGCCCAUGUUUCUGAAUUUUCUAUUCCCGUUGCACUUGUGCCUGUGCUCAUGAUUGGAAUGUUUACCUCGAAAGGUACCAUUAAACUUUUGUCUAUUCGCGACAUUCAGAUGAACAUCAGGUAAAGGUUGUGCCCUAACUGGGCGCUGAGAGCUAUUCUUAGCGAAUAGCUCAUCAUACUUUUUAGCCUGAAGUAGGAUGUGAAUAAGCUCAGAAUAGACAGUGUAGUUGCGAGCACGGUACUGUUGUUGGAGGAUCCUGUCUGAAGGGAGCAUGGUAGACAGAGUUUUUUCUAUCUUUUCCCCCUCGGUAGGUUCCUUACCACAGAAGCGCAGUUGGGAACAUAUCUUAUGAACAACAUGAUUGUACUCAGUAAUGGACUUGAAAUCCUGAAGGCGGAGAUGAGUCCAAUCAUGGAGUACCUCUGGCAGGACUAUUGUCUUCUGCUGUUCAUACCUCGUUUUUGUUAAGAAUAAUUAAGAUAUUUAAUUAGGGGAAAUCCCUGUUUAUAUUAACCGUCGACGGAUGCUAUUUCAGCAACAGCUGCGCCGGUUCAUGUACAGACCCCUCUCCAAAACGAGGCGUCUUCCCUGUACCUAUAUAUGCAGAAGCAUCCAUGGAAGAGAGUAGAUUUUUGAUCUCUAACACGUUAUCAGCACCUAGUGUCUACCGAGAGCAAAAUAGACGAGAACCGAAGGAGAAUCGAGUGCCGGUGAGGAUGACUGCAGCGCCAAGCCGUGGUCAGCCUCGCCCGCGCCGCACCAAGCCCCGUGCCCGGCCGUUCGCUGCGCUUCGCCCGCGUCGACGCCUGGCCGUGGCAGCGCCAAGCAGUAGCCGACCCCGGUCGCAUACGCCGCGCGAGGCCGUGGCCGGCUCCGCUCGCCCUCACCCACCCGCGCCUGAAGCUGCCCCUCUGCGCGACACCAUCAAGGAUAGAAUCUGCUCGGUGCCCUUGUGAUGGAUAGAAUCAAUCAAUCGAUUCGUAUCCACACACAACACCAAGAGAUUGGAAACCUUAUCUCUUCCCAGUUUUGUAUUUAGACCUCGUUGUUUUGCGUAUUUACGGAUUGGACGCUCCUAUUUGUUCUCACAUUUUUUUUUGACUUAUUUCAGUAUGCAGAAUAAUCCUUGACUUAUUUGUAUUUCACAUUUAAGUCUCCGUAAAUUACAAACUAAUGGACAGGUUGUUUGUACAAUGCAGAUAUUUAGUACGGAAACAUAAUGUUUGCACCUAAGAUUUUUAUCUCUUGCAGAGAUAAAUUCAGUACAUCUAAAGUACUGAUUUGAAUUGAGAAUUUUCUUCUCUCGCAAAACAAUCUCAUUGCAAUUGAGAUUAAUUUUUUUUUCUCAGAAAAUAUUAAUUCACUUUGCUAAAUUAUCUUGCAGUUUGAUAUAAAAUCUUCUCAUUUAAUUUGAGGUCUAUACAAUUCAAGUUUUUCACUUGAACAUCAAGUUUACAACAUCAUUACUAUUCAUUACAAUAAUAGUGUAUUUCCGUUGAGUACGAUGUAUUUCAGAAUGUAUGUAUCUCCAUGUUCGCUACAUGUCGAGAUUAAUACGUCUAUUUGCAAUUGAGAUUUUAAAUUUCUUGCAGAUACAGAUGUAAUAUUCAAAGUGUUUUCUUUAAAUUGAUGUAUUGAGAUCACAAUGUAGUCAUAUGGAUCUACUGCCUACGCAGAUUAUCGAUGACUACUGAUAAAGCCUACAUUUUGUCGUUUCGACAUUAUGAUUGCUUUACAAAGUGCUCUCCCACACAUUUUACUAAGUUAUGACAUAAGGCAUUACAAGUGAGUAUCUACUGAUUUUAUCAGAUUAUACUCCCUAGUGUUGUGAGAUCUACUCCUUUUUGGAGAUUAUCUUCAAGGUGUCAUACCUAGCAAUUUGAGAUUCACACUAAUGGUUUCAAGAUAACUUCUUGAAAUACCCAUUAAUUUUGCUAAGUUCAUUGCAACAUCAACCAUGAUGGUCUUUAAUUUACUGACCGUAAAUUGAUUAUCUCUGGUUUACCCAUAGCGGUAUAAUAUGGCUAUAGAAUUUGAGGCACUCGCCCUCAAUGGCCACCACUGCCUUAUCUGGGCCAUCGACAUCAUGAUCUUUCUUGUCUCUCGUGUGAUAAAGUGUGUAAUCCAGGAUUCAUCUCUGGUCAGAUCACAUCGCUAACAGAAAAAUGGUGUCUUAUAUAUCAUAAGGCAUUAGAUUCAGAUCUCAGCAUCUGGUUAUUUUGUAUUAGCAAUUCCUGGGAUACAAUAAACUCGAGGGCAAAGGUUUGAAGCCCACUUCAACCUUCAACCCGACAUCACCACUGAUGACGGAAUCCUAUGGACAUAGAGAACGACAUGUUUAACCGUCAUGUUUGGAGACUAUGAGUAGUCUCUCAAUCUCUUGAGUGGUCAAUAUUUAUUUAUGUCCAUUUACGAUGUUGUAUUAACAACAUAAGUAUUGUUGUCAUCAUAUAUUGUAUAUCACAAUAUAUUGUAUCAACAUUUGGUACAAAUACAUUUAUAUGUAUUAUACAUAUAUAUAUUUGACAGUGAUUAUCAUAUUGAGAAUCUUCAUAUCUAUAUAUAGAUUUUUACGGGAGUCGAUCCAAUGAAAGAUGAUAUGUGCCUUGUGGACAUAUGCAUCACAAACUCUAUACUUAGGGAAGCCCAAUUUUUCCACUCUCUUUGAGAGAAAUGAGAUAUUUAAAAAUCGCUAGACGCGAUGAGGUACUUGUUGCUCCUGGUUUAACUCAUAUUUAAUAUCCCUCUGGGUACUCGAGUAAUGUCAGGAUGAUUUAUUGCUCCUGGUUUAACUCGUACCCUACUAAACUAUAGAGGUGUUCGUCAAAAUAGUUUCCAUAGCGAAACUUAUGAUGAAAACAAAGAGAAAUAACUUCUCUUUACCAUAUGCAGCGGAUAUGGAAAGCACAUUCUUUAUGUAUCAUCUGGAUUGUACUACACAUACUACAAAACUCGUAGCACAUGUUGCGCCCAAAAUAGUUUUCCAUAAUGUCUUGUACAUGACAAACUUGGCAUACUCGCGUUGGUCAUCCACACAUUGGGCUGAAACCGAAACUAUCAGCAAUUCCAUUGGUUUAUGAUUAUGAUGAUGCUAGAUUCUAGCAAUAUUUGGAUUUUAUGUGCACUACAUGUGACACGAGGAAGCUAAUUUUAAGGCUUGCGCACCUUAAAGUCUAUGCUGAACCACUUAGACUCCUUGAAUGCAUCAAGUUGAGGUAAGUGACUCUUCCCAUCCAUUGACUAGACUAUUCAGACAUUCCAUGGUUCUAAAAGACAUAUCUACAUGAUGGUCUUGAGUGUGUGCUUUACUCACACAAAACCAUUUGCUCAUUAUCCUGACAUUGAUUUCACGCAAAUUGAAUGGAUAAUAUUGCAGAAUUCUCCUUGAGUCCCUUCUCUAUGGCCCUUGGAUUGAAAUUUAGCAAUUUUUCCUAAUGUCUAGACUCAAAAUGGUUUGGUAGAAUCCUAUAUCCAAAGAAUUAAGCUCAUUACAUGAUCUUUAUUUUGAAAUUGCAACUUACCAACUUGACGUUGGAGUCAUGCAGUUUUACACGCUCAUGACAGAACUUCAUAACAUUACUCCCCUCUAUCUUUGAUACGUGGAAAUCUACCAAGUAUUUCCCAUCUGCGAUAAUUCGGUUGCAUACCGACAUCACCACCCGGCAUACAUCAUUGGCCCCUCAAUAUAUAGUUGGGAUCUAUGUGAGGAAUAACUGUAUUUCCGUCAAUACCUCAAGCCCCUUGCAUGGAGAGUUAUUCAAGGCCAGUAUGCUGAUUCAUGAGGAAUAUUUCCACGCAUUAGAGGGAGAAUUCAAGUACCAUAGAUAAUGCCAGGAAAUUAGUGGAAUGUUCAACACAUUUCUGCCUCAAAUCCACGUACUCAAAGGUCUGAACCAUGCGUUCAGAAUGUUUGCAACACAUUGCAAAUAACCUGCCAGAUUCAUUUACUUAUAAAGGUGUCACAAAUCCUACAAUCCUACAAAAGUACGCCUGAAAGAGUGGAGGUACCAACAAAAACCACUCCACUCCUCGUUCGAUGCAACGGGGGGAUGUGUAUGGCAUAAGUAUAUCAGGAUUCAGCUUCUCGCAAGCAAGGAUAUCAAGGCCUAUGAAUCAGUAAAUGCAAGUCAACUUCACGUUGACAAACACUUAAUGGGUAGUAUAUACCCAGUAGAUGGGAAACUUGCAUCAACCCAGGUCAUAAUGCACACAAUGACCGGGACAUCGGAAUACCCGACUCAAUCGCAUUGGGAAAUCGCAAUCAGUCACCAUGGGUAACGAUAUUUCCAUCAACUAUAUAUUUAUAUAUGGAUUCUGGAGAAUCAUAUAACCGGAAGUCUACAAUUGUCGACAUACAUUUCUCAACUAGAUUGCAAAACCUUUCGCAUGAUUGAGGUCCAAGACCAUGGCCAUGGCAUAGUGUGAACAACACUGGGACUGAACUCAAACAAAGGAUAUAAUCUAGGUAGAAAUAAUCUUGCUCAAUAAUGGAAAGGUAUUCAUAAGUAAUACCUACACCAGUUUUCUUCUCGAAAUAGAAUUGAGAACAACAAGGUGGUGAAACAUAGAGCAAGUAUUGUAGCACAAGGGUUCACGCAGAUACCCAACUAUUCUCCAGAGGUGGAAUCUCUUUCUGAUAAUUUCUAUUAUUGGCAGUACAAAAUCAUCUAUCUGUGCAGUUGAUAGAUGUAGUGAUCACAUAUCCAUGAGGAUCACUAGAUUCAGACAUAUAUGAUUGAUUCCCAAUGAAAUCUCACUUCUGAAUCGAAAUGCAAAAUGCAACAUACAUUGUGUAAAAUUAUUGUUGUCGGUACAUAUGGUACAACUGACAUAGUGAGAUCCUUAUACAAAAGGAUUACUCCUGCAAUGAUGAUUAUCCAUGUUUGUGUGUUUGUAAUAACGACACAUGUAAUCAUCCAAAUGACGGAGUAUAAAAUGAAGGAUUUGGGUAAACCAAAAUACCGCUCGUUACUACAACUUGAGCACCUUCAUUCAUACAUUAUGGUAUACUAUGUUGUCUAUAUCCAUAAUAUAUUAGAGAAAUUCAUUGUGGACAAAUCUUAUCCAUCCAUAACCCUCAUGGUAGUUCAUUCUCUAGACUUAGAGACAGAUCUAUUUAGACCAAGAGAUGGUGGAAAUAAGAUAUUGGGACUGAACGUUCCAUAAUGCCAUUGGAUCCAUCAAACACAAUUGGUUGGUACUGAAGAAUAUCUUUUGAUAUCUCCAAGGCAUCAAACAUCUUGUCCUGGUUUUUCAGUUCCAUUAUACUCUUUUUUCCUUCAUGAGUUUACUUUACAGAUUCUCAUAAAGAUUUUUAAUGAGGUAAUAUCAACAUGAUAUCAUGUCAUACUUUCUGUUUUCCCCACCGGGGUUUUAAGAAAGUAUAUACGACAUAUUUAUUGUCAUUUGAACUCUAUGGGUGUUCACGUAUUUUGAGUUAAAAAUGGAUAAUAACCAUUAUAUGUUGCAUCAUUUUCUUCUUAUUUUUCUCAUUGUGUUUGAAGGAGUUUUGGCAACAUAUCAAUCAAUAUACUCAUGUUUUUCCCACAGGGUUUUUAGAGGAGACUAUUUCAAGAUGAUGAUGCUACCUAUACAAGCAUGGAUUAGGAGGGGUGUUAAGAUUAAUUAAGAUAUUUAAUUAAGGAAAAUCCCUGCCUGUAUUAACCGCCGACGGAUGCUAUUUCAGCAACCGCUACGCCGGUUAAUGUACACACGUCUCUCCAAAACGAGGCGUUAUCCCUGUACCUAUAUAUGCAGAAGCAUCAAUGGAAGAGAGUAGAUUUUUGAUCUCUAACAGUUUUGAGGGCCAAAAACAGAGUACUAGGAGAUUCCUCCUGUAAAUACUCAUACUUGAGAUCUGGAUGAAUAUGGUGCCUUAUGACGAAUACCCUAUAUGGGAAACCAGUGAUAAUCACUAAACCAUCAUGGUUGAGUAAUAAGAACGCAAAAUUUUAAUACUAAGUGUAAACUUGAAAAAUUCCCAAUCUAAAUUGUGUGAACAUAGAACUCACAGUAAGAUCUCACAGUAAUAAGCUACAUGGCCAUUACAUGUGUAUGCUACAAUUUAGAUAUAAGGAAUACACGUUGAAGGUAAUUAAUUAUCAAGAUAGACAAAGCAUAGAACUCACAGUAAGAGAGGAUAGUCAGCACAUAUAUAGUAGAUCACAACUACUUUGUGAUUCCAAAUAAGACGAGGGAGAAAUAAGACGAGAGAAGCUGAUCUCAAUCGCAAUAAGAAAUAUGUUCAAAAAGUAUGUUGUAAACACAUGAAACACGUUAUUCUUCCUAAAUGAAAUCCGGUACUUUAUGCAUAUCAUCAAUCCAUUGCAUAAUAUAAACACACUUAUAAUUACACAAAUCUUAAACUAGAGUAAAACAGUACUAAACAUAAUCUAAAACUAUACUAUAUACAAUAAUUAAUACUAACUAGUAAACAGAAAAAUAAGAAAAAAGAAAAAUAAAUAGAACAGCGGCCCGCCGAAGCAACACGUGCGGUGCCUCGGCAGCACACUGCAGCACCCCAUAUAAGAGAGGAGGUGGGAUCGGUUUGAAUAAAAGAUCCAUCGGACCAGCACCCCUCCCUCCCCACCUCCUGGCCAUCCCCACCACCGCACGAAGCCAUACCCACCACAUGUGCAAGACAAGAGGAAGCCCGCCGGCGGGAUCGUGGGCUGCUGCCUCCCUGGCUUCUCCGGUGAUCACCAGCGCAGCACACUCAGAAGAAGAGGAGACGUCGUGCCGAGGACAAGGCUCGCCGGAGCCCACAAGCCAGCACGGCACCCGAGCCGACGGUUGAUGGCAGCGACGACCCGCUUGAAGAGGCGGCCGACGGCACGGCUGCUAGUGCAUGACGCCGGAGGCACCGGUCGACGAAGGCGAGCGCCUCCACCGUGGUCACCUCCGCACACAUCGGCACAGGUAAGAAACAGGGCGGGCGGUGACUUAGGCCAGCGUCCUCGGCAACAGGGGUAAGCAUGUGCGAAGGCAGCCAAUGCGCCGGCGGAGGCGGGUCCGCAUGAAGCAUCUGCACAGCCGAGCCGGCGAGCAGCCAUGGCAUGCUGGCGACCCGUCGUGUGUCCAGAGACGCGAUAACUACCGCCCCGGGCAGCGCAACCAGCUGAGCUCUAGCCAUGUCCAGCGACGACAACGGGCCAGGAACCGGUCCUGGCGGUUGUCCUCACUAAUAUAUAUCGCAAUCCUUCAUUACUGUUUACAGAGAAUAUAUAUCGCCUGACACUCUACAGACGCGGCACAGGUUCCACGACGAGCGGGUUGUGGACAGAGCCGCCAGACGUUGGGAAAAGUAGAUUCCCUAAUUACAAUAUGGUAGGUUGGAUGAUUAAGCAGACUUCAUACACCCAAAAAUAUAAGGGACCUCAUACACAGUAGAUUAUAACUACACCCCACAUGCAACCAAAGCCGCAGACGGAUGGUCAUCAACGACUCCAUAGAGGCCGGUUGGUUUGUAAAACUUUGUCAAGGGGACUUCCAAGCCUUCAACCCUUCCAUUAUCGCCUUCCCAUCAAUAAUUAGCAUAUAAAUUCAGCUUGAGAGAAUGAAACAUGGCAGAGCAAAAACCAGAGAAAGCAAAAUGUUUGAAAAACAAGCCAAUGCAAUUAAACAAGCAGCAAAAACAAUAAACUAAAAUUGAUAUAAAUAUGAAAUGGGGAGGAGAUGUGAACGAGGCUCAGACAUCCAAGGAAGGAAUUAGCAGCAUUAGCUCUCUAGCCUGGCAGGGCGAAAGCUCUUAGGCGGCAACUGCGAAUGUUUUGAGAAACAAGCCUUAAAUUUAUCAUCACUGCCACAUAACAUUUCCCCAAUCCAUCGGAUCAAAUGGACUAUCAAGACAUGCAAAUAGUUGAAAAAAACAGAGUAAAGAAACCAGCAGACCAGACAGCUGAACCAAAUAGGGUGCAAAUGAGGAUUUAAGCCAAGACCAUUUCCAAGAGACUAGCAGUAUAAAACUUCAGAAAGCCGCAAAAUAUAUCGUCAUUGGCUAUCUGACGGUAAUUCCAACAUAAAAGCUAAUCAUCAUUGGCUUCAACUGCAUUAAUGACCUAAUUUGACAAAAUUAAUAACUACAAAAUUUAACAUCAUCGGAGAGCCAACCCUAGGAUAAGUGUUAGAUCACGCAUCAAUACCUCGGCACAACCCACACAAAUAUUAAAACUGGAAGGUAAAGACGCAAACGAUCAAUAACAGCAAAAGGAGAUAUAAAAUGACAGCAAAAAGAGAUAUAAAGUUGCUCAGUGGUGGCAAUAUUUAAUAGGUUCGAUUCUGCCAGCAAUUUCGUCAAUGCUUUCAGAAGAGGGAGCUUGUUAUCCUCAUCGCAACUACAUCACCAAAUACAACAAACAAAAUCAAACACAAAAAGAGAAGAACAAGGAAUGGCAGACCAAAAAAAUCAAGUGGGAGAUGGCUCGGUUCAGCGGGAUAAUCGGCAUACAUAUCAACUCCUGAGAGAAAACCUGUGAUUUGGUCUGUUGAGCUUGAAUAUUUGCAAAUCGUCACUGCCAUCACAGGAAAAGAAGUAUAUAUUGAAAACAGAACCAACUGGAAGACAGGACUGAAACAAAUCUGUGAAUGUAUAGGAGGGAUAAGAGGACUUCACAAUAUGAUAUCAACUUCCACAGAGUCAGAUUCAGAAAUGUCAAUCAGCACAGAUCCAACAAUGCAGACCAUAAGACUGGGGCGACAAAUAUGAAAUCAUCAUCCUCAAAACUGGAUUGGAAAAUCAUUACAACCAUCAAUGUACUUAUUGUAUGCAUGAUAAAAAAAUUCCUAUUGCAAUCUAACAGAAUUUAAAUGGCAAACGGGAUAUGAGCUCAGGAAGAACGUAGCGUUUGAUAAUCACACCUGGAAGAUCAUAUUUAUAGAAUUGUCUCAUCACUGCUCACAUCCCGGCAAAUAAACAAAUAAGAUAUUUAUUAGUCCAAUAGAAGGUGAUUCAAAUACUUUAGUUCAAACAAAGGACAGAUCCUGAAAAAGAAUUAACAUGUCAGUUUCCAAUAUACAAAGUAAUAAGAGGACUCAGAAUAUGGGUGGUGAUAUAGCAGGAUGGUCGGCAAGGCAAAUAAAUGCCAGUUACGACGAACGAGACCAAAUAUCAAUCUUCACCGUCCUCGAAGGAAAAUCAUAGUAAAUUAAUUGUUUUGAUUUUCAAAUAAAAAGUGUUAGGAAAGAUGAACGAAAUUGUUUGAUUCUGCUGCAAAAAGGGUUAGGUUUAAGGGUCAUCAGAUAGGAGCGAAAGACUAUUUUCGUUCAUGUAAUCAUGAUUUUAUCAUAUGAACUAUGCACUUGUAAUCAUCAGUUGACCUCGGGCAAACAACAAUUCAAUGAAAAUAAAAACAAAAGAAAAGAAAAACAGAAAUAGAACACCAGGAAUCAUGAUGCCUCAGAAGGAAGGCAGUAGGUUAUGUAAUCAUUUGUGAUUUCAUUGAGAAAGGUUCACACUAAUCAUCACCAGCACCAUGAAGACAUAAAACACAAUAAAUGUAACUGCAGAUACAUAAAUGAGCAAGAUCAUUAGCCUCAUAGAGAAGAUUAGAUGAUUCCACAUAAAGAAAAUUCAGACAUAUGCUUGUCUAUUAAAUUACUUUAAUCAUUGGCCACCAAUGAACACGCCACUUACAAAAGCAAAACAUCUUCAAAAAAAAACAGACUGGUCAAGAUCAAAUAUUAACCUUAACCGUCCUCAAAACAAAAUGGUUUGAGAAAUAAUAGUUGACCAAGGCCGAGUUUACUGGUGCUCAGAUUCUAUGGGUGUAUUAGGAGUCAUUCAUGUGGUUCUCCCAUCAGUACGAGGAAUGUUUUAUAAUCACUGCACAAAUGAAACCAGCAGCACAAGAUUUAAAACAUUGAAUUACGAAAAGAGAAGUUAAGACAAGUAAAGUCACCCAAACAUUUCCUCUGAAAUUGACAAAUUUUCAAAUAAUUCAACACAAUACUAUCUAAUGAAAAUGCAAAACAAACCGCAGAACAAAUAAACACAGAAAACAAGUAUCCAACAAAUCCAGUAGAAUAGUGGUUUGGUAAUGCUCAGAUUCUAUGGGUGUAUAGGAGUCGUUCACGUGGAUCUCCCAUCAGUACGAGGAAUGUUUUAUAAUCAUUGCACCACCACAUGUUUCUACUCUAAAUCAGAUGAACCACAAGGACUUCAAUUACACUAGAUAAAAAGCAAAAAGAAAACAAUAGAAUCACAGAUGGUAAACUGGAAUUUCAGGUUGCACAUAGGGCAAAAUCCAACAGAAUUCAGGGAUGCAUCAGAUCUCCAAGGUGAAAAAGCUGUGACAUCAUAGAAUGCCUCAGACGCAAAUUACCCAUAAAACUUGUGUCUCCUCAUCUGCAUCAACAUUGCCGGUUGUUUCGAAACCAAUCAAACUCAAUUUUAAAACCAAUAUACAGGCAGAGCUGCAACCUUUCAAAACUAGAAGCUAAAAUCACAUUUUUUUUAUCAAACCAGGGAUGGUGAUCAGACUCGGUUCAGUAUUUAGGCCAUCAUGUUGGCCAAUCAAACCAAUAGGGAAAUUAAUCAUUCAUCAUCUCACCUCCACCGAUUAAAUUAGAAAAUGAUUAGAUCAAAUUGAUGAAACAAUGUUAAAGCAAGGCAAGAAAAAAACAGAUUGGACUUUAUCAUUGAGAGUUGAAAGCAAGAUGAUCAGAUUCGGUUCAGUAUUUUAGGCCAUCAUAUCAGCCAAUCAAACCAAUAGGGAAAUUAAUCUCAUUCAUCAUAUCAUCUCUCGCUUACUAAAGGCAAAAAUGAUUCUUUUAAAGAAAAAUAUACUAGCAAGUAGAAACACAAUAGUGAGGGCAGAUGCAUCAGAUCUCCAAGGUGAAAAAGAGUGUGACAUCACAGAAAUGACUCAGAUGCAAAUUACCCAUAAACUCAUGUCUCAUCAUCUGCAUCAACCCAUUCUAUCUAAAUUGAUCUAACACUGCUUUUAUCAUUCUGCAACAAACACAAACAUAUCUAUCAACUAUAAAUGCUUUCUCUCCAUAUCACAGAAGGCAGGAUGAUCAGAUUCGGUUCAGUAUGUAGGCCAUCAUGUCAGCUAAUCAAACCAAUAGGGAAAUUAAUCUCAUUCAUCAUCUCAUCUCUCAGACUUGAAAACACAAAACAAAAGAAGAAAUGAGUAGAGCGGAUGCAUCAGAUCUCCAAGGUGAAAAGAGUGUGACAUCACUGAAAUGCCUCAGACGCAAAUUACCCAUAAACUCGUGUCUCCUCAUCUGCAUCAACAACGUUCAUUUUUUAAAGACAUGAAACAGCAAAUUCAACAAGAGAAACUAGACAGACUGGCAAAGUUUUCUACCUUAGAUAAAUCAGUGUGGGGUAUGAUCAGAUAGAGCUAAUACAUGAUUCAUUGGACAUCAUACCAUCCAUCAACAAUGUAAUUAUAUCCUCAUCUCACCCCAAACGAAUCAGAAACAAACAAAACCAAACGAAGAGGGUAUUAUCAGAUACGCAUCAGAUCUCCAAGGUGAAAAGGGUGUGACAUCACUGAAAUGCCUCAGACGCAAAUUACCCAUAAAACUUGUGUCUCAUCAUCUGCAUCAUCAAUAAUCCUCCAAGAAACAAAAGUAAGAACGAAAUACCAUCGCCUAAAAGCUGCUACAUACACACGCUCGUGCGACAUCUGCAUAAUCAUAGCCCUAGUAAUAGUUGCUUAUGUCUGAAGGUAGUAACCAAACACCAGCGCCUAAUCAGAACAGAGACCUCGUCAUGUAGCUAGUGUGAUGUCUGAAGGUACUAACCAAACACCAACGCCUAAUCAGAACAGAGACCUCGCCUAAUCAGAACAAACCCCUGAUAAAUCUACAGAAUCGCAAGUCAACUCGGCAGUGUACGACAACACCAUCACCUACUCGACCACAGCAGGCUAAAUCCAUUGCAAAUCUAAAGAACCGUACUGUAAUGUAGCCUACGGAGUCGUAAGGGGGCCGUGCAAUGUACACCGCCGUCGCCUACUGGCCCACCACGGAGGUGGGUGAGGCCAUGUAGGACGGCGACGGCGGGGCGGGUCGCUGUGGCAUCGUCUCAUACGCGGCGGCCAUGAGAUCCGCCGGUAAUCAGUUUUUGCGAUGCGCGAGGGACAAAUCUACGAGCAACGCUAAAACAAAUCUACAGGUCAUCCACUAGCACAUAACUCGGACAACCCUAGAAGCAGAACAAGAACCAGGGCAAGGCGGUGCGGCCGCUUACGGCUGCAGGUCCUGAGGAGGAACAGGGUCGUUACCGAGUUCUUCGUCGAGACCACGGCGGCUGCGCCCCCUGGAGAAGUAGGGGCGGCGGAGGCUGAGACAGGGGAGGUGGAGGUGGAUGAGUUGGUUGGGGCUAGGGUUUGAGUUAUAUAGACUCGGGAGAGGGGGGGGGGGGGGGGGGGGGCAAGGGGUUCGCUGAGUUGGUUGGGGCUAGGGUUUGAGUUAUAUAGACUCGGGAGAGGGGGGGGGGGGGGGGGGGGGCAAGGGUUUCGCCCGGUGUGGGCUUUGGUGAGUUCGGGCCUAUUUGGGCCGAAUUGAGGGUUUGUCUGCUCCAGUGGCCCCAUUUGGGCCGAAUUUGUAUGUUUGAAGACAAAUUGUUCUAAAAAAAAAGAUUGUUUGACAAAAUGAUUGAAUAUCCACGUAUCUCUUGACGCAUGCUUUUUGACGUGUCCCGUAAAGGAAAAAAAAGAUUUUUAUUUAUGUGGGAAACAUGUGCCGGAAAACAUCGCUUGGAUGUUACUACAUGUGCCUUCAGUGCAAAAGUCUUGUUGGAAUUCUGUGAGCAGUCCAUUUUCCCGUCACGCCCAUAACCAUGCUCGCAUCGUGCACGCACUAAACGAGCUCGUGGUGCAACUGAAGCACAAGUGCAGAUUUCUGUCAUUGUGGUUGCGCCAACUUAUACGAUAGGCGUGACAAGUCCUCUCGUGCACUAGUUACAUAGCAUGGACUCGAGCGUAGAACCUUCACGCGCUCAAAUGGGGAAUUCAGGUGUCCGUUUACGCAAGCUCGCAACACACCUUGCGUCGGUUUAUGGGCAAGACCAACCUAAAUGGGGUUUGGCGCUGGGAAUGUGCCCAUGACAGCAUAUCAUUGUUGGUGUAAUCAUCCCAAUGCCUCGCAUGCCUACUGGUGUUAAAGUAGCAGCAAGGCAGUCUCAUGAUGCGAUAUGAGAAAGGCAGAUGGUGUUGCACGAGAGGCAUAUAUAGAGUGACAAUGUCAAGCAAAGAACCCAAAGUAGUAUACAUAUAAGGAUAUUUGAACCAUUGGCUAACAUAAAGCAAUAAGUAAGGUAGGUGGCAAAAAAUUCAUCGUACAUAAGGUGGGUGAAUUGGACACAAAGAAAACUCAUUCAGUAAUUUGGAAUCUAGCCUAUUGUACUUUCCACAACAGGAGCUCGGGACAAUAGUCUUGACUUUUAAAAAUAACCACGCUCUUGUUGACAAAUUCCAUUUGCGUCCAUAGAGCAAACAGAAGUAACAACACAACAUCAAAGAAUUUCACAUAGUGUAGCGUGAAUGAAUACCUACAACAAAAUCAGUUGGCAUGCAUCAAAUGACUAUCUAUAGCAUGGAUCAAGCCAAUGCUCACCGAUGCAAAAUGCAAUAAUGCUAGAUUUUGACCUCAAGUUUUUUUGUCGAGAUGACACCGAAAAUGACCUGCAAGACACCAACACAGUCUAGUACAUAUGAGAUGUACAAAUCAGACUCCAUUUGGUAUACAGAGGUAGCUACAUAUCAUCAACCUGAUCAUUUUGGUGCUGCUUGUCGAUACUACUCACCAAGAGAACCAACAACAAUACGAAGCUAGCUAAGACUAAUGCAAUCGUUGGAGUUGAAUGUCGUGUUACCAAGUGAUUGUCAUGCUUCUCGGUCCUGGUUCAUAAUCUGGUGCAAAAGUACAAUGCCUCAUUUUCAAACUUGUUUGGAUGUAUAAGAUGAUGAUGCAUCAGUUGCAAUUCAUGUUAGAACAUACUAAGAAAAUUUUGUUUCCCUCAAAGAAAAAAAAACAAGAAAAAGUAUACCAUGAAAAAUAAGCAUUCGUUACACUAAAAAAAUACUACAUUAAGCAUUCACGCUUGGACGAAAUGCUAGAAUACCCUCAUAUCUAUUGUCGCGACAUGCUUUUUGAUGUGUCCUGUAAAGAAAAUAAAAAGAUGACAUGUUUUUGAUUUACAGAACAUGCACGGGAAAACAUUGCACGAGAUGUGAUAUAUUGUGACGAAAAUGCUCGUGACAAUGACUCGUAACGUCACCGAAUACUGAUAACAACAUGCGCGUCGGUGGCCUCCGUGGCCAUUGGAUCUAUCUUAAUCGAAUGGUUUGAGGGUAACUAAGUCGUUGUUGCAAAAAAAAUUACAACACCUAGUCUGUUGCAUUUUUUUUGCAACAACUAGUCUGUUGCAGUAUCUGAAUCUAGUGUGAAUCCUUGAUCACAUUCACCUAUUCUUUAUCAUUUCAUCCCGAGGCGGCAGCAACAACACAAAUAGGCUGGUCAUGGUUUGUCAUGAGCCAAAGGUCCGAUACGGUUGCUGCUGUAUUUUUUUUUCUGCAACAAUACCUUUGUUGCAAAAGUUCCGUAACAUGAACUCUAUUACAAAUGUUCGAACGUAACUUAUCCUUAUUGCAGAGCUCGCAGUUGAAUCUGACGGCUCCCCGCAUUGAAUCAUAUGGCUCGGCACGCAUUGGAUCUUUCAAAAACAUCCAUCGGCUGACAUGUAGCAUUAUAUUGCCUAAUUUUUUCCGCACCGAAAUAAUUAUGGAAGCCACUUGUUUUCUGAAAAUAUUUAUAUGUUUACGCCAAAAAAAUAUAUUUUCCCUCCACCAAAAAACAUGUUCCCUCCAUUUUUGGAAUUUUUUGGCGUCCUACCACACCUGUCGGUCACCCCAAAAAUUUCAGCCCCCACGAUCUAUUCCCGCGCGUAGCAAUUUACCUUUCCCUCGUAUCCUCUCGUGGCCCUCUCCUCUUCCCCCAUUAUCGCCACAAACAGAUCGGAGGUCCUUCGAUAAACCCGCCCCACGCAGGUCGUGAGCCGCCCCCUCCUCAUCUACGGGAUUCCAGCCGUCGCCUCACUCGCGAGCUUCUCCUCCGGGCCCCAGUACACGCGAGCGCUACCGCCCUUCUCACCGGCGGGAUAGGAGCCGCCGGUCUCACCCACGAGAACGCCGCCGCAUGCACUAGAGAGUGUGCCGCCACCGGCCACAAGUUCGUCGAUCUCGUGAGGUACGUGAUUUGUUAACUAUCCCCGAUCUCACCAUUCUUUCCGCAUGUGUUCCACGCCAAUCGCUUUGUUGUACACGUGAAUGUACAAUCUGCUCGUGCUCGGUGUGGACUCUAAUAGACAGGCCAUGUGAAAGACUGAUAUAAGAUGAGAUAUGUAGACAAGGUGUAUUUAUUCCGUUACCAACUGAUCCACAUUCUGAAAGGUGAUGUGUUGAUCGAUUCAUUCAUGUGGGGCUGGGGUUGAUUAUACUACGAUCAUUGACGGGUGAGUAUAGUGCUUUUAGUUCCAGUAUACUACACUACAAUCAAAUCAGAAUGUUGUGUGCCUGCACCCUGACUCGCCUUGAGCCCUAGUAGCUGCUUUGGUACGAUUAUCAAAUACAUACAUGUUUAAUUUAUGAUCUUAGAGUAGUUACUAAAAUAAUCUGGUUCAUAUGCAUUUUAAUUACAUCUGCUUAGAGUUGAUGCUCUUCAGUGUUUGUGUUGGUUUUCUUUGGGUGCCGAGUUCUUGUAUUUUGCUUGCCUCAUCUAUCUGAAAUAUGGGAGCAUCUAUUAGUGUUUUAUGUUGUUGUUUAUUUGGGUCGAAUUUUUGACAGGUAUAAUCUAACGAAGCUAGCUAGAGCGUAAUCUCUCAAAUCUGACAUAUGCAGUUUGUUGAAAAUGGGAACACAGAAUAGUAGCUCUGCCUACUAGAUGAACUGAAGGGAAAGUGACCAAGGUGAGGUUAAUUUAUUUUUGCAUGCUAUUGUAGAGUAUCUUGGAAUUUGAUAUGUACUUUCCUCAAGUUGUGAAACACCAGAUUAGCAAAUCACUUAUUCUCUAGAAAAACUGACUUUGCCCCUCGCAUGUUGUUGAAUAGUAUACUCUGUAAAACACAUAUUUUCCCCCUUGCAUGCUGUUAAAGACACUACUCAGCCGAUAUUCCAAUUGUUAAUCUAUAUAUUACAUCGCUUGAUAUAAGAUAUGUGACAGUUUUAAUACAGAAGUUUAUUUUGGCUUGAAGAGACUACACAACAGAUAUUCCAAUUGUUAAUCUAUAGAUAACACCGCUUGAUAUAAUAUAUGUGGUAGUUUUAUUAUAGAAGUUUAUUUUGGCUUGAAGAGACUACUCAGCAGAUAUUCCAAUUCAGCUUGCAACAAAAUAAAUGUGCAUUUUAUUUAGCCUCAUUCCAUAAGCAGCAAGUAAAAUGCAUUUUAUUUAGCCUCAGUUGGUAAGCAGCAAUCCAACUUACCACUAUAAAUCACACAUCUAUAUAACAUCAUCCUAUCGCAUUUUGAGCUUACUGCUUAUCUUUUCAACUACGGGUGGACAAACCAGUUCAAAUGGACAACCGAGACAACAGGUGCUCCUACUGAAAUUAGUCUGCUCUAUAUUUUCAUUUUAUUUCUUUCCCUUAUUUACAACAUACACAUAUCUUUCUUACCCUUAUUGACAACAUACACAUAUCUUCUCCAGGAUACCACCUAAUUCUGCAAACAAUAAUUUUCCAUGUUCUACCGUUGGUUCAAUAAGAGAAGCUCAGAAGAAAUUCAUGAGUGCAAUUGUAAAUAUGACGAGCAUAAAAGACCCAAUAUUUAUAACUUGCAAACGCGAGUCCAAGCCUCAACACAAAACAAACCCAUUCUUAUCUCUUGGAUACAUUGUUGAAUAUGAAAAGAAUGGGAUGUCAUAUAUCCAUGUCACACUAACUGAAGAAGGAAAACCUACAAACAAUAUCUAACAGCUCCUGUAAUAAUAUGGUUGGUGCUACAAACUACUAUAGUUGUUACUAUUCAUGCUUUGACUGAUAUAGAUUUUUAUCACAUGUUACAUAUUUGUACUGACAAUAAAAAUUUCAGACAUUGCCUAUGUAUGAAAUCUAUCUAUCAUUUUAUUAAUUCAAAUUAUUUUCUUCUUUGAGAUUUCCAUGUUACUCCGAUAAUCUGCAACAAAUUUCCGCAGCAACACGCGGGGCAUCAACUAGUCCUAUGAAAAGAAGCAAGAGGAAACAGACAACCUUAUCAGUUUUAUCUUACAGAAAUAUGCAACUCAAAACUAAGUAACAUGCGUAAUGGUUCUUGAAGGCCAUCAUUACAUGGUGGUGAUAUCUAGAAAAUAGUUUGCUUUUCUUUAGUUAUGUUACUUUCAUUACGUGGGGGUGAUAUCUAGAACAUACAUAAUUUGUCUUUUUUAAUUAUGUUAGUUUAACAUUCCAAGUUACUUAUUGUCAUUUUUUUUGAAUGUACGAUGAUAUUUGGUUGUGUUAAAUAUAUAUUGUUAUUUGGCAGUUGAGUAUAUAUUGUUGUAUGUAUUGAAAUGAAUUUUUAACUCAAAAUGUAUAGUAAAGUAAAUUUGGAAGUGUUAUCAAAAAUAAUAUGAUAUAAAAUUAAAUAAAAANNNNNNNNNNNNNNNNNNNNNNNNNNNNNNNNNNNNNNNNNNNNNNNNNNNNNNNNNNNNNNNNNNNNNNNNNNNNNNNNNNNNNNNNNNNNNNNNNNNNCAAAAAUAAUAUGAUAUAAAAUUAAAUAAAAAUAAUAAUUAAUAUUACACUCACAAAAUAAUUCUACAAAACUAUGUGAAAAUAUUUGGGAAAAAAAUAUUUUUUAAUGAAAAUGUAAUUGUCAAAAGUAUUUCGAAAAUAAAUAUUUAUUUUUCUAAAAAUGGGAAAAUAAAAAAUACAGAAAAAUAAGAAACAAUUUCAAUUUCUUAGAGAAAUAAAUUCUAAUAAAAUAACAUGACAUCAUAAAUGAUGUCAUCCACACUCGGUGACGCUAAUCAAUGAUGUUUUAGGGCCACGGGAUGGAUUCCUAGGUGUUAUGCCAGUGACGGUACAACAUGUGCACCGUCACUGAAGGUCCCAUAUUCCGUGACAGUCUUUCGUGCGCCGCGUCACUAGGAGGAAUCUGUGACGGUGAUUCCGUGACGAUGCUCGUGACGCUCAAAAAACGACACGACGAGGUUUUCCAUGACGUUUUUGGAUAUUGCAUGACGAUAGUAGCUCGUCACAAUAUACCAGAUCCCUUGUAGUGAGUAAUUUGGAAUCUAGCCUAUUGUACUUUCCACAACAAGAGCUUGGGACAAUAGUCUUGACUUUUAAAAUAUCCACGCUCUUGUUGACAAAUCCAUUUGCGACUAUAGGGCAAAUAGAAGUAAGAACAAAACAUCAAAGACUAUGACAUAGUGUAGUGUGAAUGAAUACUUACAAGAAAAUCAGUUAACAUGCGUCAAAUAACUAUCUAUGUCAUGGAUCAAAACAAUGCCCCUGGAUGCAAAAUGCAAUAAUGCUAGAUUGUUGACCUCAAGUUGGGGUUUGCUUUUGCCGACAUGUCAUCGAAAAUGACCCACAAAAGACCAACACAAUCCACUUAAUAUGACAUGUACAGAUCACUCCAUCUGGUAUACAGAGGUAGCUAGAUAUGGAUUGAUCAGCUUGAUAAUUUUGGUGAUGCUUGUCGAUACUACUCACCAAGAGAAACCAGCAACAAUACGAAGCUAGCUAUGCUGAUGCAGCUGUUGGAAUUGAAUGUUGUGUUAUCAAGUGAUUGUCAUGCUUCUCGGUGUUGGUUCAAAAUCUGAUGCAAAAGUAUAAUGCCUCAUUUACAAACUUGUUUAGAUGUAGAACAUUAAGAUGCAUCCCUUAGAGCAUCUCCAGUCGUUUGUCCCCCAUCGCACCUUGACGAAAGCCUUUUUGGCGUUGAGCCGACGCUUUUCUUGCCCUCGGGGCGAGCGAGUUUCCAGCCGUGCCCCCAGGUUUGGGUCCCGGGACGCCAACGGUUUCAAACUUGUCUUUUUCCGGCACCACAAAGUUUGACGAUCGUGCCACAAGUCGGCGAUCAGCAUGCCAUAGUUCGGCGAUCAACACACCCAGUAGUUCGACGAUCAAAAAGGAAAGGAUGAAACGAAUCAAACACGCGUCUCGGCACGGUGUGGCUCCUCUCCCGUGGGACUGGCCGGGGUAGGUUCUGUUGGGGUAGUCGGGCUCGUCGGCGGCGUAAGUUCUGCCGGGGUAGUCGGGGUCGUCGGCGUGGUUUCUGUCGGGGUCGUCGGCGUGGGUGUUGUCGGGGUCGCCGACGUGGUUGGAGUCGUCGUUGUCGUGGCUGCCACUGCAGUCGCACCGGCACCGUCAUCUAGUUCAAGAUUAGAUCGCGCUCCACGAAGUACCACGCCUUCACCUGUUCGUCCAUCAUCGACGCGUCUGUCCUCAUCAAGAAUGCCAGGUUGGUGUUCCUCUUCUUUGCGACGACGUUGGUCCUGAGAAGGUCAAGCUUGACGUGCUGAUUCGCCAUCAACGCUGACCAUUGUGCGUCGGAUUUCUCCUCCCUCAUGGCAGCGCUGCUCUUCGGCGGCAUGGUGGCUGGAUGGCGGGAAAGCGGGAGAAGAAUGGCGGGAGGAGGCACAAAAUGGAGGGAAAGGGAGGAGGAAGGGGGAGAAAACGGAGGGAAAGGCCGGCUGUCGCCGACAGAGCUGGCCCGCUUGGUUUUUUUGCGUCGACUGGCGCUCCCAGGCGCCCCCCGGGGGGUUGGGUUCGACUCGGAUUCGCCAGCUAUUAUUUUGGCCAAAACCGACGCUAAACAAGCUAUUGGGGACGCGACUCGGGCGAUUUUGCACCGUCGGCGCUAAAAAAGGCGCCCUCGGGGGGGUGUUGGGGGGCAAGUGGAGAUGCUCCUACAAUUCAUGUUCUAGCUAUGAGAUAUCAUUGUCACUUUCGUGUCCACGCCCAAUCAUUUUACAUGUUCAUGGAGAUUUGUGGGAUGCAUGUGUAAGGGAAUUUUGUGCCACCAAUUAGGGGGUGCCCUUGGAUAAAGUGAGGAGUAAUCAUAGAUAAAAAAGAUGGAAUGUAAAUAGUUUGACACUCAAGUAUACUUUUGUGUGGAAUCAUAUAUCCUAUAUUAUUUCGUCAAAGAGAGUCAUCCCCACUGAUUUAUUUAUAUCGAAACACACAACUAUUUAUCUUGAAAUACACAACAUGCCACCUCAUCAUAUAAUUAUGAAUGCGAUAAGAUCUACCUUUGUAUGCAAUCAUGCAUGAGAAAAAUCCCACCAUAACAUUCAGCCAUGCAUGGGAAAAUGGUUUCCAUUUAAUUAACAUACUUAUAUUCAAUAAAUAUUUUACAAUCAUACACAAUCAAAUAAAUAAAUAAUAUGUAUUUUAAAUUUUGUUCUCAUGUUAUCAACUCAACUCCAUGGACCACAUAGCGAUGACCACAACCACUAGAGCAAGCCUAAGACACGCCAAGUAACAAAUAUUUGUUCCAUGGACCACAUAGUGAUGAUCACAAUCAAAUAAAAUAAAUAGUACGUAUUUUAAAUUUUGUUCUCAUGUUAUCAAGUCAACUUUUUGCCAACCAACUCCCGCAACAACGCAUGAGGUAUCCUCUAGGUUUAUAUGUAUUUUAUCAUAUUUCUAGAUGCGAGAGUAUUUGGUUAAUUACGGAGUACACGCAAUUUUUGUGGUUGGUUAGAUUAGAUUCAAUUUACACCAAGACGGUCGUUCAACUGCACAGAACUUUGGUUAAUUCAUUUUUUGUUGAGUGACUAGUGCUUGCUCACAAGUUGUCCCUGCUCCUCCAGUCUCACAUGGACAUGAAAAAAUGGGGGUGCAACACGGACUCCCUCACCCUUUGUUAAUUUUGGCUGAAUAGCUAACCCAUGCAUGAUUCCAGAAUGAGAGGAAUUGGUGGAAAGGGAGCAACCGCUUUGAGAUUUACAACAUAAGGUUUGUUCUAAUCUCUACAUUGAUUUGCAUCGAUUUUUUUAAAACUUUUAUUUGGGAGGGGGGCUACCGAAGCAAAAGCGAAGACAUGUGGACAUGUUUUUUUUCGAAAUGGAGGCUGAGCCCCGGCCUCUGCAUCAAUAGAUGCAUACAACCAUAUAUUAAAAACAAAAUCAAGUUUUCAAUAAGUACAUGAAGUGUGCAGCAAAAAUAAAAUAAAGCGAUACAAGGCAUCUUUCUUGCCCAAGCCGGAGAUGACAAAAUAUAUAGAUGACUAAACACCUAUCCUAUUAACAUGACACCAUCCAAACCGGUUGAAGAUACCCUGUGCUACCAUCUCCCAGCGGACACAUCCAGUAACCAUAUGCUCCCUGGCUUCCACAGGAGUGAGUAAUGACCACGUGCGGAUCACUGCGGUAACCCUGAAGAUAACCUGCAAGAAGUGAAAGUCGCGUUGUCUGUUAAACACUAAGUCAUUUCUGCAAUUUCAUACAGCCCACAACAGUGCACAGGAACCCACGCGAAUAAGUUUAGCAGUAUGUACAUCAACCCCGUGUAACCACAUCCCAAAUAACGUGCUUAUACUAUUAGGAGGAGUGAUGUUAAAAGCAAUGUGCAACGAGCGUCAAACCAGUUUAGCCAUAGGACAAUCGAGAAAGAGGUGCUUAAUACUUUCUUUAUUCGGACAAAAGUUGCAUCUAGUAUUACCAUUCCAGUUUUGCUUGGCAAGAUUAUCCUUCGUUAGAAUAACCCCCUUGUGAACAAACCACAUAAAGAUUUUAAUUCUAAGAGGAACUUUGAUCUUCCAAAUAUGCGCUGAUUUUGGAAUAGGUGUUGAAUCUAUGAGAUGCAUGUACAUAGAUUUUACCGUAAAUACCCCAUUCGUGGUCAGCUUCCAAUGAACACGAUCGGGUCUGUGAGAGAGGUUGAUAUCCAUCAACCUUCUCACGAGAUGCAACCAACUAGUCCAUCUAUCGCCGAUAAGAGAUCUACGAAAUUGAAUAUUUAGAGGGAUCUCACGAAGAAUUGACGCAACGGACGCUUGUCGACGUUGUGCAAUAUGGUAGAGCCGCGGAUAUUGAAAAGCUAAAGGCGUCCCCCUAACCAAGUGUCUUCCCAGAAACUAGUGGAUUCACCAUUGCCUAUGAUGAACCUAGUUCUGCUGAAGAAAGCAUUUUUUUGUCCGCAUCAACCCCUUCCAGAAAGGAGAAUCACUUGGUCGUGUUGUAGCCUGAGAUAACGUUUUGUUUUGUAAGUACUUGUUCUUUAUAAUUUGUACCCAUAAACCUUCAGUUUCCGAAGAUAGUCUAAACAACCAUCUGCUUAGUAGACAUUUGUUUUUGGUCUCUAAAUUUUCAAUUCCUAAUCCCCCUUGAUCUUUGGGUCUACACAAAAUAUCCCAUCUAGUAAGUCUGUACUUUGUCUUGAGCUCAUCGCUUUGCCAGAAAAAACGGGACCGAAAGAAAUCCAAUCUUUUUCGCACCCCCACAGGGACUUCGAAGAAGGAUAGGAGAAACAUAGGCAUACUAGUUAAUACCGAAUUAACCAGAACUAACCAUCCUCCAUAAGACAGCAACUUGCCCUUCCAGCAACUUAACUUCUUUUCAAAACGAUCCUCAAUGCAUUUCCAUUCCUUGUUGGAUAAUUUUCGGUGAUGGAUAGGAAUCCCUAAUUAUGUGAAGGGCAAGUUCCCAGUUUCACAACCGAACAAUUGAUUGUAAGAGUGUUGUUCAUUUUUGGCUCUACCAAAACAGAAUACCUCACUCUUGUUAAAAUUAAUUUUCAGCCCUGAUAGCUGCUCAAACAAGCAAAGAAUGACCUUCAAAUUUCUAGCUUUGACCAGAUCGUGCUCCAUAAAAAGUAUAGUGUCAUCUGCAUACUGCAAUAUAGAGACACCCCCAUCCACGAGGUGCGGGAUAAGACCCCCUAUCAGAUCCUUCUCGGUUGCCCGCUUAAUCAUAAGGGCCAACAUAUCAACAACGAUGUUGAAUAAAAUAGGAGACAUCGGGUCCCCUUGUCUAAGACCCUUCAGUGUCUGGAAGAAAUGACCUACAUCAUCGUUUACCUUAAUCCCGACACUUCCCUUUUUUUAUAAAACAAUCGACAUGCUUUCUCCAAAGCUCGUCGAACCCCUUCAUGCGCAGGGUUUGCUGCAAAAAGGACCAUUUAACUUUAUCGUAUGCCUUUUCAAAAUCCACUUUGAAGAUAACGCCAUCAAGUUUCUUCGAAUGGAUUUCAUGCAACGUUUCAUGCAGAACAACGACACCUUCUAGGAUAUUCCGCCCAGGCAUAAAGGCCGUUUCCGUAGAUUGCACCACCGAAUGUGCCAUUUUCGUUAGUCUAUCCGUUCCCACCUUCGUGAAAAUCUUGAAACUAAAAUUUAGCAAACAAAUUGGGCGAAACUGCUCAAUAUGAGUCGUCCCUUCUUUCUUUGGUAGCAACGUAAUGGUACCAAAAUUCAAAUGAAAGAGUUGUAGGUGACCAUCAUAAAGAUCGUGAAACAUUGCCAUACGAUCCUUCUUGAUAAUAUGCCAACAUUUUUUGUAGAACUCUGCUGGAAACCCAUCUGGCCCAGGAGCUUUACCAUUCUUCAUCUCCCCAAUUGCCUCCAGCACCUCUUUCUCCGAAAAUGGGGCGGAUAAUAACUCAUUGUCCGCCUCGCCAACUUGAGGAAUAUCUGCGAUUUGAUGUUCAUCCAUAGUCACGAAACUAUGGUCAAAAGCACCAAAUAACUUUUUAUAAUAGUUUGAAAUAUACAAUUUUAGGUUCUCAUGACCCACUAUUGUACCCUCAUCUUGCUCGAGCUGGAGAAUUUUCUUUUUCCUAUGCUUGCCAUUUGCAAUCAGGUGAAAAAAAUUGGUAUUAUUAUCCCCAUAAAUGAUUGCCCGUACUUUAGCUCUAGUAGCCCAUUUCGAUUCCUCCUCUCUAAGGAGCACUCGUAGGCGUUGUUCAGCUUCAUUCUUCAAAGAUCGCUCAUUGAGAUCCAAGACAAUGUUCUCGGCCUUACGGUCAAGAUCAUCUAUAAGUUUGAUAAGCCUAUACUGCUCAUCCUUAUUGAUCCCCGAAACGUUCUUAGCCCAACCUCGAAGGUAUUUUCUAAGAUGCCUAAUUUUAUUUUGCCAUCGAUCCACGUUGGAUAUCCCACCCAACUCUCUAUUCCAUUCCCGGGCAACCAUAUCUGUGAAACCCUCCCGUGAGAACCAACUUGACUCAAAGGAGAAUCUACACUUGUUUCCCAUAUGAAUAGCACUACCAGAAUCCAGCAACAAAGGUGUGUGGUCAGAAAUCGCUCUGCGGAGCGCUCGCACCGUCACUAGAGGGAAUUUAUGUUCCCAAUCAAUACUGGUAAGGACCCGGUCCAACUUUUCAAAAGUCUGGUUUUGUAGGGAAUUAGCCUAGGUGAAUUUCCUACCAGAGAGCUCUAUCUCCCUAAGGUCCAGGCUCUCGAUAAUAGUAUUGAACAUAAAUGGCCAUCUGCCAUCAAAAUUGUCAUUGCUCUUUUCGUCAGCUCUCCUAAUAAUAUUGAAAUCACCCCCAAUCAAAAGCGGUAAUCUCUCAUCGCAGAUCCUCACCAGAUCGGCGAGAAAAUUAGGUUUAAGCUCUGGCUGAGCAGCCCCAUAUACAGCUAUGAGGGCCCAUUGGAAUCCAUCCUCUUUAGACGUAAUACUGAAUUUAACUGCAAAAUCUCCUAAAACCACUUCUGUAACUUGAAGGGUAUCACAUCUGACUCCAAGUAAAAUUCCACCGGAUCUUCCUCUUGGAGGGACACAAUGCCAGUCAAACUCUACUCCCGCUGAUAGAGAACUCAGAAACUUAGAAGUAAAAUUAUCUCUCCCAGUCUCCAUGAGCGCUAUAAAAUCAAGGUGAUGCUCUAAAGUUGCCUCAGCUAGAAAUCUUGUUUUUAGCCAAGUCCCGAAGACCUCUGCUAUUCCAAAAUAUUCCUCUCAUCUUUCAUCAUAAAAAAAUUUAGCAGUCUUAAAUCUAGCACUCCUUCUAACCGCAGAAACCGGAUAUACUUUCCGUUUCCAAGGCUGUUUUGGUUUCUCCACAAAACCCCGAUCCAUAUAACCAGGUGUUUGGGAGUCAACUACAAAAUAUUGUGUCUCCUCGGAACUUUGCUCAAGGGUGUUGUCCUCUCCCACCUCUGGAUCGGCCAGUAUGUCCAAAUUCUCACAUAGAGUAUUCAGACCCCCCAUCUCAUUAAUAUCAGAGUCAUUCAUAGGUUUGACGGCAGCUAAAUUACGAAUAAUAUCAAGAGCUCUAUCUACUUCUAAGUCUAGAAGGUCAUUAAUAGAUUUUGAAAUUUGUGUACCAGUAUUACCCAAAGACACCCCAACAGCAGCAACAUUAUCAAUAAUAUCAUGCGGAGAAAAAUGAAGGAUGGAAUUGUCUUUGUUAAAAGCCAUACCUGUCGCAAUUUCCGCAUCCUUCAUCUUUGCAGCUCUCAUUGCACGCCCCAACUGCAAGUCAUCCGCGUCCGGUUGAUCCUGAAUACGCUGACUAGACCGCCUGUCCUGCGUCAUCGGAUCCGGGAGCCCCCCAAACGCUAUAACAUCAUCCACAGAGAAAUGUGCACCGUCAUGCACUAUCAUCCCAUCAAAAGAGCACUCGGUCCCCGUUGACACAACCGGAACUGAAACCUCCACUGCCACAGCCGUAGGUAUCUCAUUAUCGGUCGGACUCUGAUCAUGCACCAAAAGCGAACCCUCCUUCCGUGCUUCUGCAAGAUAUGUGUCAAGAGAGACAGCCGGCAAUCCCACCGUAGGCGAGACUGGCCCCUGCGCAUCCUCGAUGGGCAGCUUCCGAGGAAACAAGAUCUUACGCCGCUGCCCCUCGAAGCUUGCCACUAAGCGGCCACCACCAAGCUUGGCCGGAGUCGAGGCCGGACCAAAAGAGCCAAACCGAAGCUGCGCCAACGGAGCUGUAACAGAAACAGCACCUCCAACCGCCCCCGUCACGUGUGAAGCCGCUGGUUCCUUAGCGUUAGCAGGCUUGUGGUCGCUCUUAUCGGCCUCCUUUGACCCCGACUCAUCAUCCCCAUCAGUCAUAUCCACAUCCUUAUCCGGCACUCCUUCCUCAAAUAAAGGAGGACUCGCAAUCUCAAGCUGGAGGGUAUAUCUCAUCCCCGCGUGCAUCCAAACCACCUCAUCCGGCACCAGUGCGAUGUCAAUGACACUAACAAGCACACGAGCAACUCCUUUAGCUCGGGUAAACCUCAUGUCUACCUUUUCUGUCUUGCCAAUCAGAGAUCCUAAGCUCCAAGUAACCAGAAAGUCGCUAACCGCCGUUGACAUGUAGCCUUGCAAUACACACAUCGCUUGGACUGCUCAAGUACUCGCACUCACCUCUAUUGCUUUCUCCUCCAAAUCUUGUGCAUACAAACCACCUUGCAUUGGUGUAUGGUUAAGAGUGUCUAGUCUUGACAAUAUGAAGAAGUUAAAUUAUUCGAUGCAUUCCCGGGCCUAGCAUGCAGACCACCGAUGCCAAUAAUAUAACUUAUACACGUAAAGGAUAUUAAAGCCCUCAAAAAGUACGACAGAUGCCAACAAUCGCUGAGCUUAAACUCUGAUCAAUAUAUUCUAUUCCAUCGGUUGGUAGGAAAGUGAUAACUGAAGGUUUUCUUUAAGGAAACUACAAUUAAGACGUAUGAUGAACUAAGCUAGAAUAUACAGUAACAGAGGCUUGUAACGGAUAAAGCGAAAGACUAUGUCUAGGCUUUCGGUCUGACUAAUACUAGAGGGGCGACUAAGUGGCAGCGACUUACUCCACUAGUGGGGACAGAGCCUAUAGUCCCGGCCCGUAAGGGGCUUUAGUCCCAGUUCACCAACCGGGACCAAAGGGGCGGGACUAAAGGCCUAACCUUUAGUCCCGGCCCUGUUCCAAGCCGGGACCAAAGGUGCUCCACGUGGGCGCCUCGGAGCGCCCUCAGGGGCAGGCCCUUUAGUCCCGGGUCUUAACACGGACCGGGACUAAAGAGUUUCUGCAGAUUUUGUUUAUUUUAGGGUUUUAGGGUUUAGGUGUUCGGGAGAUUAACGUGAUGCCUCGUUUGGUGUUCGGGAAUUAGUUUUCAUAUAAUUCUAAAUAUACAUGUUUAUGCAUAUGUAUAUAUAUAAGAUUAACUUAUCUUACAAGCGAGCAUAUAUAUACAAUUAUAUGGAGAUCUGAAUUAUCGGGACUAGAGCCCGUCUAUUCGAUUACAUGGACCAACAUCAGUAAUGGCCCCUAGCUACACUAAAUCGUCCUUUGUCAUCUAUAGCUUCUGUCCUCAGAAAGGUCGCAAGCUCCUCUGCAACAGCAAUCGCGCGUUGCUCUGGUAGGGACUUCUCCCUCAUGGCCGUGUACUAUAUAAGAAGAGGAGAUGAAUAUGAAUAUCAAUCAUGAUAACAAAGAAUGAUGGGUAAAAAUAGAGGUGUGAAUGUUCAUUUCUUACGUCGUAUCUGUAAUCCUUGUGCUCAGAGGUAAACGUGCGAAUGGUCUCGCAAACAUAGUAUUCGCAUAGAUGCGUCCCCCGUGGCUGCUGGUCGCACUUUACGAGAAUAUAAUAUAUAUAAUCAAAAUAAUAAUCUAGCAUCAUAAAUGUAUUGAAAAUAGAAGUAUAUCAUACUACUACUUACAUGAGUCGCUCUAAAGGUCAGCUUCUCAUGCUCGAUAGAGGGAGUCACGCACUUGAACCGCUUCUAAACCCUGCCCGACAAGGAAAAUGAUUUGCUAAGUUUUUCAUUAAUUGAUAUAUCAGAAAAUCAUCGAAAGAGACCGAUAGAGCGCAAGAAUGAUUGAAAUUACCCUUGAAGCAUGUCCUGCAGGCUUUGGAACUGUUCCAAGGGUCUCGAUAAUGGGUCGAAGGCAUCAACUCUUCCCUUAUCAAUUUGAAUGUCCAACAAAAUCCAAUGGAAGUUGCACAUGUAUAUAUAUAUGUGUGUCAGUAACUUAUCAAUUACACUUAUAAGUGAAUGGACACAACAGAGUAAAGACCCUCACUUGAAGUUGUAUGGAAACAGUAUGUGGUCACAGAAAUUUUGAUCUGUUAGAAACCUUAGAAGGUUUUCCUCCGUCUCCUUGGGUUUAUCAGUUAGCGUCGCUAUAUGUAUUUUAUCUGGGUCAAUAAACCCAAUAUUUAGGAUGUUCAUUAGCGGAUUUCCCAAGACCAAGAAAGGAAACAAUGCUAUCUUUGUGGUCAUUGACCGUCUUUCCAAAGUGGCUCAUUUUCUUCCUGUUCGUGAGAGUAUAACAGCUAGCCAGCUAGCAGAGUUAUAUAUCUCUCGAAUAGUGUCUCUUCAUGGUGUUCCCCUGGAAAUUAACUCGGACCGUGGAAGUAUCUUUACUUCUCGCUUCUGGGGAAGUUUUCAGAAUGCCAUGGGGACUCACCUAUCUUUUAGCACUGCUUUCCAUCCCCAGUCAAGUGGUCAAGUAGAAAGAGUGAAGCAAAACUUAGAAGAUAUGCUCCGAGCUUGUGUUAUUUCGUUCGGUAUGAAUUGGGAGAAGUGCCUUCCAUUCGCCGAAUUCGCUUAUAACAAUAGUUAUCAAUCAAGCUUGGGCAAAGCCCCUUUUGAAGUUCUCUAUGGACGAAGAUGUCGAACACCUCUUAAUUGGUCAGAAACCGGAGAGAGGCAACUCUUUGGCCCGGACAUGAUCCAGGAUGCAGAAGAGCAGGUUCGCAUUAUUCGUGAAAAGUUGAAAACAGCCCAGUCUCGUCAAAAGAGCCAAUAUGAUCGUCAUCAUAAGGCUGUGACCUUUGAAUUUGACGAGAAGGCUUACCUUCGGGUUACACCUUUGAAGGGUACCCAUCGUUUCGGUAUCAAGGGCAAGUUGGCUCCUCGUUACAUUGGACCUUUUCGCAUUCUUGCCAAACGAGGAGAAGUUGCCUACCAGUUGGAACUUCCUCCGCAUCUUUCCAAGGUUCAUGAUGUUUUCCACGUCUCGCAACUCAGGCGUUGCUUUUCGGAUCCUAUCCGUGAAGUGGACCACGAAACGCUUGAUCUACAAGAUAACCUUUCUUACCGAGAAUACAUUCUCAUGCCAUGCUCAUGCAUCAUUUUGAUUGCAUAUGAUUGUUAUUGAAUGUUGCCGUUCAUUUCGGUAGGCUCCGCACCCCCGGAUUCCACCGAAUAUCCGUCUGACGGAUAUCGUUCCUCCUCUGAGCAACAAGGCAAGCACCCCUUUUGAUCAUCCCGAUAACACCUAUGUUCUUGCUCCUGCACCUAUUUAAUGCAUUAGGAUCAAAUGCUUCAACUGCUUUUGCCACGAUAGUUGGACCCACUUCCUUUGCAUGACUUAACCUUGUCACGGUAAAUAGCCGAACCUUGCAACCUAGCAUACCUGGUAGUUGCUUGAGCUAUGAUGUGCCUUAUCCUGCUAUGCAUGCUAUGCUUAGAGUUGUGUAUGGUCAGUCAUCUGGGAGAUGAACAGAAAUGUGGAAUGUGUUCGGUGAGCAAAGGUCGUGUGUUGAACUUGAUUUGGUAAAGGUACCGGUUAAAGGCUAUGUAGGAGUACAUGGUGGGUUGUUUCAUUGGAACCGUCCUUAGGAACUGAGUUCCGUGUAUGUAAUCCAAGACUAGAUACUACCACAUGCUGGGCCCUGAAAUAUGACCCCGCUCGGCCUAUUAAUCGCGUAGUACUCGGUCCAGGAGUUGCAAGUAGUUUCUGGUGUUUAUAGUAAUGCUGGAAGCCGUGCAUGGUGCUGACCUGAGAGGUGGACCAUGAUGCGGUAGGCAGUGGCACGGUGUACCAAGUGGCACCCGGAUGGUGGGCUUGGGAACCCUGCGCACAUCGUUUGAGGCCGUGGCGGAAACCUCGGCCGGACUUCCGUACGGGUUACUCUCAGAUAGGCGAUAAACCUGGACUAGGUACUAGUGUGGUUAACGGUCGUGGCCGACUCCCUCGCUGGGCUUCCGCUUGAAGGUUGCCGAGGUGCAUGACGUGCACAUGGCGAUAAGUGGCGGGAGCGUGUGUGACGAAGUACACCCUGCAGGGUUAUGAUCUAUUCGAAUAGCCGCGUCCGCGGAUAUGGACUACUUGGAGACAUAUGUUGUUCAUAGAUAAUUUCAAUGGCUACUCAUAAAAUUGUCAAGAUAAGCGUGAGUGUCGUGGACGGCAUUUCCGUAUGGAGACGGAAUGAUUCCACGAUAGUGUAUUGUUGUGGUGUUAGUGGACUCGUGUGCGAGAAAUCAAGUUGUCAAAACUAAUUUCAAAAAGCAAGUUGUCUAGCCACGAGUCAAAUGCUGGCUUCCCGCAUGAAACCCCACAAUACCUUCUUGAUACCUUGCAUGAGUAGUUAGCCAUCCUAAAGUCUUGCUGAGUACCUUCGUACUCAUGUUUGCUUAAUAAUGUUGCAGAGGUUGCUAAUGACCCUAAUGGAGGGUUCUUCGUAGACAUCGACGACGAAGAGUAGCUGGUGUCCCAGCUACNNNNNNNNNNNNNNNNNNNNNNNNNNNNNNNNNNNNNNNNNNNNNNNNNNNNNNNNNNNNNNNNNNNNNNNNNNNNNNNNNNNNNNNNNNNNNNNNNNNNUAAGUUGUCUAUCAUCCCAGAAAAAAUAAAAAAGAGAAGUUUUCGUCGCGUUUUCGAUACGGAGGCGCCGCCACCACCUGUUCUUCAUCUGGAGGGCAGAUCUGGAGUCCGUCUUGGGCUCCGGAGAGGGGAAAUCGUCGCCAUCGUCAUCAUCAACCUUCCUCCCUCUCCAAUUCCACUAAGCUCUUCGUCAUUCGUGAGUAAUCUAUUCAUAGGCUCGCUGGGCGGUGAUGAGUAGGAUGAGAUCUAUCAUGUAAUCGAGUUAGUUUUGAUGGGGAUUGAUCCCUAGUAUCCACUGUGUUCUGAGAUUGAUGUUGCUACUACUUUGCCAUGCUUAAUACUUGUCACUAGGGCUCAAGUGCCAUGAUUUCAGAUCUGAAAUUAUUAUGUUGCCACCAAUAUAUGUGUGUUUUAGAUCCGAUCUUGCAAGUUGUAGUUACCUACUAUGUGUUAUGAUCCGGCAACCCCGGAGUGACAAUAACCGGAACCACUCCCGGUGAUGACCAUAGUUUGAGGAGUUCAUGUGUUCACUAAGUGCUAAUGCGUUGGUCCGAUUCUUUAUUAAAAGGAUAACCUUAAUAUCUCGUAGUUUGCUUUUGGACCCCGCUGCCACGGGAGGGAUGGACAAUAGAUGUCAUGCAAGUUCUUUUCCCUAAGCACGUAUGACGACACACGGAAUGCAUGCCUACAUCACACUGAUGAACGGGAGCUAGCCACUUAUCUCCCCGUGUUAUAGCUGUUGCAUGAUGAAUAUCAUCCAAACAAAUGAGUGACCCAUUGCCUACGAGUUUGUCCUACUACUGUUGUUACUUGUCUUGCUCUGCUGCUACUACUGUUGCUACUGCUGUUACUUGUCUUGCUCUGCUGCUGCUACUACUAUUGUCAUCCAAACAAAUCACCGACCCAUUGCCUACGAGUUUGUCCUACUACUGUUGUUACUUGUCUUGCUCUGCUGCUACUACUGUUGCUACUGCUGUUACUUGUCUUGCUCUGCUGCUGCUACUACUGUUGCUACUGAUGUUACUUGUCUUGCUCUGCUGCUGCUACUACUGUUGCUACUGCUGUUACUUGUCUUGCUCUACUGCUGCCACUACUGUUGCUUGCUACUGAUUACUUGUCUUGCUCUGCUGCUACUACUCUUGCUACUUCUGUUACUUGUCUUGCUCUGCUGCUGCUACUACUGUUGCUACUGCUGUUACUUGUCUUGCUCUGCUGCUGCUACUACUGUUGCUACUGCUGUUACUUGUCUUGCUCUGCUGCUGCUACUACUGUUGCUACUGCUGUUACUUGUCUUGCUCUGCUCUACUUGCUACUGUUGUCACUACUGUUGUUCCUUGCCACUGCUAUUGCUCGUUACACUGCUACUACCUGCUACACUGUCGAUUCGCCAGACCGUUGACGGGAAUUGACAACUUCCGUCAACGCGGCAACAAAAGCGCCAUUGAUACAAUCGUUAGGAAUAGUCUACCGUCAACAGAUCGUUUCUGACACCGUUGUUAUCAUAUUACUUUGCUAUUACUACUGUGCUUGCAGAUACUAAUCUUUCAGGUGUGGUUGAAUCCNNNNNNNNNNNNNNNNNNNNNNNNNNNNNNNNNNNNNNNNNNNNNNNNNNNNNNNNNNNNNNNNNNNNNNNNNNNNNNNNNNNNNNNNNNNNNNNNNNNNAGUAUUCUCUCACCUCCUUCAGGCGAUCUACAAAUUUGGGUUGAAUACUCUACCCUCGAAAAUUGCUACGAACCCACGCACUGGUGGGCCAUCAACAACAUUAUUCCAGUUUCAUUGCUGGGGAGUGCUAUCAGCAUUCUUCUGGUGCCAUUGCAGGAGAAGUUUUGUUGUCAUAAGCAUUCGUCUAGUUAACGCCACAGAAUGCGCAAUCAGCAUUUUUCUGGCGCCGUUGCCGGGGAGGUAUUGCUAUAUUCUCUGAGUCACUUGGGAUUUAUAUCUGCUGAUCACUAUGAAGAAUCUGAAGGAUCCAAAAACCAAAGUCUUUCCCUCCAAUUACGAGGGUAGGUAAGGAAUUGCCAUCUAGCUCUGCACUUCAUUCACCUUCAGUUAUGAGUAAGUUUGCGACAUCACCUCCUGCUAGAAAUCUUGAUAUGUCGCCUGUGCUUGAUGAUGCUUGUGAUACUACUGCUAGAGAUGCUAUGCUUGAUACUAUGUCUGAUACUGCUAGAGAUGCUAUGCUUGAUACUAUGCCUGAUACUGUUAGAGAUUCUAUGCUUGAUACUGCUUUGCCUGAUGAUGCUAGAGAUGCUAUUUUGCCUGAUGAUGCUAUGCUUGAUACUGCUAGAGAUACUCCUUUGCCUGAUGUUCCACUAGGAGUGUUCCGUGAUGCUCAUAUUGCUAGAGUUACUGCCAAUGCACGUGAUGCUUCUGAUACUGCCGAUACUAUUGAGAUAGAACCUGCUUUUGCUCCUGCUAGAUCUAGCUCUCCUAGAUAUGAACUGCCUGAUAUACCUGAGGGUUACGUUAUGGAGGGAGAGAUAGCUAAGGAUUUUCUUGCGUGUAAGNNNNNNNNNNNNNNNNNNNNNNNNNNNNNNNNNNNNNNNNNNNNNNNNNNNNNNNNNNNNNNNNNNNNNNNNNNNNNNNNNNNNNNNNNNNNNNUGAAAAAUCUCGUGAAGCUAGGAUGAAAAAUGACCCGAAGUUUGCCACUUCGCCUAUCUUUGUCACCGAUAAGGAUUAUGAAUUCUCUGUCAACCCUGAGAUAAUCUCUCUAGUCAAAUCUGAUCCUUUUGACGGUUAUGAGUCUGAGACGGUCAUAGCCCAUCUUGCCAAACUAUCCGAAAUAGCCAACUUUUUCACUAAUGAGGAGAAGAUCCACCACUACUAUAUCCUUAANNNNNNNNNNNNNNNNNNNNNNNNNNNNNNNNNNNNNNNNNNNNNNNNNNNNNNNNNNNNNNNNNNNNNNNNNNNNNNNNNNNNNNNNNNNNNNNNNNNNAUUCCCCAACGUGUCUUCGGUAGCUUCGCAUAUAUGUGGCUGAGAAUAAGAAGUUCAAGAAUUCGAAAAGUAGAUGGAAGAGGAGAUGUUGAUGAAUGGAUUACCAAGUCGACGUCGCCAAAGCCAACAUCGUAGUUGCCCCCGAGGUUGCUUACGAUGGCGAGGCCGCCGNNNNNNNNNNNNNNNNNNNNNNNNNNNNNNNNNNNNNNNCGCCCGCCGCUCCUGCCGCCCCUGCCGCGGCCACACUGCCUGAGCCUGACCGAGCACGUCGCCCGGCGAGGCCUCCUCCUCGAGUCCCCGGCGAACAGGCUCGUGCUUGAGCUGCUCCCCACCCCCACGCGCCUCCUCGCGAGCACUGCCAUCGCCUUGCCGCCCUCCGCCCUCACGUCGACCGUGGUCACCGCGCCCACCCCCGGCAUCACCUGAACUCCGGUCAUCCUCGAUCAAUGGAGCAGCUAAUGAAUUCCUUGGCUCGUGUCAGUAUGUGGUAUAUAAAAACCAAGGGAGGAGCAAGUAAGUGGCCGGCGGAGGAAGAAGAGGUGGUGUUGAACUGCUGCUUCCUCCUGGCCCGGGUCGUCGUGGCUGGCGCUGGCUUGGCCGCGACGCUCACCAACCAAUUUUUCUGAGGCCCAGGAGGCGCGCGGUUUUCAGCUUAGCACCACCAGGGAAAACCCCCACGCCGGGCGGACACGCGGCGUCGACCGGUUGGCGCGACGGGCCACGGAGCUGGAGAUUCAAGAAUUCCAUGGUAAAUUUGGCACGAGGAAGAUUCAGAAAAUGGAAUUCUCGUGUGACCCCGCGCGUCAUUUGACAAGCUGGUAGUAGCACGCACGGCGCCUUGCGUGUGUGGACCAGGGAGACGAGAGGCUCCUCCUCUCGUGUGGAUUCUGUGAAUCUGAAACCAAAACUUGGGAGGAAUCUGAAUUCUGAACGGGAGACCCAGAGCAGGCCACGGCGCGGCCGCCGAGCGGUUGCCUGCCCGGGUGCAUACAGAGUGUCUGACUUUUCCUUCCAGCCAGUUACAGUAGGAGUGCCAUGUUUGAUGUUUCUCUCAGCUCGUUUCGUUAANNNNNNNNNNNNNNNNNNNNNNNNNNNNNNNNNNNNNNNNNNNNNNNNNNNNNNNNNNNNNNNNNNNNNNNNNNNNNNNNNNNNNNNNNNNNNNNNNNNNUCGUGCGCGUAGGAAAAUUUUUGUUUCCCAUGCGACGUUCCCCAACACCUCCCUCCUCCUAUAUAUACUAGAGGUUUAGGGCUUUUGAGACACAACUUUUUCCACGUGCAACCCUAAACCUCUACUUCGUAGUUCUUCCUCUAGAUCAGUUUUCUACGGNNNNNNNNNNNNNNNNNNNNNNNNNNNNNNNNNNNNNNNNNNNNNNNNNNNNNNNNNNNNNNNNNNNNNNNNNNNNNNNNNNNNNNNNNNNNNNNNNNNNNNNNNNNNNNNNNNNNNNNNNNNNNNNNNNNNNNNNNNNNNNNNNNNNNNNNNNNNNNNNNNNNNNNNNNNNNNNNNNNNNNNNNNNNNNNNNNNNNNNNNNNNNNNNNNNNNNNNNNNNNNNNNNNNNNNNNNNNNNNNNNNNNNNNNNNNNNNNNNNNNNNNNNNNNNNNNNNNNNNNNNNNNNNNNNNNNNNNNNNNNNNNNNNNNNGUAUGUGGAUCCGAUCUCCCUCUCGUAGAUGAUCAUCACCAUGAUAGGUCUUCGUGUGCGUAGGAAAUUUUUUGUUUCCCAUGCAACGUUCCCCAAAAGUUAAAAUUCCUUUAAAACCCAAUGAGAAAAUAAGGAGAAAAUGAUACAACAUAUAAUGGUUAUUGUCUCUUUGGNNNNNNNNNNNNNNNNNNNNNNNNNNNNNNNNNNNNNNNNNNNNNNNNNNNNNNNNNNNNNNNNNNNNNNNNNNNNNNNNNNNNNNNNNNNNNNNNNNNNNNNNNNNNNNNNNNNNNNNNNNNNNNNNNNNNNNNNNNNNNNNNNNNNNNNNNNNNNNNNNNNNNNNNNNNNNNNNNNNNNNNNNNNNNNNNNNNNNNNNNNNNNNNNNNNNNNNNNNNNNNNNNNNNNNNNNNNGGGAAAACGAGUGCAAUAUAAUGUUUGAACGGGUUAUUUUUCAGAGAGAAACUCCCCCUGAUCUGUGCAAAUCCCGAAGUCGUCGCAUACCUAUCCCAUGAACACAUUUUCAAAUGUUGAAGCUGGGAGUGAUUUUGUAAAUAGGUCAGCGAGAUUAUCGCACGAUUUACUUGCAAAAUGUUUAUCUUCCCUUUCUUCUGUAAUUGAUGGGNNNNNNNNNNNNNNNNNNNNNNNNNNNNNNNNNNNNNNNNNNNNNNNNNNNNNNNNNNNNNNNNNNNNNNNNNNNNNNNNNNNNNNNNNNNNNNNNNNNNNNNNNNNNNNNNNNNNNNNNNNNNNNNNNNNNNNNNNNNNNNNNNNNNNNNNNNNNNNNNNNNNNNNNNNNNNNNNNNNNNNNNNNNNNNNNNNNNNNNNNNNNNNNNNNNNNNNNNNAAGCCAUACACAUUCACGUGACGCUUCAUAUAAUGCGAUUAUUUCAGAAUGAUUGGUGGAUGUAGCCACUAGGGUCUUCUUGGAAGACUUCCAUGAUAUGGCUACCCCACCAUGUAGGAACACGAAACCGGUGUGUGAUCUGGCAUUAUGGAGGUCAGAUAAGUAGCGAACAUCUGUAUACCCAAUCAAAUCAAUGUCCAAAUUUCUUUGAAAUUGAAAGAAUAGGCCAAGAUCCUUUGCGUCUUGGAGAUAUCGAAAGAUAUUCUUAACUCCAGUCCAAUGGUGUUUAGUGGGCGUUGCACUAUGCCUAGCCAGUAAAUUCACUACAAAUGCAAUAUCAGGUCUGGUGCAAUUUGCAAGAUACAUGAGCAUUCCAACGGCACCAAGAUAUGGAACUUCCGGUCCUAAUAUCUUUUCUCCAUCAUCCGUUGGUCUAAAUUGAUCUUUCUCUAUGUCUAGAGAUCAAACUACCAAAGGGGUUUUGGAUGGGUAGGAUUUGUCCAUAUUGAAUUUCUUCAAUAUUUUCUGGAUAUAGGCGGUUUGAUGAACCAAAAUACCCGAGGGAAGGUGCUCAAGUUGCAAUCCUAAGCAAAAUUUGGUUUUACCCAAAUCCUUCAUUUCAAAUUCCGUCUUUAAGUGAUUGCGUGCUUCAUCAAUGUCUUCGGUGGUUCCAAUGAUGUUAAGAUCAUCAACAUACACUGAAAUAAUGCAAAAUCCGGUUGCGGACCUUUUUAUGAAAACACAUGGGCAAUCAUCAUUAUUGGAGUAUCCACUUUUCAGAAAGAACUCACUAAGUCGGUUGUACCACAUGCGACCCGACUGUUUUAAGCCGUAUAAAGACUUGUUUAGUUUUACACAAUAUGCGUUGCGUUUUGCAUUUGGAUUCAGGAUUGGGACUCCAUCAGGAACCUUCAUGUAUAUGUCUAUAUCAAGUGAACCGUAAAGGUAAGCGGUCACUACGUCCAUCAACUGCAUAGAUAGACGAUAUUGUACUGCCAUAGAAAUUAGGUAUCGGAAAGUAAUACCACUCAUUACUGGAGAGUAUGUUUCAUUGAAAUCAAUGUCUGGUCUCUGCGUGAAACCUUGGGCUACAAGCCUUGCUUUAUAUCUCACCACCUCGUUGUUCUCGUUUCUUUUACGGACGAAAACCCAUUUGAAUCCCACAGCGAAAACUCUGGGAGGUGUAGGUAUUGCUUCAGUGAAUACCUUUCGUUUAUUGAGCGAGGCUAACUCUACUUGGAUUGCAUCCUUCCAUUUAGGCCAGGCGGAGAGUUUCUUGCACUCUGCCAUGGUCUUUGGAUCAUGAUCAUUUAGAAGGUUGUCUGCAACUGUAGUUGAGAAAUAUAUGUCGACAAUAGUAGACUUACGAUUGUAACAUUCUCCAGAAUCCAUAUAGUUGGUGGAAAUUUCAUUUACCCAUGGUCGUGAUUUCCCAAUACGAUUAAGUCAGGGUUUUCCGAUGAUNNNNNNNNNNNNNNNNNNNNNNNNNNNNNNNNNNNNNNNNNNNNNNNNNNNNNNNNNNNNNNNNNNNNNNNNNNNNNNNNNNNNNNNNNNNNNNGUCGUUCUUCCACUGGGUGUUCAUUACCCAUUUGAUGAUUAUCAACGCUAGGUUGAUUUACAUUUACUGGUUCAGAAGGUUUCUUCCCCUGUUUCCUUUGUUGCUUGCGAGAAGUUGAAUAAUGUUCUGUGGUCGUAUUUCUCCCCCUCUUGCUUUGAAUAGGGGGUUGAGUGGUUUUUGUUGGUACCUCCACUCUUUCGGGCGCAUUUCNNNNNNNNNNNNNNNNNNNNNNNNNNNNNNNNNNNNNNNNNNNNNNNNNNNNNNNNNNNNNNNNNNNNNNNNNNNNNNNNNNNNNNNNNNNNNNNNNNNNCCGUACAGCAGAAGCGUUAGUGAACGCGGUUGAUGUAGUGGAACGUCCUCACGUCCCUCGAUCCGCCCCGCGAACAAUCCCGCGAUCAGUCCCACGAUCUAGUACCGAACGGACGGCACCUCCGCGUUCAGCACACGUACAGCUCUACGAUGAUCUCGGCCUUCUUGAUCCAGCAAGAGAGACGGAGAGGUAGAAGAGUUCUCCGGCAGCGUGGCGGCGCUCCGGAGGUUGGGGAUNNNNNNNNNNNNNNNNNNNNNNNNNNNNNNNNNGGUGACGGCGCUCCGGAGGUUGGUGAUGAUCUUGUCUCAGCAGGGCUCCGCCCGAGCUCCGCAGAAACGCGAUCUAGAGGAAAAACUAUGGAGGUAUGUGGUCGGGCAGCCGUGAGAAAAGUCGUCUCAAAUCAGCCCUAAAACCUCCGUAUAUAUAGGUGGGAGGGAGGGGAGGAGGCAGCCUCAAAACCUAAAGGUUUGGCCGAAAUUGGAGGUGGAGGAGUCCUACUCCAAUCCUACUUGGAGUAGGAUUCCACCUUCCCACUUGGAAACUCUUUCCACCUUGUGUUUUUUCCUUCUCAAACCUUAUGGGCCUUAGUGGGAACUUAUUCCAAUCCACUAGGGGCUGGUUUAUCUCUUCCCAUAGCCCAUGAGACCCCUUGGGGCGUGACACCCCUCCCGAUGGUCCCCGGCACCCCUCCCGGCCCUCCCGGUACACUACCGAUGAGCCCGAAACUUUUCCGGUAAUGCACGAAAACCUUCCGGUAACCAAAUGAGGUCAUCCUAUAUAUCAAUCUUCGUUUCCGGACCAUUCCGGAAACCCUCGUGACGUCCGUGAUCUCAUCCGGGACUCCGAACAACAUUCGGUAACCAACCAUAUAACUCAAAUACGCAUAAAACAACGUCGAACCUUAAGUGUGCAGACCCUGCGGGUUCGAGAACUAUGUAGACAUGACCCGAGAGACUCCUCGGUCAAUAUCCAAUAGCGGGACCUGGAUGCCCAUAUUGGAUCCUACAUAUUCUACGAAGAUCUUAUCGUUUGAACCUCAGUGCCAAGGAUUCAUAUAAUCCCGUAUGUCAUUCCCUUUGUCCUUCGGUAUGUUACUUGCCCGAGAUUCGAUCGUCAGUAUCCGUAUACCUAUUUCAAUCUCGUUUACCGGCAAGUCUCUUUACUCGUUCCGUAAUACAAGAUCCCGCAACUUACACUAAGUCACAUUGCUUGCAAGGCUUGUGUGUGAUGUUGUAUUACCGAGUGGGCCCCGAGAUACCUCUCCGUAAGGCUUGUGUGUGAUGUUGUAUUACCGAGUGGGCUCCGAGAUACCUCUCCGUCAUACGGAGUGACAAAUCCCAGUCUUGAUCCAUGCCAACCCAACAGACAUCUUUGGAGAUAUCUGUAGAGCACCUUUAUAGUCACCUAGUUAUGUUGCGACGUUUGAUAACCCACAAGGUAUUCCUCCAGUGUACGGGAGUUGCAUGAUCUCAUGGUCAUAGGAACAGAUACAUUGAUAUGCAGAAAACAAUAGCAAUAAACUGACACGAUCAUAUGCUAUGUUUAUAGUUUGGGUCUUGUCCAUCACAUCAUUCUCCCAAUGAUGUGAUCCCGUUAUCAAGUGACAACACUUGUCUAUGGUCAGGAAACCUUGACCAUCUUUGAUCAACGAGCUAGUCAACUAGAGGCUUACUAGGGACAAUGAUUUGUCUAUGUAUAUACACAUGUAUUACUACCCUAGCCUACUCACUGAAAGAAACACUUAGUAGCCUGGAAAGAGGUCUAAUACUGCUAUGCAUGCAUGUAUGUGCAUUGGUGUUAGGACAAGGAAGACGAUAUCAAAAAAGAAAAGAAAGAAGGAGAAGGAAGACGAUGCAUGGGUCGAAGCGGCCUAACUCAUGGUGGCAUACUCCUUCAUGUCGUGACCUGUCAUAUCUGAUAGGGCUCCGGUGAUGAUCGUCAUAUCCAAAGACGGCACAGGGUUGUCCCGGACUGAAGCACGCGACCUUUAAACUCGAUCCAACGAGGAACAGUACUCAUCGGGAGUCCAUGUUCAAUACAUAGAUGUAACAUACUUAGCAAUGAAGUUUAGCUUGAAAACUAAUGUAUGCAAAGGAUGCACUGAGGACAAAUAGUAAAAAUAUUACCAUCUUUACUAAAUAUAUUUGACUGUUGUUUAAUACGCACACUAGUGGUCGCACAUUUUGAGUACUAAUAUCUCGAAGUCCAGGAAAAUACUCCUACUUUCAGGAAACUGGAGGCAACUACCAGGAAACUUAUAUGACAGAUCACUAUUACUCAAUAUGCAACGGCAACAUGGUGGACAGUCCCUCACCGAAUUUUCGACCGUCGAUGAUGGUCGCUAUUCCUACUUCCCCUAGUGCAUAACAAAUAUCUAGCACAAGGAGAAGGAGGAGGAGCGACCCCCAGGACAACAGUCGGCAUUCUUCUUCUCCCACAUAUGGUGGACAGUCCAUGACCGAUUUUUUGACCGUCGAUGAUGGUCGCUACUCCUACUUCCCCUAGUGCAUAACAAAUAUCUAGCACAAGGAGAAGGANNNNNNNNNNNNNNNNNNNNNNNNNNNNNNNNNNNNNNNNNNNNNNNNNNNNNNNNNNNNNNNNNNNNNNNNNNNNNNNNNNNNNNNNNNNNNNNNNNNNCUUCAACUAAAACUCAUGCUGAGGUAGAGGCUGAGGCUGAGGCUGAGGCAGCCAUAGCCACUAGUGUUCUAGUGCCCAAGACCAACAGUGGUCAGAUGUCAUUUCUUAUCAGCACCAUCCAAGGGAUGGAAAAGAACAUCAAAGACAUUCUGCUGAAUCAGAAGAGCCUUGAGCGGAAAAUGGAAACAAAACUUCAUGACCUGGAUAUCAAGGUGACUGAGGUGACUACUACGGCCAACCAGUUGAAGUAGGAGGUAGAUCCAUUUCCUGCUCCUAGCUCCACUGAGAUGAUGAUAGUCCUCCUCUCUAGACACGCACUUAGUUCAGGACACAUGCUAGAUCUUCUGUCGUGCCAGUUCCAGAGUCGAGACCAUCUUCAUCACCUCCAUCGGCUCCUACACGUCCAAUGUCUACACCAUCACCUGAGAGAAAAUCAUGUGAAGCCUUCGACGAUGCUCUUCUAUCGAUUCCUUCCACAACUACAGGAGGAGACCGUUCCGAGAACGACGCUUACCUCUAUACCUUUGAACUUUUUUGGUAACUUGUUGCCAAAGGGGUAGAAGUGUAUAGACCAUAGGGAUUCGAGAGAGCGUGUGUUGCAUUUUGGUUGCUCUCUUUGGUUUCUUAAAACAUUUCGUUUAUCGUGUGGAUGUCUUAAAACCUUGUUGUGAUUGAUCAUAUGCUUUAUGUUUGAUGCUACUACUUCCUAUCUUUGAGAUAUCUAUGUGAUGAUAAUUCGCUCAUUAUUGGUGUUAUGUGCAUUAUAAUCCACUCAUAUCAUUUACAUGCACCAACAAGAUGUAUGUGACAUGGAAGAGUGGCCCAUGAUCCUAAUCGAUUGUCCAUUUGCAUUCNNNNNNNNNNNNNNNNNNNNNNNNNNNNNNNNNNNNNNNNNNNNNNNNNNNNNNNNNNNNNNNNNNNNNNNNNNNNNNNAUUGCACAAAUUUAGUGGGAGCUCUUGGUUAUCACACACUUCUCAAAGCGGUGAUGCUAUUCAUUGAUUAUAAUUUAUGUCGAAGCUUUGAUCUAUAUGUUGUCAUCAAUUACCAAAAAGGGGGAGAUUGAAAGCACAACUUCUCCCUAGGUGGUUUUGGUAAUUAAUAACAACAUAUAUGUCAUUGGGCUAAUGAUUCUACCAAAUAUAUUUCAGGAAAAGUUCAAUGAAUGGAUUGGCUAAGGAUUGUGAGGAGAUCCCCUAGAUUCAAGGAACGUCUAUUAGCAAGAAGCUUCAAGACUCUACAUUUUUCAUUUUGUGAGAAAUCACACUUGAGUCCAUAGGAAAGCCGAUACUAUUNNNNNNNNNNNNNNNNNNNNNNNNNNNNNNNNNNNNNNNNNNNNNNNNNNNNNNNNNNNNNNNNNNNNNNNNNNNNNNNNNNNNNNNNNNNNNNNNNNNNGGGAAAUUGCUCCUUGGUAAGUGACUCCUCCAUUGGUCCAAUUAGUUUUUGCUCUAGUGCUUUAUCCUUCGCGAAUUCUUGCUACCUUGGUGACCCUGUCCUUGAGCUAGAAAAGUUGAUUUUAGCUGGUCCCAAGUAGUUUUAGCGCGUGAUACGGUCUCUAGGCACUGGUAGGAGUAGUUGCUACAAGGUAUGGUUGGUCCUCAUUCACUUUUCUCUUGAACUUCAAAAAUUUCAGCAAAAGGAAAUUAUGUUCAGGAGGAAGUUUCAUGGUGGUUCCUCAAGUAAGAAGGGUCCUCGUCUCUCCUUUCGGGAGCCCGAACCUUUUCAACUAAGGGACGCACCGGUGCAACCAUGUGAAUGGCCUUCUGAUGAGUUCAUGAUCGAAGCAGGCUUCAAGGAUGAGUUUGAUGCACUUGUCCGCAAUGCCGGGUUAGAAGAAUUCCUCUCAGAUAAAUGUGAACAGUAUGCUAUGCUCACUGCCUAUUUCGUGCGUAGAUUUAAAUUUUUAGUUGGCCGUGAAUCAUCCAUACUGUUUGAUCUGUACGAUAAAUCCUAUACCGUGGGUCUGGAGGAUUUCAAUAGGAUUUGCAAGAUACCCGAUGGAGGUAGUAUUAAUGAUCCUCUUAAGUCUUCGGUGAGAGACUUUGUCUCCAGUAUAACUGUUGGAGAAACCAGUGAUAUCACGCAAGCCACCAUAGGAAGCAUCCAUUUCCCUGCCUUGCACUACCUUGCCCUCUUCAUAGGUAGGUGCAUUAACGGCAAGGGUGCACAUUGUCACCUAUGCGCUUCCGACCUUAGUAUCCUUAAGAGCGCAGUAACAGGUGACAGGAGCUUCAAUAUGGGAGCUAUAAUAGCAAGGAGGCUGAAUAAAAAUGCCACUGAGGGGGAUUUCUUUGGUGGAGUUUAUGCUACACGCUUAGCAAAUUUUCUUGGAGUAUCCAUCCGUCCAGAAGACCCUCCUCUCCGUACAGCCUACCUUGAUCGUGUCGCUCUAACACGCUACCAGUUCCUUGAGAGAAAUCAUGGAUCCCUCCUAUACCGCUUGAUACUUAACCGACAGCGUGUUUUCCAUAUUACCCUUCCUGCUCCUGCUUUCUUUGACUUUCAGGUUAAACGAAGAUACUACAUAANNNNNNNNNNNNNNNNNNNNNNNNNNNNNNNNNNNNNNNNNNNNNNNNNNNNNNNNNNNNNNNNNNNNNNNNNNNNNNNNNNNNNNNNNNNNNNNNNNNNNNNNNNNNNNNNNNNNNNNNNNNNNNNNNNNNNNNNNNNNNNNNNNNNNNNNNNNNNNNNNNNNNNNNNNNNNNNNNNNNNNNNNNNNNNNNNNNNNNNNNNNNNNNNNACCUAAGCUUGGGGGAGUACGUGUUCUCACCGACUUUACAUUCAUGCUUAUGCUUUCACUUUGUUAGCCGGUGUUUACACUUUGCCACUGUAUUAUCCAUGCUAGUUUCUUUUUGUUUUCUUGUUUUGUGUCCUUUUGAGAAAACUCAAAAAGAUAUUUCUUUCUUCUUUUGCUUGUUGGGAGCUUUCCCGUGUAAACAGUUUUCUUUUUCUUUGUGUCAAGGUAGAAGAUAUUGGUUACAAUGUUUAUUGGUUCUUGCAUGCUUACCUGUUUAGCUUUCAAAGAGCCAUAUUAUUUUGUCUUCUCCUUUGUGUUUGCCUGCAGAUUCAGCUUAGUCCAAUGCGCUUAUUAUUGUUCACAUCGUUCGAUCGUGCAAAUGACAGGCAACAAUGAUGAUAUAUGAUGAAGUGACUGAGACUGAAAAGCUGGUAUGAACUCUGUCUAUUUUGUUUUUGUAAAUAUGACUAGCUUGUCGAUCCAGAUUUAGCUUUGUUGUGAGAGAACCAUGUUUGCAAUGACAACUUAGAGAUCAUAGUUUCUGAUGCCAUGCUNNNNNNNNNNNNNNNNNNNNNNNNNNNNNNNNNNNNNNNNNNNNNNNNNNNNNNNNNNNNNNNNNNNNNNNNNNNNNNNNNNNNNNNNNNNNNNNNNNNNAAGAGUUUCUCUCGAAAGAAGUAAGUGGGAGGAAAGUAGAACUUGAUGAGGUAAUUACACCCCCUCUCGAACAGGAUAGUAGUGCAGCGCGGGAAGUUGUUCCUAUGGCGCCUACACCAACUGAAGAGGAAGUUAAUGAUGAUGAUCAUGAAGCUUCGGAUCAAGUUACUACUGAACCGCGAAGGUCCACAAGGGCACGCUCCGCACCAGAGUGGUACGGCAACCCUGUGAUGGAAACCAUGUUGUUAGACAGNNNNNNNNNNNNNNNNNNNNNNNNNNNNNNNNNNNNNNNNNNNNNNNNNNNNNNNNNNNNNNNNNNNNNNNNNNNNNNNNNNNNNNNNNNNNNNNNNNNNNNNNNNNNNNNNNNNNNNNGGAGGCUAUGAAAUCCGAGAUAGGAUCCAUGUAUGAGAACAAAGUAUGGACUUUGGUGCACUUGCCUGAUGACCGGCAAGCCAUAGAAAAUAAAUGGAUCUUCAAGAAGAAGACUGAUGCAAACGGUAAUGUAACCGUUUAUAAAGCUCGACUUGUCGCAAAGGGUUUUCGACAAAUUCAAGGAGUUGACUACGAAGAGACUUUCUCUCUCAUAGCGAAGCUGAAAUUAGUCCGAAUCAUGUUAGCAAUUGUCGCCUUUUAUGAUUAUGAAAUUUGGCAAAUGGACGUCAACACAGCGUUUCUUAACGGGAACCUCAAGGAAGAGUUGUAUAUGAUGCAACCAGAAGGUUUUGUCGACCCUAAGGGUUCUAACAAAGUGUGCAAGCUCCAGCGCUCCAUCUAUGGGCUGGUGCAAGCAUCUCGGAGUUGGAACAUUCGCUUUAAUGAGGUAAUUAAAGCGUUUGGGUUCAUACAGGUUUACGGAGAAGCCUGUGUGUACAAGAAAGUGAGUGGGAGCUCUGUAGCUUUCCUCAUACUGUAUGUGGAUGACAUAUUAUUGAUGGGGAAUAAUAUAGAGAUGUUGGAGAGCAUAAAGGCCUAUUUGAACAAAAGUUUUUCAAUGAAGGACCUUGGANNNNNNNNNNNNNNNNNNNNNNNNNNNNNNNNNNNNNNNNNNNNNNNNNNNNNNNNNNNNNNNNNNNNNNNNNNNNNNNNNNNNNNNNNNNNNNNNNNNNUGGAAAGUUGCGGUCCGUAGCGAGAUGGAUUCCAUCAUGGCUAAUGGGACAUGAGAAAUUACUGAUCGUCCCUAUGGUUGUAAACCACUGGGAUGCAAGUGUGUGUUCAAAAGGAAGCUUAGGCCCGAUGGUACAAUCAAAAAGUACAAGGCUAGGCUUGUGGCUAAGGGCUAUGCCCACAAAGAAGAAGAAGAUUUCUUUGACACUUAUUCACCUGUGUCCAGACUGACCACCAUUCGAGUACUACUCUCAUUGGCAGCCUCGCAUGGUCUUCUUGUUCAUCAAAUGGACGUUAAGACGGCUUUCCUGAACAGAGAGCUAGACGAGGGAAUCUAUAUGCAACAGCCAGAUGGCUUUGUGAUAGAUGGUCAGGAAGGAAAAGUGUGUAAGUUGUUGAAAUUUUUAUAUGGCCUGAAGCAAGCACCUAAGCAAUGGCAUGAUAAGUUUAAUACAACUCUGAAAUCUGUUGGAUUCGCUAUUAAUGAAGCUGAGAAGUGUGUAUACUAUUGCCAUGGUGGGAGCGAAGGAGUUAUACUGUGCGUGUAUGUUGAUGACAUGCUGAUAUUUGGAACCAAUCUCAAGGUGAUUGAGGAGGUUAAGUACUUUCUGUCUCAAAACUUUGAGAAGAAGGACCUUGGAGUAGGUGAUGUUAUCUUGAACAUGAAGCUCUUGAGAGAUGAUGAGGGUGGGAUUACACUUCUGCAACCCCACUAUGUUGAUAAGAUUUUGAGUCACUUUGGAUAUUCAGACUGCAAAAUUUCUCAAACACCAUAUGAUCCUAGUGUGCUGAUUCGAAUGUUCAAAGGCACAACUAUAGAUCAAUUGAGAUUCUCUCAAAUUAUCGGCUCACUUAUGUAUCUAGAUAGCGCAACGAGGCCUGACAUCGCAUUUGCUAUGAGCAAACUUAGCCAGUUUGUUGCAAACCCGUGCAAUGUUCAUUGUUGUGGUGUUGAAAGAAUUAUGCGCUACCUGAAAGGUACUGUCAACCACGGACUUCACUGUACGGGAUACCCAUCGGUACUUGAAGGGUAUAGUGAUGCGAAUUGGAUCUCUGAUGCUGAUGAGAUGAAGGCCACUACUGGGUAUAUGUUUACUCUUGGAGGUGGUGUUGUUUCCUGGAAGUCUUGCAAGCAAACGAUCUUAACGAGAUCGACAAUGGAAGCAGAAUUAACAACAUUAGACACAUCUGGUGUCGAAGCAGAAUUUCUUCGAGAUCUUUUGAUGGACUUACCUGUGGUUGAGAAGCNNNNNNNNNNNNNNNNNNNNNNNNNNNNNNNNNNNNNNNNNNNNNNNNNNNNNNNNNNNNNNNNNNNNNNNNNNNNNNNNNNNNNNNNNNNNNNNNNNNNCCGCUGGCUUCAACUGCCUGGAGGUAUAAGCAACCACUUUCUUCUCUUGCAUCAGAACUGCACCAAGACCUUGAAGAGAGGCGUCGCAGAACACCUGAUAAGGCUUGGAAUCAUCCGGAGGAACCAAUACUGGAGUAGAGGUGAGCUUCUCUUGGAGUGUGUCGAAGGCCAACUGACACUCUCGAGACCAAGCAUACUUCACACCCUUCUGAAGAAUACUUGAGAGUGGCUUAGCAAUCUUGGAGAAGUUCUCAACGAACCUUGUACAAUAGCUUGCGAGCCUGAGAAAGCUUCGAAGCUGCUUCAUAUUCUGCGGAGGCUCCCAUUCAAUAAUGGCAUGUACCUUCAACAGAUCAACUUUGAUGCCCUCGGCAGAGAUAAUGUGACAAAGAUAGACGACUUACUUCAACCAGAACUCACACUUGGAAAACAUGGCAUACAAUUUGUACUCCCUCAGCUUAUCAAGCACCAAUCUGAGAUGUUCUUCAUGUUCUUCCUCAGUUUCAGAAAAGACCAGAAUGUCGUCGAGAUAGAGCAAGACAAAGUCAUUCUUGAACGGAGAGUAUAUGUAGUUCAUCAAUCGACAAAAUGUCGGAGGAGCAUUUGCCAGACCAAAAGACAUGACAGUAUACUCAUAUGAGCCAAAACUAGUCCUGAAAGCAGUCUUCGGAAUAUCCUCUUCGCGAAUGCGAAUUUGAUGAUAGCCCAUUCUGAGAUCGAGCUUGGAGAAGAUCUUAGCCCCGUUCAAUUGUUCGAACAACUCAGCUAUGUUCGGAAGUGGAUACUUGUUCCUGAUUGUCUUCUUGUUCAAUGGACGGUAAUCGACACACAACCAGUCCGUGCCAUCCUUCUUCUUGACAAAUCUCCACAGCCCCACGGAGACGAGCUCGGUCUGAUCAGACCCAAACGCUCCUGCUCAUCGAGUUGCCUCUUAAGCUCCUUCAACUCUUCUGACCCAAUUUGUACGGCCGUUUGCACACAGGCUCAGUACCUAGUUCAAGCUCAAUGACAAAUUCAACUUCUCGGUGUGGAGGCAUGCUUGGCAGCUCUUCUGGAAACACAUCUUCAUAUUCGCAGACCACUGGGACUUGAGAAAUAGGAUUAAUCUCACCCUUUUCAUUCAAAGAGAACAGACGGAUUGUAUCAUCGCGCGCCGUGAAUAUAAUCACGUCCUCCGAAGAGUGAGUAAGCUUCACUUCCUUAGCUUCACAAUCAAUCGAUGCCUUGUUCAUGGCCAACUAGUCCAUACCAAGGAUCAAAUCAAUGUCGGAAUUGCCCAAGACAAUAGGAGACGCCAGAAAAGUGUUGGAAUUAUGCCCUAGAGGAGGGCUAGAUUAUUGACUCUAGUGCAAGUGGGAGACUGUUGGAAUUAUGCCCUAGAGGCAAUAAUAAAUAUAGUUAUUAUUAUAAUUCCUGUAUCAAGAUAAUCGUUUAUUAUCCAUGCUAUAAUUGUAUUGAAUGAAGACUCAUUUACAUGUGUGGAUACAUAGACAAAACACCGUCCCUAGCAANNNNNNNNNNNNNNNNNNNNNNNNNNNNNNNNNNNNNNNNNNNNNNNNNNNNNNNNNNNNNNNNNNNNNNNNNNNNNNNNNNNNNNNNNNNNNNNNNNNNUCAAGUGUGGAGCGUGUCCGCACUUGGAGUUGUUUUUAACUUAGGCGAUACGGAGUCGCAGCUAAGUCCCCGAGUGUGGUGCAUGUCCGCACUCGGAGUUGUUUUUUAACUUAGGCGAUACGGAGUCGCAGCUAAGUCCCCGAGUGUGGUGCAUGUCCGCACUCGGAGUUGUUUUUUAACUUAGGCGAUACGGAGUCGCAGCUAAGCCCCCGAGUGUGGAGCAUGUCCGCACUCGGAGUUGUUUUUAACUUAGGCGAUACGGAGUCGCAGCUAAGCCCCCGAGUGUGGAGCAUGUCCUCACUCGGAGUUGUUUUUAACUUAGGUGAUACAGAGUCGCAGCUAAGUCCCCGAGUGUGGAGCAUGUCUGCACUCGGAGUUGUUUUUAACUUAGGCGAUACAGAGUCGCAGCUAAGUCCCCGAGUGUGGAGCAUGUCCGCACUCAGAGUUGUUUUUAACUUAGACGAUACAGAGUCGAGUGUGGAGCAUGUCCGCACUCAGAGUUGUUUUAACUUAGGCGAUACAGAAUCACAGCUAAGCUGAGCGGUGGCGCGUGGGGCAGCCGAAUGAUGAAGACGUGCCACACGGAGUGGCGAUGCGCAUGGCAUCCGAGUGAGGUAGACGAUUCUGGCUGAGUGGCAACGCGCGGGGCGGCCAAGUGAUGUAUGUCGAGGAGGCGUCCGACCCACUGACGGCCCGCGGGGCGGCCGUGUCCACUACGUCAUUGAAGGGGCUUCCGAACACGUGAAAACGCUUGAAUGAUCGUUGCGGCGACUGAGCCUGAGCAGCGACGAGGAUGGCGCACGGAUGCGUCGAGUAACCUGUGUAUGAAAAAUAGCACAAGCCAGCAUAAAAAAUUAUCAAAGUAAUAUGAUCUUUUCUGAAAUAGUUCGUGUAAAUUACACCCAUAGACACCCGCUGGGUGUGCCACGAUGACUGCUGGUUCGGAACCAGCAAGAGUCUAAAAGAGUGAAGGAUCCGGCUGAACUCGUUUGAGUACUGGACCCAAACGAAGCGAAAGCGAAGUGUUCCCACAUAAAAAUAAACAACCGAGUGCAGAGGUACACUCAGUGGUGUGGCCUCCGAGUGAACGUCAUGUGCGACUUCCUCGACACUCGGUAAUGAUUAUUUAAUAGAAUGCAGUCUGUGAAAAAAUGAUUUAGCUGCCUAACGACGCGCGGGGCGGUCGAGCGAAGUAGACACGUCCGGCUGAGUGACGACGUGUUGGGCGGUCAAGCGAUGGAGACGCGUCUAGCUGAGUGGCGACACGCGGGGCGGCCGAGUGACGACGCGCAGAGCAACCAAGUGACGAAGGAGCCUCUAGCCGAGUGACGACACGCGAAGCUGCCAAGUGACGAAAGAGCGUCCAAUCGAGUGGCGGCACACGGAGCUGCUGAGUGACGAAAGAGCAUCCAAUCGAGUGGCGUCACGCGGAGCUGCCGAGUGACGAAGGAGUCUCCAGUCGAGUGAGGAUGGCUUGUCUUGCUGACUGGCGAUGCGCGAAGCUACCGAGUGCUGACGACGGAUCCGAAUGAGGGACGGCGCGCAUGGCGGCUGAGCGCUGACGACGCGUCCGACUGAGUGACGGCAUGCAGGGCGGCCGAGUGAUGACGAGACAUCCGACUAAGGGGCGGCGCGCGGGGCGACCGAGUGCUCACGACGCGUUCGACUGCGUGACGGCAUGCAGGGCGGCCGAGUGAUGACGACGCGUCCGACGGAGUGACGACGCGUGGGGCGGCUGAGUGCGGACGAUGCGUGUCCGACUGAGCGAUAGUGCGCAGAGCGGCCGAGUGAUGACGACGCGUCCGACCGAGCGACAACAUGUAGGACGACCGAGUCACUGCAUGUUGGUCAUUUGUAUGCAAAAUUCAUCUGAAAUAAUUUCUGUUUGUCAACGUGUUAGUAGCUCGAAUGGACAUUCCGUCUCAAUAAACUAUUGUUCGGAGACGAUGACGGACGAGUGGCCAUUAGUAGCAAACGUAGCUUGUCGAAACGGUCAGCCCAUCCUACAAAAUAUUAUGAGCGCCACGUCCUUCCAUUUUCUGUGCUUGAACGCAUUUACAUGCAUGCACCUAAUUCAGGAGGAGGUGUCCCACAUACCUUGCAUGGUUAGAGGAAAAAAUGGCCAUGUCCAGCAGCCAGCGACCGGGAAAGAAAACGUUGCCCGCGUGAAGGCGUGACCCUUCCUGGCUUUUGCGCUGACUCCUUCAAAAGCAUGUCCCACGUCCCUCAGUGAAACGGUUAGCCCACAUUUUUCCCCUUCCCAUUAAUCUGAAUGUUGGAGAUCACCACGUCUCUCUGGUUCUUUUUCCUACGCGCGUUACCUGCAUGCACGUAAUCAAGUAGUGGCUCCCACGUCUAGGGCAUUGAAGGAGUUGCCUCACGUCUUGAAUGAAUGCAUGGAAGAGGCGUUAGUGGAAACGGCNNNNNNNNNNNNNNNNNNNNNNNNNNNNNNNNNNNNNNNNNNNNNNNNNNNNNNNNNNNNNNNNNNNNNNNNNNNNNNNNNNNNNNNNNNNNNNNNNNNNUAGAACAAUGGCUCCAGAAAACCAAUAAACACCCAUUUUGUACAUUGGUAUUUGUCAUCAGAUUAAAAGAAAUGAAACAAUACUUUCUGGGACACUGGUAUGUAGUUCAAGAGUCAUUAUACAUAUCUAGAGAAUACGUUUAGGAAAUCGUUUAUUUUCAACCGGCUGAUAACAGAGACNNNNNNNNNNNNNNNNNNNNNNNNNNNNNNNNNNNNNNNNNNNNNNNNNNNNNNNNNNNNNNNNNNNNNNNNNNNNNNNNNNNNNNNNNNNNNNNNNNNNNNNNNNNNNNNNNNNNNNNNNNNNNNNNNNNNNNNNNNNNNNNNNNNNNNNNNNNNNNNNNNNNNNNNNNNNNNNNNNNNNNNNNNNNNNNNNNNNNNNNNNNNNNNNNNNNNNNNNNNNNNNNNNNNNNNNNNNNNNNNNNNNNNNNNNNNNNNNNNNNNNNNNNNNNNNNNNNNNNNNNNNNNCGCAGCGUCGGCAGGCGCCGCCAUGAUCUUCGUCGCAGCGUCUACCGUGCUCUUCGUCGCAUCAUAGGCCGGCACCACCGUGCUCUUCAUUGCAACGUCUGCGUCAUGUCACGCGAUGCAUAUGAGCCACCUCCAUCACCACCGCGCGCUGCAUCGCAGCAUCUACUGACGAAGCAGCAACAAGCCACCACCGACCGCUGACGCGGUGACGAACGGAGCAUGGCUACUUCUCAUCCCGGCAACCGGUCGUCGCCACCACACGACUGCAUCGCAGCAACCGUUGCCGCUGCCGUGGCCGCAUAGCAGCAACAACCAUCGCCAUCUCGUGCUGCAUAGCAUCAACCGUCGUCGACGUAGCAUGAACCGCCGUCGUCACCGUGCGCUGCGAUGGAGCACCGCCGCGUUGGUGCUGGCGUUGCAAUGAAGCAUCGCGGGCUUCCGUCGGUGUUGGGUGAAACUCUGACGGGCCGCCGGUGCUGCAAUGGAGCUCCGCCGCGGUGGUGCUGUCAUUGGAAUGAAGCAUGCUAGCUUUUCGUCGAUUCCGUGAUGGAGCUGCGAUGGGCUGUCAUGGAGCACCUCCGCGACGGAGGAAUCGAUGUGCUCCUGUAGCUGCAACCCGGAUGCAGGGCGCCGGUCCAGCACUCGUCGGCGCCUAGACUGCUGCAAGAGGAGACGGGGUUGUGGUGCGUGCUGUGAAUGACAAGCUCCAUUAACGAGGGGAAAGGGGGUGCGUCUGCUUCUACUAGUCAGGCGACGCUGCUCCCAUGGCAACGUCCGCCAUUGCUUUCGCUGCGGGCUAAAGGAGAUGAGAAUGAGAUAAGAAUGACGCGUUGACGAAAUCUAACGGCUGUGAGGGGAUGGAUCGGACGGACGGCUAGAAAUCAGUCGGAUGAUUUGUAGCAGCCGCGUUUAACUCAGCCUAAUAGUACCUUUCCUCUUUGAAGACACGAUACUGAUGUCAAACUCUUACNNNNNNNNNNNNNNNNNNNNNNNNNNNNNNNNNNNNNNNNNNNNNNNNNNNNNNNNNNNNNNNNNNNNNNNNNNNNNNNNNNNNNNNNNNNNNNNNNNNNCGCACCAGCCCACCUAGGGGCUGGUUCCCUCCCCCACUUGGCCCACCUUACCUCCCGGGGUCGUUGCCCCCCUUCAGUGGACCCCCGGGGCCACCUCCGGUGGUCCCGGUGGUCCCGGUACGUUACCAGUGAUGCCCGAAACACUUCCGGUGUCCGAAACCAUCCGUCCUAUAUAUCAAUCUUUACCUCCGGACCAUUCUGGAGAUCCUCGUGACGUCCGGGAUCUCAUCCGGGACUCCGAACAACUUUCGGUAACCUCAUAUAACAAUUCCCUAUAACCCUAGCGUCACCGAACCUUAAGUGUGUAGACCCUACGGGUUCGGGAGACAGGCAGGCAUGACCGAGACACCCCUCUGGCCAAUAACCAUCAGCGGGGUCUGGAUACCCAUGGUGGCUCCCACUUGCUCCACGAUGAUCUCAUCAUAUGAACCACGAUGUCAAGGAUUCAAUCAAUCCCGUAUACAAUUCCCUUUGUCUGUCGGUAUAGAACUUGCCCGAGAUUCGAUCGUCGGUAUACCAAUACCUUGUUCAAUCUCGUUACCGGUAAGUCUCUUUACUCGUUCCGUAGCACGUCAUCAUGUGACUAACUCCUUAGUCACAUUGAGCUCAUGAUGAUGUUCUACCGAGUGGGCCCAGAGAUACCUCUCCGUCACACGAAGUGACAAAUCCUGAUCUCGAUUCGUACCAACCCAACACACACUUUCGGAGGUACCCGUAGUGCACCUUUAUAGUCACCCAGAUACACCCAAAGCACUCCUACGGUAUCCGGGAGUUGCACAAUCUCACGGUCGAAGGAAAAGAUACUUGACAUUAGAAAAGCUUUAGCACACGAACAAUACGAUCUAGUGCUAUGCUUAGGAUUGGGUCUCGUCCAUCACAUCAUUCUCCCAAUGAUGUGAUCCCGUUAUCAAUGACAUCUAAUGCCCAUGAUCAGGAAACCAUGAUCAUCUGUUGACUAACGAGCUAGCCAACUAGAGGCUUGCUAGGGACACUUUGUGAUCUAUUUAUUCACACAUGUAUUACUGUUUCCUGUUAAUACAAUUAUAGCAUGAACAAUAGACGAUUAUCAUGAACAAGGAAAUAUGAUAAUAACCAUUUUAUUAUUGCCUCUAGGGCAUAUUUCCAACAGUCUCCCACUUGCACNNNNNNNNNNNNNNNNNNNNNNNNNNNNNNNNNNNNNNNNNNNNNNNNNNNNNNNNNNNNNNNNNNNNNNNNNNNNNNNNNNNNNNNNNNNNNNNNNNNNAUGGACAUUUUAAAAACAGGGAAGAAGCAAAGAAUAUAUGGGCUUGAGAUAAAAGAGAGAGAUGGUUUUGAAACCCCAGUGCAAACCAACUUAGAAACUUACUACUACAAGCAACACCCAAGAAACACCCACUUCAUUUCACACUUCCAACAUCACACCACCACAUCACAUGGAUCACACCAUCACAUAAGAUCACAAGGAAACAACACAAGGACAUGAAAUGAUAGUGAUGCAUGCAUGCAAAGGAAGAACAAUACAAGGUGACACACAUGAAAUCAUAUGCAUUGAGCUCUCAAAUCAAUGNNNNNNNNNNNNNNNNNNNNNNNNNNNNNNNNNNNNNNNNNNNNNNNNNNNNNNNNNNNNNNNNNNNNNNNNNNNNNNNNNNNNNNNNNNNNNNNNNNNNNNNNNNNNNNNNUAUUACAUCUAACCAGCAGAGUACUCCUAACAAUCCCGUCCGUUUCUGGACCUGGGGCACGGCCCAGCACCACAUUACUAUCGUCGAUACAUCUCCAUAGCUCCGUGACCUGGAUAAAACAUAUGUGACACACCACCUACGAAGAAAAUACACAUGUUCGUCUUUCAAAAGAGCUCAGUCGCCUCGAGAACCGCAACUGGAUGCUCACCAUAAGAUAGGUCAGGUUGAAGGUCGAUGUCUUGAAGAUGAACAGUGCGCUCGGGGGUCUUGAAGCACCUGCGGAGCUGAGAGAUAUGGAACACAUCAUGCACAUUUGCAAAGUUUGAUGGGAGCUCAAGCUGGUACGCAAGGUCGCCUCUCUUGCCAACCACUCUAAACGGACCAACGAAACGAGGCACAAGCUUGCCUUUGAUGACAAAGCGCUGCGUACCCUUGAUACAUCCAUUUUGCAUCAUGUUUUCAUGUUGAUAUUUAUCCCUUCUUGGGCUGUUAUUUCACUUCACGGUACAGUUCUUAUGCCUUUUCUCUCUUAUUUCGCAAGGUUUACAUGAAGAGGGAGAAUACCGGCAACUGGAAUUCUGGCCUGAAAGUGGAGCAAGUUUGAGGUACCUAUUCUGCACAACUCCAAGCGCUGUAAAAAUCAACGAGGAUUUUUUUCCCGAUUUAUCAAAAAUACUAGGCCGAAUAAAUGCCAGANNNNNNNNNNNNNNNNNNNNNNNNNNNNNNNNNNNNNNNNNNNNNNNNNNNNNNNNNNNNNNNNNNNNNNNNNNNNNNNNNNNNNNNNNNNNNNNNNNNNGUUAUUUGCAAUAUGUUGCAAAUCAAUAAUUUUCCGAACUUGGAGUUCAGUUUCUUGCGUACGUGGAUCAGAGGAGGAAAUGUCUUGGGCAUUCCAAUUGAUUUCCGGGCAUUCUUUUUGGUACUUGAUGUCUCCCCCUAAUGCUGGGAAAUGUUCCUCAUUAAAGAUGCAGUCAGCGUGACGAGCUGUGAAUAGAUUCCCCGUGAGGGGUUCAAGGUACUUGAUUAUCGACGGUGAUUUGUACCCCACAUAGACCCCAAUUUUCUGUGUGGACCCAUGGAUGUACGCUGCCGUGGUGAGAUUGGGACAUAUGCGGCGCAUCCGAAUUUACGCAGAUGAGAAAUAUUUGAUUGAUUUCCAUGUACUAAUUGCAGAGGGGAAGUGCUGUGAUAUGCAGUUGGUCGUAAUUGGAUUAAGUCAGCAGCGUGUAAAACUGCGUAACCCCAACAAGAAGUUGAUAAAUUGCAAUUCAUUAGUAAGGGUCGUGCAAUGAGCUUAAUUCUCUUAAUUAAAGAUUCGACCAAUCCAUUUUAAGUGUGGACAUAUGAGACUGAGUGUUGAACUUCAAUGCCUAAUGCCAUGCAAUAAACAUUAAAUGCAUGGGAGGAGAAGAAAUUUAAACUGAGGCGAGAGGCACAUAACAGGUGAGCAUUAUUUGUAUAUNNNNNNNNNNNNNNNNNNNNNNNNNNNNNNNNNNNNNNNNNNNNNNNNNNNNNNNNNNNNNNNCCUCAAACACACCCUUGCACCGAUAAGUGAUGAAUAAAUCCAUACAUUGAACCCAGCUAGUCAAUGUGCCUAUCGACAGAACACAGGCACAUUAUACACUGUCCAGUGGCCGCAGGCUUGAUGCAUGCGAAUGGCACGAAGCAGUUUGCAGUAUCUCCACCAAAAGACCGAACCAUAUACACUCUGUGCUAGUAGAUCACAUACGUACAUUAUAUACACAUGUUUGACUCAAUCGUGCGUGCAUGCAUGCAUAGUCCUCGCUCUACCUAAUUAACCGAUGAGCUAAUUAAUUGAUGAAGUUGAGCGGCUGAGAUCACANNNNNNNNNNNNNNNNNNNNNNNNNNNNNNNNNNNNNNNNNNNNNNNNNNNNNNNNNNNNNNNNNNNNNNNNNNNNNNNNNNNNNCUCCGUGUUGGUGUCGUCGGUUGGCCAGAUGACCGUCUCCAUGAGCCUCUCCCGCAUCAGCUCCAGGUUCUCCUCCGAGAUCUUCUCGUACAUCUUCGCGUGGUCGCACUUCUGCUCGUUAAUUAACAAGGACAAGACCGAAUCAGAUGCUAACAACAUAUAACUAAAAUACUUAUAAGUAGGCUGCUCAAUUUCUCCCAGUUGGAUGCCAGAUUAGUGGUGAAAAUUAGUGGCAUGUUGUUGAUUUGCUNNNNNNNNNNNNNNNNNNNNNNNNNNNNNNNNNNNNNNNNNNNNNNNNNNNNNNNNNNNNNNNNNNNNNNNNNNNNNNNNNNNNNNNNNNNNNNNNNNNNUUUCUCCUCUUCCAUGCUCUAGUGAGGUUCCCGACUUAGGAAAUCUUAAUUCUACUCCUCUUCUCGCUCAAUUUUUUUAGGAUCACGCGGGUAUUUUUGAAAUCUAUAUGAUUUCGAUGUGACGGAGUUCUGUCUUGGUGCCUCCUGUCUGCCUUGAUUUCUUCCGGCGAGUUGAGCUCCAGGGGAUUCUUGUGCACAUCGCCAUCAUUCAGGUUUCGGAGUAUCUAAGAACGAAGGAUGUUCGUAAUUGCUUCAAUACUAGUAGUGGCGAGAUAACCCCGAUGUCCCCAGUACUGGUGCAGAUUGUUCGGGAGUACUGCCAUACUUGGUAUCGUUGUGAUCACGAGGGCCUGUUGUAGAUGAAGGUCCGAGAUUCUGGUUAUGUGUUGACGGAUGUGAUACAGGUGACGGGUUAGUAUAGGAGUUGUGUGAAUAUUACUCCUUGUAUCCGUGUACCAGAUUGCAUGACCAGUUAUUUCGGGAAUUCAUAGGUGGGAUAUCAAGUAGUAACUUAUAGGACAAUCUUCCUACAGAUGCAUGAUGUGAGCUUGNNNNNNNNNNNNNNNNNNNNNNNNNNNNNNNNNNNNNNNNNNNNNNNNNNNNNNNNNNNNNNNNNNNNNNNNNNNNNNNNNNNNNNNNNNNNNNNNNNNNNNNNNNNNNNNNNNNNNNNNNNNNNUGUAGCUCGCUACGACUCGGGGAUACUUCGUAAGUCGUGUGCACUACCUUGCACAGGAUGGCUACUUUAAAUUCAAGCCCGUGCGAUCUUAUCCACGAAGAUAUCAGAUCAAAUCUCGAUCAUUUGUUUGUUCCGAGCAGUUCUAGCUCAUACUUGUUUGCAAGUGGUCUUAAUCAGAAUUUUGUCGACCGUCACUUUGAGGAAGCAUUCUUACUAUUUUGUUCGACUGUGAUUGCUAUAUUCCUGUUCAGAUAUUCCUGUCAUUUUGAUUCAACUAUAUCUUCAAUUUAUUCUGUGGGCUAAUGUGUUGUCCGUCUUCAGGAUGGCUCCACCAACUCGUCAGAAUCCAGGCCGUGAGGAUNNNNNNNNNNNNNNNNNNNNNNNNNNNNNNNNNNNNNNNNNNNNNNNNNNNNNNNNNCCACCACCUCCUCCUCCGAAGAAUCCUCCUCCGCCGCCGCCUCCUCCUGCACAGGCUGGGCAAGCGGUGAUGGCUGCUACAAAUGCAAACACUCAGAUGCUGCUACAGUUGUUGCAAGAGAGGGGUAAUCAGCAGCAAGGCAAUUUCGAGCAUGGUGGCAAUCAGUUUGCUAAUCUGAGUCAGUUCCUGUCGAAUCAGUCGAAGACUUUGACUUCCUGUGACCAGCCGUUUGAUGCUGAGGAUUGGAUCCGCGACACGAACAAGCACUUUGAAUGCAACAAUGUUCGUCCUGAGGAUUUCGUCAAGUUUGCUACAUUCCAGCUGAAGGGGCAAGCANNNNNNNNNNNNNNNNNNNNNNNNNNNNNNNNNNNNNNNNNNNNNNNNNNNNNNNNNNNNNNNNNNNNNNNNNNNNNNNNNNNNNNNNNNNNNNNNNNNNUUCUGGGUAGCCGGUGUCACUCCCACGGAAACGAUCUCUUCUGAACAGGAGAAGAUGUUCGCGGAGGCCACCGUCUUAUUCCUUGGAGCAGUUAUAAGUGUGAUCGGAGAUAAGCGGGUUGAUGCAUAUUUACAUAUGCAUGUUGCCAAANNNNNNNNNNNNNNNNNNNNNNNNNNNNNNNNNNNNNNNNNNNNNNNNNNNNNNNNNNNNNNNNNNNNNNNNNNNNAAUCUAAAUUGGGAGCCGCCGAUGCUGGGAGCGAGAUGUAUGUUAUGGAGCAGUUCCACGAUUACAAAAUGGUUGACAACCGUUCUGUAUUGGAACAUGCUCAUGAGAUAAUAUGCAUAGCUAAAGAGCUUGAGGUUCUUAAGUGCAAUUUGCCGAGCAAGUUUGUCGCGGGCUGUAUAAUUGCUAAGCUCCCUAAUUCCUGGAGGAACUUUGCUACUACUCUGAAAUAUCAGAGCCGUAAGUUCUCAGUAGAGGACAUCAUCGGCUAUCUGACUGUUGAGCAGAAUUCGAGAGAAAAGGACUCCAAUGGAAAAGCGGUUGGAAGCUCUUUCGUUGCCAAUAUGGUACAUCAGAGGAACUNNNNNNNNNNNNNNNNNNNNNNNNNNNNNNNNNNNNNNNNNNNNNNNNNNNNNNNNNNNNNNNNNNNNNNNNNNNNNNNNNNNNNNNNNNNNNNNNNNNNNNNNNNNNNNNNNNNNNNNNNNNNNNNNNNNNNNNNNNNNNNNNNNNNNNNNNNNNNNNNNNNNNNNNNNNNNNNNNNNNNNNNNNNNNNNNNNNNNNNNNNNNNNAAGUACAAGAAGCCGACGCAGGACUCCAAGUCUGCCAAUAUGAUUGUGGGCAACAAUGAAAGUGGUGCACCUGGGUACGGUAAUUUAUUUACUGUAUUUUCAGUUUGUCAGUCCAUCAAUUGGUGGGUGGACACAGGUGCAAAUAUUCAUGUGUGUGCUGACAUCUCAUUGUUCUCUUCUUAUCAGGCCACAGGUCGCGGGUCCAUAUUGAUGGGGAAUGACGCGAGUGAUUCUGUUCUUGGUGUUGGCACGGUCGAUCUGAAGUUUACUUCGGGAAGGAUCAUGCAGUUGAAGAACGUGCAGCAUGUCCCCGCCAUCAAGAAGAAUCUUGUUAGUGGCUCCCUUCUGUGUAGAGAAGGAUUUAAGUUGGUCUUCGAGUCUAAUAAAAUAGUUGUUACGAAAUAUGGACUUUUUGUUGGAAAAGUUUAUGAAAUAGUUGUUACGAAAUAUGGACUUUUUGUUGGAAAAGGUUAUGAAUGCGGAGGUCUGUUCCGCCUUUCCCUUGCAGAUUUUUGUAAUGUAGUCGUGAACAAUAUUCAUUCGAGUGUUAAUGAAUCUGAAGUUUGGCAUUCACGUCUUUGUCACAUAAGUUUUGGUGUUAUAUCGCGGCUAGCAAAACUGCUUUUAAUCACGAGUUUCACUUUAGCCAAAGGUUCUAAGUGCCAUUCAUGUGUACAAGCAAAGCAACCUCGCAAGCCUCACAAGGCUGCAGAGGAGAGACACUUGUCGUCAUUAGAACUCAUANNNNNNNNNNNNNNNNNNNNNNNNNNNNNNNNNNNNNNNNNNNNNNNNNNNNNNNNNNNNNNNNNNNNNNNNNNNNNNNNNNNNNNNNNNNNNNNNNNNNGGUAUUUACCAUGUGCAAUCUCGCCCCAACUCAUACAUAGUUGACAUCAUUGGUAGAAGCUGUGAUUGCAAGAGCUGGGGAUUAAGUGGGAUCCCUUGUCCACAUGCUAUAGCAGUUUGUAGGACUGAGAGGAUUGACCCUGAAGAGUUGGUGCACAAAUGUUACACCAUUGACACCUAUUUGAAAGCCUAUGGUCACGAAAUCAUGCCUCUUAGAGAUAGGGCCCACUGGGAGAAGCUCAAUGGUAUUGACAUCCACCCCCCCGUGUUUACUAAGGGAAUGGGAAGACCAGCCACAAAAAGGAGGAAAACUCCAGAAGAGAAGAAGAAGAAAGAUGGCACAAUUUAUCUCAGUAAGAAUGGGGCGACUAUGCACUGCUCAGUUUGUGGAAAAGGUGACCACAACAAAAGGGGUCAUGGUAAAUACAUUGAAAGGCAAAUGCAGGAGCCAGAAGUUGAAGUGGAUGAUGAGUUUGCAUGUCCAGAAAUUCUUCAGGUUAAUGCACUUAAUUCCUUUUUUAAUGCACUUAAUUCCUUUUUUGGACUGACCUAAUUAUCACGUGCAGGAUAUACUGACCCAGAACAACAACCAUAGGCUGGAUCCAAUCAAUGAUAGGAGCAGCAUGGUGUACACAAUGGGACAAGAGGUAUUAACACUGUAUUUUACAUAGUUUACCUGUAUUUUACACUGAAUCUUAUACUGAAUGUUGGGGUAUAUAAUCUAGGAGAGGGCUCAUGUGACAAGGAUGGUGCCACCUGGACCUCUACCAGAGGAAUCAACUUUUGUAGUUGAUGCCAGGGAUUUGAUCCCCCAAAGAAGAACAAACACAACUGCAACUAUUCGAGGAAGAACUACAAUGGCAAGUAGAGGCAAAAGAAGAGCAGCACCAGAAGUGGAACCUAAUGCAGGUGAGCCGGGAACAAGUGCAAUGAAACUUUACAAGAAUUAGAAACAAUAGUUAGUCCAUUUGNNNNNNNNNNNNNNNNNNNNNNNNNNNNNNNNNNNNNNNNNNNNNNNNNNCAUUUGCUGAAUUUACUAAAAUUUACAAAUGCAGAUGAGCCAGGAACAAGUGCCAAUGCAGGAAGAGCAAAGAAAAAAAAAGAGGAGGUGGAAGAGCAAGAGCAAGAGGAGCUGCAGGUGGAAUGACUGGAGCAAGAGGAGCUGUUGUUGCAAGACCAAGAGCUGGAGCAGAAGCUGAAACUGGAACUGGAGCUGGAUCAGCUGCUGUAACUCGAGCUGGAGCAGGUGCUGGAACUCGAGCUGGAGCUGGAGCAGGUGCUGGAACUGGAGUUGGAGCAGCAGCUGGAAGAGGAGCUGAAGGAGGAAGAAGAGUGGAAGAUUAUCCUCUAUGGCAGCUAAUGUUUGGACAUGAUGGAGCAAUCCCAAACUUGAAUGAAGAGAUUCCACUGACCCAGAAUGCCCCUAGGACUCGAGAUAAUUAGGUCAUCACUGAUAUGUUCAAUUAGUUCAUCACCGAACUGCAAAAAUGUCCCAGUUCAUACAUGAACUAGAAGCUUGCAGGAAGAAUUAGAAUUUUGUACUGCAAAACACUGUUAGUGUGCACCGAAAGAUCUAGAAAACUUUGACCUAUUUUGGGCUAUUUAUGUGUUCUAUGUGCUUCAGUUUUUUGUGCUUCAUUUUAGAAAGAGCAUUGGUGAAUCACUUCAGUUGAAUGGUUNNNNNNNNNNNNNNNNNNNNNNNNNNNNNNNNNNNNNNNNGAAUCACUUCAGUUGAAUGGUUAGUACAGGUGGCAGCUUAGUAACCAAUUGUGUUUGAAAACCACGUGUGCUCUUCCACUUGUUGUGCUCAUGUUUAGUAAUCAUCAUGUUUCUGCUCCAUUUGGUUUUCUUCCACUUGUUGUGCUCUAUGAUCAUCCAGCUUAGUAACAAAUUAAGUGUUGUCUACUCUGGUCAGUUACCUGUGCUGUGUUUAUCAGUUACCUGUGUUGUGUUUAUCAGUUAUAUUAAGUGUAUGCUGAACUUGCAGUAACUUCUCCUUCUUCUUACUCUGAAACUAGGUGCUGAAACUAGGUGCAGCUUCCUGAACACCUUCAUGACUUUCAGGUUUUUUAUUGAUAGUGCUGCAAGAGGCUUCCGGGGGGUUAUCAGCAAAAAUGCCCUUCACACAUCAGGAUGAUCCAGGUAUGCGUGGCAGCCCAUGUGGCAAAUNNNNNNNNNNNNNNNNNNNNNNNNNNNNNNNNNNNNNNNNNNNNNNNNNNNNNNNNNNNNNNNNNNNNNNNNNNNNNNNNNNNNNNNNNNNNNNNNNNNNNNNNNNNNNNNNNNNNNNNNNNNNNNNNNNNNNNNNNNNNNNNNNNNNNNNNNNNNNNNNNNNNNNNNNNNNNNNGUAAUUAACUCGUUACGUAGGUGUAGUAUUAUCGUUCAGUACGUACAGGUGUUGCUGUCGUUGUUUUCUUCCUGAAACGAGUUGGAAAGAAAGAUAGCAGUAAUAAAAUGUGCAAAUCCCCGCGCUUUCGAGCUAUAUUCGGAUUCAAACUCGACAGAUAUACUCCUGGUUGCCCCUGCCCCGUCUCUUCUUUCUUGCACGCCCCAUCNNNNNNNNNNNNNNNNNNNNNNNNNNNNNNNNNNNNNNNNNNNNNNNNNNNNNNNNNNNNNNNNNNNAUCCAUCUCAAUCUCAUCGGCAUUCUCAUCCUCCCUCCCGUCACCGGAUCGUUGCUCUCGCGACUCCGCCGCCGCGACCAUGGCCGGCACCACGGAGUUUCCGCCGUCUCUGCUCCCGUGCCGUAGCGCCGCCGACAACGACGAUGACCUGCACUCCUGCUUCUCCCGCGUGUGCCUAAACCCUACCCUGAUGGCGAACCCCGCGGCUGCCAAGAGGCCAAAGCGUCCAGGAUCAGAGCGCGACGUGCAGCCGCCGGCGCCGAAGCGCGUACGCGGUGUCAGCUCCGGGGGCGAGCUCCAUGUCGCGGUGGCAACCAACAUCAAGAACAGCAGCGAGCUUCUGUGUCCCAGCAGCGGCAAAGAUCAGAACCAGCUCGCGAUCAAGAACCAGGUCGUCGAAUCUCCGGAGAGCGCGACGCAAACGAAGCCGCAGCUCAGCAUGCGCGAACUGAUCGCCAAAGCUCGCCUCAGGGGCCUUGUCACGGAGGCCCGGCGUAAAUUGGAGCAGAUGACGGACACCGUGCAGUUCAACGACCCCUGGAUCCAUUACUCCGACGUGACCAAGUCCCCUGAGGAGCUGCUCCAAGCAAGACAGGAAGCAUGGUUUUAUCAAGCUUGGCUCAUCGAGAUGGCUCGUCAACGGGACUAUGCUGAAGCGAUGCAAAUCCAUGGAUGAUCGAAGCAGAGGAAGAAAUCAUCAGCGCUGCAGCCUUGUUGAUCUUGGUGCUAGUCUUGCUCAGCUGAGCAAAGCAGAGGAAGCAGAGUCUGCAGACUGCAGUAGUAGUCUUGGUUGCAAGUGUGUAGGAGUAUUUCACUAGCANNNNNNNNNNNNNNNNNNNNNNNNNNNNNNNNNNNNNNNNNNNNNNNNNNNNNNNNNNNNNNNNNNNNNNNNNNNNNNNNNNNNNNNNNNNNNNNNNNNNCAAGAAAGGCUAAAUUGGCUAAUUAUCCUACGAAAUGACAUCAUUAGCUUAGUUAGCUCCAAAAUGUCCUAUUUAAUAAAAAAUGACCUAUACUUAGCUAAUUAUCCUCGAAAUGACAUAAUUAGCUCCAAAAAGGCAUUCUUAGCCAAUUUAGCCCGAAGAAGGGGACAAGAAGAGAAAAAGAGGAAAAAUGAAAGGAAGGAAGAGGAAAAAUGAGGAGAAGAAGAAGGAGGAGAGGGAGGAGGAGAAGAAGAAGGAGAAGAAGGAGAAGAAGGAGGAGAAGGAGAAGGAGCUCCUCCUUCUCCUUCUUCUUCCUCCUUCUUCCUCCUUCUCCUUCUCCUUCUUCUUCUCCUUCUCCUUCUUCUUUUCUUCUUCUUCUCCUCUUCCUUCUUCUCCUCCUCCUCAUCCUCCUCCUUAUUUUACUUCUUCUUCUCUAUCUCUACUUCUACGUAGCUUAGACUCAUCCAAGAAAGGCUAAAUUGGCUAAUUAUCCUACGAAAUGACAUAAUUAGCUUAGUUAGCUCCAAAAUGGCCUGUUUAAUAAAAAAUGACCUAUACUUAGCUAAUUAUCCUCGAAAUGACAUAAUUAGCUCCAAAAAGGCAUUCUUAGCCAAUUUAGCCCGAAGAAGGGGACAAGAAGAGAAAAAGAGGAAAAAUGAAAGGAAGGAAGAGGAAAAAUGAGGAGAAGAAGAAGGAGGAGAGGGAGGAGGAGAAGAAGAAGGAGNNNNNNNNNNNNNNNNNNNNNNNNNNNNNNNNNNNNNNNNNNNNNNNNNNNNNAAGGAGAAGAAGGAGGAGAAGGAGAAGGAGCUCCUCCUUCUCCUUCUUCUUCCUCCUUCUUCCUCCUUCUCCUUCUCCUUCUUCUUGUCCUUCUCCUUCUUCUUUUCUUCUUCUUCUCCUCUUCCUUCUUAUCCUCCUCCUCCACCUCCUCCUUCUCCUCUUUAUUUUACUUCUUCUUCUCUAUCUCUUCUUCCACGUAGCUUAGACUCAUCCAAGAAAGGCUAAAUUGGCUAAUUAUCCUNNNNNNNNNNNNNNNNNNNNNNNNNNNNNNNNNNNNNNNNNNNNNNNNNNNNNNNNNNNNNNNNNNNNNNNNNNNNNNNNNNNNNNNNNNNNNNNNNNNNUAUCUCUGCCGAGGGCAUCAAAGUUGAUCUGUUGAAGGUACAUGCCAUUAUUGAAUGGGAGCCUCCGCAGAAUAUGAAGCAGCUUCGAAGCUUUCUCAGGCUCGCAAGCUAUUGUACAAGGUUCGUUGAGAACUUCUCCAAGAUUGCUAAGCCACUCUCAAGUAUUCUUCAGAAGGGUGUGAAGUAUGCUUGGUCUCGAGAGUGUCAGUUGGCCUUCGACACACUCAAAGAGAAGCUCACCUCUNNNNNNNNNNNNNNNNNNNNNNNNNNNNNNNNNNNNNNNNNNNNNNNNNNNNNNNNNNNNNNNNNNNNNNNNNNNNNNNNNNNNNNNNNNNNNNNNNNNNNNNNNNNNNAGACGCCUCUCUUCAAGGUCUUGGUGCAGUUCUGAUGCAAGAGAAGAAAGUGGUUGCUUAUACCUCCAGGCAGUUGAAGCCAGCGGAGAAGAAUUAUCCUCUGCAUGAUCUUGAGCUAGCAGCUGUGGUACACGCUCUGAUGACUUGGAGACACCUCUUGUUGGAACGAAAGGUUGAAUUGUUCACCGAUCACAAGAGUCUCAAGUACAUCUUCACUCAGCCUAACCUAAAUCACCGGCAAACUCGUUGGGUGGAAAUGCUCCAAGUUUUUAAUCCGAGUGUUGAGUACACGCCAGGCAAAGCUAAUGUCGUGGCAGAUGCUUUGAGCAGGAAGGCUUACAACAAUAGUCUCAUUCUGAAACCUCUCCAGCCUGACCUUUGUGAGUCUUUCAGGAAGCUCAACCUUCAGUUAGCACCUCAGGGAUUUCUUGCAAACCUUCAGGUCUCUCCUACCUUGGAAGAUCAGGUCCGAGCAGCACAACUUCUUGAUGCAAUGGUGAAGAAAGUCAAGAUUGGCGUGGCAAAGGGUCUUCCCAAAUAUAAGUGCUUCAGUGUUGAUGCCAGAGACACGUUGUUCUUUGAGGAUCGUCUUGUCGUUCCGAAAGGUGAUCUUAGAAAGAUAAUCAUGGAAGAAGCUCAUAACUCUGUGCUCUCUAUUCAUCCUGGAAGCUCCAAGAUGUAUCAGGACUUGAAACAGACCUUCUGGUGGACUCGCAUGAAGCGUGAGAUUGCUCAGUUCAUAAAUGAAUGCGAUGUAUGUCGAAGGGUGAAAGCAGAGCAUCAACGUCCAGCAGGUCUUUUGCAUCCUUUGCCCAUUCCCGAGUGGAAGUUCGAUCAUAUUGAGAUGGAUUUCGUCACCGGGUUUCCGAAGUGCAAGAAGGGUAAUGAUGCCAUCUUCGUCGUCAUCGACAAGUUGAGUAAAGUGGCUCAUUUUCUUCCAGUCAAGGAAUCUAUUUCGGCAGCUCAACUUGCAGAGUUGUACACUUCCAGGAUAGUGUCUUUGCACAGCGUGCCUAUGAUGAUUUCUUCGGAUCGCGGAAGUAUCUUCACUUCCAAGUUCUAGGAUUCUUUUCGGUCUGUGAUGGGCACGAAGAUACGCUUCAACACAGCUUUUCAUCCUCAGACUAGUGGUCAAGUGGAGCGAGUCAAUCAAGUUCUUGAGGAUAUGCUGAGAGCCUGUGUUAUCUCUUUUGGCAUGAAGUGGGAGGAUUGCCUGCCUUUUGCCGAGUUCUCGUGUAACAACGGUUAUCAAGCUAGUUCAGACAAAGCCCCGUUUGAGAUUCUCUAUGGCAGGAAGUGUCGUACCCCGCUCAACUGGUCCGAGACCGGCGAGCGUGAGAUUCUUGGGAAUGACUUGAUAGAAGAAGCUGAAGAGAUGUAUCGGGUCAUUCGUGAUAACCUCAGAGCAGCUCAGCCCCGUCAGAAGAGCUAUUAUGAUAGCAAGCAUCGUGACAUGUCUUAUGAGCUUGAUGACUUCGUCUAUGUCAAGGUGUCGCCUAUGAAGGGUUGAUGACCCACGAGUAUAGGGGAUCAAUCGUAGUCCUUUCGAUAAGUAAGAGUGUCAAACCCAACGAGGAGCAGAAGGAUCUGACAAGUGGUUUUCAGCAAGGUAAAAUCUGCAGGCACUCAAAUUGUCGGUAACAAGUGAUUGUGUGGUGAGAUGAUUCGUAGCAAGAAAUAAGUAACAAAAGUAGCAAUGGUGCAGCAAGGUGGCUACAUCCCUUUUGUAGCAAGGGACAAGCCUGGACAAAGUCUUAUAGGAGGAAAAAUGCUCCCGAGGACACACGGGAAUUUCUGUCAUGCUAGUUCUCAUCAUAUUCAUAUGAUUCAUGUUCGUUACUUUGAUAGUUUGAUAUGUGGGUGGACCGGCGCUUGGUUACCGCCCUUACUUGGACAGGCAUCCCACUUAUGAUUAACCCCUCUUGCAAGCAUCCGCAACUACGAAAGAAGAAUUAAGACAGAGUCUAACCAUAGCAUUAAACUAGUGGAUCCAAAUCAGCCCCUUACGAAGCAACGCAUAAACUAAGGUUUAAGCUUCUGUCACUCUAGCAACCCAUCAUCUACUUACUACUUCCCAAUGCCUUCCUCUAGGCCCAAAUAAUGGUGAGGUGUUAUGUAGUCGACGUUCACAUAACACCACUAGAGGGAAAACAACAUACAACAUAUCAAAUUACCGAACGAAUACCAAAUUCACAUGACUACUAUUAGCAUGACUUAUCCCUUGUCCUCAGGAACAAAAGUAACAACUCACGANNNNNNNNNNNNNNNNNNNNNNNNNNNNNNNNNNNNNNNNNNNNNNNNNNNNNNNNNNNNNNNNNNNNNNNNNNNNNNNNNNNNNNNNNNNNNNNNNNNNCCCACUUGCACUAGAGUCAAUAAUCUAGUUCACAUCACCAUGUGAUUCCAACGAAUCCAAUACCCAUAUAGUUAUGGGGUCUGAUCACGUCUUGCUCGUGAGAGAGGUUUUAGUCAACGGUUCUGAAACUUUCAGAUCCGUGCGUUCUUUACAAAUCUUUAUGUCAUCUUUAUAGAUGCUGCUACUACGUGCUAUUCGGAAAUGCUCCAAAUAUCCACUCUACUAUAUGAAUCCGUUUCACUACUCAUAGUUAUUCAGAUUAGUGUCAAAGCUUGCAUCGACGUUACCCUUUACGACGAACUCUUUAACCACCUCCAUAAUCGAGAAAAAUUCCUUAGUCCAUUAGCUACUAAGGAUAAAUUUUGAUCGCUGCUAGUGAUUCAAUCAUGGAUCACUCUCUGUACCUCUCAACAUACUUUGAGUCAAGGCACACUUCAGGUGCGGUACACAGCAUGGCAUACUUUAGAUUCUACGGCUAAGGCAUAGAAGACGACCUUCGUCUAUUCUCUUUAUUCUGCCGUGGUCAGGUUUUGAGUCUUACUCAAAUUCACACCUCACAACGCAACCAAGAACUCCUUCUUUGCUGGUCUAUUUUGAACUCUUUCAAAAACUUGUCAAGGCAUGCAUCUUGUUGAAACUUCUAUUAAGCGCUUUCGAUCUAUCUCCAUAGAUCUUUGAUGCUCAACGUUCAAGUAGCUCAAUCCAGGUAUUCCUUUGAAAACUCCUUUCAAACAACCUUGUAUGCUUUACAGAAAUUCUACAUUACUUCUGAUCCACAAUAUGUCAACCACAUAUACCUAUCAGAAAUUCUAUAGUGCUCCCACUCACUUCUUUGGAAAUACAAGUUUCUCAUAAACCUUGUACAAACCCAAAAUCUUUGAUCAUCUCAUCAAAGUGUAUAUUCCAACUCCGAGAUGCUUGCAUCAGUCCAUAGAAGGAUUGCUGGAGCUUUCAUACUUGUUAGCAUCCUUAGGAUUGACAAAACCUUCUGGUUGUAUACACUGGAGCUUGCAUACUUGCUAGUAUAUUUAGGAUCGACAAAACCUUCUGGUUGUAUCACAUACAAUGUUUGCUCAAGGAAACCGUCGAGGAAACAAUGUUUUGACAUCCUACGUGCAAUAUUUCAUAAAUAAUACAGCAACUACUAACAUAAUUCUAACAGACCUUUAGCAUCGCUACGAGUGAGAAAGACUCAUCAUAGUCAACUGUUUGAUCUUGUCGAAAACAUCUUUGCGACAAGUCGAGCUUUUCUUAAUAGUGACUUAUCACCAUCAUCGUCUGUCUUCUUUUAAAGAUCCAUCUUUACUCAAUAGUCUUAUGACCAUCAAGUAGUUCUUUCAAAGUCUACACUUUGUUUUAUACAUGGAUCCUCUCUCGGAUUUCAUGGACUCCAGCUAUUUGUCGGAAUCCGGGCCCACCAUCGUUUCUCCAUAGCUCGUAGGUUCAUUGUUGUUCAACAACAUGACUUCGAAGACAAGGUUACCGUACCACUCUGUAGUAGUAUGCGGCCUUGUCGACCUACCAGGUUUGUAGUAACUCACUCUGUAGUAGUAUGCGACCUUGUCAACCUACGAGGCUUGUAGUAACUUGAUCCGAUGCUUGAUGAUCACCAUCAUCUGCUUCCACUUCAAUUGGUGUAGGCGCCACAGGAACAACUUCCUGCACCCUGCUACACACUGGUUGAAGUGAUGGUUCAAUAACCUCAUCAAGUUCUACUACCCUCCCACUCAAUUCUUUCGAGAGAAACCUUUCCUCGAGAAAGGAUCCGUUUCUAGAAACAAACACUUUGCUUUCGGAUCUGAGAUAGGAGAUGUACCCAACUGUUUUGGAUAUCCUAUGAAGAUGCAUUUAUCCGCUUUGGGUUCGAGCUUAUCAGAGUGAAACUUUUUCACAUAUGCAUUGAAGCCCCAAACUUUUAAGAAACGGCAGCAUAGGGUUCUCCAAACCAUAGUCUAUACUGUGUCAUCUCAACGGAAAUACGCGGUGCCCUAUUUAAAGUGAAUGCGGUUGUCGCUAAUGCAUAACCCAUAAACGAUAGUGGUAAUUCGAUAAGAGACAUCAUAGUAUGCACCAUAUCCAAUAGUGCGUGGCUAUGACGUUCAGACACAUCAUCACACUAUGAUGUUCCAGGUGGCAUGAACUGCGAAACAAUUUCCACAUUGUCUUAACUGCGUACCAAAACUCAUAACUCAGAUAUUCAUUUCCAUGAUCAUAUCGUAGACAGUUUAUCCUCUUGUUACGACGAACUUCACUCUGAAACGGANNNNNNNNNNNNNNNNNNNNNNNNNNNNNNNNNNNNNNNNNNNNNNNNNNNNNNNNNNNNNNNNNNNNNNNNNNNNNNNNNNNNNNNNNNNNNNNNNNNNGGAGCACUGGCCCGGGUUGUUGAUUAAAGAUCCUCGGGGUGAUCAUUCCCUAUGCAGGUUAUUAAGUGAUUAGCAAAUUAACACCAUUGUUGGGUCAUGUAGGACAUGUCUUAACACUACGCGAUUUAUCAAGGGGGUUCCCAUAACAACCCCGGACGUGUUAGGAGCGAACAGUUAUGGAAUCAAACACCGGUAGCCGGUAACUAUGGCGGCAAUAACGGAACAAAACACCUGGCAAAAGGCUAGGCCUUCCGUUAUUUACCAAGUAUAUAGGUGCAUUAAUUAAAUAACAGAUUUAACAUAAUGAUAUCAAACUCAUGUUAUCACAUGAGACAAAGCACCUGCAAGUAGCAAUGCUAACAUUAGUAGCUGAGCAAAGCCUACUUAGCCAUUCAAGAUUUGCUAGGAAGGAAUAAGUGUUUGGGUUACAUGGCAAUAUCAGGAGGCAAUUAUUUCAGUGGUAGGCAGCGAGCAUAUGACGAAGAAACGUAAUCUAGCAUAACAAGUCUAGAGAUGGAAUAAAGGUCAUAUCAUCUUGUCUGUGAUGUCCUCAAUUUGGAACUGCUCUUGUUCGUCCUGCCUGUACUCUCCCAGAUCCACGUACUCGUUCUACGAUCCCGGUGCUACCCAACAUAAAAAUAGCAUCCAAUGAACAACAUCACCUUAAGAUGCAACAAGCACAUGAUGCAUGAGGCAAAAAUGAACAUGCAUCUCUAUUCUACUCACUUGCACAUGCAUGAGAAGAAAAUACAAGUUCCUGGACAGAACUGCACCCUAAGCUAUCUUGACAUGCAUGAGAAUGACAUGAACAGAUGCGUCACGCGAAAACGAUGCAAAAGCAUAUAAAGAACGUAACGGUCGGAGCUACGGAUCAACGGGAAACAACGAAACAAGAAAUGACGUCCUACGUAUCAAAAUCAUCACCACACACUCCAAUGGCAUACUUCUGGUAUUCCCAGGUUGCCAAGACAUAAAACAAACAAGAAUGGAUGGGGUGGUGCAAGGAAAUAUCACCACAACAUCAUCUAUGCACUCACAAGCAUCAAAACAUCAAAACUACACAAUCUGCCAUAAACAGCAUCAUAGCAGUUUGAGGGCUACAUUCAAAGCACCUACAUCCACCCAAAUAUGCCAAAUAGGAUAUGUGGCAGAAGCUAUCCAAGAGUACUACAAGCACAAGCAAAAAGAUAAUACAAAGGAGUUNNNNNNNNNNNNNNNNNNNNNNNNNNNNNNNNNNNNNNNNNNNNNNNNNNNNNNNNNNNNNNNNNNNNNNNNNNNNNNNNNNNNNNNNNNNNNNNNNNNNUCCUCGGGGUGCUCAUUCCCUAUGCAGGUUAUUAAGUGAUUAGCAAAUUAACACCAAUGUUGGGUCCUGCCGGACAAGUCUUAACACUACGCGGUUUAUCAAGGGGGUUCCCAUAACAACCCCGAACGUGUUAGGAGCGAACAGUUAUGGAAUCAAACACCGGUAACCGGUAACUGUGGCGGCAAUAACGGAACAAAACACCCGGCAAAAGGCUAGGCCUUCCGUUAUUUACCAAGUAUAUAGGUGCAUUAUUUAAAUAACAAAUUUAACAUAAUGAUAUCAAACUCAUGUANNNNNNNNNNNNNNNNNNNNNNNNNNNNNNNNNNNNNNNNNNNNNNNNNNNNNNNNNNNNNNNNNNNNNAAAGCACCUGCAACUAGCAACGCUAACAUUAGUAGCUGAGCAAAACCUACUUAGCCAUUCAAGAUUUUCUAGGAAGGAAUAAGUGUUUGGGUUUCAUGGCAAUAUCAGGAGGCAAUUAUUUCAGUGGUAGGCAGCCAGCAUAUGACGAAGAAACGUAAUCUAGCAUAACAAGUCUAGAGAUUGAAUCAAGGUCAUNNNNNNNNNNNNNNNNNNNNNNNNNNNNNNNNNNNNNNNNNNNNNNNNNNNNNNNNNNNNNNNNNNNNNNNNNNNNNNNNNNNNNNNNNNNNNNNNNNNNNNNNNNNNNNNNNNNNNNNNNNACGUACUCGUUCUUUGAUCCCGGUGCUACCCAACAUAAAAAUAGCAUCCAAUGAAAAACAGCACCUCAAGAUGCAACAAGCACAUGAUGCAUUAGGCGAAAAUGAACAUGCAUCUCUAUUCUACUCACUUGCACAUGCAUGAGAAGAAAAUACAAGUUCCGGGACAGAACUGCACCCUAAUAUAUGUUUACAUGCAUGAGAAUAACAUGAACAGAUGCGCCACGUGAAAACGAUGCAAAAGCAUAUAAAGAACGUAACGACCGGAGCUACGGAUCAAUGGGAAACAACGCAAAAGCAUAUAAAGAACGUAACGGUCGGAGCUACGGAUCAACGGGAAACAACGAAACAAGAAAUGACGUCCUACGUAUCAAAAUCAUCACCACACACUCCAAUGGCAUACUUCUGGUAUUCCCAGGUUGCCAAGACAUAAAACAAACAAGAAUGGAUGGGGUGGUGCAAGGAAAUAUCACCACAACAUCAUCUAUGCACUCACAAGCAUCAAAACAUCAAAACUACACAAUCUGCCAUAAACAACAUCAUAGUAGUUUGAGGGCUACAUGCAAAGCACCUAUAGCCACCCAAAUAUGCCAAACAAGAUAUGUGGCAGAAGCUAUUCAAGAGUACUACAAGCACAAGCAAAAAGAUAAUACAAAGGAGUUUCACACAGAAAGUUACACAACUGCUAACUUGACCAAAAAUAUCNNNNNNNNNNNNNNNNNNNNNNNNNNNNNNNNNNNNNNNNNNNNNNNNNNNNNNNNNNNNNNNNNNNNNNNNNNNNNNNNNNNNNNNNNNNNNNNNNNNNGAGUGUUUGACAGUUAAGAUGCUUACACAGAAAUUUAUUGAUGAGUUUAGAGACAACCAAAAAAUGGAUCUCACAACAUUUGGGAAUAAAGUGCAGAGAGAGUUCAAGUUGAUGCCCAACAAAAUGAAACUAGGAAGAGCUAGAAAGGCAGCACUUGAUAUCAUCCAUGGAGAUGAAUCAGAACAAUAUAACCAGCUAUGGGACUAUGGCCAAGAACUGAGAAGGUGCAACCCUGGGAGCAAAUUUAUUGUGAGAACUACCAAGGUCAAGGAGACAAAUGAUGUUCUUCCAAAGGACCAUUUGUCAUCAUUAUACUGGUCAUAUGAUGCUUGCAAGAGAGGCUUUCUAAAUGUAUGUAGGCCUAUAAUAUUUGUUGAUGGUUGCCACUUGAAGAGUAGAUACAAAGGCCAGCUACUAACAGCAGUGGGCAUAGACCCAAAUGAUUACAUAUUUCCUAUUGCCAUGGGAUUAGUAGAAGUGGAAUCUACUUAUACAUGGGAAUGGUUCUUGACAACACUUAAGAAUGACCUCAACAUUAUCAACACAUGCCCAUAUACUAUCAUGAAUGACAAGCAGAAGGUAAUGGUACCUCUUGUAAUGUUGUGCUAUCUACAAAUUUGAUAUGUCUUGUGUUUUUAUGUGUGACUUUCUGCCAAUUUUCAGGGUUUAAUAAAUGCAGUUGGGAAAGUUUUUGCAGAUGCAGAGCAUAUAUUUUGUGUGAGGCACUUAUACCAGAACUUCCACAAGCUUUUCAAAGGGGAAACGCUGAAAAACCUGCUCUGGGCCAUUGCAAGGUCAACAAACUUACCAAAGUGGAACAUGAACAGAGAGAAAAUGAAGGAGGCUAGCAUUGNNNNNNNNNNNNNNNNNNNNNNNNNNNNNNNNNNNNNNNNNNNNNNNNNNNNNNNNNNNNNNNNNNNAGAGAAAAAGCCACCUAACCAAUGGGUGAAGAACUUCUUCAGUGAUUUCCCAAAAUGUGAUAUCCUCUUUAACAAUAUGUGAGGUCUACAAUAGGUAAAUUAUCAGUUUCAUCAUAUCUGUGUUUCACAUAUUGCAGAUUGCUCAUCAUAUCUAUGUUUCACAUAUUGCAGCUACACUUUAGAAGCCAGAGGUCUGUGCAUUAUAUCCAUGUUAGAAUGUAUCUUGGGAAAAAUUUCUGUAACACAUGCUAGCAAGCAUAGGGAAGCAGUGGAGAAGUGGACUGGAAGAAUUUGUCCAAAAAUCAGGAAGAAGCUGGAGAAGAAUGCAGACUUGAGUGCCAACUGUUUUCCAAGAGAAGCUGACAAUGGUAUUUACCAUGUGCAAUCUCGCCNNNNNNNNNNNNNNNNNNNNNNNNNNNNNNNNNNNNNNNNNNNNNNNNNNNNNNNNNNNNNNNNNNNNNNNNNNNNNNNNNNNNNNNNNNNNNNNNNNNNAGGGUGUCUUUAGUCCCGGCUCGAGCCCCGACCCGGGACUAAAGGCUUGGGCUGGCGGCAUUCCAAAGUUUAGUCCCACCUCGCUUGUCGAGAGGAGCCACCACUGGUUUAUAAGCCCCGUUGUCCCAACCGUGUCGAGCUCCUCUCUAAAGCAGGCUUAUGGGCCUAAACAGACUUUAAAUUUAAAAGUUGAAAAUAUAUUUGAAAUUAUGGACAAAAUUCAACCUGAAUUCAAAGUGAGGUCACUUUGAAUUUAGGUUGAAUUUUUCUCUAUAAAUUCUCAUAUAGUUUCAAUUUUUUUCCAUUUUUUUUGUUCUUUGCUUUAUUUAUUAUUUCUCUUCUAUUUUAGUUUUCUAUUGAGUAGAUCUUUUUUUGUUUCUUUUUAGUUAAUGUUUUACUUGAUUCUUUCCAACAAAUAAGCACUUUGAAAAUUUUAGUAAAUUAUUCUUAAUUCAUUCAUUUUAGUUAAUAUUUUAGUUGAUUCUUUUUAGUUGACUCUUUUUUUGUUUUCUAUUAAGGAUUUUAACAAAAAAAAUAUGAAAUUUCUGACUUCAUUUGAUAUUUUUCGUGAAUUUACUUAUUUUUUUGAGCUAGUUGAGCCUGAAAUUGAAAAGCACUACAAAUGAACUCUAGAAAUGUUGAAAGUUGGCAUGGUAUCAUCAUUUUCACCCGCAUAGCAUGUGCUAUAGAGUUGAGAGGGUUACGGCAAAAACUGGAUGCAUUUCGUGUACAAAACGGACAAUCUCUCUCGAAGUAUCACGGUUUCGAAUGAGAACUCAUCUGUUACAAAGGUAUUUCAUUUUUUGAACUUAUUUGAACUCCAUACUUUUUGUGUGUUUAAAAUGCACCAUUCAAAGGCACAUCAUAAAUUUUCAACAAUUUCUGACUUUAUUAGGUAUUCCUUGUGCAUUUACUUUUGUUUUUUUGGGCUAGUUGACCCUAAAAUUGAAAAGCACUACAAAUGAACUCUGAAAAUGUUGAAAGUUGGCAUGCUAUCAUAAUUUCACCCACAUAGCAUGUGUUAAAAAGUUUAGAGGGCUACGACAAAAACUGGAUGCACUUCGUGUACAAAACGGACAAUCUCUCCCGAAGUAUGAGCGUUUCGAACGAGAACUCAUCUCUUACAAAAGGGAUUUCAUUUUUUUUGAACUUAUUCAAACUCCAUACUUUUUGUGUGUUCAAAAUGCAUCAUUCAAAGGCACAUCACAAAAUUUCAACAAUUUCUCACUUCAUUUGGUAUUUUUCGUGCAUUUACUUAUUUUUUCUGAGCUAGUUGACCCUAAAAUUGAAAAUCACUACAAAUGAACUCUGAAAAUGUUGAAAUUUUGCAUGGUAUCAUCAUUUCACCCACAUAGCAUGUGCUAAAAAGUGGAGAGGGUUACGACAAAAACUGGAUGCACUUCGUGUACAAAACAGACAAUGUCUCUCGAAGUAUGAGGGUUUCGAACGAGAACUCAUCUGUUAUAAAGGUAUUUCAUUUUUUGAACUUAUUUGAACUCCAUACUUUUUGUGUGUUUAAAAUGCACCAUUCAAAGGCACAUCACAAAUUUUCAACAAUUUUUGACUUAAUUUGAUAUUCUUCGUGCAUUUACUUUUGUUUUUUUUGGCUAGUUGACCCUAAAAUUGAAAAGCAGUACAAAUGAACUCUGAAUAUGUUGAAAGUUGGCAUUCUAUCAUCAUUUCACCCACAUAGCAUGUGUUAAAAAGUUGAGAGAGCUACGAUAAAAGCUGGAUGCACUUCGUGUACAAAACGGACAAUCUCUCUCGAAGUAUGAGCGUUUCAAACGAUAACUCAUCUUUUACAAAGAGAUUUCAUUUUUUUGAACUUAUUUGAACUCCAUACUUUUUGUGUGUUCAAAAUGCACCAUUUAAAGACACAUCACAAAAUUUCAACAAUUUCUGACUUCAUUUGUAUUUUUCGUGCAUUUACUUAUUUUUUUAGGUAGUUGACCCUAAAAUUGAAAAACACUACAAAUAAACUUUGAAAAUGUUGAAAAUUGGCAUGGUAUCAUCAUUUCACCCACAUAGCAUGUGCUAAAAAGUGGAGAGUGUUACGACAAAAAGUGGAUGCACUUCGUGUACAAAACAGACAAUCUCUCUCGAAGUAUGAGGGUUUCGAACGAGAACUCGUCUAUUACAAAGGGAUUUCAUUUUUUGAACUUAUUUGAACUUCAUAAUUUUUUAUGUUUAAAAUGCACCGUUCAAAGGCACAUCACAAAUUUUCAACAAUUUCUGACUUAAUUUGGUAUUCUUCGUGCAUUUAGUUUUGUUUUUUUGGGCUAGUUGACCCUAAAAUUGAAAAGCAUUACAAAUGAACUCUGAAAAUGUUGAAAGUUGGCAUUCUAUCAUCGUUUCACCCACAUAGCUUGUGUUAAAAAGUUGAGAGGGCUACGACAAAAGCUGGAUGCACUUCGUGUACAAAACGGACAAUCUCUCUCGAAGUAUGAGCGUUUCAAACGAUAACUCAUCUUUUACAAAGAGAUUUCAUUUUUUUGAACUUAUUUGAACUCCAUACUUUUUGUGUCUUCAAAAUGCACCAUUCAAAGUCACAUCAUAAAAUUUCAACAAUUUCUGACUUCAUUUGGUAUUUUUCGUGCAUUUACUUUUUUUUUGAGCUAGUUGACCCUAAAAUUGAAAAGCACUACAAAUGAACUCUGAAAAUGUUGAAAGUUGGCAUGGUAUCAUCAUUUCUCCCACAUAGCAUGUGUUACGACAAAAACUGGAUGCACUUCGUGUACAAAACAGACAAUCUCUCUCGAAGUAUGAGGAUUUCGAACGAGAACUCAUCUAUUACAAAGGUAUUUCAUUUUUUGAACUUACUUGAACUCCAUACUUUUUGUGUGUUUAAAAUGAACCAUCCAUUCAAAGGCACAUCACAAAUUUUCAACAAUUUCUGACUUAAUUUGGUAUUUUUCGUGCAUUUACUUUUGUUUUUUGGGCUAGUUGACCCUAAAAUUGAAAAGCACUACAAAUGAACUCUGAAAAUGUUGAAAUUGGCAUGCUAUCAUCAUUUCACCCACAUAGCAUGUGUUGAAAAGUUGAGAGGGCUACGACAAAAACUGGAUGCACUUCGUGUACAAAACGGACAAUCUCUCUCGAAGUAUGAGCGUUUCGAACGAGAACUCAUCUCUUACAAAGGGAUUUUAAUUUUUUUGAACUUAUUUUAACUUCAUACUUUUUAUGUGUUCAAAAUGCACCAUUCAAAGGCACAUCACAAAUUUUCAACAAUUUCUGAUUUCAUUUGGUAUUUUUCGUGCAUUUACUUAUUUGUUUGUGUGCUAGUUGACCCUAAAAUUGAAAAACACUACAAAUGAACUCUGAAAAUGUUGAAAGUUGGCAUGGUAUCAUCAUUUCACCCACAUAGCAUGUGCUAAAAAAGUGGAGAGGGUUGCGACAAAAACUAGAUGCACUUCGUGUACAAAACAGACAAUCUCUCUCGAAGUAUGAGGGUUUCGAACGAGAACUCAUCUAUUACAAAGGUAUUUCAUUUUUUGAACUUACUUGAACUCCAUACUUUUUGUGUGUUUAAAAUGAACCAUCCAUUCAAAGGCACAUCACAAAUUUUCAACAAUUUCUGACUUAACUCGGUAUUCUUCGUGCAUUUAGUUUUGUUUUUUGGGCUAGUUGACCCUGAAAUUGAAAAGCACUACAAAUGAACUUUUAAAAUGUUGAAAGUAGGCAUGCUAUCAUCAUUUCACCCACAUAGGAUGUGUUAAAAAGUUGAGAGGGCUACUACAAAAAACUGGAUGCACUUCGUGUACAAAACGGUCAAUCUCUCUCGAAGUAUCACGGUUUCGAACGAGAACUCAUCUAUCACAAAGGGAUUUCAUUUUUUGAACUUAUUUGAACUCCAUACUUUUGUAAGUUCAAAAUGCACCAUUCAAAGGCACAUCACAAAAUUUCAACAAUUUCUGACUUUAUUUGGUAUUUUUCAUGCAUUUACUUAGUUUUUUUUUGAGCUAGUUGACCCUAAAAUUGAAAAGCACUACAAAUGAACUCUGAAAAUGUUGAAAGUUGGCAUGGUAUCAUCAUUUCACCCACAUAGCAUGUGCUAAAAAGUGGAGAGGGUUACGACAAAAACUGGAUACACUUCGUGUACAAAACAAACAAUCUCUCUCGAAGUAUGAGGGUUUCAAACGAGAACUCAUCUAUUACAAAGGGAUUUCAUUUUUUGAACUUAUUUGAACUCCAUAGUUUUUGUGUGUUUAAAAUGAACCAUUAAAAGGCACAUCACAAAUUUUCAACAAUUUCUGACUUAAUUUGGUAUUCUUCGUGCAUUUAGUUUUGUUUUUUGGGCUAGUUGACCCUGAAAUUGAAAAGCACUACAAAUGAACUUUUAAAAUGUUGAAAGUAGGCAUGCUAUCAUCAUUUCACCCACAUAGGAUGUGUUAAAAAGUUGAGAGGGCUACUACAGUGAAAAUGUUGAAAGUUGGCAUGCUAUCAUCAUUUCACCCACAUAGCAUUUGUUAAAAAGUUGAGAGGGCUACGACAAAAACUGGAUGCACUUUAUGUACAAAACGGACAAUCUCUCUCGAAGUAUCACGGUUUCGAACGAGAAAUCAUCUCUUACAAAGAGAUUUCAUUUUUUUGAACUUAUUUUAACUCCAUACUUUUUGUGUGUUCAAAUGCACCAUUCAAAGGCACAUCACAAAAUUUCAACAAUUUCUGACUUCAUUUGGUAUUUUCCGUGCAUUUACUUAUUGUUUUUGAGCUAGUUCAUCCUAAAAUUGAAACGCACUACAAAUGAACUUUGAAAAUGUUGAAAGUUGGCAUGGUAUCAUCAUUUCACCCACAUAGCAUGUGUUAAAAAGUUGAGAGGGCUACGGCAAAAAUUGGAUGCACUUCGUGUACAAAACAGACAAUCUCUCUCGAAGUAUGAGGGUUUCGAAGGAGAACUCAUCUAUUACAAAGGGAUUUCAUUUUUUGAACUUAUUGGAACUCCAUACUUUUUGUGUGUUUAAAAUGCACCAUUCAAAGGCACAUCACAAAUUUUCAACAAUUUCUGACUUAAUUUGGUAUUCUUCGUGCAUUUACUUUUGUUUUUUUUGGGCUAGUUGACCCUAAAAUUAAAAAACACUACAAAUGAACUCUGAAAAUGUUGAAAGUUGGCAUGUUAUCAUCAUUUCACCCACAUAGCAUGUGUUAAAAAGUUGAGAGGGCUACGACAAAAACUGGAUGUACUUCGUGUACAAAACGGACAAUCUCUCUCGAAGUAUCAGGGUUUCGAACGACAACUCAUCUCUUACAAAGGUUUAUUAAAAUUCUUUUUGCAUAUUUGAGAAUUUGACAAAACUAUGAAAAUGAAAAGUGUUUGAAAUUGAAUAAAUAAUUUAAAACUAAAAGGUUUAGUUCAUUCCAUACAUGCAUUACAUAAAAGGUUUAAUACAUUAUUACAUUAUUGCACCAAUAUUCCUAUCUAUUAUUUCUGUUUUCUUCUGGGUCGUAGCCAUGGAGAAUCUUCAUCAUUUAGUAGGAUGCUUGGGUCAGUUUUCACUUUGAAGGGCGGAAUUUCAUGAAACUUAUUAUAAUCUAGUGACAUGUCUGUCUUGUCAUCUACUCCCACGAUGUUUCUUUUCCCUGAAAGAACUAUGUGGCGUUUUGGCUCAUCGGACGAUAUCUUCUUUUGCUGAUUUAUUUUUCUCGUUUUUGUAGACAUGUCCUUCACUUAGAAAACCUGAGCGACAUCAUUGGCUAGGACAAAUGGUUCGUCCAUGUACGCAAGAUUGUUGAGAUCCACUGUUGUCAUGCCGUACUUUUGGUCUACAACUACCCCGCCUCCUGUCAGCUUCAUCCAUUUGCACCGAAACAAAGGGAUCUUAAAAGUAGGUCUAUAGUCAAGUUUCCAUAUCUCCUCUAUGUACCCGUAAUAUGUUUCCAAACAGUGCCCAUUCUCGUCUGUUGCAUCAAAACGGACACCACUAUUUUGGUUGGUGCUCUUUUUAUCUUAGGCAACCGUGUAAAAUGUAUUCCCAUUUAUCUCAUACCCUUGGAAAGUACAUAUAGUCGAAGAUGGUGGCCUGGCCAAAUAGUACAGAUCAUCUCCAACGGUGUCGUCAUUCAUGAGAUGUGUCCGCAACCAACUGCUGAAAGUCUUCUCGUGUUCCCAUUUAAUCCAAGAGUCAGCCUUCCCCGGGUUUUCGGAGCGUAGAAUAUUCUUGUGUCUCACGAUAUACGGAGCCACCACGAUGGAAUUGUGUAGAACUGUGUAGUGUGCUUGAGAGAAAGAAUGCCCGUCCAUACAUACUUUUGCUUUCCUUCCUAGUGUGCCUUUUUCUUGUCAGCCUACCCUCAUACCGAGAUUCAGGAACACCAAUCGGCUUAAGGUCAGGAAGAAAGUCCACACAAAACUCAAUGACCUCCUCUGUUCCAUAGCCCUUGGAGAUGCUUCCUUCUGGCCUAGCACGGUUACGAACAUAUUUCUUUAAGACUCCCAUGAACCUCUCGAAGGGGGACAUAUUUCUUUAAGACUCCCAUGAACCCUUGGAGAUGUUAAUUUUGGCUGAAUAGCUAACCCAUGCAUGAUUCCAGAAUGAGAGGAAUUGGUGGAAAGGGAGCAACCGCUUUGAGAUUUACAACAUAAGGUUUGUUCUAAUCUCUACAUUGAUUUGCAUCGAUUUUUUUAAAACUUUUAUUUGGGAGGGGGCUACCGAAGCAAAAGCGAAGACAUGUGGACAUGUAGCCUUGCAAUACACACAUCGCUUGGACUGCUCAAGUACUCGCACUCACCUCUAUUGCUUUCUCCUCCAAAUCUUGUGCAUACAAACCACCUUGCGUUGGUGUAUGGUGAAGAGUGUCUAGUCUUGACAAUAUGAAGAAGUUAAAUUAUUCGAUGUAUUUUUGUAAUCAUCCCAAUAUGCAUUGCGUGCCUAUAAGUAAGUGAAAGAGCAGCAAGAAAUAGAUCACAUGGUGAAAUGUGAGAAAAUUCGUGGUUUCCCGGGCCUAGCAUGCAGACCACCGAUGCCAAGAAUAUAACUUAUACACGUAAAGGAUAUUAAAGACCUCAAUAAGUACGACAGAUGCCAACAAUCGCUGAGCUUAAACUCUGAUCAAUAUAUUCUAUUCCAUCGGUUGGUAGGAAAGUGAUAACUGAAGGUUUUCUUUAAGGAAACUACAAUUAAGACGUAUGAUGAACUAAGCUAGAAUAUACAGUAACAGAGGCUUGUAACGGAUAAAGCGAAAGACUAUGUCUAGGCUUUCGGUCUGACUAAUACUAGAGGGGCGACUAAGUGGCAGCGACAUACUAGCUCGUAUUACACGGAGUAAUGCCUCAAAAGAGCAUAAAAAUUAUUCUAAGAAUAAGGAAAGAUUUCUUAAAAUACUAAACGAUCUCUUUCGAUUUUGAUCCGUGGACUGUCAUUUCCAUAGGCGUAUUAGACAUAACCUCGCACCAAGGUCACACGGGGUACCAAUAAUACACAACGAACCAAAGGAUCACACAAAUUUCAUCUAUCCAGUCUAUGUAAGUGCAAGUGCUCACACGAUCAUAUGUAGAACACCACAAGAGUAAACACUAGAUGAUGUCGUAUACUAUAUUAUGUCACUAAGCUCCCUAGGAUUGGAGGCCUCACAACAAAUUGAGGUCUCUGAUUGAAAUUUGGUCAUCCAAUUUUGACAGGGUCAACAACUUUUCAAAGCUCCCUCAUUUUCUUAUAUAAUGCACUAUGUUUUCUAAUUUUUAAAUCUUCACAAUUAAUUGAAAUUCAAAAUUGGGCCGUCCGAUUUUAACGGGGUCAACAAUCUCUCAAUGAGCAUUCUCUUUCAAUACUUUUAGUUCAAAUACUUCCUAAUUUUGGAGCUCUCACAUUUGAUGGACAUAUACAAUUUUGAAUUUGGUUCACAUUUUGACGGGAUCAACAAUUAAUUACUCAAAUCAAUCGGCAGCAACAUACCAUUAAAAUAUAUUAACCGAGUGCACCCUCUCACCAUCUAGAGAAAAGUAGUGCCAACAUGUAAAUUGUAGCACCAAUAUAGUACAUGUAGUUCCUGAUGCAGAUAAUUUCCUCACCUAAAUAUGGAUUGGUUGGCAGAUAACACAGAAUCGCACCACAGAAGACCAACCAAAACACCACACCAAGUAAAGAAAAACCAUACUUCAUCAUCUCGCCCACUCACCAAACCAAACAUUCCCUCAAUUCCAAAAUGUUAAGUGUUUGAAAAAUCCAAUUUCCUAUACUUUGACAAAGUUCAGAGCAAAAAAUAUCAACAUUCACAAUACUAUCUCUCUACCUUAAUAUAAAUAUAAGAUAUUUUUUGGCAUAGACAAUGUCAAAAAAUGUAUGGAUGGUGUACUAAUAAAUAAAGUAUGGAAAUUUAUUUAAUGAUGAAUCCAAUGAUCCUGAUUUGAUGUUAUGAAUAUUGAUAUAUUCCUCUACAUAUUUGAUCAAACUUAAAAGAGUUUUUACUUUUCUAAAAACAAAUACACCAUAUAUUUUAAAAUAGAGGGAGUAAAAUAAAAGCAAACCCGACAACAUCAACGACACAGCAAAGCCCGCCUAACCCUUCUAGUAAAGAUUAAUUAUGCAUACUAGAUCAUACCUUGACCUAGAACUGAAUGAAUCACUCAAACAUAGAUGAACAUAAAAAUAAAUGGAGGAAUGUAGAGAUCGCCAAUGUUGGAUUCAAGUGGUCCCACCACUUAAAUGCUCCAAUGUUCCUAUUUUUCUCUCUCUUUUGAAUGUUCUCAACAUGUGUGUUUACAAUCCGUAAUAGCAAUUCAAAUCCAAACACAAAAUACACAUGCGAUUUGCCUUUUUUGUUUCUCCAUGUGUAUUUUGAAAUUCAUUUUUUUAGAGAUUACAAAUACGUAUUGUGAACAUUAAAAAAAUCAAACUUUUCAAACAUUCAGUUUGUUUUUGAAAGAUUUUUUUAGAUAAUUUGUUGUUUGAAAGAUUUCUUUGAGGUUUAUUUUUCUUUUUGAAAGAGUUUUUUUUAAAUGGGAGCCCAUGGUAUUUUUGAAGGAUUUUUUAUACACAUUUGUUUUUUGAGAGAUUUUUUUAGGCCGAGGUGGCCCACGGAAGGCCCAGCCCAGCAGCAGCAGGCCUUCUCAUUUCGUCUCUGUGUUCUCCCACCCCUCCGCCGUCGCCUCCCAGCGGCCGGUUGGGGAGCGUUCCUCCACCUUCUCCUCCCCUCCUCUCCUAUCGUCUCACUAGAUCAUUGGUGGCGCGCGUUGUUGCGCCCGUCGAUUUUACCAAUAGAAUGGUAGGAAUUGCAAUAGUAUAUAUGAUUCCAUAAAACAAUGAGAGUAGUACUUUUAGGACGAACAAUGUGGGAGGAUAACACUGUGAUCCAUAUAUCUACAAAUGUAAGUUCAGUCACCCAUUAUGAUAAAAGAAUAAUAUAAAUAUUUGGAAAACCUAUGUAGUAUAAUUAUGUAUAUAUAAACAACGGUAGUACAAUAUGUACACUCCACACUACAUUCAGUGAAAAAUACAAUAAUGUAAAUAGUUGGUCCAUAAUAAAGUGACAAUAUACAAGCAAUAACAAUAUGGCCAACGUAAUACACUGUACAUAAGGGAGCUACUUUACCCAUUAUCUUUAAAUUGAGAAUAAAUUGGAAAGGGCACUGGCAUAGAACUUUAUGCCGAGGCAGACAUGAGUUGAAUUAGAAAUCUCAAAGUAGUUGUGUAUCACACGUGACAAACAACACCCUGCAUUUUUUCAAAAAAAAAAUUGCGGUAUUAGAAGGUAAGGAGUUAGUUUAGUGAAGGCAUGUCAAAAUAUUUUAUGUGAUAGUAGGUCAUUUCCUAGUACAAAACCACUCUAAAAAGCAAGACCUUGUAUGCAAGUAGCCUAGAACAUUGACUGAAUGCCAAUAUUUGCAAUAGUCAAGACAUCAAAUAAAAUAUGAAGGUACUUCUUUUCUAGCUCCGGGCUGUAGCUACGAACAUGAUCCCUUGUUACCAUGGAAAUUUUCAAAAAGUACGCAAAUUUGGUCAGUUAUAAUUUCCUCUCCAAAAGCUAGCAGGUAGUGGAGUACUUGAAACGCCAAUUAACAUUAUUUCAGAUUUAGUAUAGUUAAUGGUAAGACAACAUAUCUGGUAAUGAAAAAAGUGUCAUUUUCCCAUUAUUGGAUAAUACUAUCAUACAAAAAAUAAUGUUGACCUCCUAACCAUACCACAAAUCAAAAAUUUCUAACCAGUUUAUUACUUACAGAGAGACAAAUGUUUGGAGGCGAUGAGUAGGUCUCUUGCAAAUGAGAUUACCUUGUGAAAUAAAUCUUUGAGGAAACAAAUGAAAUAUAAUCGAAAAUCUAAAUACAAACUUACUAAUCACAUAUGAAUUUUCUAUCCAAAUGGUAUUAUCAAGUAUCAAUAGAAAAAUAGUAAACAAGGUAAAAUCAUAGUCAUUCAAAUAGCUCCACCAACACAUAUGCUUUGCAAUAUUGUCAAGUAACAUAAGGUGGGACAAUAGUGAUUAACAAAUGCAUGGAACAACAAUAACAACCAUAGUUCAAUUGAGAAAAAAACACCGUCCAAAUUAUGAAACUCAAAUUAAAAGAAAGUACCAACUGAUUAUUGUACAAAUCCAUUCCUUAUUUUUGAUAGUGGGUGUUAUGACCGGUACAACGUACCAAUGGAGGAGGCCCAAUGGCCAGGGUUAGUUACGGGCUUAGCCCAAGUUAUCUUAGAUCUUAGAGUCCAAGUUAUAUUAGAUCUUAGAGUCCAAGUUAUAUUAGAGUCCAAAUUAUAUUAGAGUCCAAGUUAUCUAGGGUUUAGUGGAGGUUGUCCUCCUUUAUAAACACAUGUACCCCUUCGAUAUUAAGCAGACAAUAAAUAGUAUUCUGUUGUCGUCUCCCUCACGAGACGGGAGCCCCAAACCCUAGUCGACUCUCUCUCUCUCUCUCUCUCUCUCUCUCUCUCUCUCUCUCUCUCUCUCUCUCUCUCUCUCUCUCUCUCUCUCUCUCUCUCUCUCUCUCUCUCUCUCUCUCUCUCUCUCUCUCUCUCUCUCUCUCUCUCUCUCUCUCUCUCUCUCUCUCUCUCUCUCUNNNNNNNNNNNNNNNNNNNNNNNNNNNNNNNNNNNNNNNNNNNNNNNNNNNNNNNNNNNNNNNNNNNNNNNNNNNNNNNNNNNNNNNNNNNNNNNNNNNNUGAGCGUGCUUGGAACUGGCUUGAGAAAAAAGGAGACUUGGUGUAGGUAUGCAAUGGAUUAUAAUUGCAAAACUGAUCUUGUUGUGAACAACCUUGGUGAGGUUUUCAACAAAACGAUCCUUGAUGUUAGGGCCAAACCAAUUAGGACAAUGUUUGAAGGAAUUAGGACUAAGCAGAUGAUCAAAAGGCAAAAGACUAGGGAAAAGACAGAGUACAGCAGGUGGACGAUCACACCCAACUAUUCAGAGAAACUGGAGGAGAAUAAGAAGUAUGCCAAAUAUUGUGAGGAACAUAGGGCUGGUCCUGACAUUUGGCAAGUGUCAAGUGGUGAGAAACAGUACUGUGUGAACAUUGCUACUAAAUCAUGUGACUGCAGGAGGUGGGACAUGACAGGUGUGACAUGCAGUCAUGCAAUAGCAGCUAUGAGCAAGGUUCAUAUGCACCCAAAGGACUUUGUGCAUGAAUUUUUCAAAAAAACACUAUAUAUUGAAGCAUACAAAGACAUUGUGUACGCUAUCCCUGGUCCUGAAUUCUGGCCUGACACCCAAACCUAUGAUAUUAAGCCCCCAGUGUUCAAACAAAAAGCAGGCAAUAAACAGACAGCUAGGAGGAAGGGGCAAUUUGAGGUGCCUGCACCAAAGAAAACAAGUAGGAUGGUAACAAUUACAUGCAACAAUUGUGGUCUACAAGGCCAUAGAUUUACAAACUGUGGGAAAGCUCUGAAACCAAGUCUGCAGAUGAGAAAGAACUUACACCAGGUCAUUUAACUCUUUUGUAUGUUUACAAAAAUUUGCAUUAUAUGUUUCAUUAUUUUAGGUGUGGUCUAAUCACUAACUAUUUUAAUUUUGGCAUGCAGGAAAAUAGAGAAAUAUUCAGUGGUUCCUCUAGUGCUACACAAGUACCUCCAGAACCACCACAACAACACCAAAGUUCACACAUCCUAGCCUCAUCUGCUCCACCACUUGGUCCUAAAAUAAUGAGAACCAGAAAAACAGCAGCACCUCCAAGAAGAUCAGCAUCGACAGUUUCAACAGUUUCAACAGGACCAGCCAAGUCUUCACCAGCACCUCCAAGAGGAUCAACAUCAACAAGAGCUGCAAAUGCAGUUAGAAGAUUCAAUGCACCUAGAACAUCCACUGGACAAGCUGUGAUAUUAACAAGCAAGAGGAAGAGGAGACCUACUAGCAAGUUUGCAGCCUAUUUCAGUGCAAGUGGAAACCAUUGAUUUGCUAAAUUGAACUAAGAUUGUGAUUUGGUACUAAGAUUGUGUUUGUACUGAAUUUGUUCCACUGGCGGUGCAUGUUUGUGAUUUAUUUACAUUCAAUGUAUUGUACUAAAUUUGUUUCAGUGGCAAGUGCAUGUUUGUGUUUCAUUUACAGUCAUGUUUGUUGCAUGUUCAGAAAUGUUCAUAUAAAUAAACCCUAAACCAAGAGUUUAGGGUUUUUAUUUACAGUCAUGUUUGAGGUUAAAGUCAACUUCAUUUUGUAAAACCACAAAAAAGAAACAAAAAUUGUUUGGCCUCGGGCUCGAACCCAGGACCUGUGGGUUGUAACCCUAAGUUCAAUGCCAGUGGGAUAAGUCAAGUGAUUUGUUUCACUAUCAUCGGCCAUCCUAGUUAUUAAAACAGGUUCGCCAACCAAAGUCUCGACCCACUCGCCACUCGCUGCUGUCGUUUCGGAUUCUAAGGCAUUAAAACGUGUCCGCCAACCUCUGUCUCGNNNNNNNNNNNNNNNNNNNNNNNNNNNNNNNNNNNNCCUCUGUCUCGACCCACUCUCCACUCGCACCCCCAAUCCCCUCCCCCCUCUCUCCUGUCGAAAUCAGCAAUGGACGGCAGCCUGGGCUGGCAGAAGGCCGUCGAAGACCUCGCCCACAACAACCAGCAGCUGUGUGCCCAGUACUGGGAGAUAGCACGCUGGUUCCCCAAUGUGUAGAUGAUGCGGAACCACGCCCGCAGCCUUCUGAAGGUCAUGACCGCUGCUGAAAAGAAGCAUGCCUUCCCUGCCGGCUUCAACAUCCCGCCGCCGACCGUUCUGUUGUGGGCGAUGCGCGAGACGCAGCUCUCCCCCGACCCCCGGCAGCGAGCUCGUUGNNNNNNNNGAUGCCCGACACGCAGCUCUCCCCCGACCCCAGGCAGCGAGCUCGUUGGUGGAUGUACCACUCAUCCACCACGCCGCCGGCAUGCGAGGAUCUUGCGCGCGUUGCAUAAAGGGCGGAGCACGUCACCGACGUCGUCCUUGCUCUCCCAGCCCCCAUCAACACCGCCUACUGGGAGAAUCGCAAUCCAUGGGUGCUCAGGCCAGACGACGACUCCGACGAUGACACAUCUGACGACGAGGUGGAGGAGCUGGUCGUUCUCUUCGAUGAGGUNNNNNNNNNNNNNNNNNNNNNNNNNNNNNNNNNNNNNNNNNNNNNNNNNNNNNNNNNNNNNNNNNNNNNNNNNNNNNNNNNNNNNNNNNNNNNNNNNNNNGUUAACUGUGAAACAAUUCGACAUUGUCUUAAGUGAGCACCAAACUCGAAACUCAGAUAUUCACCCCCACGAUCAGACCGUAGGAACUUGAUCUUCUUGUUACGAUGAUUUUCCACUUCACUCUGAAAUUGCUUGAACUUUUCAAAUGUUUCAGACUUGUGCUUCAUCAAGUAGACAUAACCAUAUCUACUUAAAUCGUCAGUGAAGGUGAGAAAAUAACGAUAUCCGCCGCGUGCCUCUACGCUCAUUGGACCACACACAUCGGUAUGUAUGAUUUCCAACAAGUCACUCGCACGCUGCAUUGUUCCGGAGAACGGAGUNNNNNNNNNNNNNNNNNNNNNNNNGUCACUUGCACGCUCCAUUGUUCCUGAGAACGGAGUUUUAGUCAUCUUGCCCAUGAGGCAUGGUUCGCACGUGUCAAGUGAAUCAAAGUCAAGUGACUCCAAAAGUCCAUCACCAAUAUGACCUAAGCGGCAGUGCCACAAAAAUAUGGCGCUAUCAUUGUUAACUCUAACUCUUUUGGUCUCAAUGUUAUGUAUAUGCGUAUCGCUAUCAAGAUUCAACAUGAACAAUCCUCUCACAUUCGGUGCAUGACCAUAAAAGAUGUUACUCAUAGAAAUAGAACAACCAUUAUUCUCUGACUUAAAAGAGUAACAGUCUCGCAAUAAACAAGAUCCAGAUAUAAUGUUCAUGCUCAACGCAGGCACUAAGUAACAAUGAUUUAAGUUCAUCACUAAUCCUGACGGUAACUGAAGUGACACUGUGCCGACGGCAAUUGCAUCAACCUUGGAAUCAUUUCCUACGCGCAUCGUCACUUCAUCUUUCGCCAGCCUUCGCCUAUUCUGCAGUUCCUGUUUCGAGUUGCAAAUAUGAGCAACAGAACCGGUAUCGAAUACCCAGGCACUACUACGAGAGCCGGUUAAGUACACAUCAAUAACAUGUAUAUCAAAUAUACCUGAUUUUUCUUUGCCCGCCUUCUUAUCUGCCAGAUACUUGGGGCAAUUGCGCUUCCAGUGACCCAUACCCUUGCAAUAGUAGCACUCCGUUUCAGGCUUAGGUCCAGCCUUGGGUUUCUUCGGCGGAUUGGCAACAGGUUUGCCGCUCUUCUUCGAAUUGCCCUUCUUGCCUUUGCCGUUUCUCUUGAAACUAGUGGUCUUGCUCACCAUCAACACUUGAUGCUCUUUACGGAGUUCAGACUCUGCGACUUUCAGCAUCGCAAACAACUCGCCGGGAGACUUGUUCAUCCCUUGCAUNNNNNNNNNNNNNNNNNNNNNNNNNNNNNNNNNNNNNNNNNNNNNNNNNNNNNNNNNNNNNNNNNNNNNNNNNNNNNNNNNNNNNNNNNNNNNNNNNNNNUUUAUAGUUAUAAACUGCAUAGUAUCAUAUAGUUUACAAAGAUAGAUUAUAACUACUAUAGAUACUUAUAAAACAACAUCAUAUAGUCAUAAACAACAACACAUAGGCAUACACUUUCAAUUCAUAAAUUAUUGACAUCGUGUAGAUUGUAGAGAUAAUUUUGAGUUUACAUAGAUUUCAUAUGGGUACAUGGGUAUAUGGGUAUGGGUUAUAUGAUCCCAUACCCAUACCCGCUCUACCCGAUGGGUUUCAGAUUUUCCUAUUUAUAUACCCAUGGAUAAAUUUUUGUCACGUACCCUUACCCUAAUAGGGGUUUUACCCGCAUGGUACAUGGGUAAUGGGUACCCAUUGCCAUCCCUAGCCUAGAUACAUGUGCGAACCCUGGCUGUUGGACAAUGGUGGGUGCAUCCAUGCAUGCCUGUGGGAUUUUAGUCCUACCUCGGGAGUGGACAAAGCUCAGGUGGUGUUUCUUUACCUAGGGACUAGACUAAAAAGUCCCUUCUAGUUCCUAGGUAAAGAAACAGGAGGGACUUUUCUUUAAGGGAUUAGAAAAAGUCUCUAUUGGAGGGACUNNNNNNNNNNNNNNNNNNNNNNNNNNNNNNNNNNNNNNNNNNNNNNNNNNNNNNNNNNNNNNGGGACUUUUUUCUUUAGUCCCUGGGACUAAAAAAGUCUAGUCCCUUGGAAAGAAACACCACCUCAUAUGUCCAUUUGGAUAAGAUGGUAGUUACUCCCUCUAUUUUUAAAUAUAAGUCUUUUAAGAGAUUUUACUAGUGGACUACAUACAAAACAAAAUGAGUGAAUCUACACUCUAAAGUGUUGAGAAAAUAGGUAAUUUUCCGAGUAGAUUAAUCCACAAUAUAAUAACUAGCAUGACAUUGACUAGACUAAUGACAUACUGAUCAUGAACUAAUGUAGCACAUACUACACAUAUAGUUGAUACAUCUAUGCAUGCAAGUAGUACUGCUAGGAUUGAAACGAACAAGAGUGGGAUAAACGAGNNNNNNNNNNNNNNNNNNNNNNNNNNNNNNNNNNNNNNNNNNNNNNNNNNNNNNNNNNNNNNNNNNNNNNNNNNNNNNNNNNNNNNNNNNNNNNNNNNNNNNNNNNNNNNNNNNNNNNNNNNNNNNNNNNNNNNNNNNNNNNNNNNNNNNNNNNNNNNNNNNNNNNNNNNNNNNNNNNNNNNNNNNNNNNNNNNNNNNNNNNNNNNNNNNNNNNNNNNNNNNNNNNNNNNNNNNCGUGAUCGCUCGUCAAAAACCUAAUCGCCCUCUCCUGUACAGGAACCGGAGAGGCGGGGUUUCUGAGGCCUGCUCUCCCGUCGACCGUGUACGCGGUGAACGGGAUGGAGUCGCUGGCGGCAGCAGCAGCAAAGGAACGAGCGCGUGAGGCAGNNNNNNNNNNNNNNNNNNNNNNNNNNNNNNNNNNNNNNNNNNNNNNNNNNNNNNNNNNNNNNNNNNNNNNNNNNNNNNNNNNNNNNNNNNNNNNNNNNNNAAAAAGAGGAAAAAUGAAAGGAAGGAAGAGGAAAAAUGAGGAGAAGGAGAAGGAGGAGAGAGAGGAGGAGGAGAAGAAGAAGGAGAAGAAGGAGAAGAAGGAGGAGAAGGAGGAGGAAGAAGGAGGAAGAAGGAGGAAGAAGGAGGAAGAAGGAGGAAGAAGGAGGAAGAAGGAGGAAGAAGGAGGAAGAAGGAGGAAGAAGGAGGAAGAAGGAGGAAGAAGGAGGAAGAAGGAGGAAGAAGGAGGAAGAAGGAGGAAGAAGGAGGAAGAAGGAGGAAGAAGGAGGAAGAAGGAGGAAGAAGGAGGAAGAAGGAGGAAGAAGGAGGAAGAAGGAGGAAGAAGGAGGAAGAAGGAGGAAGAAGGAGGAAGAAGGAGGAAGAAGGAGGAAGAAGGAGGAAGAAGGAGGAAGAAGGAGGAAGAAGGAGGAAGAAGGAGGAAGAAGGAGGAAGAAGGAGGAAGAAGGAGGAAGAAGGAGGAAGAAGGAGGAAGAAGGAGGAAGAAGGAGGAAGAAGGAGGAAGAAGGAGGAAGAAGGAGGAAGAAGGAGGAAGAAGGAGGAAGAAGGAGGAAGAAGGAGGAAGAAGGAGGAAGAAGGAGGAAGAAGGAGGAAGAAGGAGGAAGAAGGAGGAAGAAGGAGGAAGAAGGAGGAAGAAGGAGGAAGAAGGAGGAAGAAGGAGGAAGAAGGAGGAAGAAGGAGGAAGAAGGAGGAAGAAGGAGGAAGAAGGAGGAAGAAGGAGGAAGAAGGAGGAAGAAGGAGGAAGAAGGAGGAAGAAGGAGGAAGAAGGAGGAAGAAGGAGGAAGAAGGAGGAAGAAGGAGGAAGAAGGAGGAAGAAGGAGGAAGAAGGAGGAAGAAGGAGGAAGAAGGAGGAAGAAGGAGGAAGAAGGAGGAAGAAGGAGGAAGAAGGAGGAAGAAGGAGGAAGAAGGAGGAAGAAGGAGGAAGAAGGAGGAAGAAGGAGGAAGAAGGAGGAAGAAGGAGGAAGAAGGAGGAAGAAGGAGGAAGAAGGAGGAAGAAGGAGGAAGAAGGAGGAAGAAGGAGGAAGAAGGAGGAAGAAGGAGGAAGAAGGAGGAAGAAGGAGGAAGAAGGAGGAAGAAGGAGGAAGAAGGAGGAAGAAGGAGGAAGAAGGAGGAAGAAGGAGGAAGAAGGAGGAAGAAGGAGGAAGAAGGAGGAAGAAGGAGGAAGAAGGAGGAAGAAGGAGGAAGAAGGAGGAAGAAGGAGGAAGAAGGAGGAAGAAGGAGGAAGAAGGAGGAAGAAGGAGGAAGAAGGAGGAAGAAGGAGGAAGAAGGAGGAAGAAGGAGGAAGAAGGAGGAAGAAGGAGGAAGAAGGAGGAAGAAGGAGGAAGAAGGAGGAAGAAGGAGGAAGAAGGAGGAAGAAGGAGGAAGAAGGAGGAAGAAGGAGGAAGAAGGAGGAAGAAGGAGGAAGAAGGAGGAAGAAGGAGGAAGAAGGAGGAAGAAGGAGGAAGAAGGAGGAAGAAGGAGGAAGAAGGAGGAAGAAGGAGGAAGAAGGAGGAAGAAGGAGGAAGAAGGAGGAAGAAGGAGGAAGAAGGAGGAAGAAGGAGGAAGAAGGAGGAAGAAGGAGGAAGAAGGAGGAAGAAGGAGGAAGAAGGAGGAAGAAGGAGGAAGAAGGAGGAAGAAGGAGGAAGAAGGAGGAAGAAGGAGGAAGAAGGAGGAAGAAGGAGGAAGAAGGAGGAAGAAGGAGGAAGAAGGAGGAAGAAGGAGGAAGAAGGAGGAAGAAGGAGGAAGAAGGAGGAAGAAGGAGGAAGAAGGAGGAAGAAGGAGGAAGAAGGAGGAAGAAGGAGGAAGAAGGAGGAAGAAGGAGGAAGAAGGAGGAAGAAGGAGGAAGAAGGAGGAAGAAGGAGGAAGAAGGAGGAAGAAGGAGGAAGAAGGAGGAAGAAGGAGGAAGAAGGAGGAAGAAGGAGGAAGAAGGAGGAAGAAGGAGGAAGAAGGAGGAAGAAGGAGGAAGAAGGAGGAAGAAGGAGGAAGAAGGAGGAAGAAGGAGGAAGAAGGAGGAAGAAGGAGGAAGAAGGAGGAAGAAGGAGGAAGAAGGAGGAAGAAGGAGGAAGAAGGAGGAAGAAGGAGGAAGAAGGAGGAAGAAGGAGGAAGAAGGAGGAAGAAGGAGGAAGAAGGAGGAAGAAGGAGGAAGAAGGAGGAAGAAGGAGGAAGAAGGAGGAAGAAGGAGGAAGAAGGAGGAAGAAGGAGGAAGAAGGAGGAAGAAGGAGGAAGAAGGAGGAAGAAGGAGGAAGAAGGAGGAAGAAGGAGGAAGAAGGAGGAAGAAGGAGGAAGAAGGAGGAAGAAGGAGGAAGAAGGAGGAAGAAGGAGGAAGAAGGAGGAAGAAGGAGGAAGAAGGAGGAAGAAGGAGGAAGAAGGAGGAAGAAGGAGGAAGAAGGAGGAAGAAGGAGGAAGAAGGAGGAAGAAGGAGGAAGAAGGAGGAAGAAGGAGGAAGAAGGAGGAAGAAGGAGGAAGAAGGAGGAAGAAGGAGGAAGAAGGAGGAAGAAGGAGGAAGAAGGAGGAAGAAGGAGGAAGAAGGAGGAAGAAGGAGGAAGAAGGAGGAAGAAGGAGGAAGAAGGAGGAAGAAGGAGGAAGAAGGAGGAAGAAGGAGGAAGAAGGAGGAAGAAGGAGGAAGAAGGAGGAAGAAGGAGGAAGAAGGAGGAAGAAGGAGGAAGAAGGAGGAAGAAGGAGGAAGAAGGAGGAAGAAGGAGGAAGAAGGAGGAAGAAGGAGGAAGAAGGAGGAAGAAGGAGGAAGAAGGAGGAAGAAGGAGGAAGAAGGAGGAAGAAGGAGGAAGAAGGAGGAAGAAGGAGGAAGAAGGAGGAAGAAGGAGGAAGAAGGAGGAAGAAGGAGGAAGAAGGAGGAAGAAGGAGGAAGAAGGAGGAAGAAGGAGGAAGAAGGAGGAAGAAGGAGGAAGAAGGAGGAAGAAGGAGGAAGAAGGAGGAAGAAGGAGGAAGAAGGAGGAAGAAGGAGGAAGAAGGAGGAAGAAGGAGGAAGAAGGAGGAAGAAGGAGGAAGAAGGAGGAAGAAGGAGGAAGAAGGAGGAAGAAGGAGGAAGAAGGAGGAAGAAGGAGGAAGAAGGAGGAAGAAGGAGGAAGAAGGAGGAAGAAGGAGGAAGAAGGAGGAAGAAGGAGGAAGAAGGAGGAAGAAGGAGGAAGAAGGAGGAAGAAGGAGGAAGAAGGAGGAAGAAGGAGGAAGAAGGAGGAAGAAGGAGGAAGAAGGAGGAAGAAGGAGGAAGAAGGAGGAAGAAGGAGGAAGAAGGAGGAAGAAGGAGGAAGAAGGAGGAAGAAGGAGGAAGAAGGAGGAAGAAGGAGGAAGAAGGAGGAAGAAGGAGGAAGAAGGAGGAAGAAGGAGGAAGAAGGAGGAAGAAGGAGGAAGAAGGAGGAAGAAGGAGGAAGAAGGAGGAAGAAGGAGGAAGAAGGAGGAAGAAGGAGGAAGAAGGAGGAAGAAGGAGGAAGAAGGAGGAAGAAGGAGGAAGAAGGAGGAAGAAGGAGGAAGAAGGAGGAAGAAGGAGGAAGAAGGAGGAAGAAGGAGGAAGAAGGAGGAAGAAGGAGGAAGAAGGAGGAAGAAGGAGGAAGAAGGAGGAAGAAGGAGGAAGAAGGAGGAAGAAGGAGGAAGAAGGAGGAAGAAGGAGGAAGAAGGAGGAAGAAGGAGGAAGAAGGAGGAAGAAGGAGGAAGAAGGAGGAAGAAGGAGGAAGAAGGAGGAAGAAGGAGGAAGAAGGAGGAAGAAGGAGGAAGAAGGAGGAAGAAGGAGGAAGAAGGAGGAAGAAGGAGGAAGAAGGAGGAAGAAGGAGGAAGAAGGAGGAAGAAGGAGGAAGAAGGAGGAAGAAGGAGGAAGAAGGAGGAAGAAGGAGGAAGAAGGAGGAAGAAGGAGGAAGAAGGAGGAAGAAGGAGGAAGAAGGAGGAAGAAGGAGGAAGAAGGAGGAAGAAGGAGGAAGAAGGAGGAAGAAGGAGGAAGAAGGAGGAAGAAGGAGGAAGAAGGAGGAAGAAGGAGGAAGAAGGAGGAAGAAGGAGGAAGAAGGAGGAAGAAGGAGGAAGAAGGAGGAAGAAGGAGGAAGAAGGAGGAAGAAGGAGGAAGAAGGAGGAAGAAGGAGGAAGAAGGAGGAAGAAGGAGGAAGAAGGAGGAAGAAGGAGGAAGAAGGAGGAAGAAGGAGGAAGAAGGAGGAAGAAGGAGGAAGAAGGAGGAAGAAGGAGGAAGAAGGAGGAAGAAGGAGGAAGAAGGAGGAAGAAGGAGGAAGAAGGAGGAAGAAGGAGGAAGAAGGAGGAAGAAGGAGGAAGAAGGAGGAAGAAGGAGGAAGAAGGAGGAAGAAGGAGGAAGAAGGAGGAAGAAGGAGGAAGAAGGAGGAAGAAGGAGGAAGAAGGAGGAAGAAGGAGGAAGAAGGAGGAAGAAGGAGGAAGAAGGAGGAAGAAGGAGGAAGAAGGAGGAAGAAGGAGGAAGAAGGAGGAAGAAGGAGGAAGAAGGAGGAAGAAGGAGGAAGAAGGAGGAAGAAGGAGGAAGAAGGAGGAAGAAGGAGGAAGAAGGAGGAAGAAGGAGGAAGAAGGAGGAAGAAGGAGGAAGAAGGAGGAAGAAGGAGGAAGAAGGAGGAAGAAGGAGGAAGAAGGAGGAAGAAGAAGGAGAAGGAGGAGGAGAAGAAGAAGGAGGAGAGGGAGAAGGAGAAGAAGAAGGAGAAGAAGGAGAAGAAGGAGAAGAAGGAGGAGAAGGAGAAGGAGCUNNNNNNNNNNNNNNNNNNNNNNNNNNNNNNNNNNNNNNNNNNNNNNNNNNNNNNNNNNNNNNNNNNNNNNNNNNNNNNNNNNNNNNNNNNNNNNNNNNNNRSRUUCWUCUUUUUUUCUGUAAAUACAUGGAUGGAUGGAUGUGAGAUGGUGAGAUAGAUGGAUGGAUGGAUGGGUGCCAUGUCAUUGAUCCGUGGGAAGAGUUUUGAUUGGUUAGAACAUGUUACGACAUUUUUGUAAUCGUCCUAAAAGUUAUGACGAUCUCAUCUUAUGCGGUUACGACGAUUUUGACUCACAUUGUCGUAAUUUAUAUGUAGAUUUGAUCCCCACAAACGGUUUAUGAUGAUUGUGGAUGAAAUCGUCAUAAAUUUAUGACGAAUUCAUCAACGUCGUCUUAAAAAACGUCAAGUAUGAGCAUAUUUCUUGUAGUGUUCGUCUUCAAUCCAUCGGUAACAUUACUUGGAGCUAUAUUUUUAUUCACCACAUGAUAUGUGUUUUGCUUGGAGUGUCUUGUAUCUUAGGAGUCUUUUCUUUUUGUUGUGUCACAAUCAUCCUUGCUGCACACCUUUUUGAGAGAGAGAGAGACAUGCACUAAUCGUGAUUUUGCUAGAAUGCUCCUAGUGCUUCACUUAUAUCUUUUGAGCUAGAUACUUUGCUCUAUGUGCUUCACUUAUAUCUUAUAGAGCACGGCGGUGCGUGACUUGGUAGUUGGCUUAUGCUAUGAAAGUAGUCUCAAAGGUGAUAGGUACCCAAACAGGAUACAAAAACCUCCAUCUUCAUGUGCAUUGAGUAGAAAGAGAAGUCUUGAUUCCUCUCAAUUAGUUUUGAGACGUGGAUUUGGUAAUAUUAAGAGCUAUGUUAGUAGGGUGUUGUGAAUCUAGAAAUACUUGUGUUGAAGUUAGUGAUUCCCAUAGCAUGCACGUAUGGUGAACCGCUAUGUUAGAAAGUCAGAGCAUAAUUGAUCUAUUGAUUGUCAUCCGUUGUAUUGAGGUCGGGAUCGCGCGAUGGUUAACACCUACCAACCCUUCCCCUCGGAGUAUGCGUUUAGCACUUUGUUUUGAUUACUAAUAAAAACUUUUGCAACAACUAUGUGAGUUCUUCAUGACUAAUGUGAGUCCAUGGUAUAGAUGCACUUUCCCCUUCCACCUUUGCUAGCCUCUUUAGUGCUGCGCAAUUCUCACCGGUGCACAAACCUACCAUAUGCCUUCCUCAAAACAGCCAACAUACCUACCUACUAUGGCAUUUUCAUAGCCAUUCCGAGAUAUAUUGCCAUCCAACUCCCACCGUUCUGUCUCAUGACUUGUGCCGUCACUCUCAUAUUGUCAUUGCAUGAUCGUAAGAUAGCCAGCGAGAUGUUUUCAACGUCAUACGCCAUGCUAGAUCGUUGUACAUCCCGGUACACUGCCGGAGGCAUUUUCUAUAGAGUCAUCAUUAUUUUGAGCUUUGAGCUGUGAGUAAAUAAAAGUGUGAUGAUCAUCAUUAUUAGAGCAUUGUCCCAUGUGAGGAGAAAAAAGAGGCCAAAGAGCCCAAAUAAAAAAAAUAGAAAAAAGAGGGCCAAGUGCCCAAAUAAAAAAAUAAAAAAAAGGAGAGAAAAAGAGAGAAGGGACAAUGCUACUAUCUUUUUCCACACUUGUGCUUCAUAAUAGCACCAUGUUCUUCAUGAUUGAGAGCUUCUUGCUUUGGCACUACCAUAUGCUAGUGGGAAUCUUCAUUAUAUAACUUGGCUUGUAUAUUCCAAUGAUGGGCUUCCUCAAAAUUGCCCUAGGUCUUCGUGAGCAAGCAAGUUGGAUGCACACCCACUAGUUCUCCUUUUGAGCUUUCACAUACUUAUAGCUCUAGUGCAUCUCUUGUAUGGCAAUCCCUACUCAUUCACAUUGAUAUCUAUUAAUGGGCAUCUCCAUAGCCCUUUGAUACACCGAGUCAAUGUGACCAUCUCCUCCUUUUUGUCUCACAACCACCACCACACUCUAUUCCACUUAUAGUGCUAUAUCCAUGGCUCGCGCUCAUGUAUUUGCGUGAUAGUUAUAAAAAGUUUGAGAAAGUAAGAGUGUGAAAGCAAUUACUUGGCCAAUAUCGGGGUUGUGCAUGAUUUACAUUAGUUGUGUGAGGAUGACGGGGCAUAGCCACACUAUAUGAUUUUGUAGGGAUAACUUUCCUUGGCCUUGUUAUUUUGAAAGUUCAUGAUUACUUUGCUAGUUUGCUUGAAGUAUUAUUGUUUUCAUGUCAAUAGCAAACUAUUGUUUCGAAUCUUACGGAUCUGAACAUUCACGUCACGUGAAAGAAGUUGCAAAGGACAACUAUGCUAAGUAGCAUUCCACAUCAAAAAUUCAUUCUUUAUCACUUCCCCACUCGAGAACGAGCAGGAGUUAAGCUUGGGGAUGCUUGAUACGUUUCCAACGUAUCUAUAAUUUUUGAUGGUUUCAUGCUAUUAUCUUGUCAAACUUUGGAUGUUUUGCAUGCCUUUUAUAUAUUUUUUGGGACUAACUUAUUAACUCAGUGCCAAGAGCUUUUUCCAUGUUUUUGACCCCUUUCAGAGGAGGAUUUUGAACGGAGUCCAAACGGAAUGAAACUGCCAAAAAGAUUUUUUCCGGAACAGAAAAAGAUCGGGGAGGCGGAGAAUCGGGGCACGGGGCCACCAGGGACCCCACAAGCCCUCAUGGCGCGGCCAGGGGGGCCCACAGCCCCCUGGCUUGUGGGCUCCCUGAGGCUCCUUUUCUCUAAGUUUUGCGCCUAUAUAUUCCCUAAAAUUCCAUAAAAAAUAAGGAGAUCAUCGAAAGUACUUUUUCGCCACCGCAAGCUUCUGUCUCCGCAAGAUCCCAUCUGGGGCAUGUUCUGGUGCCCUGUCGGAGGGGGGAUUCGGACACGGAGGGCUUCUUCAUCAACACCAUGACCUAUCCAAUGAUGCGUGAGUAGUUCACCAUAGACCUACGGGUGCAUAGCUAGUAGCUAGAUGGCUUCUUCUCUCUCUUGGAUCUUCAAUACAAAGUUCUCCAUGAUCUUCAUGGAGAUCUAUCCGAUGUAAUCUUCUUUUGCGGUGUGUUUGUCGAGAUCCGAUGAAUUGUGGAUUUAUGAUCAGAUUAUCUAUGAAUCUUAUUUGAGUUUCUUCUGAUCUCUCUUAUGCAUGAUUUCAUAUCCUUGUAAUUCUCUUCGAGUUGUGGGUUUUGUUUGGCCCACUAGAUCUAUGAUUCUUGCAAUGGGAGAAGUGCUUGGUUUUGGGUUCAUACCGUGCGGUGACCUCACCCAGUGACAGAAGGGGUAGCGAGGCACGCAUCGUGUUGUUGCCAUCAAGGGUAAAAAGAUGGGGUUUUCAUCAUUGGUUUGAGAUUAUCCCUCUACAUCAUGUCAUCUUGCUUAAGGCGUUACUCUGUUCGCCAUGAACUCAAUACACUAGAUGCAUGCUGGAUAGCGGUCGAUGUGUGGAGUAAUAGUAGUAGAUGCAGAAAGUAUCGGUCUACUUGUCUCGGAUGUGAUGCCUAUAUGUAUAAUCAUUGCCUUAGAUAUCGUCAUGACUUUGCGCGGUUCUAUCAAUUGAUCGACGGUAAUUUGUUCACCCACCGUGAAAUUUGCUAUUUUGAGAGAAGCCUCUAGUGAACACUAUGGCCCCCGGGUCUACUCCACACCAUAUUUUCAGCCUUACUCUUUUUACUUCGUUGCACUUUCCGCCUUCAGAUCUCACUUUGCAAUCAAUCUUGAAGGGAUUGACAACCCCUUUAUAGCGUUGGGUGCAAGCUCUUUUGUGUUUGUGCAGGUACUCUGGACUUGACGAGAUUCUCCUACUGGAUUGAUACCUUGGUUCUCAAACUGAGGGAAAUACUUACUGCUCCUGUGCUGCAUCGCCAUUUCGUCUUCAAGGGAAAAACCGACGUAAACAAGAGAAGUAGCAAGAAGAAUUCCUGGCGUUGCUGGGGAAGGACUUUUGUUGCCGUAGCAUGGACUCGCAUGAAGCGUGAGAUUGCUCAGUUCGUAAAUGAAUGUGAUGUAUGUCGAAGGGUGAAAGCAGAGCAUCAACGUCCAGCGGGUCUUUGCAUCCAUUGCCCAUUCCCGAGUGGAAGUUCGACCAUAUUGAGAUGGAUUUCGUCACCGGGUUUCCGAAGUCCAAGAAGGGUAAUCAUGCCAUCUUCGUCGUCAUCGACAAGUUGAGUAAAGUGGCUCAUUUUCUUCCAGUCAAGGAAUCCAUCUCCGCAGCUCAGCUUGCAGAGGUGUACACUUCCAGGAUAGUGUCUUUGCACGGCGUGCCUAUGAUGAUUUCUUCGGAUCACACAAGUAUCUUCACUUCCAAGUUCUGGGACUUUUUUCAGUCUGCGAUGGGCACGAAGAUACGCUUCAGCAUAGCUUUUCAUCCUCAGACUAGUGGUCAAGUGCAGAGAGUCAAUCAGGUCCUUGAGGAUAUGCUGAGAGCAUGUGUUAUCUCUUUGGGCAUGAAGUGGGAAGACUGCCUGCCUUUCGCUGAGUUCUCGUAUAACAACAGUUAUUAAGCUAGUUCAGGCAAAGCUUCGUUUGAAUUCUCUAUGGAAGGAAGUGUCGUACCCCGCUCAACUGGUCCGAGACCGGCGAGCGUCAGAUUCUUGGAAAUGACUUGAUAGAAGAAGCUGAAGAGAUGUGUCGGGUCAUUCGGGAUAAUCUCAGAGCAGCGCAGUCCCGUCAGAAGAGCUAUUAUGAUAGCAAGCAUCUUGACAUGUCUUAUGAGCUCGAUGACUUCGUCUAUCUCAAGGUCUCCCCUAUGAAGGGUACACAACGCUUUGGCAUCAAAGCCAAGCUUGUGCCUCGUUUCGUGGGUCCUUUCAGAGUUGUUGGCAAGAGAGGCGACCUUGCAUAUCAGCUCGAGCUCCCGUCAAACUUUGCAAAUGUGCAUGACGUGUUCCAUGUCUCUCAGCUCCGGAGAUGCUUCAAGACUCCCAAGCACACUGUUCAUCUUCAAGACAUCGACCUUCAACCCGACCUAUCCUAUCGUGAGCAUCCAAUUGUGGUUCUCGAGGCGACUGAGCGCAAGACCCGCAACAAGACUUUCAAAUUUCUCAAGGUGCAAUGGUCACACCAUUCCGAUAAAAAGGCCACUUGGGAACGCGAGGAUCACCUCCAUUCUGAAUUCCCAGAGUUCUUUCAGUCUUAGAUCUCGGGGCGAGAUCUUUUUGUAGUGUGGCAGAGUUUGUAAUGCCCCAAGAGUGUAACUUGCCUUAUUUGGAACCUUCUGUAUGUGAGACCAUCUUGUCUUUGCAAUGAGAGUUAUAUUCCAUGUGGUAUUUCAUGUGCACGCCUUGUUUUCUUUUGCAUUCAUGCAUCCAUUCAUCCAUGUCUCUUGUGUUGUUGCUAAUGUGAUCAUGUGUAUGUGUUGUGAUGACAUGUGAUGAUAUGUGGUUCUAUGUGAAGUGUUCUGGAGUGGUGCAAUUGUAAGUAGGAAGCAUCUAUGUUAGUUGCAAUAGGUUUUAUAAAACUCCCCUUCUCUAUUUUCUCAAGCUCAAAAUUCUCUUGCUCCAUUCCGGUUUCAAAAAUGCCCAUGUUUUAGUAUGAUUGUGGUGGAUGUGAUGUUAUGUAUUUGUUGUUUUGAAACUAUGUUUUAGUGGUGCAAAUAUUCACAAAACACAUCAACUAAAUUAUGUUUUGUAAAUAUUUUUAUGCUCCAAAAAUUCCUUUUAUAUUUUAUUUAAAUAGGUCAUAAUUCCUUAUGACCAGGGGUAUUUUUGUUUUAUUUUUAGCUUCAACAGAUUUGCCUAUGUUUUAUUUCUUGUCUCUGUUUGUUUGAAAUUAGCAAACCCCAGUGGGUUUUCUUUUCUUAUCUCGCACCUGCGAGUGGGCUUUCUCCCACAAGCUGGCCCAACUUCCUCCCGCACGCCAGCCUUUCCCUGUAGAUGGCGUCCCCUUCCCCUGUCGCUUUCCGUCGGACUCCCUCAGAGACAGCGCGCCAGCGAGCAACACCGUCUCACGGACGUCGAGGCCGCGCGUCCCUCGCCUCCUCCUCCUCCAUAAAUAACCCUUGGCGUCCGUGCAAGGCCUAGGGUUCCUCCCUAGCCGCCGCCACUCCUUCCCCAUCUCCUCCUCCCUCUCCCUCGUCGGCAGCAGGUAAGAGAGCGAGCUCCUCCGCCAUGGCCGUGACUUGAGAAGGUCCUCGUCGCCGCUGUCGUGCCUCUGCGUCCUCUCCAACCCUUCGGCGAGCAUGCGGGACCUCCAGGGAACCCGUUCCCGCAGCUAGGAGGAGCAGAUCUGCACUGCUACGCCUACUUCGACGACAGCGGCUUCCUCUCCGUCGAUCCCCUCCGCCGCGGCUUCUUCCAUUCCUUCCUCUACUUCCUCUCCGACAGGCACAGCGUCCUCGUCCAUUGGGUGACCUAGCUUCUUCCUUCCCCUUCCCUAUCGCCAGAUCGAGAGUAGGAACCCGUAGCCGCGCCGUGUUCUUCUCUCUAUCGUCGGCGCCGCCGCGUACCGUUGAGCGGUAGAUGUAGGCCUCCUCGAGUAGAGUUAGCUAGUGGAAUGGAACCCUGGAGCCCCUUCUCCCUUCCAUCGACGAGCCGCAGUGAAAUUUGGCGUAUAUCGCCGGCGAGGUGCUUCCCCUGUUCCGGCCACCGUCAGGCAGAGGAAGGACCACAGGGGUUGCUCAAUAGAACCUCCUCUACUCUGUUAAGAUCCACGCACAGCAUAGUGGUAGGGCGGUUUUGUGGCAUCAGGUGGUCGUGGGUUCGAAACCCCGCGGCGCCACCCCUUUUGUUUUGUGGAUUUCGGCACAGUAGCUUCAGUUGAGUGCAUAACCUGUUUACCCUAUCCCUUCUGUCGAACCAGAGUGGUGUAGUGCAGUGGUGUUGGUCCCUGGUGGUGAACCAGGGAGUCUUGGGUUCGAAUCCCCCAAGCCCUUUUAUUUUAUUUUGCCUUUCCUUUUGCUGGUUUUUCUUUUGUUUGCCAUGAUAGUUUCUGUGGAGAGCUAGGGCAGCAUGUAUGGUAUUUUGCUUGCCUCCUACCAGUAGGUUGCCUAGUUAUUUUGCUAGUAUGUGUAGUGAUGCAUGUGUAGGCUUUGUGUGCAUAUGUGUAUUGUGAGCUAGUGAUGUAUGUGGUGUGUGUUUAUAAGUGAGUGAUGCACUAGCUUGUGCAAGUGUGUGUGUGUGUGGGUUCCCCCCCCCCACAUACUUUGUGUUUGUGAUGUGCUUAUGCAUAUGACUUUAUGUGGUGCAACUCCUAUGCAUGUGUGCUUGUGUGGUGCAAGCACCCAAGGAGUGUGUAGGUGUAUGUCAUAUGUGCAUGUGAGUGUGAGAUUUCCAUGUGGAGUUGUGUGUGUGUGUGUGUGUGCAUGUGUGUGUGUGUGUGUGUCACACACAUGCUCAAGGCACCUGGUGUGCCUUGAUUAGCACUUAUGGCAAGCUUGUAUGUGUAGGUGUAGGAAUGCAUGAAGUGAGUAAGUUAGUGUGUGUGUGUUUUAACUAGCAUGUGUAGGUGCUUGAUGUGUGUAUGUGUUUGUGUGCUAAGUCACAUGAACAUGAGGUCUACCCCUCAUGUGCACCAUUGGAUAUGUGAGUGUGUGCAAGUGCAUGUGAGGUGAUGAGCUAGUGGGGUCACAUGUGAUAAAUCACUAUUUACCUCUUUGUGAUUCCAUGCAUUUCUUCUUCUUAGCUUUGUGCCCUUUUGUUCUAUGUAAGUACCUAGGUAUUAUAUAUGUUUUUGGGAUAGAAUCAUCCCAGGAAUCCAAUGGUGGAAUCAGAUUCCACUUUGGUACACUUUCUGGGAAUGUCAUUUUCUGUUUUGUUCAAUGUUUAGAGCUUGGUUCCAUGUGAGAUGUGAUGGGCCCAAGAGGAGGAUUCCGUGUUGUGGUAGUAGAGGGUGAACCCCUCUACAACAUGGUGUUGUUGUUUCAUGUUUAGGAGUUUAUGUGUGCAAGUGGUGCUUAGUAUAAGUAGGCAUGUGGCUGAAAUUUCAGAAACUCCUGAUAUUUUCUUCCCUUGUAGUUGUGCUUGUAAAUGUUCAUGUGUUGGGAAUCAACCCUUGCAUUCAACUCGAAAGUUGGAGCUUUCGUGUUUGUAUAGGUCUCUGUCAAUUUUCAUUCCACUUGGCUUCCUAUAGAUAUUGUUUUGGGUGCUAUCAAAAUGCUUCAGAGCAUAAACAGCUAGUGAGAAUCUGAGAUUUUCACUAAGUCCCUGAAAACUGGUAUUUUUGUCCAUGUUAGCAGUUGUAGAACUUUCUGUGUGAAACUCCUUUGUACUAUAUUUUUGCUCAUGCUUGUAGAGCUUUUGAAUAGUUUCUGUCACAUAUCCUUUUGGCACAUUUGGAUGGCUGUAGGUGCUUUGCAUGUAGCUCUCAAACUGCUAUGAUGCUGUUUUGGAUAGAUUGUAUAGUUUUGAUGUUUUGAUGUUUGUGAGUGCAUAGUUGAUGGUGUUGUGAGUUUCUUUGCACCACCCCAUCUAUACUUGUUUGUUUUGUGAUUUGGCAACCUGGGAAUACCAGAAGUAUGCCAUUGGAGUGUGUUGUGAUGGAUUUGUUCCGUAGAACUCCAUUUCUUGUUUUGUUGUUUCCGGUUGAUCCAUAGCUCCGUUCGUAACGUUCUUUAUAUGUUUUUGCAUCGUUUUCGUGUGAUACAUCCGUUCAUGUCAUCCACAUGCAUGUCAAGAUAGCUUAGAGUGCAGUUCUGUCCAGAAGUUUGUACUUUCUUCUCAUGCAUGUGCAAGUGACUAGAAUAGAGAUGCAUGUUCAUUCUCAUCUCAUGCAUCAUGUGUUUGUUGCAUAUUGUGGUGCUGUUGUUCAUUGGAUGCUAUUUUUAUGUUGGAUAGCAACGAGAUCGGAGAGCGAUUACGUGGAUCCGGGAGAGUACGUGCAGGACGAACAAGAGCAGUUCCAAGCUGAAGACAUCACAGACAAGAUGACAUGACCUUGAUUCCAUCUCUAGACUUGUUAUGCCUAGAUUCACGUUUCCUUCAUCAUAUGCUCGCUGCCUAUCACUGAAAUAAUUGCCUCCUGAUAUUGCCAUGAAACCCAAACACUUUCGCCUCCUAGCAAAUAUUGAAUGGCUAAGUAGGCUUGCUCAGCUUCUAAUGUUAGCGUUGCUAGUUGCAGGUGCAAUUGUCUCAUGUGAUAACAUGUGUUUGAUAUCAUUAUGCUAAAUCUGUUAUUAAAUUAAUGCACCUAUAUACUUGGUAAAUGACGGAAGGCCUAGCCUCUUGUCGGGUGUUUGAUUCCAUAACUGAUCGCUCCUAACAUGUUCGGGGUUGUUAUGGGGACCCCCUUGAUAAAUCUUGUAGUGUUAAAACUUGUCCGGCAGGACCCAACAUUGGUGUUAAUUUGCUAAUUACUUAAUAAUAAUCUGCAUAGGGAAUAGCUACCCCGAGGAAUUAAUCAACAACCCGGGCCAGUGCUCCUCAUAAGUGUUGGUCCAAAUUGAGCAGACUAUGGGGCCACCACAGGGCAACCUGAGGUUUGGUAUACCCGUAGUGUGACUCAUCCGUCGUGUCCUGAGACUGAGAUACGCGGCUCUUAUCAGGGUCGUCGACACGACGGGAGGUCCUGCUAGUCUUGUCUUACCUUAGCGAUAUAUCUUGCGUAUAGGAAUCCCGGCGAAGCUUUGGUUCUCCCCAGAGUUGAGGUUUUUCUCAAAGGAAUCCGACGAGAUCACGAGAUUCGUGAUAGAGGAUUACUUUGCGGCCCGUGACCGUUUGUGAUGGACUAGUUGGAGCACCCCUGCAGGGUUUAAUCUUUCGGAAAGCCGUGCCCGCGGUUAUGUGGCAACUUGGAAUAUUUGUUAACAUCCGGUUAUAGAUAACUUGAACCUAAUCUAAUAAAAUUGCUAACUGUGUGCGUAACCGUGACUGUCCCCUUCGAAGACCUCUCUUCGAUCGGGAACACGGUGGGGUUAUGUUUGACGUAGGUAGGUGUUCAGGGUCACUUAUUGAUCAGCUAGUCAUCGCCCGCUAGUAUAGACCACCAUUAAUAACUUGUUCUACAUAAAUUAGCAACCAUAAAUGCUUAGGAUGCUGCAACAUAAACAUUGAACCUUCCCUACCUAAAACUUGUCUAGUUCUGGCACCGAGGUCAUAGAUUGCUGAGUCCCUGUGGCUCACAGAUUACUUCAACACCCCAACAGGUACAGGUACGCCCGACACAGGUGAUCCCGAUGGCACGCAGCUGGCAUGGCAGUACGAUGAGGAGAACGACCGCUUGUACGUGAACUAUCCAGAAGACUGAGGCAAGGUCGUGAUCGUGGACAAACAUGCAUGGUAGCAUAGCCUUUUCUCAUGUUAUGUAGUCCGUGACGGAACUACCUUGUCUGAAUAAAUGUGUGAUGUAAACUCUGAUAUUAUCUAUGAGAGCUAUGAACUUAGCUGCCACCAUCACUUAGCUGCCACCAUCACUUAGCUGCCUACCUAGGAACCCGGUAGAGGACUAGCUGGGUUAUGAACUUUGAGCCGAAUCUUCUCACACACGCAUGCCCAAAUAGAUUACCCAACAACUGAUUAGACUCAUUUUUUUAUUGAUAUUGGUCAGAAAAGAUAUCUUCAGAUGGUUAUACGGAAGCACACUUGAUAGCAUUUUAGCACCGAUAAUUAGUACGCUCAAGGGCUACAGUCGACAAUAAUAGUAUUGUUGUCGUCGCCGCCAAUAAAGCCAUUGUAACAGCUGUGACAUUGUCUGUCCUUGCUAAGAAACAUCGCUAUCCAUUCAUCAACUUGUUUGGCCAACAGAUAGCGGUUUCGUUUUUUGAAACUUUUGGCUAAGUCUCUGGACAUUGUUUCUCCGGGGAUGCUUAUGAGUUCUCGUUGGAUUGUUCCGGAUGUUUCUGUCAAGAUGGGUAGUUAUUCUUUUCUGGCAUCUCCUAUUGUCUUGGGCAAUUCCGACAUUGAUUUGAUCCUUGGUAUGGACUGGUUGGCCAUGAACAAGGCAUCCAUUGAUUGUGAAGCUUACUCACUCUUCGGAGGACGUGAUUAUCUUCGUGGCGCGUGAUGACACAAUCCGUCUGUUAUCUUUGAAUGAAAAGGGUGAGAUUAAUCCUAUUUCGCAAGUCCCAGUGGUCUGCGAAUAUGAAGAUGUGUUUCCAGAAGAGCUGACAGGAAUGCCUCCGCACCGAGAAAUUGAAUUUGUUAUUGAGCUUGAACCAGGUACUAAGGCUGUGUGCAAACGUCUAACAAAUUGGGUCCAGAAGAGCUGAAGGAACUUAAGAGGCAACUCGAUGAGCAAGAGCGUUUGGGUCUGAUCAGACCGAGCUCGUCUCCUUGGGGCUGUGGAGUUAUGUUUGUCAAGAAGAAGGAUGGCACGGACCGAUUGUGUGUCGAUUACCGUCCAUUGAACAAGAAGACAAUCAGAAACAAGUAUCCACUUCCGAACAUAAAUGAGUUGUUCGAACAGUUGAAAGGAGCUAAGAUCUUCUCCAAGCUCGAUCUUAGAAUGGGCUAUCAUCAAAUUUGCAUUUGCGAAGAGGAUAUUCCGAAGACUGCUUUCAGGACUAGUUUUGGCUCGUAUGAGUAUACGGUCAUGUCUUUUGGUCUGGCAAAUGCUCCACCGACAUUUUGUCAAAUGAUGAACUACAUAUUCUCUUCGUUCAAGAAUGAGUUCGUCUUCCUGUAUCUCGACGAUAUUCUGGUCUUUUCGAAAACUGAGGAAGAACAUGAAGAACAUCUCAGGCUGGUGCUUGAUAAGUCAAGAGAGCACAAAUUCUAUGCCAAGUUUUCCAAAUGUGAGUUCUGGUUGAAAGAAGUCGUCAAUCUUGGGCACAUCAUCCCUGCCGAGGGCAUCAAAGUUGAUAUGUCAAAAGGUGCAGACCAUUGUUCAGUGGGAGCCUCCGCAGAAUGUGAAGCAGCUUCGAAGCUUUCUCGGGCUUGCAAGCUAUUGUAGAAGCUUCGUUGAGAACUUAUCCAAGAUUUCUAAGCCUCUCUCAAGUCUUCUUCAAAAGGGUGUGAAGUAUGCCUGGUCUCCAGAGUGUCAGUUGGCCUUCGACACACGCAAAGAGAAGCUCACCUCUACUCCAGUCUUGGUUCCUCCUGAUGACUCCAAACCUUACCACGUGUUCUGCGACGCCUCUCUUCAAGGUCUUGGUGCAGUUCUGAUGCAAGAGAAGAAAGUGGUGGCUUAUACCUCCGGGUAGUUGCAGCCAGCGGAGAAGAAUUAUCCUGUGCAUGAUCUUGAGCUGGCAGCAGUGGUACAUGCUCUGAUGACUUGGAGACACCUCUUGUUGGAACGAAAGGUUGAAGUGUUCACCGAUCACAAGAGUCUCAAGUACAUCUUCACCCAGCCUAACCUAAAUCUCCGGCAAACUCGUUGGGUGGAAAUGCUCCAAGAUUUUAAUCCGAGCGUUGAGUACACGCCAGGCAAAGCUAAUGUCGGGGCAGAUGCCUUGAGCAGGAAGGCUUAUUGCAACAGUCUCAUUCUGAAGCCUCUCCAGCCUGACCUUUGUGAAUCUUUCAGAAAGCUCAACCUUGAGUUAGUACCUCAGGGAUUUCUUGCAAAUCUUCAGAUCUCUCCUACCUUGGAAGAUCAGGUCCGAGCAGCACAGCUUCUUGAUGCAAUGGUGAAGAAAGUCAAGAUUGGCUAGGCAAAGGGACUUCCCAAAUAUAAGUGCUUCAGUGUUGAUGCCAGAGACACGUUGUUCUUUGAGGAUCGCCUUGUCGUUCCGAAAGGUGAUCUCAGAAAGGUAAUCAUGGAAGAAGCUCAUAACUCUCUGCUCUCAAUACAUCCAGGAAGCUCCAAGAUGUAUCAGGACUUGAAACAGACCUUCUGGUGGACUCAUACGUUUCCAACGUAUCAAUAAUUUUUGAUGGUUUCAUGCUAUUAUCUUGUCAAACUUUGGAUGUUUUGCAUGCCUUUUAUAUAUUUUCUGUGACUAACUUAUUAACUCAGUGCAAAGAGACAGUUCCUAUUUUUUCCAUGUUUUUUACCCCUUUUAGAGGAGGAUUUCGAACGGAGUCCAAACGGAAUGAAACUGCCAAAAAGAUUUUUUCCGGAGCAGAAAAAGAUCGGGGAGCCGGAGAAUCAGGGCAGGGGGCCACCAGGGACCACACAAUCCCUCAUGGCGCGGCCAGAGGGGGCCCGCGGCCCCUUGGCUUGUGGGCUCCCUGAGGCUCCUUUGCCCUAGGUUUUGCGCCUAUAUAUUCCCUAAAAUUCCGUAAAAAAUCAGGAGAUCAUCGAAAGUACUUUUCCGCCGCCGCAAGCUUCUGUCUUCGCAAGAUCCCAUCUGGGGCACGUCUGGUGCCCUGCCGGAGGGGGGAUUCGGACAGGGAGGGCUUCUUCAUCAACACCAUGACCUCCCCGAUGAUGCGUGAGGAGUUCACCAUAGACCUACUGGUCCAUAGCUAGUAGCUAGAUGGCUUCUUCUCUCUCUUGGAUCUUCAAUACAAAGUUCUCCAUGAUCUUCAUGGAGAUCUAUCCGAUGUAAUCUUCUUUUGCGGUGUGUUUGUCGAGAUCCGAUGAAUUGUGGAUUUAUGAUCAGAUUAUCUAUGAAUGUUAUUUGAGUUUCUUCUUAUCUCUCUUAUACAUGAUUUCAUAUCCUUGUAAUUCUCUUCGAGUUGUGGGUUUUGUUUGACCAACUAGAUCUAUGAUUAUUGCAAUGGGAGAAGUGCUUGGUUUUGGGUUCAUACCGUGCGGUGACCUCACCUAGUGACAGAAGGGGUAGCGAGGCACGCAUCAUGUUGUUGUCAUCAAGGGUAAAAAGAUGGGGUUUUCAUCAUUGGUUUGAGAUUAUCCCUCUACAUCAUGUCAUCUUGCUUAAGGCGUUACUCUAUUCGUCAUGAACUCAAUACACUAGAUGCAUGCUGGAUAGCGGUCGAUGUGUGGAGUAAUAGUAGUAGAUGCAGAAAGUAUCGGUCUACUUGUCUCAGACGUGAUGAUGCCUAUAUGUAUGAUCAUUGCCUUAGAUAUCAUCAUGACUUUGCGCGGUUCUAUCAAUUGCUCGACAGUAAUUUGUUCACCCAUCGUGAUAUUUGCUAUUCUGAGAGAAGCCUCUAGUGAACACUAUGGCCCCGGGGUCUAAUCCACACCAUAUUUUCAGCCUUACUCUUUUUACUUCGUUGCACUUUCCGCCUUCAGAUCUCACUUUGCAAUCAAUCUUGAAGGGAUUGAAAACCCCUUUAUAGAGUUGGGUGCAAGCUCUUUUGUGUUUGCGCAGGUACUCUGGACUUGACGAGAUUCUCCUACUGGAUUGAUACCUUGGUUCUCAAACUGAGGGAAAUACUUACUGCUCCUGUGCUGCAUCACCCUUUCCUCUUCAAGGGAAAAACCGACGCAAACAAGAGAAGUAGCAAUAAGAAUUCCUGGUGUUGCCGGGGAAGGACUUUUGUUGUUGUAGCAGAAGAAUUUCUGGCGUCGUUGCUGGGGAAGGACUUUUGUUGCCGUAGCAGAAGAAUUUCUGGCACCGUUGCCGGGGAGGAUCAAUUCAAGAACUCAUCCAAGUAAGUGUCACAAACUCAUCUCUUGCAUUUACUUUGUUUGCGAGUUGCCUCUCAUUUUCCUCUCCCCCACUUCACAAAUCUUUGCAUUUUUCAUUUGCCUUUUUUUCGUUUGCCCUUUUUAUUUCGCUUGCCUUCUGUUCGCUUGUGUGCUAUGUGCCUUCAAUAUGCCUGCAUCUUCGCUUGCUGAAAAUCUAGUGAUAUGGAUCCUCAUCCACUUGCUAAUCUCUUUAAGUGAUCCAAUUAUGUUGAUCCAAUUGCUAGUGAGUUGAGUGCACUUGACUAUUUCUAUGGAGUUUUGCUUGAGAUGCAUGACUCUGAAAAUUGUGAGGAAGAAAUUUAUGAAGUGAUUCACGAGGGCUCCUUGGAUAAAAAGCAUGAUUACAAUGGUUUCACUAUAAAUUCUAUUAGUGACAAUCAUGCUAAAAAUAUGCAAAACCAUAAGCUUGGGGAUGCUAGUUUUGCUAUGUCCACUACUUGUUGCAAUGAUAAUGAUUGGGGUAAUGAUUUUUCUUAUGAUCUUAAAAAUUUGUUUAAGCCUCAUGAUGAAUAUGAUAUUUGCAAUAAUUUUGAAAGUGGGUUUGGAGAAGUCAUGACUUUAGUUGAUGAUAAUCCCACUAUUUUUGAAGAGCGUCAACUUUGCAUGCAUGUGGAUCAUGAAAAGAAUAUCCUAUGUGAUAGUUAUAUAGUUGAAUUCGAAUAUGAUCCCACAUGUAAUUAUUAUGAGAGAGGAAAAUAUGAUGGUAGAAACUUUCAUAUCACUAAAUCACCCCUCGUUAUGUUGAGAUUGCUAUUGUCUCUUUCUUCUUCCUUGCAUAUGGUAACUAUUGGUUGUCUUGACAAUCUGUUUUCCUAUAAAAUGCCUAUGCAUAGGAAGUAUGUUAGACUUAGAUGUGAUUUUCACAUGCUUUAUGAUGCUCUCAUUGUGCUUCAAUUCUUGUCUUUUAUGUGAGCAUCAUUGAAUUAUCAAUGCCGAGCUAAGGACGUUAAACAAUAGCGCUUGUUGGGAGGCAACCCAAUAAAUUUAUCUUUUUUCUUUUUGUUUUGUUGCGUCCACACCAUCAUAAUUCUGUUGUGAUUGUGUUUUUUGUGUUUAUUUUUGUGUUUGAGCCAAGCAAAACCUUUAUGACUAGUCUUGGUGAUGGUUGUUUGAUCCUGCUGGAAAAAGACAGAAACUUUUCUCUCACGAGAUGAUUGUUCAUUUUUAUUCAGAAAGAGCUUUUGAGUUGAUUCUUUUUGCUUCUCGUUUAUAUGCCUUUUGACCAGGCAGUCGUAAUUUUUCAGAAUUUUUGAGGUACCAGAAGUAUACGAAGUAUACAGAUUGCUGCAAACUGGUUUGUUUUUUACAGAUUCUGUUUUCGUUGAGUUGGUUGCUUGUUUUGAUGAAACUAUGGUUAGUACCGGGGGGUACUAGCCAUGGAAAAGUGAGAAUACAGUAGCCCAACACCAAUAUAGAUAGAAUUCAAGUUUGCUACAGUACCAAAAGAGGUGGUAGUUUGUUUUCUUGUGCUAAUGUUAUCACGAGUUUCUGUUUAAGUUUUGUGUUGUGAAGUUUUCAAGUUUUGGGUGAUGUUCUCAUGGACAAAGAGAUAAGGAGUGGAAAGAGCUCAAGCUUGGGGAUGCCCAAGGCAUCCCAAGCCAAAUUCAAGGACAACAAAAAUCCCAAGCUUGGGGAUGCCCCGGGAAGGCAUCCCCUCUUUCCACUACAAGGAAUAUGCUAAUACACGACGCUAUAUUUUCGUCGCUACAUCGUCACGGUUUUUAGUUUACGACGAUCUCACGACGAAAAACCAAGCGUCGAAAACGGAGCGUUAGAAAUGAACAGCAACGAUGUUUUGAUCAAAAUCGUCGUAACUUUUACGACGAUUCAUGGAUCGUCGUAACCUCUACGACGAUCCUAAAUCGUCGUUGACAAUCUAACCCAGUCCUACAUGGCAGUCCUACGUGGCAAAAUUACGACGAAAUCAAAACAUCAUAGUUGAAAUCAGCCCAACCCAUUUCAAUUGAUCAUAUGGCUGGUUUUAUUUUUUGGGGCUUUUUCUUAUUGGGCUUCGUUUCGGCCUUAGCCCAUUUAUAGCCACUUUUAGUUUUUCUUUUUUGAAUUUUUUUUAGCCCUGACCUUUUCAUGCCCAAAUACAUUUGGUCCAGUUUCAGUUUUGCCCUUUUUUCAUUUUUGAAUUCAGCAACUUUUUUCUAGAACUUGGUUUCAUUUCUAAUUAUUGGGCCUUUUCAACCAAUUAUUUGUCCAAUAUUAAAUGCAGCACUAUUUCAUAUUCAAAUCAAGAAAACUCCAAGUCGAAUUAAAAUCAUCCAUAAUAUAACAUCACAUAAUACAUCUCCAGGUUUACAUAAUACAAUAACUCAUCUGAUUCACACUUGACAAUCAGAUACCAAUUUUCACAGCUGAAGCAUCAACCCAGAAGAAUCUCAAAAGAAAAUACAGAAAUUAGCACUCGCUGUGAAGAAGUCAUCCUGCUCUUGCUUCCCCACUCCUAGUUUUGCAUCCCUGAUACCAGCUUUUAUGGGCUCUAGUAUACCUGCAUCCAAACAAAAUAAUGUAUUGUUUAGGCGCAGGAACUAGAUGGCAAUGCUAAAUUGAAAAAAAGUCUUUCGAAGAACAAAAUAUCAUCUCAGGUGAAACUGUAGCGUAAGUUUAAACAAAAUAUGAGGCAAAAAUAAAAGAAAAUGUUCAGAUCUUCAGUAAUAUGAAGUAACAGAUAUACUCUCGUUACCAAAGUUGGCGAGAAAACUGCUGCAGAUUAAUCUUCUCUGGGUUCUUUUAGAGUAGAAUAAAGCUACAAUAUGUGUUGUGAGCCUGUGAUGGUGGUAGCAUACUUAUGUCCUUCAGACCAUUAAAAAGACAGACACUAUGACUGGAACUUGCUUUACAUUACCACCACCGCACGAGAUCGCAACCCACCACCGCACGAGAUCGCAACUCACCACCGCACUGGACUAUAGGACAUGCAUGAACUAUAGGGUAUGCGUACACAGCAGCACUACACCAAUUAAUUUGUAAGCAUUUUUUGCUAUUGAAUUGAUAGCCACUAUUGCAUUGAUAGCCACUACAAAUUAAUUUGUACUAAAAAAAACUAGGCUGAUAAAGGACCUCCACGGGUAGGAACCACCCAUCCAUCAUACGCAAACUAAAGGAUUUCGUCAUGCAAAACAAUGUCUAUCCAGCACCAAGCAAUUUUAUUUUAGGUAACAAUAACAGUGAGUAGCUAGAUGAGUUGCAAGCUAGCUGAAACACCAUUCGUUAAGUACCAAAACUACUCCCUUGGAUAAUAUAAGUGACCACCAGGAACUACCCAUACAUAUAUUCAGCAAGUUUGCAUCAGGUAGGCUAGUGUUAGCUAGCAUGGUAAGCAGAAAAACGAGAAAACUUAAAAACAAAUAGUGACAUGAUGAUUAUGAAAGGACUCUGGCAGUCUAACCAGACGGCAAAGUUGUCAGAAUCGCGACUCGGAUCUUAAAAUCACAAGACUUUACGACCCUACAUGUAGGAAACGACCCAACGCAAGCAUAGUCGUUUUUUGUUGAGUCGCUGUGGAGUCUAGCUACAAGUCGUAGGAUCGUGUAAAAUCGCAUGCUGAGUCGCUACCAUGAACGACUCUAGCUCAAGCUCUAAUCGUGCCUUUGUACUAAAGAUGAACGGUAGAUAUCCAAUACGCUAAGCCCUAUAUAAGUUAUCUCUUUUCCUUCCUGGAUCGUUAUCCUUUCGUGGCCGCCGCGCUGUGCCUCCGUUUCUCCGUCUCUCUGUAUUCUCAUCUAAAUCUGCCCUAGGAAUUGCUGAGAUCCAAUCCGAGCUGGUAAGCAUAUGGAUGAAGAAAGGGAUUGACGAGAAUAUCACAAAGGUGCUCCACUUCGUAGGUAAUACACGAGCUUGAUACUACUUUUUAAAUUAAAAAGUCUCAGAUCUGGGUGGGGUGAAUGGUUGUGCUUGCGCAUGUAUACAACAAGUCUGCUACUACUACUUGUGAAGUCGUGAUAGUAGAAUUCUAGUAAUUAUACGGCUAAUGGCUGAUCACUGUUUCUAGUAUUCUAUCCGAUCCAUCCAUUGUCUCUGUACUGUAUUCUAUCCGAUCCAUCCAUUGUCUCUGUACUAUAAUUUCUAGCCGAUCACUACAAGCCGAUUAAUAGAAUAUCUAGCUGGUCACUAAUUGCUAGACUUGUUGUUAAUGAUCGGCUAGAAAGUCUAGUAAUUAGACUGCUAUCUUACUUAUGUGCUUUACUUCCUAAUUAACACUACUCUUAUUUUUCGUUUUAUUUAUUUUAGGGCAAUCUGUCGAAAGUACCCGAUGAUGUCCGAGCAAUGUUCCUGAAGCUGUUACAAUGUCAGGAAGAACAGAGUGAUGCAAAGAAGAGGAAGUUAGAACAGAUAGCAACUGAUACUCAUGAAGUAAAUGCCAUAGAAGAGAAUGACCAAGAUCAUGUUGGAGAUCAGCUGGCAAACUAGAGUAAAACCCAGACAACUGUGAAUCAAUUCUACAAAAAACUUAGUGAACUAUUUACUAUUGUCCGCUCAGGCUGAACCAGCAUAUUUGUGACUAUGCCCUUUAAUGAACAUAUAUGUCGGAGACCUAUGGUUUAUGCUGAAUUCUACUUCUGUUUAUGAGCUUAUCCUAUAUAAUUUUACCAUGUUAAUUUUUUACAUAUGUACACUACCUCUCGACAUAAUUUCACGAUGAAUUUUUUUUGGUGUGAGUUGUACCAAAAAACAUAUAUUUUAAGCACAUGGACGCUCACUACAAAAACUCGUCCAUUUUGAUUUUGUGUAGCUCACAAAACAUAUUUGUUCAUGAAAUUUUACACGGAAAUGUCUAAAAGUAUUGUACUGGUAGGAUCGCGUAGAAUCUUCGAUUCUACGACUCGAUUCUACCGAAGACUUUCCGAUCCGUUUCAGAAUCACGAUUCUGACAACUUUGCCAGACAGCCAUGGAACGAAGGCCAUAGACCCACACCAUGACCGUGGCUCGAAGGCCACGAGGAUCAUCAGAGCAACUGGGGAUAGAAGGCACGGAGCAGAGGAGGGAGAGGAGCUCACCGUGCCGAUGCCAAACAGCGUCGCCGGCAGCAGUGGGGCAGUCCAAUGGAAGACGACGAAGCUUAGCCUACCUCCAUGCACCUUGCCUGUAAGAGAUGGUAAAGUAGUUUGAGAUAUCACAUUAUUGAAUUGCUUGCAGUGUGACAUGAGCUAGCCAAAAGUAUGUAAGGGACUAAAAAGUUUUAGGAGUCUAGAAUCAUAUAUGCCCCUAGCAUGCAUCUCUCAAAUAGUUGGCAUUCAGCAUUAAAUUUCAACUUUCAUCUGCCCAAUAUUUACCUUAAACACAUAACUAAAAGCAAACACAUAAAAGUGACUCAGACAAAUCGUAUUAUCAGAAUUCCACCCAUAAAGCCAAGCAGCUGACAUAGAUGGGAUUACAUUAGCUUUGUCUAAAUUAUUUUCAUUUUCAUUGUAUACUUAAAUUUUUCUGUCGAAAUAAAGUACAUAGAUAUGUAACUGAAAUUAUUCUAACUUCAUAGUUUACCUUAAAUAAUUACAAAGGUAAAUAAGACAAUUCCUACUGCCAUACUCUGAACGAAUUCUACCAGGCUUUAUGAAGUGUAACACGUCAAUACAAUUAGAUCUUCUAGUUGGAUGGAUCAGAUUUUAUUUCUACUUCUGUCUCUUAGAGUUAACAUGGAGCCUCGAAGGGAGCUCUAGUCAGAAUAGAGGAUGGUGCCCCUGCAUUUGGAAAAGAAAAACGCUACAAGCAUUAUGUUUCUGUGAUGACGAAGCACAUGGACUUGGUGGAGUGUUGCAACUAAUUUUGUUGAUACCUUAUUACACAUCCAUCCGAACCGCCGGCAAAUGCCACAGACUCGUCCUUGAAGCAGCAGUCCAGAAGUGCUGCCUCCGAAUUCGCCUCCAGACGGAGAAUGGAUUUGUCUGCAUCGUACAGCCGCAGCCCCUGCAGAACAAAAUUCCAAUCGAAGCCCUGUCAGCCAUCUCUUCCGCAAAGAUAAAGUGCUGGUUUCGUCUCAAAUAAAUGCAGCUGUAAAGUGAAUGGACUGCAGCAUCUCUCGUGGGAACAUGCACAGAUUAGUCACUAGUCACAGCUAUCAAGUCAGCCUAAGUUGCUACUAAUACAGUAUAUUAUACUUAUUACUUUAGGGAUGCUACCAGAGUUGAUACUCCUAGAAAAUGCAGUACUUGUUACGUUAUCAUUGACGCUAUUCCUUGCAGUGUGACGGCUUUACAAUGAACGACCCUGAAUGGUAGUAGUAGUAUAUUUCACUAAUCAUGGAGAAGACUUAAGACUGAAAUGAAUGCAGAGAAUACGACCAGGGAGGCGAAGCGCUGGUAGCAAAGAGAAGGAGUGGAGCACAUCUGGAGAGCGCGAUAUUGGAUCCCAUACCUAAGAUGAAGCCAAGGGCGCUCACGAGCGCCUUGUUGCAGAUGACAAUGAAGACCGAGGAGACCACGGAGAGGCUGAGCGCCCCCACUGUCCCCAACUGGAACUUCUCCCCCACCACCCCCAUCUCUGCCGGCUGGGUUUGCUAUUGAGCACCCGAAGCAAGAAGCAGCAGCAGCCGAGGAGCUUCCAGACGCGGACCCCCACCGGCAGGACCUGCGCAACAGGAAGAAGAUCACAUUUCGAUCAAGCAACCGCGACAAGAGAUGGGCUUCCCGCUGGUCAAAGCAACCGAGCGGCAACAGCAGCAGCACCGCGGUGCCACCAACCUCUGUGUCAAAAAUCCGAGCGCGUGGGGAGAUCUGAGGAGGGCGGGGGGUGAGGGAUCUGAUCGGAUCGGGGUAAGCUCCGCCCGGACUGGCGGUUGCACGGUUCAGGGUGCGUUCCUGGAUCUGGAUCCUGCAGGAGAGGGAGGGAGCUCUCCUGGAUCUGGAUCCUGAAGGAGAGGUAGAAAAUGGAGGGGAAUGGGGAACAUGGAGGUAUGUUGAAUGGGGAAUGGUGGGUGAGGAGGAUGGCGAGGUGGGCGAUUGGUGGGAGUGGCGGGGAAAGGACAGGAUCGGAAGGGGGGCGGGGACGGGGAGGAGGUGGCGGCGGCGAGGAGAUGGGGAGGAGGGAGGGUCUGAGCUAGGGUUUGGGCUGUGGUUGGGGUUUUCUUUUUUUCUGUAAAUACAUGGAUGGAUGGAUGUGAGAUGGUGAGAUAGAUGGAUGGAUGGAUGGGUGCCAUGUCAUUGAUCCGUGGGAAGAGUUUUGAUUGGUUAGAACAUGUUACGACAUUUUUGUAAUCGUCCUAAAAGUUAUGACGAUCUCAUCUUAUGCGGUUACGACGAUUUUGACUCACAUUGUCGUAAUUUAUAUGUAGAUUUGAUCCCCACAAACGGUUUAUGAUGAUUUUGGAUGAAAUCGUCAUAAAUUUAUGACGAAUUCAUCAACGUCGUCUUAAAAAACGUCAAGUAUGAGCAUAUUUCUUGUAGUGUUCGUCUUCAAUCCAUCGGUAACAUUACUUGGAGCUAUAUUUUUAUUCACCACAUGAUAUGUGUUUUGCUUGGAGUGUCUUGUAUCUUAGGAGUCUUUUCUUUUUGUUGUGUCACAAUCAUCCUUGCUGCACACCUUUUUGAGAGAGAGAGAGAGACAUGCNNNNNNNNNNNNNNNNNNNNNNNNNNNNNNNNNNNNNNNNNNNNNNNNNNNNNNNNNNNNNNNNNNNNNNNNNNNNNNNNNNNNNNNNNNNNNNNNNNNNAACAGCUUGGUUUGGAUUACCACUAUGGGAAGGAGAUCAAUGAUUUGCUGUGUGGGAUUCAUGAUGCCGGCGAUGACGCCAGCGAUCUUCACACAGUGGCCCUUCGGUUUUAUUUGCUCAGGAAACAGGGAUUCAAUGUUUCACCAGGUAUUACAAACAUAACUAAAAUCUCAAAGAGGUGGACAGGUGUGAUUUUCUAUAAAUAUUUGUCCUAAUAGAACUAUGCACUAUACAUGACAAUGCCGCAGAUGUAUUCUUAAAGUUCAUAGAUGCCGAAGGAAAUAUUACCUGCAACGACACAAGAAGCCUUUUGGCCAUGUACAACGCUGCCCAUAUUCGAACCCAUGGUGAAGAAACACUCAGCAGUGCGAUGGCUUACACAAAAGACCAUCUCCAGCGUGCGGUGGAGCAACAAACAAUUCCACCAUCAAUAUUGCUCGAUCAGGUGCGGCGUGCGCAGGAAACACCUCUUUUCAGGAGGCCUCAAAGAGUUGAAGUGCGACACUUCAUCUCAGUUUAUGAGAGAAUNNNNNNNNNNNNNNNNNNNNNNNNNNNNNNNNNNNNNNNNNNNNNNNNNNNNNNNNNNNNNNNNNNNNNNNNNNNNNNNNNNNNNNNNNNNNNNNNNNNNAGCUGACAUUCGAUUAGUUCAUGUGANAUUCAGCCAUCUACGUGAUAUUUAUCGGUAACGUUGWMSUMAMGCAUCGGKGGAGGUCAUGGUGUUGAUGAAGAAGCCCUCCCUGUCCCGAAUCCCCCCUCCGGCAGGGCACCAGACGUGCCCCAGAUGGGAUCUUGCGAAGACAGAAGCUUGCGGCGGCGGAAAAGUACUUUCGAUGAUCUCCUGAUUUUUUACGGAAUUUUAGGGAAUAUAUAGGCGCAAAACCUAGGGCAAAGGAGCCUCAGGGAGCCCACAAGCCAAGGGGCCGCGGGCCCCCUCUGGCCGCGCCAUGAGGGAUUGUGUGGUCCCUGGUGGCCCCCUGCCCUGAUUCUCCGGCUCCCCGAUCUUUUUCUGCUCCGGAAAAAAUCUUUUUGGCAGUUUCAUUCCGUUUGGACUCCGUUCGAAAUCCUCCUCUAAAAGGGGUAAAAACAUGGAAAAAAUAGGAACUGUCUCUUUGCACUGAGUUAAUAAGUUAGUCACAGAAAAUAUAUAAAAGGCAUGCAAAACAUCCAAAGUUUGACAAGAUAAUAGCAUGAAACCAUCAAAAAUUAUUGAUACGUUGGAAACGUAUGAGUCCACCAGAAGGUCUGUUUCAAGUCCUGAUACAUCUUGGAGCUUCCUGGAUGUAUUGAGAGCAGAGAGUUAUGAGCUUCUUCCAUGAUUACCUUUCUGAGAUCACCUUUCGGAACGACAAGGCGAUCCUCAAAGAACAACGUGUCUCUGGCAUCAACACUGAAGCACUUAUAUUUGGGAAGUCCCUUUGCCUAGCCAAUCUUGACUUUCUUCACCAUUGCAUCAAGAAGCUGUGCUGCUCGGACCUGAUCUUCCAAGGUAGGAGAGAUCUGAAGAUUUGCAAGAAAUCCCUGAGGUACUAACUCAAGGUUGAGCUUUCUGAAAGAUUCACAAAGGUCAGGCUGGAGAGGCUUCAGAAUGAGACUGUUGCAAUAAGCCUUCCUGCUCAAGGCAUCUGCCCCGACAUUAGCUUUGCCUGGCGUGUACUCAACGCUCGGAUUAAAAUCUUGGAGCAUUUCCACCCAACGAGUUUGCCGGAGAUUUAGGUUAGGCUGGGUGAAGAUGUACUUGAGACUCUUGUGAUCGGUGAACACUUCAACCUUUCGUUCCAACAAGAGGUGUCUCCAAGUCAUCAGAGCAUGUACCACUGCUGCCAGCUCAAGAUCAUGCACAGGAUAAUUCUUCUCCGCUGGCUGCAACUACCCGGAGGUAUAAGCCACCACUUUCUUCUCUUGCAUCAGAACUGCACCAAGACCUUGAAGAGAGGCGUCGCAGAACACGUGGUAAGGUUUGGAGUCAUCAGGAGGAACCAAGACUGGAGUAGAGGUGAGCUUCUCUUUGCGUGUGUCGAAGGCCAACUGACACUCUGGAGACCAGGCAUACUUCACACCCUUUUGAAGAAGACUUGAGAGAGGCUUAGAAAUCUUGGAUAAGUUCUCAACGAAGCUUCUACAAUAGCUUGCAAGCCCGAGAAAGCUUCGAAGCUGCUUCACAUUCUGCGGAGGCUCCCACUGAACAAUGGUCUGCACCUUUCGACAUAUCAACUUUGAUGCCCUCGGCAGGGAUGAUGUGCCCAAGAUUGACGACUUCUUUCAACCAGAACUCACAUUUGGAAAACUUGGCAUAGAAUUUGUGCUCUCUUGACUUAUCAAGCACCAGCCUGAGAUGUUCUUCAUGUUCUUCCUCAGUUUUCGAAAAGACCAGAAUAUCGUCGAGAUACAGGAAGACGAACUCAUUCUUGAACGAAGAGAAUAUGUAGUUCAUCAUUUGACAAAAUGUCGGUGGAGCAUUUGCCAGACCAAAAGACAUGACCGUAUACUCAUACGAGCCAAAACUAGUCCUGAAAGCAGUCUUCGGAAUAUCCUCUUCGCAAAUGCAAAUUUGAUGAUAGCCCAUUCUAAGAUCGAGCUUGGAGAAGAUCUUAGCUCCUUUCAACUGUUCGAACAACUCAUUUAUGUUCGGAAGUGGAUACUUGUUUCUGAUUGUCUUCUUGUUCAAUGGACGGUAAUCGACACACAAUCGGUCCGUGCCAUCCUUCUUCUUGACAAACAUAACUCCACAGCCCCAAGGAGACGAGCUCGGUCUGAUCAGACCCAAACGCUCUUGCUCAUCGAGUUGCCUCUUAAGUUCCUUCAGCUCUUCUAGACGUUUGCACACAGCCUUAGUACCUGGUUCAAGCUCAADACAAUUCAAUUUCUCGGUSCURRARSCMYWCCYGWMAACGGGGGGGGUUAAACUUUUAAACGGGGGGUUACNNNNNNNNNNNNNNNNNNNNNNNNNNNNNNNNNNNNNNNNNNNNNNNNNNNNNNNNNNNNNNNNNNNNNNNNNNNNNNNNNNNNNNNNNNNNNNNNNNNNGUCUCCCCGUUUAAACGUUUACCCCCCCGUUCGGGUUUAACCGGUUUGGGUCCCCCGUUUUACGGGGUACCCGUAAAGGGUUUACCGUUCCUAACGGUUUAGGAAACCUUUAGGGUUUUUACCUAUUUUUACCGUUUAAAUUUAAACUUUUAGGGGGUACCCCUUUUUCUAAACCAAUUAAUUUGUCCAAUAUUAAAUGCAGACACUAUUUCAUAAUUCAAAUCAAGAAAACUCCAAGUCGAUUAAAAUCAUUCAUAAUAUAACAUCACAUAAUACAUCUCCAGGUUUACAUAAUACAAUAACUCAUCUGAUUCACACUUGACAAUCAGAUACCAAUUUUCACAGCUGAAGCAUCAACCCAGAAGAAUCUCAAAAGAAAAUACAGAAAUUAGCACUCGCUGUGAAGAAGUCAUCCUGCUCUUGCUUCCCCACUCCUAGUUUUGCAUCCCUGAUACCAGCUUUUAUGGGCUCUAGUAUACCUGCAUCCAAACAAAAUAAUGUAUUGUUUAGGCGCAGGAACUAGAUGGCAAUGCUAAAUUGAAAAAAAGUCUUUCGAAGAACAAAAUAUCAUCUCAGGUGAAACUGUAGCGUAAGUUUAAACAAAAUAUGAGGCAAAAAUAAAAGAAAAUGUUCAGAUCUUCAGGAAUAUGAAGUAACAGAUAUACUCUCGUUACCAAAGUUGGCGAGAAAACUGCUGCAGAUUAAUCUUCUCUGGGUUCUUUUAGAGUAGAAUAAAGCUACAAUAUGUGUUGUGAGCCUGUGAUGGUGGUAGCAUACUUAUGUCCUUCAGACCAUUAAAAAGACAGACACUAUGACUGGAACUUGCUUUACAUUACCACCACCGCACGAGAUCGCAACCCACCACCGCACGAGAUCGCAACUCACCACCGCACUGGACUAUAGGACAUGCAUGAACUAUAGGGUAUGCGUACACAGCAGCACUACACCAAUUAAUUUGUAAGCAUUUUUUGCUAUUGAAUUGAUAGCCACUAUUGCAUUGAUAGCCACUACAAAUUAAUUUGUACUAAAAAAACUAGGCUGAUAAAGGACCUCCACGGGUAGGAACCACCCAUCCAUCAUACGCAAACUAAAGGAUUUCGUCAUGCAAAACAAUGUCUAUCCAGCACCAAGCAAUUUUAUUUUAGGUAACAAUAACAGUGAGUAGCUAGAUGAGGUGCAAGCUAGCUGAAACACCAUUCGUUAAGUACCAAAACUACUCCCUUGGAUAAUAUAAGUGACCACCAAGAACUACCCAUACAUAUAUUCAGCAAGUUUGCAUCAGGUAGGCUAGUGUUAGCUAGCAUGGUAAGCAGAAAAACGAGAAAACUUAAAAACAAAUAGUGACAUGAUGAUUAUGAAAGGACUCUGGCAGUCUAACCAGACGGCAAAGUUGUCAGAAUCGCGACUCGGAUCUUAAAAUCACAAGACUUUACGACCCUACAUGUAGGAAACGACCCAACGCAAGCAUAGUCGUUUUUUGUUGAGUCGCUGUGGAGUCUAGCUACAAGUCGUAGGAUCGUGUAAAAUCGCAUGCUGAGUCGCUACCAUGAACGACUCUAGCUCAAGCUCUAAUCGUGCCUUUGUACUAAAGAUGAACGGUAGAUAUCCAAUACGCUAAGCCCUAUAUAAGUUAUCUCUUUUCCUUCCUGGAUCGUUAUCCUUUCGUGGCCGCCGCGCUGUGCCUCCGUUUCUCCGUCUCUCUGUAUUCUCAUCUAAAUCUGCCCUAGGAAUNNNNNNNNNNNNNNNNNNNNNNNNNNNNNNNNNNNNNNNNNNNNNNNNNNNNNNNNNNNNNNNNNNNNNNNNNNNNNNNNNNNNNNNNNNNNNNNNNNNNGGAAGUGAAGAUACUUGUGUGAUCCGAGAAUCAUCAUAGGCACGCCGUGCAAAGACACUAUCCUGGAAGUGUACACCUCUGCAAGCUGAGCUGCGGAGAUGGAUUCCUUGACUGGAAGAAAUCGAGCCACUUUACUCAACUUGUCGAUGACGACGAAGAUGGCAUGAUUACCCUCUUGGACUCGGAAACCCGGUGACGAAAUCCAUCUCAAUAUGGUCGAACUUCCACUCGGGAAUGGGCAAUGGAUGCAAAGACCCGCUGGACGUUGAUGCUCUGCUUUCACCCUUCGACAUACAUCACAUUCAUUUACGAACUGAGCAAUCUCACGCUUCAUGCGAGUCCAUGCUACGGCAACAAAAGUCCUUCCCCAGCAACGCCAGGAAUUCUUCUUGCUACUUCUCUUGUUUGCGUCGGUUUUUCCCUUGAAGACGAAAUGGCGAUGCAGCACAGGAGCAGUAAGUAUUUCCCUCAGUUUGAGAACCAAGGUAUCAAUCCAGUAGGAGAAUCUCGUCAAGUCCAGAGUACCUGCACAAACACAAAAGAGCUUGCACCCAACGCUAUAAAGGGGUUGUCAAUCCCUUCAAGAUUGAUUGCAAAGUGAGAUCUGAAGGCGGAAAGUGCAACGAAGUAAAAAGAGUAAGGCUGAAAAUAUGGUGUGGAGUAGACCCGGGGGCCAUAGUGUUCACUAGAGGCUUCUCUCAAAAUAGCAAAUUUCACGGUGGGUGAACAAAUUACCGUCGAUCAAUUGAUAGAACCGCGCAAAGUCAUGACGAUAUCUAAGGCAAUGAUUAUACAUAUMKKCWUYRCUAAUUCCAAUCUUGCCCUGCACUAUAGAGGGUAACAUUCUACGGGUAACACCCUGNNNNNNNNNNNNNNNNNNNNNNNNNNNNNNNNNNNNNNNNNNNNNNNNNNNNNNNNNNNNNNNNNNNNNNNNNNNNNNNNNNNNNNNNNNNNNNNNNNNNACAAGGGAAGCCAAAGAAUAUUCUCGAGUAUUAGCAGUUGAGUUGUCAAUUUAACCACACCUGAAAGACUUAGUAUCUACAGCAAAGUAUCAGUAGCAAAGUGGUGUGAUAGCAAUAGUAGCGUUAGUAAUAGUAGCAGCAGUGACAGCGGUAGCGACAGAGUAACAGUAGCAACAGUGACAGCAGUAGCGGCAAAGUAAUGUAGCAAGGACCAGUAGGAAAAACUCGUAGGCAUUGGAUCGGUGAUGGAUAAUUAUGCCGGAUGACAUUCAUCAUGCAACAGUUAUAACAUGGGGAGAUAUGUAACUAGCUCGUCAAUGUAAUGUAGGCAUGUAUUCCAUAUGUAGUCAUACGUGCUUAUGAAAAGAACUUGCAUGACAUCUCUUGUCCAUCCCUCCCGUGGCAGCGGGGUCCUAAUGGAAACUACGGGAUAUUAAGGUUCUCCUUUUAAUAGAGAACCGGAACAAAGCAUUAGCACAUAGUGAAUACAUGAACUCCUCAUACUAUGGUCAUCUCCAGGAGUGGUUCCGGCUAUUGUCACUCCGGGGUUGCCGGGUCAUAACACAUAGUAGGUGACUACAACUUGCAAGAUAGGAUUAAUAACACACAUAUAUUGACGAGAACAUAAUAGGUUCAGAUGUGAAAUCAUGGCAUUCGGGCCCAAGUGACAAGCAUUAAGAAUAGCCAAGUACUAGCAACAUCAAUCUAGAACAUAGUGGAUACUAGGGAUCAAUCCUCGUCAAAAACUAACUCGAUUACAUGAUAGAUAUCAUCCAACCCAUCACCGUCCAGCAAGCCUACGAUGAGAUUAGUCACGAACGGUGAAGAGCAUCAUGGAAUUGGCGAUGAAGGAAGGUUGGUGAUGACGAUGGCGACGAUCUCCCCUCUCCGGAGCCCAGAACGGACUCCAGAUCUGCCCUCCAGAGGAAGAGCAGGUGGUGGCGGUGCCUCCGUAUCGUAAAACGCGAUGAACUCUUCUCCUUGAUUUUUUUCCGGAUGAAAGGGACUAAAUAGAGCUGGAGUUGGAGGCGGCGGAGCCCUGAGGGCCCCACAAGCCUGCUAGGCAUGGCCNNNNNNNNNNNNNNNNNNNNNNNNNNNNNNNNNNNNNNNNNNNNNNNNNNNNNNNNNNNNNNNNNNNNNNNNNNNNNNNNNNNNNNNNNNNNNNNNNNNNAUAUGCCUUUUGACCAGGCAGUCGUAAUUUUUCAGAAUUUUUGAGGUACCAGAAGUAUACGAAGUAUACAGAUUGCUGCAAACUGGUUUGUUUUUUACAGAUUCUGUUUUCGUUGAGUUGGUUGCUUGUUUUGAUGAAACUAUGGUUAGUACCGGGGGGUACUAGCCAUGGAAAAGUGAGAAUACAGUAGCCCAACACCAAUAUAGAUAGAAUUCAAGUUUGCUACAGUACCAAAAGAGGUGGUAGUUUGUUUUCUUGUGCUAAUGUUAUCACGAGUUUCUGUUUAAGUUUUGUGUUGUGAAGUUUUCAAGUUUUGGGUGAUGUUCUCAUGGACAAAGAGAUAAGGAGUGGAAAGAGCUCAAGCUUGGGGAUGCCCAAGGCAUCCCAAGCCAAAUUCAAGGACAACWRRAMUCCGUUCGAAAUCCUCCUCUAAAAGGGGUAAAAACCAUGGAAAAAUAGGAACUGUCUCUUUGCACUGAGUUAAUAAGUUAUCACAGAAAAUAUAUAAAAGGCAUGCAAAACAUACCAAAGUUUGACAAGAUAAUAGCCAUGAAACCAUCAAAAAUUAUUAGGAUAACCGUUGGAAANNNNNNNNNNNNNNNNNNNNNNNNNNNNNNNNNNNNNNNNNNNNNNNNNNNNNNNNNNNNNNNNNNNNNNNNNNNNNNNNNNNNNNNNNNNNNNNNNNNNCCACUGUGCUGGAAAGCAAAAAGUAUGGAGUUUGAAUAAGUUCAAAAAAAUGAAAUCCCUUUUGUAAGAGAUGAGUUCUCGUUCGAAACGCUCAUACUUCGGGAGAGAUUGUCCGUUUUGUACACGAAGUGCAUCCAGUUUUUGUCGUAGCCCUCUAAACUUUUUAACACAUGCUAUGUGGGUGAAAUUAUGAUAGCAUGCCAACUUUCAACAUUUUCAGAGUUCAUUUGUAGUGCUUUUCAAUUUUAGGGUCAACUAGCCCAAAAAAACAAAAGUAAAUGCACAAGGAAUACCUAAUAAAGUCAGAAAUUGUUGAAAAUUUAUGAUGUGCCUUUGAAUGGUGCAUUUUAAACACACAAAAAGUAUGGAGUUCAAAUAAGUUCAAAAAAUGAAAUACCUUUGUAACAGAUGAGUUCUCAUUCGAAACCGUGAUACUUCGAGAGAGAUUGUCCGUUUUGUACACGAAAUGCAUCCAGUUUUUGCCGUAACCCUCUCAACUCUAUAGCACAUGCUAUGCGGGUGAAAAUGAUGAUACCAUGCCAACUUUCAACAUUUCUAGAGUUCAUUUGUAGUGCUUUUCAAUUUCAGGCUCAACUAGCUCAAAAAAAUAAGUAAAUUCACGAAAAAUAUCAAAUGAAGUCAGAAAUUUCAUAUUUUUUUGUUAAAAUCCUUAAUAGAAAACAAAAAAAGAGUCAACUAAAAAGAAUCAACUAAAAUAUUAACUAAAAUGAAUGAAUUAAGAAUAAUUUACUAAAAUUUUCAAAGUGCUUAUUUGUUGGAAAGAAUCAAGUAAAACAUUAACUAAAAAGAAACAAAAAAAGAUCUACUCAAUAGAAAACUAAAAUAGAAGAGAAAUAAUAAAUAAAGCAAAGAACAAAAAAAAUGGAAAAAAAUUGAAACUAUAUGAGAAUUUAUAGAGAAAAAUUCAACCUAAAUUCAAAGUGACCUCACUUUGAAUUCAGGUUGAAUUUUUGUCCAUAAUUUCAAAUAUAUUUUCAACUUUUAAAUUUAAAGUCUGUUUAGGCCCAUAAGCCUGCUUUAGAGAGGAGCUCGACACGGUUGGGACAACGGGGCUUAUAAACCAGUGGUGGCUCCUCUCGACAAGCGAGGUGGGACUAAACUUUGGAAUGCCGCCAGCCCAAGCNNNNNNNNNNNNNNNNNNNNNNNNNNNNNNNNNNNNNNNNNNNNNNNNNNNNNNNNNNNNNNNNNNNNNNNNNNNNNNNNNNNNNNNNNNNNNNNNNNNNAAGGGUUACGUUUAACCCCCCCGUUCCCAACUUAGUGGUCGACCACUUGGAGUAUGUGAGUGUGUGCAAGUAGCAUGUGAGGUGAGUUGAGCUUAGUGGGGUCACAUGUGAUAAAUCACUAUUUACCUCUUUGUGAUUCCAUGCAUUUCUUCUUCUUAGCUUUGUGCCCUUUUGUUCUAUGUAAGUACCUAGGUAUUAUAUAUGUUUUUGGGAUAGAAUCAUCCCAGGAAUCCAAUGGUGGAAUCAGAUUCCACUUUGGUACACUUUCUGGGAAUGUCAUUUUCUGUUUUGUUCAAUGUUUAGAGCUUGGUUCCAUGUGAGAUGUGAUGGGCCCAAGAGGAGGAUUCCGUGUUGUGGUAGUAGAGGGUGAACCCCUCUACAACAUGGUGUUGUUGUUUCAUGUUUAGGAGUUUAUGUGUGCAAGUGGUGCUUAGUAUAAGUAGGCAUGUGGCUGAAAUUUCAGAAACUCCUGAUAUUUUCUUCCCUUGUAGUUGUGCUUGUAAAUGUUCAUGUGUUGGGAAUCAACCCUUGCAUUCAACUCAAAAGUUGGAGCUUUCGUGUUUGUAUAGGUCUCUGUCAAUUUUCAUUCCACUUGGCUUCCUAUAGAUAUUGUUUUGGGUGCUAUCAAAAUGCUUCAGAGCAUAAACAGCUAGUGAGAAUCUGAGAUUUUCACUAAGUCCCUGAAAACUGGUAUUUUGUCCAUGUUAGCAGUUGUAGAACUUUCUGUGUGAAACUCCUUUGUACUAUAUUUUUGCUCAUGCUUGUAGAGCUUUUGAAUAGUUUCUGUCACAUAUCCUUUUGGCACAUUUGGAUGGCUGUAGGUGCUUUGCAUGUAGCUCUCAAACUGCUAUGAUGCUGUUUUGGAUAGAUUGUAUAGUUUUGAUGUUUUGAUGUUUGUGAGUGCAUAGUUGANNNNNNNNNNNNNNNNNNNNNNNNNNNNNNNNNNNNNNNNNNNNNNNNNNNNNNNNNNNNNNNNNNNNNNNNNNNNNNNNNNNNNNNNNNNNNNNNNNNNUGUGUGACACACACACACACACACAUGCACACACACACACACACACAACUCCACAUGGAAAUACUCACACUCACAUGCACAUAUGACAUACACCUACACACUCCUUGGGUGCUUGCACCACACAAGCACACAUGCAUAGGAGUUGCACCACAUAUAGUCAUAUGCAUAAGCACAUCACAAACACAAAGUAUGUGGGGGGGGGGGAACCCGACACACACACACACUUGCACAAGCUAGUGCAUCACUCACUUAUAAACACACACCACAUACAUCACUAGCUCACAAUACACAUAUGCACACAAAGCCUACACAUGCAUCACUACACAUACUAGCAAAAUAACUAGGCAACCUACUGGUAGGAGGCAAGCAAAAUACCAUACAUGCUGCCCUAGCUCUCCACAGAAACUAUCAUGGCAAACAAAAGAAAAACCAGCAAAAGGAAAGGCAAAAUAAAAUAAAAGGGCUUGGGGAUUCGAACCCAAGACUCCCUGGUUCACCACCAGGGACCAACACCACUGCACUACACCACUCUGGUUCGACAGAAGGGAUAGGGUAAACAGGUUAUGCACUCAACUGAAGCUACUGUGCCGAAAUCCAAACGGNNNNNNNNNNNNNNNNNNNNNNNNNNNNNNNNNNNNNNNNNNNNNNNNNNNNNNNNNNNNNNNNNNNNNNNNNNNNNNNNNNNNNNNNNNNNNNNNNNNNCUCCUCGAUCUCAAGCCGUCGCCGCCUCCCUCGCCGUGAUCGUCAUCGUCGUUSGCCGUCGCCUCCCUCGCCUUCGCCGUCGUCGUCGUCGCCGUCGCCCGUCCCUCGUCGUCGCCACCUGCCCCCUCCCUCCCGCUCUGGUAAGCCCCCUUCCCCUCUCCUGCUCCACGUAAGCCCCCUCCCCAUCCCGCUCCGGUAAGCCCCCCACCCCCUCCAGGCGUCGUCGCCCCCUCCCCUCCCGCUCUAGGCACCCCAAGGCUGCUGCCAUUUUGAUUUUAGGGCCAUCGGUUCAAUAUGUCAUUUUGAGAUGCAUGUUAAUAAGAAAAUUAAGAUAUGUUUGUUGAAGAUCUUUUGAUGGGCUAACUAGAAAGAAGGAAAAAAUCAUGUUUUUAAAUUUCAUGUAAGUAGGCACAUUAGGUUUGAAUUAGAAAACCAAUGGUUUCAAACAACUAAUUUAAACUUUGGAGAGGAAAAAGGGCACAUACAUAUUUCACCAACCUACAAAUAUCAUCCUUUUGUUGGUGUUAAUGCAUAAAACAGUAGUGAGUUUCUCACUUUUGCUUGCUAAGUUGUGCAAAGUUUUGCCGGAAUGUCAGAGUGGCCUAUGUUUUGCCGGAAUGUUGAUUCAUUUUCGUUCCGGCAAAUUUCAGGCGCUCCAUAUGUCCACUAUUUAGCAAAGGUCAUGCCGGAACUACCUUGUCUGAAUAAAUGUGUGAUAUAAACUCUGAUAUUAUCUAUGAGAUGGCAGAUGAUUCCCUAUUUGUCAUUAUAUUAUUAUGUAUGUGCUAUGUUAUCGUGCUUGCGAAACGCUUAGAUACGCUUCUUUCCAUUUUGGGGCCUCGUUCCCUAAAUCGGAAAGGACCGCAUCUUAGUCGUUACAAGUUGGUAAUCAGAGCCCUACGACCAUAGGAGCCUUUGUGUGAUCGUACUUGGCCGAGUCGAGUCUAGUAAAAUGUUUUGAGUCUUAGUUAUAUCGGAGAGUAGGAUUCUUUCUUCUCCUCUUCGAUUCUCUGGUGAGGUUACCAACUUAAGAAAUCUUAAUUCUACUCCUCUUCUCGCUCAAAUUUUUUUUAGGAUCAGGCGUGUAUUUUUGAAAUCUAUAUGAUAUCGAUGUGAUGGAGUUCUGUCUUGGUGCCUCUUGUCUACCUUGAUUUCUUCCGGGGAGUUGAGCUCCAGGGGAUUCUUGUGGACAUUGCUAUCAUUCAGAUUUCUGAGUAUCUCUGAACGAAGGAUGUUCGUAAUUGCUUCAGUACAAGUAGUGGCAAGAUAACCCCGAUGUCCCCAGUACUGGUGCAGAUUGUUCGGGAGUACUGCCAUACUUUGUAUCGUUGUGAUCACGAGGGUUUGUUGUAGAUGAAUGUCUGAGAUUCUGCUUAUGUGUUGACGGAUGUGAUACAGUGGACGAGUUAGUAUAGGAGUUGUGUGAAUAUUACUCCUUGUAUCCGUGUAUCAGAUUGCAUGACCUGAUAUUUCGGGAAUUCAUAGGUGGGAUAUCAAGUAGUGACUUAUAGGGAAAUCUUCCUACAGAUGCAUGAUGUGAGGUUGGGAUUCGACAUUCAGUGGGUAUGUUUGUUCACGAUCGUCUUACAGCGGUUCUCGUUGUGUCUUAAAGAGUCCGUGUAGCUUGCUACGACUCGGGGAUACUUCGUAAGUCGUGUGCACUACCUUGCACAGGAUGGCUACUGUAAAUUCGAGCCCGUGCGAUCUUAUCCAUGAAGAUGUCGGAUGAAAUCUCGAUCAUAUGUUUGUUCUGAGCAGUUCUAGCUCAUACUUGUUUGAAGUGGUCUUAAUCAGAAUUUUGUCGACAGUCACUUUGAGGAAGCAUUCUUACUAUUUUGUUCGAGUGCAAUUGCUAAUAUUCCUCUUGAGAUGUUCCUGCCUUUUUGAUUCAGCUAUACCGUCAAUUUAUUCAGUGGGCUAAUGUGUUGUCCGUCUUCAGGAUGGCUCCACCAACUCGUCAGAAUCCAGGUCGUGAGGAUGUGCCGCCAUCACCUCCUCCUCCGGAGAAUCCUCUUCCUCCGUCGCCUCCUCCUGCAGAGGCUUGGCAAGCGGUGAUGACUGCUACAAAUGCAAACACUCAGAUGUUGAUACAGUUCUUGCAAGAGAGGACUAAUCAGCAGCAAGGCAACUUCAAUCAUGGUGGCAAUCAGUUUGCUAAUCUGAGUUAGUUCCUGUCAAAUCAGCCGGAGACUUUCACUUCCUGUGACCAGCCAUUUGAUGCUGAGGAUUGGAUCCGCGACAUGAACAAGUACUUUGAAUGCAGCAAUGUUCGUCCAGAGGAUUUCGUCAAGUUUGCAACAUUCCAGCUGAAGGGGCAAGCAUCUAUCUGGUGGCAACAGAUGAAGGAUUCCAGGGGUGCUAGAGUGAACACUUGGGAUGAGUUCUGCCGUGACUACAUAUCCCACUACAUUCCGUCCAGCUUUGUGGAGGAAAUGCGUGAGAAGUUCAGGCGCUUGAAGCAAGGUGGUAACUCUGUGUACAAGUACAACGUCGAGUUCCACGAGCUAGCCCGAUACGCCUUGCAGGAUAUCCCUGAUCAGAAGAGCAGGAUAUAUCAGUUCAGAGGUGGCUUGAAAGAAUAUUUGCAGUUAGCUCUCGCUUUGCACGAUCCUGAGGAGUUCGAUAAGUUCUACAACUUAGCUCUCAAGGCUGAGGCAGCUUUGCUCAGGGUGGAUAAUUCUAAGAAGCGCUUCAGAGAUUCCAACUCGUCUUCCUCAACUCAGGUGGUUCAGAAGCAACAGAAGUAUAGGGUGUCUCCUCCUCCUUAGCACACGACGCAGUUCAAGCAUUCUGGUGGUCGUGGUUCUUCCCACCCACCCAACCCAGCUUUUCAACAGAGAUUCCAGCAGCAGAAGCAAGGGCCUCCUCAGACACAGUACCACCAGCCAGCAGAUGGUACUUGUCACAAGUGUGGGCGGAAGGGUCACUAUGCGAACAAGUGCACUUCUCAGCUCCGUCUUCCGCCUCCUCCUCCAGGCAAACCUCCAAGCAAUGCUCUCGUGAAGUUCAACCCCAGAUCUGCUCGAGUCAACAUGGUGAAUGCGGCUGAGGCAGAAAACUCGUCAGAUGUGAUUAUGGGUAACCUCCUCGUCAAUGAUAUUCAUGCUAAAGUGUUGUUUGAUUCUGGUGCAUCGCAUUCUUUCUUGUCAUAUCCUUUUGCUAGCAAAGCAUGAUUUCCAUCUUCAAGAGUUGGCUAAGUCUCUGGACAUUGUUUCUCCGGGGAUGCUUAUGAGUUCUUCGUUGGGUAGUUAGUUUCCGGGUAAGUGUUUCGUUGUCUAAGAAUGGGUUAGGUUAAUUCUUUUCUUCGGCGAAUCUCCUAUUGUCGUUGGGUCGAAUUUCCGGUACCAAUUUGGUAAUUUUGGUAANNNNNNNNNNNNNNNNNNNNNNNNNNNNNNNNNNNNNNNNNNNNNNNNNNNNNNNNNNNNNNNNNNNNNNNNNNNNNNNNNNNNNNNNNNNNNNNNNNNNUUAAAACCGGGGGGUUUAAAAAACGGUUUUAACCGGGGGUUUUUUUUUUUUUUUAACGGGGGUUUAAAAAAACCCCCCCCCCCCCCCGGGUUUUUUUUUUUAACCCCCGGUUAAAAACCCGGGGGGUAAAAAACGGGGGGGUUAAAAAACGGGGGGGGGUUAAAAAACCGGGUUUUUUUUUUUUUUUAAAACGGGGGGUUUAAAAAAAACCCCCCGGGGGGGGUAAAAAAAACCGGGGGUUUUUAACCCCCCCGGGUAAAAAAAAAAAAACCGGUUUUUAAACGGGGGGGUAAAAAAAAACGGGUUUUAACGGGGUAAAAAAAAAAACCCCGGUUUAAACGGGGUAACCCCCCGUUAAAAAAAAAAAAACGGGAAAACGGUUUUUUUUUUUUUAACCCCCGGGGGGUAAAAAAACCCGAAAGGGGAAAAAAAAAAAACGGGGUAAAACGGUUACCCGGGGGGGGGAAACGGGGGGGACCCGGGGGAAACGGGAAAACGUUACCCGGGGGGGCCCGAACCCSGGGRGGCGGAGAAUCSGGGCACGGGGCCACCAGGGACCCACAAGCCCUCAUGGCGCGGCCAGGGGGGCCCACAGCCCCCUGGCUUGUGGGCUCCCUGAGGCUCCUUUUCUCUAGGUUUUGCGCCUAUAUAUUCCCUAAAAUUCCAUAAAAAAUAAGGAGAUCAUCGAAAGUACUUUUUCGCCGCCGCAAGCUUCUGUCUCCGCAAGAUCCCAUCUGGGGCAUGUUCUGGUGCCCUGUCGGAGGGGGGAUUCGGACACGGAGGGCUUCUUCAUCAACACCAUGACCUAUCCAAUGAUGCGUGAGUAGUUCACCAUAGACCUACGGGUGCAUAGCUAGUAGCUAGAUGGCUUCUUCUCUCUCUUGGAUCUUCAAUACAAAGUUCUCCAUGAUCUUCAUGGAGAUCUAUCCGAUGUAAUCUUCUUUUGCGGUGUGUUUGUCGAGAUCCGAUGAAUUGUGGAUUUAUGAUCAGAUUAUCUAUGAAUCUUAUUUGAGUUUCUUCUGAUCUCUCUUAUGCAUGAUUUCAUAUCCUUGUAAUUCUCUUCGAGUUGUGGGUUUUGUUUGGCCCACUAGAUCUAUGAUUCUUGCAAUGGGAGAAGUGCUUGGUUUUGGGUUCAUACCGUGCGGUGACCUCACACAGUGACAGAAGGGGUAGCGAGGCACGCAUCGUGUUGUUGCCAUCAAGGGUAAAAAGAUGGGGUUUUCAUCAUUGGUUUGAGAUUAUCCCUCUACAUCAUGUCAUCUUGCUUAAGGCGUUACUCUGUUCGCCAUGAACUCAAUACACUAGAUGCAUGCUGGAUAGCGGUCGAUGUGUGGAGUAAUAGUAGUAGAUGCAGAAAGUAUCGGUCUACUUGUCUCGGAUGUGAUGCCUAUAUGUAUAAUCAUUGCCUUAGAUAUCGUCAUGACUUUGCGCGGUUCUAUCAAUUGAUCGACGGUAAUUUGUUCACCCACCGUGAAAUUUGCUAUUUUGAGAGAAGCCUCUAGUGAACACUAUGGCCCCCGGGCUACUCCACACCAUAUUUUCAGCCUUACUCUUUUUACUUCGUUGCACUUUCCGCCUUCAGAUCUCACUUUGCAAUCAAUCUUGAAGGGAUUGAAAACCCCUUUAUAGAGUUGGGUGCAAGCUCUUUUGUGUUUGCGCAGGUACUCUGGACUUGACGAGAUUCUCCUACUGGAUUGAUACCUUGGUUCUCAAACUGAGGGAAAUACUUACUGCUCCUGUGCUGCAUCACCCUUUCCUCUUCAAGGGAAAACCGCGCAAACAAGAGAAAGUAUCAAUAAGAAUUCCUGGUGUUAACACGUGUAAGGUUGGAGUCAUCAGGAGGAACCAAGACUGGAGUAGAGGUGAGCUUNNNNNNNNNNNNNNNNNNNNNNNNNNNNNNNNNNNNNNNNNNNNNNNNNNNNNNNNNNNNNNNNNNNNNNNNNNNNNNNNNNNNNNNNNNNNNNNNNNNNUUCGCAGACCACUGGGACUUGCGAAAUAGGAUUAAUCUCACCCUUUUCAUUCAAAGAUAACAGACGGAUUGUGUCAUCACGCGCCACGAAGAUAAUCACGUCCUCCGAAGAGUGAGUAAGCUUCACAAUCAAUGGAUGCCUUGUUCAUGGCCAACCAGUCCAUACCAAGGAUCAAAUCAAUGUCGGAAUUGCCCAAGACAAUAGGAGAUGCCAGAAAAGAAUAACUACCCAUCUUGACAGAAACAUCCGGAACAAUCCAACGAGAACUCAUAAGCAUCCCCGGAGAAACAAUGUCCAGAGACUUAGCCAACUCUUGAAGAUGGAAAUCAUGCUUUGCUGCAAAAGGNUAUGACAAGAAAGAAUGCGAUGCACCAGAAUCAAACAACACUUUAGCAUGAAUAUCAUUGACGAGGAGGUUACCCAUAAUCACAUCUGACGUAGUUUUCUGCCUCAGCCGCAUUCACCAUAUGUAUAUAUAUAUGUGUGUGUGAGUUAACUUAGUACUAACUUUAACUACGUUUAAUAAGUUGAAAGUUGGGAAACCUAAACGUAAACCNNNNNNNNNNNNNNNNNNNNNNNNNNNNNNNNNNNNNNNNNNNNNNNNNNNNNNNNNNNNNNNNNNNNNNNNNNNNNNNNNNNNNNNNNNNNNNNNNNNNGGUUACUUACCUACGGUUAAACGUAACGUACGUAACUAAUAACUUAUAAGUNUUCCUUUAGUUUAGGGUUGUUAGGUAGGUACUUACGAUUUAAUUUCUUACUUCUUGUCUUCUUAGAGUUAACAUGGAGCCUCGAAGGGAGCUCUAGUCAGAAUAGAGGAUGGUGCCCCUGCAUUUGGAAAGAAAAACGCUACAAGCAUUAUGUUUCUGUGAUGACGAAGCACAUGGACUUGGUGGAGUGUUGCAACUAAUUUUGUUGAUACCUUAUUACACAUCCAUCCGAACCGCCGGCAAAUGCCACAGACUCGUCCUUGAAGCAGCAGUCCAGAAGUGCUGCCUCCGAAUUCGCCUCCAGACGGAGAAUGGAUUUGUCUACAUCGUACAGCCGCAGCCCCUGCAGAACAAAAUUCCAAUCGAAGCCCUGUCAGCCAUCUCUUCCGCAAAGAUAAAGUGCUGGUUUCGUCUCAAAUAAAUGCAGCUGUAAAGUGAAUGGACUGCAGCAUCUCUCGUGGGAACAUGCACAGAUUAGUCACUAGUCACAGCUAUCAAGUCAGCCUAAGUUGCUACUAAUACAGUAUAUUAUACUUAUUACUUUAGGGAUGCUACCAGAGUUGAUACUCCUAGAAAAUGCAGUACUUGUUACGUUAUCAUUGACGCUAUUCCUUGCAGUGUGACGGCUUUACAAUGAACGACCCUGAAUGGUAGUAGUAGUAUAUUUCACUGAUCAUGGAGAAGACUUAAGACUGAAAUGAAUGCAGAGAAUACGACCAGGGAGGCGAAGCGCUGGUAGCAAAGAGAAGGAGUGGAGCACAUCUGGAGAGCGCGAUAUUGGAUCCCAUACCUAAGAUGAAGCCAAGGGCGCUCACGAGCGCCUUGUUGCAGAUGACAAUGAAGACCGAGGAGACCACGGAGAGGCUGAGCGCCCCCACUGUCCCCAACUGGAACUUCUCCCCCACCACCCCCAUCUCUGCCGGCUGGGUUUGCUAUUGAGCACCCGAAGCAAGAAGCAGCAGCAGCCGAGGAGCUUCCAGAGGCGGACCCCACCGGCAGGACCUGCGCAACAGGAAGAAGAUCACAUUUCGAUCAAGCAACCGCGACAAGAGAUGGGCUUCCCGCUGGUCAAAGCAACCGAGCGGCAACAGCAGCAGCACCGCGGUGCCACCAACCUCUGUGUCAAAAAUCCGAGCGCGUGGGGAGAUCUGAGGAGGGCGGGGGGUGAGGGAUCUGAUCGGAUCGGGGUAAGCUCCGCCCGGACUGGCGGUUGCACGGUUCAGGGUGCGUUCUUGGAUCUGGAUCCUGCAGGAGAGGGAGGGAGCUCUCCUGGAUCUGGAUCCUGAAGGAGAGGUAGAAAAUGGAGGGGAAUGGGGAACAUGGAGGUAUGUUGAAUGGGGAAUGGUGGGUGAGGAGGAUGGCGAGGUGGGCGAUUGGUGGGAGUGGCGGGGAAAGGACAGGAUCGGAAGGGGGGCGGGGACGGGGAGGAGGGUGGCGGCGGCGAGGAGAUGGGGAGGAGGGAGGGUCUGAGCUAGGGUUUGGGCUGUGGUUGGGGUUUNNNNNNNNNNNNNNNNNNNNNNNNNNNNNNNNNNNNNNNNNNNNNNNNNNNNNNNNNNNNNNNNNNNNNNNNNNNNNNNNNNNNNNNNNNNNNNNNNNNNGGGCAGAUGAAAGUUGAAAUUUAAUGCUGAAUGCCAACUAUUUGAGAGAUGCAUGCUAGGGCAUAUAUGAUUCUAGACUCCUAAAACUUUUUAGUCCCUUACAUACUUUUGGCUAGCUCAUGUCACACUGCAAGCAAUUCAAUAAUGUGAUAUCUCAAACUACUUUACCAUCUCUUACAGGCAAGGUGCAUGGAGGUAGGCUAAGCUUCGUCGUCUUCCAUUGGACUGCCCCACUGCUGCCGGCGACGCUGUUUGGCAUCGGCACGGUGAGCUCCUCUCCCUCCUCUGCUCCGUGCCUUCUAUCCCCAGUUGCUCUGAUGAUCCUCGUGGCCUUCGAGCCACGGUCAUGGUGUGGGUCUAUGGCCUUCGUUCCAUGGCUGUCUGGCAAAGUUGUCAGAAUCGUGAUUCUGAAACGGAUCGGAAAGUCUUCGGUAGAAUCGAGUCGUAGAAUCGAAGAUUCUACGGAUUGGUUUCGAAACAACGGUCAAUGUUGAUGCAGAUGAGGAACACUAAGUUUUAUGGGUAAUUUGCUCUGAGGCAUUCUAUGAUGUNNNNNNNNNNNNNNNNNNNNNNNNNNNNNNNNNNNNNNNNNNNNNNNNNNNNNNNNNNNNNNNNNNNNNNNNNNNNNNNNNNNNNNNNNNNNNNNNNNNNUUACCUUCGGCGGUUGUCUGGGUAAGGGAACGUUUGUUUGUCCGUAGCAUGGACGUCGCAUGAAGACGUGAGAGUUGUCUCAGUUCGUUAAAUAGAAUAGUGUAUGUAUGUCGAAGGGUAGGAAAGACAGAGCAUCAACGUCCAGCGGGUCUUUGCAUCCAUUGCCCAUUCCCGAGUGGAAGUUCGACCAUAUUGAGAUGGAUUUCGUCACCGGGUUUCCGAAGUCCAAGAAGGGUAAUCAUGCCAUCUUCGUCGUCAUCGACAAGUUGAGUAAAGUGGCUCAUUUUCUUCCAGUCAAGGAAUCCAUCUCCGCAGCUCAGCUUGCAGAGGUGUACACUUCCAGGAUAGUGUCUUUGCACGGCGUGCCUAUGAUGAUUUCUUCGGAUCACACAAGUAUCUUCACUUCCAAGUUCUGGGACUUUUUUCAGUCUGCGAUGGGCACGAAGAUACGCUUCAGCAUAGCUUUUCAUCCUCAGACUAGUGGUCAAGUGCAGAGAGUCAAUCAGGUCCUUGAGGAUAUGCUGAGAGCAUGUGUUAUCUCUUUGGGCAUGAAGUGGGAAGACUGCCUGCCUUUCGCUGAGUUCUCGUAUAACAACAGUUAUUAAGCUAGUUCAGGCAAAGCUUCGUUUGAAUUCUCUAUGGAAGGAAGUGUCGUACCCCGCUCAACUGGUCCGAGACCGGCGAGCGUCAGAUUCUUGGAAAUGACUUGAUAGAAGAAGCUGAAGAGAUGUGUCGGGUCAUUCGGGAUAAUCUCAGAGCAGCGCAGUCCCGUCAGAAGAGCUAUUAUGAUAGCAAGCAUCUUGACAUGUCUUAUGAGCUCGAUGACUUCGUCUAUCUCAAGGUCUCCCCUAUGAAGGGUACACAACGCUUUGGCAUCAAAGCCAAGCUUGUGCCUCGUUUCGUGGGUCCUUUCAGAGACGGAGAAACGGAGGCACAGCGCGGCGGCACGAAAGGAUAACGAUCCAGGAAGGAAAGAGAUAACUUAUAUAGGGCUUAGCGUAUUGGAUAUCNNNNNNNNNNNNNNNNNNNNNNNNNNNNNNNNNNNNNNNNNNNNNNNNNNNNNNNNNNNNNNNNNNNNNNNNNNNNNNNNNNNNNNNNNNNNNNNNNNNNAGUGCAUCUCUUGUAUGGCAAUCCCUACUCAUUCACAUUGAUAUCUAUUAAUGGGCAUCUCCAUAGCCCUUUGAUACACCGAGUCAAUGUGACCAUCUCCUCCUUUUUGUCUCACAACCACCACCACACUCUAUUCCACUUAUAGUGCUAUAUCCAUGGCUCGCGCUCAUGUAUUUGCGUGAUAGUUAUAAAAAGUUUGAGAAAGUAAGAGUGUGAAAGCAAUUACUUGGCCAAUAUCGGGGUUGUGCAUGAUUUACAUUAGUUGUGUGAGGAUGACGGGGCAUAGCCACACUAUAUGAUUUUGUAGGGAUAACUUUCCUUGGCCUUGUUAUUUUGAAAGUUCAUGAUUACUUUGCUAGUUUGCUUGAAGUAUUAUUGUUUUCAUGUCAAUAGCAAACUAUUGUUUCGAAUCUUACGGAUCUGAACAUUCACGUCACGUGAAAUAAGUUGCAAAGGACAACUAUGCUAAGUAGCAUUCCACAUCAAAAAUUCAUUCUUUAUCACUUCCCCACUCGAGAACGAGCAGGAGUUAAGCUUGGGGAUGCUUGAUACGUUUCCAACGUAUCUAUAAUUUUUGAUGGUUUCAUGCUAUUAUCUUGUCAAACUUUGGAUGUUUUGCAUGCCUUUUAUAUAUUUUUUGGGACUAACUUAUUAACUCAGUGCCAAGAGCUUUUUCCAUGUUUUUGACCCCUUUCAGAGGAGGAUUUUGAACGGAGUCCAAAUGGAAUGAAACUGCCAAAAAGAUUUUUUCCGGAACAGAAAAAGAUCGGGGAGGCGGAGAAUCGGGGCACGGGGCCACCAGGGACCCCACAAGCCCUCAUGGCGCGGCCAGGGGGGCCCACAGCCCCCUGGCUUGUGGGCUCCCUGAGGCUCCUUUUCUCUAGGUUUUGCGCCUAUAUAUUCCCUAAAAUUCCAUAAAAAAUAAGGAGAUCAUCGAAAGUACUUUUUCGCCGCCGCAAGCUUCUGUCUUCGCAAGAUCCCAUCUGGGGCACGUCUGGUGCCCUGCCGGAGGGGGGAUUCGGACAGGGAGGGCUUCUUCAUCAACACCAUGACCUCCCCGAUGAUGCGUGAGGAGUUCACCAUAGACCUACUUGUCUUAUGAGCUCGAUGACUUCGUCUAUCUCAAGGCUCCCCUAUGAAGGGUCACAACGCUUUGGCAUCAAAGCCAAGCUUGUGCCUCGUUUCGUGGGUCCUUUCAGAGUUGUUGGCAAGAGAGGCGACCUUGCAUAUCAGCUCGAGCUCCCGUCAAACUUUGCAAAUGUGCAUGACGUGUUCCAUGUCUCUCAGCUCCGGAGAUGCUUCAAGACUCCCAAGCACACUGUUCAUCUUCAAGACAUCGACCUUCAACCCGACUAUCCUAUCGUGAGCAUCCAAUUGUGGUUCUCGAGGCGACUGACGCGCAAGACCCGCAACAAGACUUUCAAAUUUCUCAAGGUGCAAUGGUCACACCAUUCCGAUAAAAAGGCCACUUGGGAACGCGAGGAUCACCUCCAUUCUGAAUUCCCAGAGUUNNNNNNNNNNNNNNNNNNNNNNNNNNNNNNNNNNNNNNNNNNNNNNNNNNNNNNNNNNNNNNNNNNNNNNNNNNNNNNNNNNNNNNNNNNNNNNNNNNNNAAAUGAGAGACCGAACAAACAACGCACCAUCACCGCACACAACACACCACACCCAGGUAGUUGCCUUUGCAACUUAUUUCACGUGACGUGAAANGUUCAGAUCCGUAAGAUUCGAAACAAUAGUUUGCAUUGACAUGAAACAAUAAUACUUCAAGCAAACUAGCAAAGUAAUCAUGAACUUUCAAAAUAACAAGGCCAAGGAAAGUUAUCCCUACAAAAUCAUAUAGUGUGGCUAUGCCCCGUCAUCCUCACACAACUAAUGUAAAUCAUGCACAACCCCGAUAUUGGCCAAGUAAUUGCUUUCACACUCUUACUUUCUCAAACUUUUUAUAACUAUCACGCAAAUACAUGAGCGCGAGUCCAUGGAUAUAGCACUAUAAGUGGAAUAGAGUGUGGUGGUGGUUGUGGAGACAAAAAAGGGAGGAGAAUCGGGUCACAUUGACUCGGUGUAUCAAAGGGCUAUGGNGAUGCCCAUUAAUAGAUAUCAAAUUGGUGAAAUGGAAGUUAACGGGGGAAUUUGGCCCAUUACCAAGGAAGUACGCACUAGAGUACUNNNNNNNNNNNNNNNNNNNNNNNNNNNNNNNNNNNNNNNNNNNNNNNNNNNNNNNNNNNNNNNNNNNNNNNNNNNNNNNNNNNNNNNNNNNNNNNNNNNNCUAGAUGCAUGCUGGAUAGCGGUCGAUGUGUGGAGUAAUAGUAGUAGAUGCAGAAGUAUCGGUCUACUUGUCUCNGACGUGAUGAUGCCUAUAUGUAUGAUCAUUGCCUUAGAUAUCAUCAUGACUUUGCGCGGUUCUAUCAAUUGCUCGACAGUAAUUUGUUCACCCAUCGUGAUAUUUGCUAUUCUGAGAGAAGCCUCUAGUGAACACUAUGGCCCCGGGUCUAAUCCACACCAUAUUUUCAGCCUUACUCUUUUUACUUCGUUGCACUUUCCGCCUUCAGAUCUCACUUUGCAAUCAAUCUUGAAGGGAUUGAAAACCCCUUUAUAGAGUUGGGUGCAAGCUCUUUUGUGUUUGCGCAGGUACUCUGGACUUGACGAGAUUCUCCUACUGGAUUGAUACCUUGGUUCUCAAACUGAGGGAAAUACUUACUGCUCCUGUGCUGCAUCACCCUUUCCUCUUCAAGGGAAAAACCGACGCAAACAAGAGAAGUAUCAAUAAGAAUUCCUGGUGUUGCCGGGGAAGGACUUUUGUUGUUGUAGCAGAAGAAUUUCUGGCGCCGUUGCUGGGGAAGGACUUUUGUUGCCGUAGCAGAAGAAUUUCUGGCACCGUUGCCGGGGAGGAUCAAUUCAAGAACUCAUCCAAGUAAGUGUCACAAACNNNNNNNNNNNNNNNNNNNNNNNNNNNNNNNNNNNNNNNNNNNNNNNNNNNNNNNNNNNNNNNNNNNNNNNNNNNNNNNNNNNNNNNNNNNNNNNNNNNNCGUUGAGUUGGUUGCUUGUUUUGAUGAAACUAUGGUUAGUACCGGGGGGUACUAGCCAUGGAAAAGUGAGAAUACAGUAGCCCAACACCAAUAUAGAUAGAAUUCAAGUUUGCUACAGUACCAAAAGAGGUGGUAGUUUGUUUUCUUGUGCUAAUGUUAUCACGAGUUUCUGUUUAAGUUUUGUGUUGUGAAGUUUUCAAGUUUUGGGUGAUGUUCUCAUGGACAAAGAGAUAAGGAGUGGAAAGAGCUCAAGCUUGGGGAUGCCCAAGGCAUCCCAAGCCAAAUUCAAGGACAACAAAAAUCCCAAGCUUGGGGAUGCCCCGGGAAGGCAUCCCCUCUUUCCACUACAAGGAAUAUGCUAAUACACGACGCUAUAUUUUCGUCGCUACAUCGUCACGGUUUUUAGUUUACGACGAUCUCACGACGAAAAACCAGCGUCGAAAACGGAGCGUCAGAAAUGAWCCGCUCAGGCUGAACCAGCAUAUUUGUGACUAUGCCCUUUAAUGAACAUAUAUGUCGGAGACCUAUGGUUUAUGCUGAAUUCUACUUCUGUUUAUGAGCUUAUCCUAUAUAAUUUUACCAUGUUAAUUUUUUACAUAUGUACACUACCUCUCGACAUAAUUUCACGAUGAAUUUUUUUUGGUGUGAGUUGUACCAAAAAACAUAUAUUUUAAGCACAUGGACGCUCACUACAAAAACUCGUCCAUUUUGAUUUUGUGUAGCUCACAAAACAUAUUUGUUCAUGAAAUUUUACACGGAAAUGUCUAAAAGUAUUGUACUGGUAGGAUCGCGUAGAAUCUUCGAUUCUACGACUCGAUUCUACCGAAGACUUUCCGAUCCGUUUCAGAAUCACGAUUCUGACAACUUUGCCAGACAGCCAUGGAACGAGGCCAUAGACCCANNNNNNNNNNNNNNNNNNNNNNNNNNNNNNNNNNNNNNNNNNNNNNNNNNNNNNNNNNNNNNNNNNNNNNNNNNNNNNNNNNNNNNNNNNNNNNNNNNNNUCCGUCACGCGGAGUGAUAAAUCCCAGUCUUGAUCCAUGCUAACUGAACGGACACCUUCGGAGAUACCUCUAGAGCACCUUCAUAGUCACCCAUUUACGUUGUGACGUUUGAUACACACAAGGUAUUCCUCCGAUGUCAGUGAGUUACAUGAUCUCAUGGUCAUAGGAAUGAAUACUUGACACGUAGAAAACAAUAGCAAUAAAAUGACACGAUCACAUGCWACCUGGGAAUACCAGAAGUAUGCCAUUGGAGUGUGUUGUGAUGGAUUUGUUCCGUAGAACUCCAUUUCUUGUUUUGUUGUUUCCGGUUGAUCCAUAGCUCCGUUCGUAACGUUCUUUAUAUGUUUUUGCAUCGUUUUCGUGUGAUACAUCCGUUCAUGUCAUCCACAUGCAUGUCAAGAUAGCUUAGAGUGCAGUUCUGUCCAGAAGUUUGUACUUUCUUCUCAUGCAUGUGCAAGUGACUAGAAUAGAGAUGCAUGUUCAUUCUCAUCUCAUGCAUCAUGUGUUUGUUGCAUAUUGUGGURSKRUCGCGUAGAAUCUUCGAAUUCUACGACUCGAUUCUACCGAAGACUUUCCGAUCCGUUUCAGAAUCACGAUUCUGACAACUUUGCCAGUACAGCCAUGGAACGAAGGCCAUAGACCCANACCAUGACCGUGGCUCGAAGGCCACGAGGAUCAUCNNNNNNNNNNNNNNNNNNNNNNNNNNNNNNNNNNNNNNNNNNNNNNNNNNNNNNNNNNNNNNNNNNNNNNNNNNNNNNNNNNNNNNNNNNNNNNNNNNNNUUUGUGAAUAUUUGCACCACUAAAACAUAGUUUCAAAACAACAAAUACAUAACAUCACAUCCACCACAAUCAUACUAAAACAUGGGCAUUUUUGAAACCGGAAUGGAGCAAGAGAAUUUUGAGCUUGAGAAAAUAGAGAAGGGGAGUUUUAUAAAACCUAUUGCAACUAACAUAGAUGCUUCCUACUUACAAUUGCACCACUCCAGAACACUUCACAUAGAACCACAUAUCAUCACAUGUCAUCACAACACAUACACAUGAUCACAUUAGCAACAACACAAGAGACAUGGAUGAAUGGAUGCAUGAAUGCAAAAGAAACAAGGCGUGCACAUGAAAUACCACAUGGAAUAUAACUCUCAUUGCAAAGACAAGAUGGUCUCACAUACAGAAGGUUCCAAAUAAGGCAAGUUACACUCUUGGGGCAUUACAAACUCUGCCACACUACAAAAAGAUCUCGCCCCGAGAUCUAAGACUGAAAGAACUCUGGGAAUUCAGAAUGGAGGUGAUCCUCGCGUUCCCAAGUGGCCUUUUAUCGGAAUGGUGUGACCAUUGCACCUUGAGAAAUUUGAAAGUCUUGUUGCGGGUCUUGCGCUCAGUCGCCUCGAGAACCACAAUUGGAUGCUCACGAUAGGACUUAGGUCGGGGUUGAAGGUCGAUGUCUGAAGNUGAACAGUGUGCGUUUGGGGAGUUCUUUGAUAUUGGAUCCUACAUAUUCUACGAAGAUACUUAUCUAGUUNNNNNNNNNNNNNNNNNNNNNNNNNNNNNNNNNNNNNNNNNNNNNNNNNNNNNNNNNNNNNNNNNNNNNNNNNNNNNNNNNNNNNNNNNNNNNNNNNNNNACAUCCGAGACAAGUAGACCGANACUUUCUGCAUCUACUACUAUUACUCCACACAUCGACCGCUAUCCAGCAUGCAUCUAGUGUAUUGAGUUCAUGGCGAACAGAGUAACGCCUUAAGCAAGAUGACAUGAUGUAGAGGGAUAAUCUCAAACCAAUGAUGAAAACCCCAUCUUUUUACCCUUGAUGGCAACAACACGAUGCGUGCCUCGCUACCCCUUCUGUCACUGGGUGAGGUCACCGCACGGUAUGAACCCAAAACCAAGCACUUCUCCCAUUGCAAGAAUCAUAGAUCUAGUGGGCCAAACAAAACCCACAACUCGAAGAGAAUUACAAGGAUAUGAAAUCAUGCAUAAGAGAGAUCAGAAGAAACUCAAAUAAGAUUCAUAGAUAAUCUGAUCAUAAAUCCACAAUUCAUCGGAUCUCGACAAACACACCGCAAAAGAAGAUUACAUCGGAUAGAUCUCCAUGAAGAUCAUGGAGAACUUUGUAUUGAAGAUCCAAGAGAGAGAAGAAGCCAUCUAGCUACUAGCUAUGCACCCGUAGGUCUAUGGUGAACUACUCACGCAUCAUUGGAUAGGUCAUGGUGUUGAUGAAGAAGCCCUCCGUGUCCGAAUCCCCCCUCCGACAGGGCACCAGAACAUGCCCCAGAUGGGAUCUUGCGGAGACAGAAGCUUGCGGCGGCGAAAAAGUACUUUCGAUGAUCUCCUUAUUUUUUAUGGAAUUUUAGGGAAUAUAUAGGCGCAAAACUUAGAGAAAAGGAGCCUCAGGGAGCCCACAAGCCAGGGGGCUGUGGGCCCCCCUGGCCGCGCCAUGAGGGCUUGUGGGGUCCCUGGUGGCCCCGUGCCCCGAUUCUCCGCCUCCCCGAUCUUUUUCUGUUCCGGAAAAAAUCUUUUUGGCUAGUUUCACUUUCCGUUUGGACUCCGUUCAAAAUCCUCCUCUGAARGGUACAAAAACAUAGGAAAAAGCUCUUGGCACUGAGUUAAUAAGUUNNNNNNNNNNNNNNNNNNNNNNNNNNNNNNNNNNNNNNNNNNNNNNNNNNNNNNNNNNNNNNNNNNNNNNNNNNNNNNNNNNNNNNNNNNNNNNNNNNNNAUUGUUUUGAUUGAAGUGUUGACGUUUGAAACUUAUUAUUAUUGAUCGCUAGUUGAUUAUGCCAUUGAUAUGAGUUCCUCUUGAGACCUAAANGUCAUUGCUUAUGUGGUUUGCUCAUGAUCUUGCUCGAAAUCUGAAUAUGUAAGAUAGCAGUCUAAUUACUAGACUUUCUAGCCGAUCAUUAACAACAAGUCUAGCAAUUAGUGACCAGCUAGAUAUUCUAUUAAUCGGCUUGUAGUGAUCGGCUMGAAAUUAUAGUACAGAGACAAUGGAUGGAUCGGAUAGAAUACAGUACAGAGACAAUGGAUGGAUCGGAUAGAAUACUAGAAACAGUGAUCAGCCAUUAGCCGUAUAAUUACUAGAAUUCUACUAUCACGACUUCACAAGUAGUAGUAGCAGACUUGUUGUAUACAUCURCGCRAUCCUACCAGUACAAUACUUUUAGUACAUUUCCGUGUAAAAUUUCAUGAACAAAUAUGUUUUGUGAGCUACACAAAAUCAAAAUGGACGAGUUUUUGUAGUGAGCGUCCAUGUGCUUAAAAUAUAUGUUUUUUUGGUACAACUCACACCAAAAAAAAUUCAUCGUGAAAUUAUGUCGAGAGGUAGUGUACAUAUGUAAAAAAUUAACAUGGUAAAAUUAUAUAGGAUAAGCUCAUAAACAGAAGUAGAAUUCAGCAUAAACCCAUAGGUCUCCGACAUAUAUGUUCAUUAAAAGGGCAUAGUCACAWWURUKYUGGUUCAKCYWRARYKKWCAAUUCCUAAUCCCCUUGAUCUUUGGGUCUACACAAAAUAUCCCAUCUAGUAAGUCUAGUACUUUUGUCUUAGACGCUCAUUCGCUUUGCCAGAAAAAACGGGCCGAAAGAAAUCCAAUCUUUUCGCUCCCCCAACUACGGGGACUUUCCGGAAAGUAACGGANNNNNNNNNNNNNNNNNNNNNNNNNNNNNNNNNNNNNNNNNNNNNNNNNNNNNNNNNNNNNNNNNNNNNNNNNNNNNNNNNNNNNNNNNNNNNNNNNNNNACCCCUGGUCAUAAGGAAUUAUGACCUAUUUAAAUAAAAUAUAAAAGGAAUUUUUGGAGCAUAAAAAUAUUUACAAAACAUAAUUUAGUUGAUGUGUUUUGUGAAUAUUUGCACCACUAAAACAUAGUUUCAAAACAACAAAUACAUAACAUCACAUCCACCACAAUCAUACUAAAACAUGGGCAUUUUUGAAACCGGAAUGGAGCAAGAGAAUUUUGAGCUUGAGAAAAUAGAGAAGGGGGAGUUUUUAUAAAAACCUAUUGCAACUAACAUAGAUGCUUCCUACUUACAAUUGCACCACUCCAGAACACUUCACAUAGAACCACAUAUCAUCACAUGUCAUCACAACACAUACACAUGAUCACAUUAGCAACAACACAAGAGACAUGGAUGAAUGGAUGCAUGAAUGCAAAAGAAAACAAGGCGUGCACAUGAAAUACCACAUGGAAUAUAACUCUCAUUGCAAAGACAAGAUGGUCUCACAUACAGAAGGUUCCAAAUAAGGCAAGUUACACUCUUGGGGCAUUACUGCACAGUGUUCGAGGUUAUGCUUCCACGGUCCAUUUUGCAUGAAAAUAUGUUUAAACAAAAGGAUAUAUACUACAUGAUGUGUGUUAAAAUUUAAGUUGUUUAAUUAAUGCAUAUCGUACAUCUAUUUAGAGUUGUGCAAUGGAAGUAUGCUAGUUCAUUUGAUGCCAGCCUCCAACAGGAAAGUACAAUACUGGUGUGUGCUAAUUAUAUUUAGUUCACCUGCGUCGGAGUGAAUGGCCUGAAACCAAGGNNNNNNNNNNNNNNNNNNNNNNNNNNNNNNNNNNNNNNNNNNNNNNNNNNNNNNNNNNNNNNNNNNNNNNNNNNNNNNNNNNNNNNNNNNNNNNNNNNNNACUCAAACAAAGGAUAUAAUCUAGGUAGAAAUAAUCUUUGCUCUAAUAAUGGAAAGGUAUUCAUAAAGUAAUACCUACACCAGUUUUACUUCUCGAAAUAGAAUUGAGUAACAACAAGGUGGUGAAACAUAGAGCAAGUAUUGUAGCACAAGGGUUCUACGCAAGAUACCCAACGUAUUCCUCCAGAGGUGGAAUCUCUUUCUGUAUAAUUUCUAUUAUUGGCUAGAUGAACUAUAGGGUAUGCGUACACAGCAGCACUACACCAAUUAAUUUGUAAGCAUUUUUUGCUAUUGAAUUGAUAGCCACUAUUGCAUUGAUAGCCACUACAAAGUUAAUUUGUACUAAAAAAAACUAGGCUGAUAAAGGACCUCCACGGGUAGGAACCACCCAUCCAUCAUACGCAAACUAAAGGAUUUCGUCAUGACAAAACAAUGUCUAAUCCAAGCACCAAGCAAUUUUAUUUAGUACAUUUGGUCCAGUUUCAGUUUUGCCCUUUUUUCAUUUUGAAUUCAGCAACUUUUUCUAGUAACUUGGUUUCAUUUCUAAUUAUUGGGCCUUUUCAACAUUAUUGUCCAAUAUUAAAUGCAGCACUAUUUCAUAUUACAAAUCCAAGAAACUCAAGUCGAAUUAAAUCAUUCAUAUAUAACAUCACAUAAUACAUCUCCAGUUACAUAAUACAAUAACUCAUCUNNNNNNNNNNNNNNNNNNNNNNNNNNNNNNNNNNNNNNNNNNNNNNNNNNNNNNNNNNNNNNNNNNNNNNNNNNNNNNNNNNNNNNNNNNNNNNNNNNNNCCACAUACUGUUUCUAUACAACUUCAAGUGAGGGUCUUUACUCUGUUGUGUCCAUUCACUUAUAAGUGUAAUUGAUAAGUUACUGACACACAUAUAUAUAUACAUGUGCAACUUCCAUUGGAUUUUGUUGGACAUUCAAAUUGAUAAGGGAAGAGUUGAUGCCUUCGACCCAUAUCGAGACCCUUGGAACAGUUCCAAAGCCUGCAGGACAUGCUUCAAGGGUAAUUCAAUCAUUCUUGCGCUCUAUCGGUCUCUUUCGAUGAUUUUCUGAUAUAUCAAUUAAUGAAAAACUUAGCAAAUCAUUUUCCUUGUCGGGCAGGGUUUAGAAGCGGUUCAAGUGCGUGACUCCCGGUAUUGAGCAUGAGAAGCUGACCUUUAGAGCGGCUCAUGUAAGUAGUUGCCGGGACCCCGAUCCUAAGCCAUAGGAAUCCAGCCUGUAACACAUCGCAUCCCUUUGUGGUCUCACGCACGGUUAACUCCACGGCUGCAGCCUUACCUUAGCCGGGACCGUUUGCGUCUUUUGACUCACGUAUGCGAUAGUGUCGCUAGCAUUCCAAUGUUUUGGCUGUGUUAUAAGGUGUGAGUAUUGAGUAAGACUCGAAACCUACACACGGUGAAAAAGAUGGGUAUAGAUCCGUCAAGGAUCAAGCCCAGCAACACUACCUUUAAAGGAGUGAUCUCNNNNNNNNNNNNNNNNNNNNNNNNNNNNNNNNNNNNNNNNNNNNNNNNNNNNNNNNNNNNNNNNNNNNNNNNNNNNNNNNNNNNNNNNNNNNNNNNNNNNUACUAUUGUCCGCUUUCAGGCUGAACCAGCUAUAUUUUGUGACUAUAGCCCUUUAAUGAACAUUUAUAUUGUAACGGAGACCUAUUGGUUUAUGCUGAAUUACUACUUCUGUUUAUGUUAGCUUAUCCUAUAUUAAUUUUACCAUGUUAAUUUUUUACACUAAUGUACACUACCUCUCGACAUAAUUUCACGAUGAAUUUUUUUUUGGUGUGAGUUGUACCAAAAAACAUAAUUAUUUUUAAGCACAUGGACGCUACUACUACAAAAAACUCGUCCAUUUUGAUUUUGUUGUAGCUCUACAAAACAUACUUUGUUAACAAUGAAAUUUUUACACGGAAAUGUCUAAAAAGUAUUGUACUGGUAGGAUCGCGUAGAAUCUUCGAUUCUACGACUCGAUUUCUACCGAAAGACUUUCCGAUCCGUUUCAGAAUCACGAUUCUGACAACUUUGCCAGACAGCCAUGGAACGAAGGCCAUAGACCCACACCAUGACCGUGGCUCGAAGGCCACGAGGAUCAUCAGAGCAACUGGGGAUAGAAGGCACGGAGCAGAGGAGGGNNNNNNNNNNNNNNNNNNNNNNNNNNNNNNNNNNNNNNNNNNNNNNNNNNNNNNNNNNNNNNNNNNNNNNNNNNNNNNNNNNNNNNNNNNNNNNNNNNNNAAGCAGCAGUCCAGAAGUGCUGCCUCCGAAUUCGCCUCCAGACGGAGAAUGGAUUUGUCUGCAUCGUACAGCCGCAGCCCCUGCAGAACAAAAUUCCAAUCGAAGCCCUGUCAGCCAUCUCUUCCGCAAAGAUAAAGUGCUGGUUUCGUCUCAAAUAAAUGCAGCUGUAAAGUGAAUGGACUGCAGCAUCUCUCGUGGGAACAUGCACAGAUUAGUCACUAGUCACAGCUAUCAAGUCAGCCUAAGUUGCUACUAAUACAGUAUAUUAUACUUAUUACUUUAGGGAUGCUACCAGAGUUGAUACUCCUAGAAAAUGCAGUACUUGUUACGUUAUCAUUGACGCUAUUCCUUGCAGUGUGACGGCUUUACAAUGAACGACCCUGAAUGGUAGUAGUAGUAUAUUUCACUAAUCAUGGAGAAGACUUAAGACUGAAAUGAAUGCAGAGAAUACGACCAGGGAGGCGAAGCGCUGGUAGCAAAGAGAAGGAGUGGAGCACAUCUGGAGAGCGCGAUAUUGGAUCCCAUACCUAAGAUGAAGCCAAGGGCGCUCACGAGCGCCUUGUUGCAGAUGACAAUGAAGACCGAGGAGACCACGGAGAGGCUGAGCGCCCCACUGUCCCCAACUGGAACUUCUCCCCCACCACCCCCAMUCUCUGCCGGCUGGGUUUGCUAUUGAGCACCCGAAGCAAGAAGCAGCAGCAGCCGAGGAGCUUCCAGACGCGGACCCCCACCGGCAGGACCUGCGCAACAGGAAGAAGAUCACAUUUCGAGUCGAAGGCAACCGCGACAAGAGAUGGGCUUCCCGCUGGUCAAAGCAACCGAGCGGCAACAGCAGCAGCACCGCGGUGCCACCAACCUCUGGUGUCAAAAAUCCGAGCGCGUGGGGAGAUCUGAGGAGGCGGGGGUANAGGGGAGUCGUGGAUCGGAUCGGGGUAAGCUCCGCCGGAUGGCGGUUGCACGGUUCAGGGUGCGUUCCGUGGGAUCUGGGAGUCCGUGGCGAGGGAGAGGGAGGGAGCGUCGUCCGUGGGAGUCGUGGGAUCCGUGGAAAGGNGAGGUAGAAAUGGAGGGAAUGGGGAACAGUAGGAGGUANNNNNNNNNNNNNNNNNNNNNNNNNNNNNNNNNNNNNNNNNNNNNNNNNNNNNNNNNNNNNNNNNNNNNNNNNNNNNNNNNNNNNNNNNNNNNNNNNNNNAUCCCUUAGAGCAUCUCCAGUCGUUUGUCCCCCAUCGCACCUUGACGAAAGCCUUUUUGGCGUUGAGCCGACGCUUUUCUUGCCCUCGGGGCGAGCGAGUUUCCAGCCGUGCCCCCAGGUUUGGGUCCCGGGACGCCAACGGUUUCAAACUUGUCUUUUUCCGGCACCACAAAGUUUGACGAUCGUGCCACAAGUCGGCGAUCAGCAUGCCAUAGUUCGGCGAUCAACACACCCAGUAGUUCGACGAUCAAAAAGGAAGGAUCUUUUUUCUAUUUUUUUUAUUUGGGCUCUUUGGCCUCUUUUUUCUCCUCACAUGGGACAAUGCUCUAAUAAUGAUGAUCAUCACACUUUUAUUUACUCACAGCUCAAAGCUCAAAAUAAUGAUGACUCUAUAGAAAAUGCCUCCGGCAGUGUACCGGGAUGUACAACGAUCUAGCAUGGCGUAUGACGUUGAAAACAUCUCGCUGGCUAUCUUACGAUCAUGCAAUGACAAUAUGAGACGUGAACGGCACGAAGUCAWGAGCAGAGUGGAGUGAUGCAUAUAUNNNNNNNNNNNNNNNNNNNNNNNNNNNNNNNNNNNNNNNNNNNNNNNNNNNNNNNNNNNNNNNNNNNNNNNNNNNNNNNNNNNNNNNNNNNNNNNNNNNNUAGAACGUAGGAAAGGGAAAGGUAGGAACGAAGGUAGGUAAGGGUUUAAGUUUUAGUUUUUGUCUAUGCUAUUGUAGAGUAUCGUUAGGUAAUUGAUAUGUUACUUUCCUACUAAGUUGUAGAAACACCAGAAUUAGACAAAUCACUUAUUCUCUAAGAAAACUGACUUUCGCCCUCGCAUGUUGUUGAAUAGUAUACUCUGUAAAACACAUAUUUUCCCCCUUGCAUGCUGUUAAAGACACUACUCAGCCGAUAUUCCAAUUGUUAAUCUAUAUAUUACAUCGCUUGAUAUAAGAUAAUGUGACAGUUUUAAUACAGAAGUUUAUUUUGGCUUGAAGAGACUACACAACAGAUAUUCCAAUUGUUAAUCUAUAGAUAACACCGCUUGAUAUAAUAUAUGUGGUAGUUUUAUUAUAGAAGUUUAUUUUGGCUUGAAGAGACUACUCAGCAGAUAUUCCAAUUCAGCUUGCAACAAAAUAAAUGUGCAUUUUAUUUAGCCUCAUUCCAUAAGCAGCAAGUAAAAUGCAUUUUAUUUAGCCUCAGUUGGUAAGCAGCAAUCCAACUUACCACUAUAAAUCACACAUCUAUAUAACAUCAUCCUAUCGCGGAUGCUACAUUUAUUGCCUUGGAAAUUGAAUAUGUGAGAAAUNUUUCAUUGGCUAGUUAGAAGUAGUGCCAUCCACUCACAGNNNNNNNNNNNNNNNNNNNNNNNNNNNNNNNNNNNNNNNNNNNNNNNNNNNNNNNNNNNNNNNNNNNNNNNNNNNNNNNNNNNNNNNNNNNNNNNNNNNNUAAUCUGGUUUGUAUUGUCCCUAAACCACUCAUGUGGUGACAAAGGGCGAUCUAGUAUCUUCCUAUGCUAGGCGUGUUAUCCUUCGAUAUCGUGUUUAUUCACUAUCUAUUCACGGGUAAAGGGGACGGUAAUUGGAAUGCCCAGUUCCAUGCUCAAAUCGAAAAGUAUAAUUGCAAACAUAACUCCCCCCUGGUAUUGUUGUUGGUAUGGAUGGCAACCCGAGUAUUACGGCUAGCCGUUGGAGUGUGAUUGAUUCGGUGGUGUGGGAGUCAAACUUUCUUUCUAUUUGGGAACCGCCUAUAGUAUGGUGUAGAAUGGAAGAUGGUGAAAACUAUUGGUCAUUGCCGUUGACAAUGAAAGCUAUGCCACCCGAAAUUAUUUAUCUCUGUCUACAAAGCUUGAGCUCCGGCACCUCUGCAAAUCAAUGCUUCCCUCUGCGAACGGCCUAUCUAUUUAUGUUUCUGUUGAGUCAUCCACUUCUUAUAAAAGCACCAAUUAGAGAGAACCUCUGUCAUUUCUAUGCUUUGCUUUUUAAUUGUUAAUGAGUAUGACUGUGACUGGAUCUUUCUUUGCCAUGAAUUACAAUGUUCAGUCAACCCUUGGUCUUUGAAGGUGCUCUACAUUAUUGUUUUGCGGUUCUCUAGAAGAGCUAGCGAGAUACCAUCUGUUCAUUAUUGCUUCAUGUAUUGUUUUGUAGUUAGGUAAGUUGGUUUAGGUACCGGUUUUAGGUAAACUUUAAUUUAUUAUUGUAUCUCUUAGUUGUAUUAAGUUGUCCUAAUUUGGUAAUUAUUAGGUAACGGGUUUUUACCCGUUUCCUUUAGGUAACGGUUAACCCUUAAAAAGUUUCGUUACGUUAANNNNNNNNNNNNNNNNNNNNNNNNNNNNNNNNNNNNNNNNNNNNNNNNNNNNNNNNNNNNNNNNNNNNNNNNNNNNNNNNNNNNNNNNNNNNNNNNNNNNUCUGCGGAGGCUCCCACUGAACAAUGGUCUGCACCUUUUGACAUAUCAACUUUGAUGCCCUCGGCAGGGAUGAUGUGCCCAAGAUUGACGACUUCUUUCAACCAGAACUCACAUUUGGAAAACUUGGCAUAGAAUUUGUGCUCUCUUGACUUAUCAAGCACCAGCCUGAGAUGUUCUUCAUGUUCUUCCUCAGUUUUCGAAAAGACCAGAAUAUCGUCGAGAUACAGGAAGACGAACUCAUUCUUGAACGAAGAGAAUAUGUAGUUCAUCAUUUGACAAAAUGUCGGUGGAGCAUUUGCCAGACCAAAAGACAUGACCGUAUACUCAUACGAGCCAAAACUAGUCCUGAAAGCAGUCUUCGGAAUAUCCUCUUCGCAAAUGCAAAUUUGAUGAUAGCCCAUUCUAAGAUCGAGCUUGGAGAAGAUCUUAGCUCCUUUCAACUGUUCGAACAACUCAUUUAUGUUCGGAAGUGGAUACUUGUUUCUGAUUGUCUUCUUGUUCAAUGGACGGUAAUCGACACACAAUCGGUCCGUGCCAUCCUUCUUCUUGACAAACAUAACUCCACAGCCCCAAGGAGACGAGCUCGGUCUGAUCAGACCCAAACGCUCUUGCUCAUCGAGUUGCCUUCUUAAGUUCCUUCAGCUCCUAGACGUUUGCACACAGCCUUAGUACCUGGUUCAAGCUCAAUAACAAUUCAAUUUCUCGGUGCGGAGGCAUUCCUGUCAGCUCUUCUGGAAACACAUCUUCAUAUUCGCAGACCACUGGGACUUGCGAAAUNNNNNNNNNNNNNNNNNNNNNNNNNNNNNNNNNNNNNNNNNNNNNNNNNNNNNNNNNNNNNNNNNNNNNNNNNNNNNNNNNNNNNNNNNNNNNNNNNNNNCCUUUUAAGCAACAACUAUGUGAGUUCUUCAUGACUAAUGUGAGUCCAUGGUAUAGAUGCCACUUUCCCCUUCCACCUUUGCUAGCCUCUUAGUGCUGCGCAAUUCUCACCGGUGCACAAACCUACCAUAUGCCUUCCUAAGGCCGAAACGAAGCCCAAAUAAGAAAAAGACCCAAAAAUAAAACCAGCCCAUAUGAUCAAUUGAAAUGGGUUGGGCUGAUUUCAACUAUGAUGUUUUGAUUUCGUCGUAAUUUUGCCACGUAGGACUGCCAUGUAGGACUGGGUUAGAUUGUCAACGACGAUUUAGGAUCGUCGUAGAGGUUACGACGAUCCAUGAAUCGUCGUAAAAGUUACGACGAUUUUGAUCAAAACAUCGUUGCUGUUCAUUUCUAACGCUCCGUUUUCGACGCUUGGUUUUUCGUCGUGAGAUCGUCGUAAACUAAAAACCGUGACGAUGUAGCGACGAAAAUAUAGCGUCGUGUAUUAGCAUAUUCCUUGUAGUGGAAAGAGGGGAUGCCUUCCCGGGGCAUCCCCAAGCUUGGGAUUUUUGUUGUCCUUGAAUUUGGCUUGGGAUGCCUUGGGCAUCCCCAAGCUUGAGCUCUUUCCACUCCUUAUCUCUUUGUCCAUGAGAACAUCACCCAAAACUUGAAAACUUCACAACACAAAACUUAAACAGAAACUCGUGAUAACAUUAGCACAAGAAAACAAACUACCACCUCUUUUGGUACUGUAGCAAACUUGAAUUCUAUCUAURUGUGGUGUUGGGCUACUGUAUUCUCACUUUUCCAUGGCUAGUACCCCCGGUACUAACCAUAGUUUCAUCAAACAAGCAACCAACUCAACGAAAACAGAAUCUGUAAAAAACAAACCAGUUUGNNNNNNNNNNNNNNNNNNNNNNNNNNNNNNNNNNNNNNNNNNNNNNNNNNNNNNNNNNNNNNNNNNNNNNNNNNNNNNNNNNNNNNNNNNNNNNNNNNNNUUCUAGUAUUCUAUCCGAUCCAUCCAUUGUCUCUGUACUGUAUUCUAUCCGAUCCAUCCAUUGUCUGUACUAUAAUUUCUAGCCGAUCACUACAAGCCGAUUAAUAGAAUAUCUAGCUGGUCACUAAUUGCUAGACUUGUUGUUAAUGAUCGGCUAGAAAGUCUAGUAAUUAGACUGCUAUCUUACUUAUGUGCUUUACUUCCUAAUUAACACUACUCUUAUUUUUUCGUUUUUAUUUAUUUUAGGGCAAUCUGUCGAAAGUACCCGAUGAUGUCCGAGCAAUGUUCCUGAAGCUGUUACAAUGUCAGGAAGAACAGAGUGAUGCAAAGAAGAGGAAGUUAGAACAGAUAGCAACUGAUACUCAUGAAGUAAAUGCCAUAGAAGAGAAUGACCAAGAUCAUGUUGGAGAUCAGCUGGCAAACUAGAGUAAAACCCAGACAACUGUGAAUCAAUUCUACAAAAAACUUAGUGAACUAUUUACUAUUGUCCGCUCAGGCUGAACCAGCAUAUUUGUGACUAUGCCCUUUAAUGAACAUAUAUGUCGGAGACCUAUGGUUUAUGCUGAAUUCUACUUCUGUUUAUGAGCUUAUCCUAUAUAAUUUUACCAUGUUAAUUUUUUACAUAUGUACACUACCUCUCGACAUAAUUUCACGAUGAAUUUUUUUUGGUGUGAGUUGUACCAAAAAACAUAUAUUUUAAGCACAUGGACGCUCACUACAAAAACUCGUCCAUUUUGAUUUUGUGUAGCUCACAAAACAUAUUUGUUCAUGAAAUUUUACACGGAAAUGUCUAAAAGUAUUGUACNGGUAGGAUCGCGUAGAAUCUUCGAUUNNNNNNNNNNNNNNNNNNNNNNNNNNNNNNNNNNNNNNNNNNNNNNNNNNNNNNNNNNNNNNNNNNNNNNNNNNNNNNNNNNNNNNNNNNNNNNNNNNNNUUUCAUUGUAUACUUAAAUUUUUCUGUCGAAAUAAAGUACAUAGAUAUGUAACUGAAAUUAUUCUAACUUCAUAGUUUACCUUAAAUAAUUACAAAGGUAAAUAAGACAAUUCCUACUGCCAUACUCUGAACGAAUUCUACCAGGCUUUAUGAAGUGUAACACGUCAAUACAAUUAGAUCUUCUAGUUGGAUGGAUCAGAUUUUAUUUCUACUUCUGUCUCUUAGAGUUAACAUGGAGCCUCGAAGGGAGCUCUAGUCAGAAUAGAGGAUGGUGCCCCUGCAUUUGGAAAAGAAAACGCUACAAGCAUUAUGUUUCUGUGAUGACGAAGCACAUGGACUUGGUGGAGUGUUGCAACUAAUUUGUUGAUACCUUAUUACACAUCCAUCCGAACCGCCGGCAAAUGCCACAGACUCGUCCUUGAAGCAGCAGUCCAGAAGUGCUGCCUCCGAAUUCGCCUCCAGACGGAGAAUGGAUUUGCUACAUCGUACAGCCGCAGCCCCUGCAGAACAAAAUUCCAAUCGAAGCCCUGUCAGCCAUCUCUUCCGCAAANNNNNNNNNNNNNNNNNNNNNNNNNNNNNNNNNNNNNNNNNNNNNNNNNNNNNNNNNNNNNNNNNNNNNNNNNNNNNNNNNNNNNNNNNNNNNNNNNNNNGGUGUUUAGAGUCUUAGAUACUAUUUCAGAAUGGUGGGAUUACAUCAAUGUACUUAACUGUCUUUUAAUUGGCAUAGAUAUCCUGUUGCACAUAACGAGGAUUUAUUAUGUUUUUGCAUAAUAUUCAUCACCAAAUAUAAGAGACAAGCUACAAACUAAAUGGAUCCCAAACUUAUCCAUGAACCAAAAACUGCAAAGAAAAUCGAACAUGACAUAUAUUUUCAGUUGUAAGUAUGUAACCUCGUGUGAAGCCACAUCGUUGAUGACACGACCGAUGACCCAAGAAAACUGCAAAUAAAAUCAAACAUGGCAUAUAUUUUCAGUUUUAAGUAUAUAACCUCGUGUGAAGCCACAUCGUUGAUGACACGGCCAAUGAUGCAAGAAGCUCGCAUGAUUUUGGGAUAGGUCAUGGUCCAUUCGAUGGCAUCAACGCUUGCCCCUAUGACAACGAGGGCAAGGCAUACAAUAUGCAUGCAACAAGAGCUAGGCACCGAGAAUCGCAGGUGAUCCUCAACAGUAACUGAUGUUUCGCUGUCCUCACGCCAUUUUGCCUCGUUGUAGUAGCAUUUCGUAGCAUCGAUUAGCUGCACAAGUACAAUGGUAUAUUUAUUUUUCCUGGGAAAAUUAAUUGUCGAUAUCCAUACACAUAUUUCUUUCAUGUAGCAGAUUUGUCUUACGAGCGAACAUAAAGAAAACAUAAGCUAGGUGAUAACUUCUAUCAACCAAUAUUGUAAUAUUAGUUUUGUAGGUUUUUUGAAACGAAUUCAACAAUUAAGAUGAACCAUGCAACGACUACACUGUUUAUGAGUUAAAAUAUUUUAAACUUCAAAUUUCUGCAGAGCCUCGAUUAUUUCAUCACUUUUAUCUACUUGUACACCCAUGCACCAUACAUCGACUACACUGUUGAUGGGUUAAAAUAUUUUAUACUUCAAAUUUAUGCAGAGCCAUGAUGAUUUCAUCACUUUUAUCUACUUGUACACCCAUGCAAAUGGCCCUGCAUCAAUUGCUAAAUGCGAUUCAGGGGAUCCGUACCAUAGUGCUAGUUGCGUUCCAUACAUAAUGAUCUUAUGCAAGUAUUUAACGAUAUAUUUUUGUUUAAUUGAACAUGUUCAUGAGACAUCGACUUACUAGCUUUUUUACAUAGUUUGCAUGCUUGUUUCCUUGACUAUCCAAGUCUUUUUCAAUAACCUUCAUGGUAGCAAGUACUUUGUUGUAGAAGAACUUCAUGUAACCUGGGAGCUGUUCAGCAGCUUGUUCAUCCCACCUAACAAGAAUGGUUAGUUGUUCCAGAAUUAGUAUCAAGCAACACAUUAAUUGGUUAUUAAAACCACCCUAUCCCACACUUCUAUAUAGAGACCUUUCCAUUGCCAUGGUGAGGAGUUUGCUUUCUUCUAAGGUGCUGUAACUGUCGUAAAUGUCAUCAAAGAUCGAUAUAAAUGUAAAGAACUUAGUGAGCACGAUUCGUCCGUAUGAAUAUUGUGGCUCAAAUAGAACUCCUAGCAUCCAAAAGUGCAUCUCCACCAUCCGGUCUCGUGCGAAGCUCAAAUGGUCUUGGAGUUGAAGUUCUUUCCACCACCUGCAAAUAAACCAUGAGCUCAGAUUGUAAUGGUACGAUAGAUGGUAUAUAUGAAACGCAUGUCAAGAGUUAAGAGGCACCGCGUUGUGUCUGGACUUAGAGUUUAGUGAUGAAAUAUAAAUUCCACCAAGGGAAAGUAGGUGAAAUUAUACCGACAUAAUAGCAGAUUUCAUCAUAGAGAGUCACUUACAAAGUAAGAGCCCUCAGCUCCUGACAGUACAGAGCUUGCAGAAUACUGAAAUCCAGCUUUGCAAGCUCCAAAAUGGCCUCAUUCCUUGUACUCGUGAUAUUUGCUAUUCUGAGAGAAGCCUCUAGUGAACACUAUGGCCCCGGGGUCUAAUCCACACCAUAUUUUCAGCCUUACUCUUUUUACUUCGUUGCACUUUCCGCCUUCAGAUCUCACUUUGCAAUCAAUCUUGAAGGGAUUGAAAACCCCUUUAUAGAGUUGGGUGCAAGCUCUUUUGUGUUUGUGCAGGUACUCUAGACUUGAUGAGANNNNNNNNNNNNNNNNNNNNNNNNNNNNNNNNNNNNNNNNNNNNNNNNNNNNNNNNNNNNNNNNNNNNNNNNNNNNNNNNNNNNNNNNNNNNNNNNNNNNAGUGAUAUUAUUGUAGUUGAAAAAGCUCGAAUAAUUUCGUAUAUACAGCCAAUUCCCUUAUAGAUAUUUGAAAAAAUAUUUUCUAGAACACCAUCUAUUUUGGAGGCGGGAUAAUAGUUAACUGGUCAUACAAACUACAUACCAUAAAAUAUUGGUUAACUAAUAGAAAAGUUAUUUAACUAGAGAAGGAUAACUGGUCUCUGCAUCAAUUGAUGCAUUGAUGUAUGUAGCCAUAUUAAUAGAAGGUAAUAUCACUUUGUUAAUAUGACAAUUUUUCCUCUCUCGUGAAUCAGCGAGAACAAGAACAGAGCUCUGGUGAGAGGCCCGUGAUAUCAACGGUGGAAGCGUGCAUGGAGGAGAACAACUACACUGCAAAGGAAGAUGCAUACAGAAAGCUCAGGGAGCUCAUAAAGGAGUCAUGGAUGGACAUCAUUGAGGAGAUGCUCAAGUCAGCCGCCACACGGCCGACAGCGCCCCUCCUAGAGGCCGUGGUGAAUUCAACACGGAUGUUGGACUUCUUGUACAAGGAUCAAGACGCGUACACCGAUCCACGAGCACUCAAAGUGGUAGUAGAUUCUAUAUAUGCAAAUCCUAUAUAGAGAAAAGUAUUUCAAUUUGUAUAAGCACAUAAUCAUGCUAUGAGAAACCAUAUAACUCACCACUCUAUCAUGCAAUGUAUCCAUGAUAGAACUGUGAGAAAAAAAUGUACUAGGGAUACCCCUUUAGUGAAAGAAUUAUUGUACUCCAAUUGUAUCUUACACAAAUUUUCACGUCCAAACAAUCUGAUUCACAUUUAUGCUUUAGCAGUCAAUAGAUACCAAGUGCUAAGGACCACUAGUACAAUGCUGGUGGUGUGUCGCAGUCGGUGUUAAAGAAAAUAUACAUUUGCUGCUCAUAACGGUUUUAGCAAAUGCAUUUUAGGCAUACUAUUUCCUUUUUUAGGCAAUCGUUUCUUGCCCAAACUGAAUACAGCUCUUGGUGUGGACUUCCAUAUCAUUGUCGAUACAGAACAAUCCAUGUGAGGCCACAUGAAGAAUCCUUUGUGCCCCCACUGUGAAACCGAUAGGCGCAGCUCCGCUACUAACUUCAUGAAAAAUAUGUUUUGUGCGGCCAAAAGUUUCAGAAAACGAAACCGCUAUCUGUUGGCCAAACAAGUUGAUGAAUGGAUAGCGAUGUUUCUUAGCUAGGACAGACAAUGUCACAGCUGUCACAAUGGCUUUAUUGGCGAUGCCAAUAAUACUACUCCCUCCGUUCCAAAAUUCUUGUCUUAGAUUUGUUUAGAUAUGAAUGUAUCUAGUCAAGUUUUAGUAUUUACAUACAUCCACUUCUAAAUAAAGUUAAGACAAAUUUUUUGAGACGGAGGGAGUAUUAUUGUUGGCUGCAGCACUUCAGCAAACUAAUUAUCGGUGCUUGUAGCUCGUGCUAAAAUGCUAUCAAGUGUGCUUCUGUAUAACCAUCUGAAGAUUUCUUUUGUGAUCAAUAUCAAUAAAAAAAUAGUCUAAUCAGUUGUUGGGUAAUCUAUUAGGGCAUGUGAGUUAAUCACGUUGCCCUGUACACAUAAGAUUAGGAAAAAAAGCCAAACCGAGUCCUAGUAGUAUUAGGAUACCUAGUCCUAGUCUAUUUCCAUAGUCUCUUGUGUAUGUGUAUAAAAGACACCCUAGGGGUGGUGAUUGUAACACCAGAUUAGAUAGCAAAGCAAUAUAAAGUAUUACAACGGGAUCGACACGAGCCUGUGGCCAUCAACGAUUCAGUGCCUUCGUGUUUUUACGUUCUUGUUGAGAGAGCCGAGUUGAUCCGUUGCCACGUGAUUGAUCCAAUCAACCGAAGCUAGCCGGGUGAAGCGUAUUCAUACUCAAGUCUCUGGCUAAUUGCACGACGUGUGUACAGGGGCUAAUGUGCUUGUUCGAGUUAGCUUUGCACGUACACAUACGUGGUGCUCCUGGGUGUUUUGAUCUACGGUUUAAAAGCCAACAAUUGGUAUCUAGAGCCUCGACGAUCUACGAUCUACGAUGACGGACAGCGACGCUGAAUCGGUCAAGUCCGGCAGUGGCCGUGCCAAGGUGAACAAGAACGACGACAAGGUGGAGAAGGACGGCAAGUCAGCGACCAGUGGUGGGGAAACGGGCGGCGCCAACGUCCAAGCGCAUCGCAACAUCCCCAUCCAGUACCCGAUGCUCACCGAUGUCAACUAUGGCGUGUGGACGGUGAAGAUGAAGAUUAUUCUCCGAACCCUCCGAGUGUGGCAGGCAAUCACGGACGACGACGUCGAUGACGAGUCCGAUGAAGGUGCCAUGGCCGCCAUAGCCCAGUCCGUGUCGGAUUCCGUGUUGAUAACAUUGGCGGAGUUCGAGACGGCAAGAGAGGCGUGAAACGCACUCAAGGAGAUGACGAUCCGAGAAGAUCGCGUCACCAAGGCUCGGGCACAAGUGCUGAAGCGCCAAUUUCACAAGUUGCAGAUGGAGGAAACUGAAUCGGUGAGCGACUACGCCAUGCGUCUUACUACUUUGGUGGGAGAGAUCCGCGCGCUUGGUGCAAAGCUUGAGGAGACCGAGAUUGUGGAUAAAUUUUUCAGUUCGAUGACUGACAAAUUCACGUACAUCAUCGGCACGCUCGAGCAGCUUUACGACAUCGACGACAUGACCAUAACGGAGGCGAUCGGACGCCUGCAGACGUGAGAAGAGAAUGCUCGUGGUUGUCGAAAAGGCAACGGAGGAGGUAGUGACCAACUCAUGUACUCGCGUGCAGAUUGGGAGUCCCCAAGUAGAAAAGGAAGGCGUGAUAGCAACGAAGGCUCAAGCAACGCAAUGCGCGGCGGACAAACCGGAGAAGGCAAAGGAAAAGGCAAGCCACAAGGUCGUGGUAAGGCAGACCGAUCUAAAGGGUGGAAGUAACGUUACUUGGAUAUGUCCGAGGUCAAGUGUUAUAACUGCAACGAGAUGGGUCACUUUGCAAAGAAUCGUCCGGAGCCUGACAAGCGGGAGAUCAAGGCUAAUUUGGCAAAGCAGGAAGACGAAGGUCCAGGUCUUCUGAUGGCCGAAGUUUGUGAUCUCGCUGAAACGGUGGUUGUGAAACCAAGCCAGAAGCUGCUACUUCAUGAGAAGACUGUGACAACUAAGUUAUUCGGGGAUCAUAAUGUGUCGUGGUAUCUCGACACGUGUGCCAGUAACCACAUGACGGAUGCAAGGAGAAAUUUCUCGAGCUGGAAUAUGAUGUUGAAGGCUCGGUAAAGUUUGGUGAUGGUUCAAAUGUGGAGAUUUGUGGGCAACGAUUUGUCCUCUUCGAGGGUCUCACAGGCGAACAUCGCAUACUCACCGGAGUGUACUACAUCCCACGACUUCGCAACAACAUCAUCUCUAUUGGGAAGCUUGACGAGAAUGGAUGCAAGGUGGAUAUCCAGAACGGAGUGAUGACGAUCUUCGACAACCUCCGAAACGUGCUAGCUCGUGUUACUCGCACGCGGAACAGGCUCUAUAUCCUCAACCUUGGUCAAUCUCAACCGGAGUGUUGGCUCGCCAAGAGUGAUGAUGAUUCGUGGUUAUGGCAUGCUAGAUUUGGACACGUUAACUUCUACGCUAUGAAGAAGAUGUCAAAGAUGGAGAUGGUAUCCCGGAUGCCAGUUAUUGACCAUGUUGACCGAGUAUGUGACGGGUGCUUGGUUGGAAAACAGCACCACAGGUUGUUCCCUGCUGAGUCUACCUAUCGUGUAAGUGAUGCACUCGAGCUGCUCCAUGGUGAUCUAUGUGGCCCUAUCACCCCGGCAACUCACGCAAGAAAGAAGUAUUUCUUCCUUGUGGUAGACGACUACUCGAGAUAUAUGUGGGUCGUUCUCCUAUGAUCUAAAGAUGAGGCGUUUGAAGCGUUCAAGAAGCUGAAGGGUGCAACGGAGAUGGAGCACAAGUUGAAGGUUCGCGCUCUAGGAUAGAUCGCGGCGGAGAGUUUACGUCGAACCAAUUCAACGACUACUACGAGAAGAUUGGCAGAAAAAGGUUCCUCACGGCACCUUACACGCCGCAGCAGAACGGGGUCGUUGAAAGGCGCAACCGAACCGUCGUUGACAUGGCAAGGAGUUUACUCAAGAGCAAGAACCUGUUGGGACUUUUUGAGGAGAAGCUGUCUCGACGGCGGUCUAUCUUCUCAACCGGGCUCCAACAAAGGUGGUGCUCGGCUAGACUCCGUAUGAAGCAAUUUACGGACGUAAGCCGAAUGUGUCUCAUCUACGGACGUUCGGGUGUGUGGCACAUGUGAAGACGGCGGAGCCACAUCUCUCAAAGCUUGUCGAUCGUAGCACCAAGAUGGUGUUCAUCGGAUACGAGAGGAGUUCCGGCACCAAGGCAUACCGCUUCUACGAUCGACAAACCAAGCGUCUACGGAUUUCACGCGACGUCGUGUUUGAAGAAAAUCAACCGUGGAAUUGGAGUGCCGCAACUGACGAUGCUCCAAACGGUAACAUAUUCACAGUAGAAUUUCCAACUGAUGAUGAUGUAGGGGAGGAUGUCCAGGUGGUUGGCAAGACGCCAAACCAAGGUGACCACAAUGUUAGUGAUCAUCAUGGUGCCAACACCGACGACGACGUGCAUAGGUCGCAAGGAGAUAGCGACAACGCCGCGCACGACACAGGCGGAGAUCUCGACGACAACAUCGACAACGAUGCGCAUAGUGACGACGACAAUCAAGAUGAUGGUCACGGUCACGACGACUACGCCGACGACGCGGAUGUCGAUGACACGCUCGGGACUCUGCCAUCUCCCUCAAGUGCAUCAACAUCGACACAAUUUGUGUCACCUCCUUCGCAAGCCACAAUGGACUCCUCAGGGCCUCGUCGCUACAAGACCCUCAAAAACGUCUACAAGUACACAAAGCCAGUUAUGCUCGAGUACUCCGGACUAUGUCUGCUCGGAGUUGAGGAGCCGGCGAACUUUGUAGAGGCGAGCAAAAGUCCUAGCUGGAUGCACGCCAUGGAUGAGGAGAUGAAGGCGAUUGAGAGUAAUGACACGUGGACUUUGGUAACCCCACCUCCAAACCAAAAGGCGAUAUGUUUGAAGUGGGUUUACAAAUUAAAGAAGGACAUGGAGGGUGCCACUGUGAAGUACAAAGCAAGACUCAUUGCAAAGGGCUGCGUACAACAUCAAGGAGUUGACUAUGAUGAGGUGUUUGCACCGGUUGCUCGACUCGAGACGGUGAGAGUGCUCCUAGAUUUGGCAGCACAAGAGGAUUUGAAGGUUCAUCAUAUGGAUGUUAAAUCCGCUUUCCUCAAUGGAGAUCUCACAGAAGAAGUGUACGUAGAACAACCCCUCAGCUACGAGAAGAAAGACGAACAAGCGGAAGUUGAGAAGCUCAAGAAGGCACUUUACGGUCUGAUGCAAGCGCCAAGAGCUUGGAAUUCAAAGUUAGACCAAAGUAUGGUAACGCUCAGGUUCAAAAGAUGUGCCCUCUAUGAUCCGAAGGACAGUCUACAAAGCACCGAAGAAGAGGUGAAGAUUGAAGACACGACCAAAAAGGAGUGUUGUCAUCGAGCUACGGACGAGCCGACGACAGUAAAGACGGUACAUAAAAUGCUGCAAGGGACGGCAAAGGCCAUGCCAAUGAUAACAGUUAUGAGAAGCAGCAAUCGUGUUUGGGACCCAGGUCGGAAGUAAGGACAUCGUGAUAAGGGGGUGAAUGUGAGUUAAUCACGUUGCCCUAUACACAUAGGAUUAGGAAAAAAGCCAAACCGAGUUCUAGUAGUAUUAGGAUACCUAAUCCUAGUCUAUUUCCAUAGCCCCUUGUGGAUGUGUAUAAAAGGCACCCUAGGGGUGGUGCUUGUAACACCAGAUCAGAUAGCAAAGCAAUACAAAGUAUUACGACAGGCGCGACACGAGCCUGUGGCCAUCAACGAUUCAGUACCUUUGCGUUUUUACGUUCUUGUUGAGAGAGCCAAGUUGAUCCGUUGCCACGUGAUUGAUCCAAUCAACCGAAGCUAGUCGGCUGAAACGUAUUCAUACGCAAGUCUCUGAUUAGUUGCACGUACGUGUGUAUAAGGGCUAAUCGAUCAAGCUGUUAGUGUGCUUGUUCGUGUUAGCUUUGCACGUACACAUAAGGGCUAAAAAUGAUGUACGUGCAACUAGCUUUCCAGGAGCACCACGUAUGUGUACGUGCAAAGCUAACUCGAACAAGCACACUAGCAGCUUGAUCGAUUAGCCCUUGUACACACGUACGUGCAACUAGCCAGAGACUUGCGUAUGAAUACGCUUUAGCCGGCUAGCUUCGGUUGAUUGGAUCAAUCACGCGGCAACGGAUCAACUCGGCUCUCUCAACAAGAACGUAAAAACGCGAAGGCACUGAAUCGUUGAUGGCCACAGGCUCGUGUUGAGCCUAUCAUAAUACUUUGUAUUUCUUUGUUAUCUGAUCUGGUGUUACAAGCACCACCCCUAGGGUGUUGGGGAACGUCGCAUGGGAAACAAAAAAUUUCUUACCCGCACGAAGACCUAUCAUGGUGAUGUCCAUCUACGAGAGGGGAUGAGUGAUCUACGUACCCUUGUAGAUCGUACAGCAGAAGCGUUAGUGAACGCGGUUGAUGUAGUGGAACGUCCUCACGUCCCUCGAUCCUCGCCGCGAACAAUCCCGCGAUCAGUCCACGAUCUAGUACCGAACGAACGGCACCUCCGCGUUCAGCACACGUACAGCUCGACAAUGAUCUCGGCCUUCUUGAUCCAGCAAGAGAGACGGAGAGGUAGAAGAGUUCUCCGGCAGCGUGACGGCGCUCCGGAGGUUGGUGAUGACCUUGUCUCAGCAGGGCUCCGCCCGAGCUCCGUAGAAACGUGAUCUAUAGGAAAAACCGUGGAGGUAUGUGGUCGGGCUGCCGUGGAAAAGUCGUCUCAAAUCAGCCCUAAAACCUCCGUAUAUAUAGGUGGGAGGGAGGGGACCUUGCCUUGGGGGGUCGGCCGAGUCCAAGGGGGAAGGCUCCCCCCCAAACCGAGUUGGACUUGGUUUGGUGGGUGGGAGUCCUUCCUUCCCUUCCCACUCCUUUUUUUUAUUUUCUCUUUGAUUUUCUUUCCUAGGCGCAUAGGGCCCUUUUGGGCUGCCCCACCAGCCCACUAAGGGCUGGUGUGCCACCCUCAAGGCCUAUGGGCUUCCCCGGGGUGGGUUGCCCUCCCCGGUGAACUCCCAGAACCCAUUCGUCAUUCCCGGUACAUUCCCGGUAACUCCAAAAACCUUCCGGUAAUCAAAUGAGGUCAUCCUAUAUAUCAAUCUUCGUUUCCGGACCAUUCCGGAAACCCUCGUGACGUUCGUGAUCUCAUCCGGGACUCCGAACAACAUUCGGUAACCGACCAUAUAACUCAAAUACGCAUAAAACAACGUCGAACCUUAAGUGUGCAGACCCUGCGGGUUAGAGAACUAUGUAGACAUGACCCGAGAGACUCCUCGGUCAAUAUCCAAUAGCGGGACCUGGAUGCCCAUAUUGGAUCCUACAUAUUCUACGAAGAUCUUAUCGUUUGAACCUCAGUGCCAAGGAUUCAUAUAAUCCCGUAUGUCAUUCCCUUUGUCCUUCGGUAUGUUACUUGCCCGAGAUUCGAUCGUCAGUAUCCGUAUACCUAUUUCAAUCUCGUUUACCGGCAAGUCUCUUUACUCGUUCCGUAAUACAAGAUCCCGCAACUUACACUAAGUUACAUUGCUUGCAAGGCUUGUGUGUGAUGUUGUAUUACCGAGUGGGCCCCGAGAUACCUCUCCGUCACAUGGAGUGACAAAUCCCAGUCUCGAUCCAUACUAACUCAACGAACACCUUCGGAGAUACCUGUAGAGCAUCUUUAUAGUCACCCAGUUACGUUGCGACGCUUGAUACACACAAAGCAUUCCUCCGCUGUCCGUGAGUUAUAUGAUCUCAUGGUCAUAGGAACAAAUACUUGACACGCAGAAAACAGUAGCAACAAAAUGACACGAUCAACAUGCUACGUCUAUUAGUUUGGGUCUAGUCCAUCACAUGAUUCUCCUAAUGAUGUGAUCCCGUUAUCAAGUGACAACACUUGCCUAUGGCCAGGAAACCUUGACCAUCUUUGAUCAACGAGCUAGUCAACUAGAGGCUUACUAGGGACAGUGUUUUGUCUAUGUAUCCACACAAGUAUUGUGUUUCCAAUCAAUACAAUUAUAGCAUGGAUAAUAAACGAUUAUCAUGAACUAAGAAAUAUAAUAAUAACUAAUUUAUUAUUGCCUCUAGGGCAUAUUUCCAACAGUCUCCCACUUGCACUAGAGUCAAUAAUCUAGUUCACAUCACCAUGUGAUUCCAACGAAUCCAACACCCAUAUAGUUAUGGGGUCUGAUCACGUCUUGCUCGUGAGAGAGGUUUCAGUCAACGGUUCUGAAACUUUCAGAUCCGUGCGUUCUUUACAAAUCUUUAUGUCAUCUUAUAGAUGCUGCUACUAUGUGCUAUUCGGAAAUGCUCCAAAUAUCUACUCUACUAUGCGAAUCUGUUUCACUACUCAUAGUUAUUCGGAUUAGUGUCAAAGCUUGCAUCGACGUAACCCUUUACGACGAACUCUUUAACCACCUCCAUAAUCGAGAAAAAUUCCUUAGUCCAUUAGUUACUAAGGAUAAAUUUUGACCGCUGCUAGUGAUUCAAUCAUGGAUCACUCUCUGUACCUCUCAACAGACCUUGAGUCAAGGCACACAUCAGGUGCGGUACACAACAUGGCAUACUUCAGAUUCUACGACUAAGGCAUAGAAGACGACCUUCGUCUAUUCUCUUUAUUCUGUCGGGGUCGGGUUUUGAGUCUCACUCAAAUUCACACCGCACAACGCAACCAAGAACUCCUUCUUUACUGAUCUAUUUUGAACUCCUUCAAAAACUUGUCAUGGCAUGCAUCUUGUCGAAACUUCCAUUAAGCGCUUUCGAUCCAUCUCCAUAGAUCUUUGAUUCUCAAUGUUCAAGUAGCGCAAUUCAGGUACUCCUUUGAAAACUCCUUUCAAACAACCUUGUAUGCUUUGCAGAAAUUCUACAUUACUUCUGAUCCACAAUAUGUCAACCACAUAUACUUAUCAGAAAUUCUAUAGUGCUCCCACUCACUUCUUUGGAAAUACAAGUUUCUCAUAAACCUUGUACAAACCCAAAAUCUUUGAUCAUCUCAUCAAAGUGUAUAUUCCAACUCCGAGAUGCUUGCACCAGUCCAUUGAAGGAUCACUGGAGCUUGCAUACUUGCUAGUAUCUUUAGGAUCGACAAAACCUUCUGGUUGUAUCACAUACAAUGUUUGCUCAAGGAAACCGUCGAGAAAACAAUGUUUUGACAUCCUACGUGCAAUAUUUCAUAAAUAAUGCAUCAUCAACUAACAUAAUUCUAGCAGACCUUUAGCAUCGCUACGAGUGAGAAAGUCUCAUCAUAGUCAACUGUUUGAUCUUGUUGAAAACAUCUUUGCGACAAGUCGAGCUUUUCUUAAUAGUGACUUAUCACCAUCAUCAUUUGUCUUCUUUUAAAGAUCCAUUUUACUCAAUAGUCCUAUGACCAUCAAGUAGUUCUACCAAAGUCUACACUUUGUUUUCACACAUGGAUCCUCUCUCGGAUUUCAUGGCUUCCAGCCAUUUGUCAGAAUCUGGGCCCACCAUCGCUUUCUCCAUAACUCGUAGGUUCACUGUUGCUCAACAACAUGACCUCCAAGACAGGGUUACCGUAAUACUCUGCAGCAGUAUGCGACCUUGUCGACCUAUGAGGUUUGUAGUAACUUGAUCCGAUGCUUGAUGAUCACCAUCAUCAGCUUUCACUUCAAUUGGUGUAGGCGCCACAGGAACAACUUCCUGCGCCCUGCUACAAUCUGGUUGAAGUGAUGGUUCAAUAACCUCAUCAAGUUCUACUACCCUCCCACUCAAUUCUUUCGAGAGAAACCUUUCCUCGAGAAAGGAUCCGUUUCUAGAAACAAACACUUUGCUUUCGGAUCUGAGAUAGGAGAUGUACCCAACUGUUUUGGAUAUCCUAUGAAGAUGCAUUUAUCCGCUUUGGGUUCGAGCUUAUCAGACUGAAACUUUUUCACAUAAGUGUCAAAGCCCCAAACUUUCAUGAAACGACAGUUUAGAUUUCUCUAAACCUCAGUCUAUACUGUGUCAUCUCAACGGAAAUACGCGGUGCCCUAUUUAAAGUGAAUGCGGUUGUAUUUAAUGCAUAACCCAUAAACGAUAGUGGUAAUUCGAUAAGAGACAUCUUAGCAUGCACCAUACCAAAUAGUGCGUGGCUAUGACAUUCAGACACAUCAUCACACUAUGAUGUUCCAGGUGACAUGAACUGCGAAACAAUUUCCACAUUGUCUUAACUGCGUACCAAAACUCGUAACUCAGAUAUUCAUUUCUAUGAUCAUAUCGUAGACAGUUUAUCCUCUUGUUACGACGAACUUCACUCUGAAACAUAAUUGAACUUUUCAAUAUUUCAGACUUGUGAUUCAUUAAGUAAAUACUCUUGCAUCUACUUAAAUCGUCAUUGAAGUAAGAACAUAAUGAUAUCCACUGCGUGCCUCAGCACCCAUUGGACUGCAUACAUCAAAAUGUAUCACUUCCAACAAGUUACUAUCUUGUUUCAUCUCAAUGAAAACUAGGCCUUGCUCAUGUGGUAUGAUUUGCAUGUCACUAGUGAUUCAAAAUCAAGUGAGUAUAAAGAUCCAUCAGCAUGGAGCCUCUUCAUGCAAUUUAUACCAACAUGACUCAAGCGGCAGUGCCACAAGUAAGUGGUACUAUCAUCAUUACCUCGUUUCUUUUGGAACCAAUAUCAUGAACAUGUGUAACACUACAAUCGAGAUUCAAUAAACCAUUGAAGGUGAUUAUUCAAGCAAAUAGGAUAACUAUUAUUCUUUUAAAUGAAUAAUCGUAUUGCAAUAAACACGAUCCAAUCAUGUUCAUGCUCAACGCAAACACCAAAUAACAAUUAUUUGGGUUUCACCACCAAUCCCGAUGAUAGAGGGAGCGUGUGACGUUUGAUCAUAUCAACCUUGGAAACACUUCCAACAUGUAUCGUCACCUCGCCUUUAGCUAGUCUCUGUUUAUGCCGUAGCUAUCAUUUCGUGUCACUAAUCACUUAGCAACCGAAUCGGUAUCCAAUAUCCUCAUGCUACUAGGAGUACUAGUAAAGUACACAUCAACAUCAUGUAUAUCAAAUAUACUUCUUUCGACUUUUGCCAGCCUUCUUAUCUGCCAAGUAUCUAGAGUUGCUCUGCCUCAGUGACUGUUCCCCUCAUUACAGAAGCACUUAGUCUCGGGUUUGGGUUUAAUCUUGGGUCUCUUCAUUAGUGCAGCAACGGUUUUGCCGUUUCACAAAGUAUCCCUUCUAGCCCUUGCCUUUUCUUGAAACUUAGUGGUUUUACUAACCAUCAACUAUUGAUGCUCCUUCUUGAUUUCUACUUUCGCAGUGUCAAACAUCACGAAUCGCUCAAGGAUCAUUGUAUCUAUCCUUGAUGUGUUAUAGUUCAUCACGAAGCUCUCACAGCUUGGUGGCAGUGACUUUGGAGAACCAUCACUAUCUCAUCUGGAAGAUUAACUCCCACUUGAUUCAAGCGAUUGUCGUACUCAGACAAUCUGAGCACACGCUCAACGAUUGAGAUUUUCUCCUUUACUUUGUGGACAAAGAAUCUUGUCGGAGGUCUUGUACCUCUUAACAAGGGCACAAACAUGAAAUCACAAUUUCAUCUCUUUAGAACAUCACUUAUGUUCCGCGACGUUUCAAAACGUCUUCGGCGCCUUGCUUCUAAGCCAUUAAGUAUUUUGCACUGAACUAUCGUGUAGUCAUCAGAAACGUGUAUGUCGGAUGUUCACAGCAUCCACAGACGACGCUCGAGGUGCAGCACACCUAGUGGUGCAUAAGCCUUCUGUGCAGCAAUGAGGACAAUCCUCGGUUUUACAGACUUAGUCUGCAAAGUUUGCUACUAUCAACUUUCAACUAAAUUUUCUCUAGGAACAUAUAAAAAAUAGUAGAGCUAUAGCGCAAGCUACAUCGUAAUUCGCAAAGACCAUUUAGACUAUGUUCAUGACAAUUAGUUCAAUUAAUCAUAUUACUUAAGAACUCCCACUCAAAAAGUACAUCUCUCUAGUCAUUUGAGUGGUACAUGAUCCAAAUCCACUAUCUCAAGUCCGAUCAUCACGUGAGUCGAGAAUAGUUUCAGUGGUAAGCAUCUCUAUGCUAAUCAUAUCAAUUAUACGAUUCAUGCUCGACCUUUCGGUCUCAUGUGUUCCGAGGCCAUGUCUGCACAUGCUAGGCUGGUCAAGCUUAACCCGAGUGUUCCGCGUGCGCAACUGUUUUGCACCCGUUGUAUGUGAACGUUGAGUCUAUCACACCCGAUCAUCACGUGGUGUCUCGAAACGACGAACUGUCGCAACGGUGAACAGUCGGGGAGAACACAAUUUCAUCUUGAAAUUUUAGUGAGAGAUCACCUCAUAAUGCUACCGUCGUUCUACGCAAAAUAAGGUGCAUAAAAGGAUUAACAUCACAUGAAAUUCAUAAGUGACAUGAUAUGGCCAUCAUCUUGUGCUUCUUGAUCUCCAUCACCAAAGCACCGGCACGAUCUUCUUGUCACCGGCGUCACACCAUGAUCUCCAUCAACGUGUCGCCAUAGGGGUUGUCGUGCUACUCAUGCUAUUACUACUAAAGCUACAUCCUAGCAAAAUAGUAAACGCAUCUGCAAGCACAAACGUUAGUAUAAAGACAACCCUAUGGCUCCUGCCGGUUGCCGUACCAUCGACGUGCAAGUCAAUAUUAUCUAUUACAACAUGAUCAUCUCAUACGUCCAAUAUAUCACAUCACAUCGUUGGCCAUAUCACAUCACAAGCAUACCCUGCAAAACAAGUUAGACGUCCUCUAAUUUUGUUGUUGCAUGUUUUACGUGGUGACCAUGGGUAUCUAGUAGGAUCGCAUCUUACUUACGCAAACACCACAAUGGAGAUAUAUGAGUUGCUAUUUAACCUCAUCCAAGGACCUCCUCGGUCAAAUCUGAUUCAACUAAAGUUGGAGAAACUGACACCCGCCAGUCAUCUUUGAGCAACGGAGUUACUCGUAGCGAUGAAACCAGUCUCUCGUAAGCGUACGAGUAAUGUCGAUCCGAGCCGCUUCGAUCCAACAAUACCGCGGAAUCAAGAAAAGACUAAGGAGGGCAGGAAAAUGCACAUCACCGCCCACAAAAACUUUUGUGUUCUACUCGAGAAGACAUCUACGCAUGAACCUAGCUCAUGAUGCCACUGUUGGGGAACGUCGCAUGGGAAACAAAAAAUUUCCUACGCGCACGAAGACCUAUCAUGGUGAUGUCCAUCUACGAGAGGGGAUGAGUGAUCUACGUACCCUUGUAGACCGUACAGCAAAAGCGUUAGUGAACGCAGUUGAUGUAGUGGAACGUCCUCACGCCCCUCGAUCCGCCCCGCGAACAAUCCCGCGAUCAGUCCACGAUCUAGUACCGAACGGACGGCACCUCCGCGUUCAGCACACGUACAGCUCGACGAUGAUCUCGGCCUUCUUGAUCCAGCAAGAGAGACGGAGAGGUAGAAGAGUUCUCCGGCAGCGUGACGGCGCUCCGGAGGUUGGUGAUGACCUUGUCUCAGCAGGGCUCCGCCCGAGCUCCGCAGAAACACGAUCUAGAGGAAAAACCAUGGAGGUAAUGGGUAGGCUGCCGUGGAAAAGUCGUCUCAAAUCAGCCCUAAAACCUCCGUAUAUAUAGGUGGGAGGGAGGGGACCUUGCCUUGGGGGGGUCGGCCGAGUCCAAGGGGGAAGGCUCCCCCCAAACCGAGUUGGACUUGGUUUGGUGGGUGGGAGUCCUUCCUUCCCUUCCCACUCCUUUUUUUUAUUUUCUCUUUGAUUUUCUUUCCUAGGCGCAUAGGGCCCUUUUGGGCUGCCCCACCAGCCCACUAAGGGCUGGUGUGCCACCCUCAAGGCCUAUGGGCUUCCCCGGGGUGGGUUGCCCUCCCCGGUGAACUCCCAGAACCCAUUCGUCAUUCCCGGUACAUUCCCGGUAACUCCAAAAACCUUCCGGUAAUCAAAUGAGGUCAUCCUAUAUAUCAAUCUUCGUUUCCGGACCAUUCCGGAAACCCUCGUGACGUUCGUGAUCUCAUCCGGGACUCCGAACAACAUUCGGUAACCGACCAUAUAACUCAAAUACGCAUAAAACAACGUCGAACCUUAAGUGUGCAGACCCUGCGGGUUAGAGAACUAUGUAGACAUGACCCGAGAGACUCCUCGGUCAAUAUCCAAUAGCGGGACCUGGAUGCCCAUAUUGGAUCCUACAUAUUCUACGAAGAUCUUAUCGUUUGAACCUCAGUGCCAAGGAUUCAUAUAAUCCCGUAUGUCAUUCCCUUUGUCCUUCGGUAUGUUACUUGCCCGAGAUUCGAUCGUCAGUAUCCGUAUACCUAUUUCAAUCUCGUUUACCGGCAAGUCUCUUUACUCGUUCCGUAAUACAAGAUCCCGCAACUUACACUAAGUUACAUUGCUUGCAAGGCUUGUGUGUGAUGUUGUAUUACCGAGUGGGCCCCGAGAUACCUCUCCGUCACAUGGAGUGACAAAUCCCAGUCUCGAUCCAUACUAACUCAACGAACACCUUCGGAGAUACCUGUAGAGCAUCUUUAUAGUCACCCAGUUACGUUGCGACGCUUGAUACACACAAAGCAUUCCUCCGCUGUCCGUGAGUUAUAUGAUCUCAUGGUCAUAGNNNNNNNNNNNNNNNNNNNNNNNNNNNNNNNNNNNNNNNNNNNNNNNNNNNNNNNNNNNNNNNNNNNNNNNNNNNNNNNNNNNNNNNNNNNNNNNNNNNNGUAAAGUAUCGACAAGCUCAAGCUUCUGAGGCAGAUCAACAGAACGCAAAUCUACUAUCAUUGUCCUCAGUUCUUCUUUCAUUACUUUAGCCUUGUUUUUCAUGAGAAGACACUGCAAGAGCAUGUAGCAUUAGUACUUACUUGGUGUCCCAAUGCAUGUUGUCUUAGACAAUUAGACCUGCACAGUGUUCGAGGUUAUGCUUCCACGGUCCAUUUUGCAUGAAAAUAUGUUUAAACAAAAGGAUAUAUACUACAUGAUGUGUGUUAAAAUUUAAGUUGUUUAAUUAAUGCAUAUCGUACAUCUAUUUAGAGUUGUGCAAUGGAAGUAGUGCUAGUUCAUUUGAUGCCAGCCUCCAACAGGAAAGUACAAUACUGGUGUGUGCUAAUUAUAUUUAGUUCACCUGCGUCGGAGUGAAUGGCCUGAAACCAAGGAAGAAGUCCCCCCAGACGGUGGGGUGGUGAAACAGGUGGCUGCCCUGGUCGUCGUUCAUCACAGGCUGCGAGUGUGGGCAGCGGCGAAUCUCCACAGAGGCUACCAUUGCUGGAGAACGAUGGAGCUCAGCUGAUCACUUGUCUAUGAUAAUGCUAAGGUUAGUGAUGCAUGCCUUGUGAACUGGUUGGCUUUAUAGAUAGAACAGGAGAGGCCCCUAAAUGGCACACGUGUAUAAUACUGGAGACACACAGGAACACUGAAUGCAAAAUUCACGUGAUAUUGUAACUGUCACUUUCAGUAUUGUCACACAAAUGUGCUCAUUAACUAAAAUACAAUAUUCAAUAAGUUAGGUAGAGGUUUGAAAAUUCUAAGACAUGUAUCUCUUUCAUAGUACAUUGUUCCCUUUUGGCAGGCCAUCCAAAAAGAUUCUCCAUGCAUUGCUAUCUUAUAUAUCUAGUAACUGGAGGCACUCGGAGAGACACCAUGUUAAGUCAUGUAAUCUUAAUUUUUUAGAUGGUUGGAUCUCGAAAAUGCAAUGGUGAAUAUGGUUCCACGCACCCACUAUAAGCAGUAAAAUAAAAUAAAAAGGCAAAUAAGUCAAACAAUUCUACAAUUCAAGGUUACCAAACUAGAUCGGUUGUUCUAUUAACUAGAUCGGUUUGUCUAUUAACAAAGUUUAGCAAAGAAAUGGCACCUGUGAUAUUAUUAACGAAGAAGAAAAAAUCGGACCUCCAAAUUACAUCAUGGAUACAAAUCAGAAUUGUUUGGGGGUAGGGAGGGUCUGGGUUGCAACGGGCAGGCCGAGUCCUCAUCCUCGUCGGAGCCGUUGGAGGAAGAGUGAGAGGAGGAGAUACACUGUAGGAAAUAAACUGUGUGGUUCAGAUUAAAUUUUGUAGGAAGUAAACAUAUACACGUGUAUGUCAACUAGAGAUCUGACUGGUGGUACUCCCCUCCUUUCUUUUUCGCUCCGUGCAUAACUUUUUUUUCUCUGUCCUUUCCGAUUUAGUCUGCACCUUACCCAUCCACCCCCGUCCAGUCGGGCCCUUGCGGCUGGACGGUGGCGCUUGGCGCGGGAAGGCUCCCCUGCUGAUCUUCCUUGGCUGCGGCUGCGGGUGGGUCUGGUACCCCUCACCGGUGGGUACAUGUUUGCUGGUGGCCUUGCGGGGAUGUGUGUCGUCUUCCAUGGUGGGCGACACGAGGGUGUGCUCAAUGGGGAGCUUGGUAGGAGGGAUGGGUGGCCUCGAUGCGGUGGAGCCACCUGUCGCCGGCAUAGUUUGUCGGUUCGGAUGUGUCCGCUCCUCCUUCUCCCCCUUCCCUCGUGUUCGGCGGGAACUUGGUUGGAGGAAUGGGUAGCCUCAGUGCGUUCGCAUCACCUUUCGCCGACACGAGGGUGUUGGUCUGGAUUCGUCUGCUCCCCUUUUUCCCCCUUUCCUCGGUUGCAAACGGGUUGGUGCAGGUCUUCCAGCGAAGCACAUGUAGGUAGUUCUGUCGGUUGAGGGUCGCCGGUUGGUGCCUUUGUGUAGAUCUUGGGGUUGUCUGGUUGCAGGGCGGCGGCUCUGGCGGCGGGAGGCGCGGCGUUUGGGGGCGGAGCAUGUGUCUUAGGUGUGGGUGGGCAACGAUGGACGCACGGGCGACGUGGUUGCGGGUGGUUGACGUAGCUAGGGUGCGACAGGGGGGGGGGUUGAGCGCCGAGGUACACCACUUGCCCAGUCCUUUGACUGCCCGAAGAUGGUGGCAGCGGUUGACAUUGUAUCCUUCCUGAAGGCUCUGUCGUGGUGUUUCCACUCUUGUCGUCUUCCCCCGGGUGAAAACCUGAUCUCUGCGAUCGGGUGGUGGCGACUAUCCAUGGUCGCACCCUUAUGGAAGGCACCGUUUUUAUGCAUAUAUUCGUGGUCUGUCCGGUUCACCUCUCUAUUGUGGAUGAUCAUGGUGGAGGUCUCCGUCGGCUCCAAACGAUCCACCUCGCUCAUCUCUAGUUUGCUUGGUUGUCGGUAGGGGGGGAUGUCGUGUCCGGCACCUUUGUAUCUAGCCCUGGGUGUGUGUGUUGUGUGCGGUGAUGGUGCGUGUUUGUUCGGUCUCUCAUUGUAUUUGAUGAUGAUUGCUUUAUAAUAUGAAAUGGGGAACACUUUUUUGAUAAGAAGGUUUUAACUGGAGAACCAGCUGUUGGCACACAGACCGCGGAACUUUUCAUGCACCGCAUGCAAUCCAGCCUCUCCCUUACUUUGUUUCUGGGUUCGUAGUUAUAUGCAUGUGUGGAAAUUCUAAGAUGUCUACUUCCAUGUUAUUCUGUGUGAAUAAAAGUAGCCGAAAAGAUUAUUCAAGUUCCACACACACACUCAACAAGGCUGGGAUGGUGAGUUCAAGUAACUAAUAUAUGUAAAACCUGAUAUGAGUUGUUUACUUUCAUGUAGAUUAAGGAAGAGGCUACAAUGGUGAUGAUUUUAUAAUAAUGUGAUGAUGAUGAACGGGAAAGAACUUAAUUUUCAUGAGAGCAUUGUCGGUGAUGAAUGAAAAUGGGACUACAAUUAUAGGUGUAGUCAUCUAAAGUCGAUGAAGUUGCAGCGGGGUUCAUGGUAAAAUAACUAAGUGUAAAGGACACAAAGAUUCUACAUGAUAACUUUAAGAUGGCAUGCAUAUUCGUCAAUGUGGAUUUUGUUGGAAUUGUAAGAAACAUACGACUUCUAUUACAGAUAGACUUUGUAUUUAAAGGUGGGUUAGAUCUUGGAAUUGGAUACAAUUGUAAAUUAGUUGAUCACAAUAAAAUUAAUCAUGGUGAAUUCAACAUCUUCUUUAUAUGAGAUGGGACCCUGUGUUAACUUUGUUAAGUAUAUUAAUUAAUUGUAUACCUUUUCCUGUAAUUAAGUUCAUAGUUUUCUAAGUGAGGUGUUUAAGCAUUUGAUAAGAUUUUAUCAGGCAUAUCCAGUUAAUUAUUGGGCAAAGGUUCAAGCCCUUGUUGAUUUAACUAGUAAAGUGUCUCACAUAUGUGAGGGCCUCAUCUUUAGUCAUAUAGUGUUUGAAAAAUGAAAUUAUGCUUUUAUGAAUAUUUGAGUUCACAUAGAACGAUAUGAAACAAUCCAUUCUAUAACUACCACGGAUAAAUUCAAAUUAAAUUAUCGGAGUUGCAUUUUCCAUUUAUAAUACUUUCAAAUUUAUGGGUGAAUAACUAGGUAAAUGUAAUAUAUUUAUGGCAUGUAUAUCAUUCGGAUGUAGCCCAUAGUGUUAGUUCUACAUAACAUCAAUAUACCAUUCUAACAUUAAAAUUAUCGCCCACUAACCUUAGAUGUAUGACUAUAAAGUUUUAUGUUUUCCAUAAUGGUGAGUGUCUAAUAAAGCUGAGAUUAUUCUUAUGUGAUGUUUUGAUGGAAUAAUAAUAAAUUAUAUAAAUGGAGUGAAUAUGAAAGUAAUUAUCGACAUAUGUAGGAAAACUAAACAAUGAAAAUAUACAAUUUACUUACCUUUUUCUAGAUCUUUGUCUCUCCGUUACAUUUAUUGUAAUGAAAUAUAUGACGUUGAAGACAUGGAUACUAUCUUCAAGGAGCAAGCUAUGAGAAUUAUUAUGUAUAUGAGUGUGGUUCCAAAAUUUAUGUAUUUUGUUUCCAACUGUGUCAAUGGUGUUAUUUAUCAUAGCUGUAGUUAAAGAAGUGCCACUACAAGUCUUGUAGACUAACCUCUAGUUCAAACUAUAUGUACUAUUAUUUCUAGAAAUUUGUUUAAAUCUCACCUUGUUGUUCCCUUAUUUUAAUAUUUCACAAUCUGGCUCAUAUGUAUUUGUUAUGUCACAUAUGUGUCAUUUUCCUCUCUUUUGCAAGCACGUGUAUAAUUACCCGCCACUGAUCCUCCCCUUGUUCGAUACCGACUAUGCAAAUAAGGUUCUUCAAUCAAUCUCAAAUCCAAUAAAAGAAUCCAAUCUAUUUACGUUUUGGCACCAAUUUGUGAGGUUAUUAGUAUACUAUGGUACAUUAGCAUUGUAAUUGCUAGCUAUAAGCACUAAAAAUAAUCAAUGUGUGCUAGUAUGUGACCAUAUUAGCAUGCCUAAUCUGCAAAAGAGACAAUCACGGAUGGCUGUUUUUUAUAUCAUUAAUUUUUAAGUUAUGUAAAAUAAUUUUUAAUUUUCCAUUCAAUGGUCAGUGUGGAGCUUUUUCUCUCAUAAUAAUAGCAUCCAGUGUUAAGUGCAAUAGUUUAUUAAAUAAUUAUUUUUUAUAUAUUUUUUCACGUUUUAACAUUGUACUAUAAUGCACAUAUUGUUAUCUUUCUGUUACAUUUGUAUAGUCAUCCAUCUAUACAUGUAACUAAGUUUAUAUUUCAUAACCUAUAGAGUAUAUGUUUUUUCCCAGGCGCAAACAACUAAUUUCAGAUAUUAGAUAAGUACACAAAAGUGAUGUAUGUUGAGCUGACACUUGAUUAGUUCAUGUGAUAUUCAGCCAUCUACGUGAUAUUUAUCGGUACGUUGAAGUAAAGCUCGGUGUAAUAGUAAAAAACAGUAAAGCUCAGAGUGCAUCCCAGACGAGUUCCAUGUAAAGAGCCAUUAAUUGGGUUAUUGUCAUUACAUAUAACCAUAUGUAGAGAUUUAAGUUUGUCCCGGGAAAAAUGAUAUGUAAAAUUAAAGGUAUGGUAUUUGACCAGUAGAAUUUUAAAUUCCAACCGCUAGCCACCAAUAUCAGGAUAAUCAUUUGAAGAUACCCGGAAGUGUUCAAAUGUUAUAUCCCUAACUACUAAGAAAAAUGAUAUAACUAUAUAUGAUACCUGACCAUAUAUGAGUUUGUGAGGCAGGCACGCCAAAAAAGGUAACGUGAUAGGCGUUUCUUUCCUCUCGCAACAUGUUACUAUUGACAGCUGAAUGAUCCAGGUUUUUAACAGAUAUAAGAAGAUCCUGUUUAUUUUUGAGGAUUGUACGUAUGAGAUUGUACAGUAUUUUUAGUUAUACAUUGUUUCCUUGGCAAAUGUAUUUCCCUAAACAUAUGUGCAUGGACAUGUGUCACGUAAAUCCUUUGAGGCCCACCAUAUUGUAAAUGUUAAGCUAUCACGGAAUCUUACUUUUAAGAGAUAUAGCAAUCGACGGCUGAUAUCUUCUAAUUAAUGUCGAAUGUGGAAUUUUCUAACAUAGUAUUUCUCUUGCUCCUGGUUCACCUUAUAUUACUUUUAGUAUAUAAUAGAUAGAUAGAUAGAUAAUACAAUAGAAUAGAAGAAUAGACAGAUAGACUUCAGUAUAAUUCACUUAACUUCGUUAACACCAGCUGCAAGCUUCAUUAGUCCGCUCAAGCGCUGCAGCCGACAACGAUGUAUGGCGUGGUCACCAAUAAAGCCGUUGUAACAGCGAUACUGUUGACGUGAUUGUGAAAUAACUAUUCAUUGAGCAGAAAAUUAAAACUAAAAAAUGGCAGUACAUUCAGGACGAGAAAUAUCAUCCAAUUGUGUGGCCGACAAUUGCUUUUGGCUUCACGCAGUGAUGGCGACCUAACAUGUACCGAUUUCUUCCCCUUGUACCUCCUUUAAAAAGAAUGUAGAAAACGUGGGCCAAAAGUUAGGUACGGUUAUGAAGGAGAAAGGAAACUGUGGGCAGGUAGCAAAACACAGGAAACACAUUUUUGGCCGCGAGAAACACAUUAUUUUUAACUCAAUAAUGACGAGCUAACAUAUGUCAUCUUCGUCAUACGUCCUGGACGUCCUUCGAUAGUGGUAUCAUACAAAGGAAGAUAACAGUAGCCUUAUAGCACAGGUAUGGGCGUGUGGCUCUGUAGCGACAACGGAAAUUGACACCAAACGGAAGUUUUCACUUCGGCUAAAAAAUAAAUCGUCUAGAAAAUGAAAAUGCAUAUUUUUUUAGAAAAAGAAGAUUAACUCCUGCCUCUGCAUCUGGGUGGAUGCAUGCGUCUGUUUUAUAUACUCAUAAAGAUUAUACAAAGUAGUACAUCAGGUAGUAGACUGAAGCCAUAAUCUUAGCAACAACUUUCGCUACUCCUAUUUACUUGAUGAAGUGGUGCCGAUAUAGUUCGAGUCUAAUACCAUACAGACUUUGCACAAAUGCCUAACAUUAAAGUCGAAGACCCCAAGCAAGCAGCAUACUAGGUUUGGGGCACAAACCGGUCCGACGCAUUUUCAUGUGUCUUCGUUGUCAUCUUCCACCAAUCCAUCUGUUGAGCAGAAACUACUGCACCGACCUUCCCACGCCUUUCUGCCAUCGACCUCAUCAUGACGCCAGACAGCGUCCUCCUCCUGCGGUAGUCCAUUUUCACGCAUCGGACGUCCAGUCUCCACUACGCCGCUGAGAUCCAUCGCCAUUAAUGUGUAAGAUGAAGCACCACUCCAUCGAAGAAGCCGUCCUCUCAUCCCUUCAGCGUGUGUACACCUCCAAGAAUAACGCCCCCAAGGGGGAAACGACACUAGAACGUCGGCGUCAUCUGAUCUACUGAUCUAGGGUUUCCCCUGAAGGUAGGAGAGAGUGGCCAUGAACCACUCCACAUGAUGCCUUCGAGAAAGGAACGACGCAGACAGGACUGCCACCGCCGGCCUUGGCAGUAGCUGAUAGCAAGUUUUCUCCCAGAUCUGUUCGAAGAGCCUCCCACUACUAGGAAAAACCUUAUAGGUAGGAGCCUAUUAGUAGCGCUGGAACGGAGAAAGUGCUGCUGCUAUUUAGUAGUAGCGCUGGACACAACACAGCGCUACUGCUAAUGUUCUUAGCAGUAGCGCAGGCCCUAUAAUCUGCGCUGCUGAUAAACAGGGACCAACGAGGCCAUCCGGAGUAGCUAUAGUAGCAGCGCCGUUCCUAACCCUGCACUACUGCUGACGUCAAUAUUAGUAGCGUUGCGUAGCAUCUAACGCUACUGCUAAAAGGGGCCCAACGACGUAACCGCGGUAGCUUUAGUAGCCGUGUCGGCGUGGUAAAAGCGCUACUGCUAAGUACAAUAGCGGUAGCGCUUUCUACCUUACCACCGCUACUGCUAUGUUGAGUUAACACCCAUUGUGCCUAAAAAUUUCCUAACUCUCCCCCACUCCCCCACCCCCCCUCUCUCCUCGAUCUCAAGCCGUCGCCGCCUCCCUCGCCGUGAUCGUCAUCGUCGUUGCCGUCGCCUCCCUCGCCUUCGCCGUCGUCGUCGUCGCCGUCGCCUCCCUCGUCGUCGCCACUGCCCCCUCCCCUCCCGCUCUGGUAAGCCCCCUUCCCCUCUCCUGCUCCAGUAAGCCCCCUCCCCAUCCCGCUCCGGUAAGCCCCCCACCCCCUCCAGGCGUCGUCGCCCCCUCCCCUCCCGCUCUAGGCACCCCAAGGCUGCUGCCAUUUUGAUUUUAGGGCCAUCGGUUCAAUAUGUCAUUUUGAGAUGCAUGUUAAUAAGAAAAUUAAGAUAUGUUUGUUGAAGAUCUUUUGAUGGGCUAACUAGAAAGAAGGAAAAAAUCAUGUUUUUAAAUUUCAUGUAAGUAGGCACAUUAGGUUUGAAUUAGAAAACCAAUGGUUUCAAACAACUAAUUUAAACUUUGGAGAGGAAAAAGGGCACAUACAUAUUUCACCAACCUACAAAUAUCAUCCUUUUGUUGGUGUUAAUGCAUAAAACAGUAGUGAGUUUCUCACUUUUGCUUGCUAAGUUGUGCAAAGUUUUGCCGGAAUGUCAGAGUGGCCUAUGUUUUGCCGGAAUGUUGAUUCAUUUUCGUUCCGGCAAAUUUCAGGCGCUCCAUAUGUCCACUAUUUAGCAAAGGUCAUGCCGGAACUACCUUGUCUGAAUAAAUGUGUGAUAUAAACUCUGAUAUUAUCUAUGAGAUGGCAGAUGAUUCCCUAUUUGUCAUUAUAUUAUUAUGUAUGUGCUAUGUUAUCGUGCUUGCGAAACGCUUAGAUACGCUUCUUUCCAUUUUGGGGCCUCGUUCCCUAAAUCGGAAAGGACCGCAUCUUAGUCGUUACAAGUUGGUAAUCAGAGCCCUACGACCAUAGGAGCCUUUGUGUGAUCGUACUUGGCCGAGUCGAGUCUAGUAAAAUGUUUUGAGUCUUAGUUAUAUCGGAGAGUAGGAUUCUUUCUUCUCCUCUUCGAUUCUCUGGUGAGGUUACCAACUUAAGAAAUCUUAAUUCUACUCCUCUUCUCGCUCAAAUUUUUUUUAGGAUCAGGCGUGUAUUUUUGAAAUCUAUAUGAUAUCGAUGUGAUGGAGUUCUGUCUUGGUGCCUCUUGUCUACCUUGAUUUCUUCCGGGGAGUUGAGCUCCAGGGGAUUCUUGUGGACAUUGCUAUCAUUCAGAUUUCUGAGUAUCUCUGAACGAAGGAUGUUCGUAAUUGCUUCAGUACAAGUAGUGGCAAGAUAACCCCGAUGUCCCCAGUACUGGUGCAGAUUGUUCGGGAGUACUGCCAUACUUUGUAUCGUUGUGAUCACGAGGGUUUGUUGUAGAUGAAUGUCUGAGAUUCUGCUUAUGUGUUGACGGAUGUGAUACAGUGGACGAGUUAGUAUAGGAGUUGUGUGAAUAUUACUCCUUGUAUCCGUGUAUCAGAUUGCAUGACCUGAUAUUUCGGGAAUUCAUAGGUGGGAUAUCAAGUAGUGACUUAUAGGGAAAUCUUCCUACAGAUGCAUGAUGUGAGGUUGGGAUUCGACAUUCAGUGGGUAUGUUUGUUCACGAUCGUCUUACAGCGGUUCUCGUUGUGUCUUAAAGAGUCCGUGUAGCUUGCUACGACUCGGGGAUACUUCGUAAGUCGUGUGCACUACCUUGCACAGGAUGGCUACUGUAAAUUCGAGCCCGUGCGAUCUUAUCCAUGAAGAUGUCGGAUGAAAUCUCGAUCAUAUGUUUGUUCUGAGCAGUUCUAGCUCAUACUUGUUUGAAGUGGUCUUAAUCAGAAUUUUGUCGACAGUCACUUUGAGGAAGCAUUCUUACUAUUUUGUUCGAGUGCAAUUGCUAAUAUUCCUCUUGAGAUAUUCCUGCCUUUUUGAUUCAGCUAUACCGUCAAUUUAUUCAGUGGGCUAAUGUGUUGUCCGUCUUCAGGAUGGCUCCACCAACUCGUCAGAAUCCAGGUCGUGAGGAUGUGCCGCCAUCACCUCCUCCUCCGGAGAAUCCUCUUCCUCCGUCGCCUCCUCCUGCAGAGGCUUGGCAAGCGGUGAUGACUGCUACAAAUGCAAACACUCAGAUGUUGAUACAGUUCUUGCAAGAGAGGACUAAUCAGCAGCAAGGCAACUUCAAUCAUGGUGGCAAUCAGUUUGCUAAUCUGAGUUAGUUCCUGUCAAAUCAGCCGGAGACUUUCACUUCCUGUGACCAGCCAUUUGAUGCUGAGGAUUGGAUCCGCGACAUGAACAAGUACUUUGAAUGCAGCAAUGUUCGUCCAGAGGAUUUCGUCAAGUUUGCAACAUUCCAGCUGAAGGGGCAAGCAUCUAUCUGGUGGCAACAGAUGAAGGAUUCCAGGGGUGCUAGAGUGAACACUUGGGAUGAGUUCUGCCGUGACUACAUAUCCCACUACAUUCCGUCCAGCUUUGUGGAGGAAAUGCGUGAGAAGUUCAGGCGCUUGAAGCAAGGUGGUAACUCUGUGUACAAGUACAACGUCGAGUUCCACGAGCUAGCCCGAUACGCCUUGCAGGAUAUCCCUGAUCAGAAGAGCAGGAUAUAUCAGUUCAGAGGUGGCUUGAAAGAAUAUUUGCAGUUAGCUCUCGCUUUGCACGAUCCUGAGGAGUUCGAUAAGUUCUACAACUUAGCUCUCAAGGCUGAGGCAGCUUUGCUCAGGGUGGAUAAUUCUAAGAAGCGCUUCAGAGAUUCCAACUCGUCUUCCUCAACUCAGGUGGUUCAGAAGCAACAGAAGUAUAGGGUGUCUCCUCCUCCUUAGCACACGACGCAGUUCAAGCAUUCUGGUGGUCGUGGUUCUUCCCACCCACCCAACCCAGCUUUUCAACAGAGAUUCCAGCAGCAGAAGCAAGGGCCUCCUCAGACACAGUACCACCAGCCAGCAGAUGGUACUUGUCACAAGUGUGGGCGGAAGGGUCACUAUGCGAACAAGUGCACUUCUCAGCUCCGUCUUCCGCCUCCUCCUCCAGGCAAACCUCCAAGCAAUGCUCUCGUGAAGUUCAACCCCAGAUCUGCUCGAGUCAACAUGGUGAAUGCGGCUGAGGCAGAAAACUCGUCAGAUGUGAUUAUGGGUAACCUCCUCGUCAAUGAUAUUCAUGCUAAAGUGUUGUUUGAUUCUGGUGCAUCGCAUUCUUUCUUGUCAUAUCCUUUUGCAGCAAAGCAUGAUUUCCAUCUUCAAGAGUUGGCUAAGUCUCUGGACAUUGUUUCUCCGGGGAUGCUUAUGAGUUCUCGUUGGAUUGUUCCGGAUGUUUCUGUCAAGAUGGGUAGUUAUUCUUUUCUGGCAUCUCCUAUUGUCUUGGGCAAUUCCGACAUUGAUUUGAUCCUUGGUAUGGACUGGUUGGCCAUGAACAAGGCAUCCAUUGAUUGUGAAGCUUACUCACUCUUCGGAGGACGUGAUUAUCUUCGUGGCGCGUGAUGACACAAUCCGUCUGUUAUCUUUGAAUGAAAAGGGUGAGAUUAAUCCUAUUUCGCAAGUCCCAGUGGUCUGCGAAUAUGAAGAUGUGUUUCCAGAAGAGCUGACAGGAAUGNNNNNNNNNNNNNNNNNNNNNNNNNNNNNNNNNNNNNNNNNNNNNNNNNNNNNNNNNNNNNNNNNNNNNNNNNNNNNNNNNNNNNNNNNNNNNNNNNNNNCACUAGCUAUAUGCAAUUUUCAUGACUAUGACAUAUCAUAUUGCUAUCCAAUGGAACCUAGAGAGAUCACUAGCUAUAUGCAAUUUUCAUGACUAUGACAUAUCAUAUUGCUAUCCAAUGGAACCUAGAGAGAUCACUAGCUAUAUGCAAUUUUCAUAACCUUGGAUCAAAGAACACCGCAUAAAAUUGUAUCACUACAACUAUGAUUUCAAUGGAACAUAUUGAACCAAUCAGAUUUUUCAGAUUGUGGAACACUAUUCCAAUCAGAUUGUGUUCCCUUCAACUAAUCAAAAUUGUUUCAUACAACUAUUUGAAGCGAACCAACUAUGAUUCCAAUGGAACAUAUUAAACACUAGUUGAUUCUAAUACGAUUUUUCAGAUUAUGGAACACUAUUCCAAUCAGAUUGUGUUCCCCUUCAACUAUCAAAAUUGUUUCACUACAACUAUUUGAAGGGAACCAACUAUGAUUCCAAUGGAACAUAUUAAACACUAGUUGAUUCUAAUACGAUUUUUUAGAUUAUGGAACACUAUUCCAAUUAGAUUGUGUUUCCCUUCAACUAAUCAAAAUUGUUUCACUACAACUAUUUGAAGGGAACCAACUAUGAUUGAAACAAAUAAACUUACAAUGUCAUUAUCUUGGAUCAAAGAAAGCCUCAAAACUUACCUCGCCCAUUGGAAGAUCAAGACAUGGCGUUCGAAGCAUAGUUGGAUGACGGCAACACCGCGUUGAUCGGCCGUGUACUAAAGAUCAAGCCCCAAGAACUUCUCAUGAUCCAUUGCGGCGUCAAGCCAUUUUUCCUUCAACUGUUCAAGAAAAAACGGCACCUCCCUGCUCUCGUUCGUCUACACGACAUCGAGCAUGGUCGUGCCAUGUGCGAGCACCUUUCGAAAGCGAGUUGGCAUGGUGGAAGAAAAGAAGGAAAGAAGAGAGGAGAAGAACAGAGAGGGAGAGCGAGAGAGAUGAAGAAACAGAGAAAUGACGACUGUGCUUCGGUUCGUGCUUUUCAUCGCCCGAAACGACGCGGGAUGCAAACCGUUUGGGCCUUUAGUCCCGGAUUGAGCCACCAACCGGGACUAAAUAGGUAUACCAACGGUUGCCACCACUACGCCAGGCCACGUGUUAGGCCUUUAGUCCCGGGUUGAGCCACCAGCCGGGACUAAAGGGGGAUACGAACGAUUGCCACCACCACUGCCCGCCGCGUAGCCCUUUAGUCCCGGUUUGGGACACGAACCGUGAUUAAAGGCUCCUUACGAGCCGGGACUAAAGCCUCGAGGGAGGCAUUGAGAAUUGGGGCGACGUGGCCGGGCCUUUAUUCCCGGCCCAGAGGCAGGCCGGGACUAAAGUGUCCCGGCCAAAGGCCCGUUUUCCACUAGUGAUAGUAAUAUGAAAUCUAGGUUAAAUAGAAAUAAAAGACUAUUCAGAUUAAUAAGGUAAACCUUGUUUAUCGGAAUCUUAUUUUGAAGGAACCUUCAGAUUAACUGUGCUCGUCAUGUGGUAAUUUAAGAAUGUGUGACCGGCCGACAUGUUCUCAGGUGCGCACUAGCAAGGUCAAUGUGAGCAGGAAAUGUGUUGGUUUGUCAUUUAUAGUUUACAAGUACGCCUAGUAUAUUGUGGGAUUAUGUUCCCACUCACUAAUGGGGACGGGGCCUAUAGCCCCGGCCCGUAAGGGGCUUUAGUUCCGGUUCAUCAACCGGGACUAAAGAUGCUCCACGUGGGCGCCUCGUAGCGCCCUAGGGGCAGACCCUUUAGUCCCGGUUCGUUACACGGAUCGGAACUAAAGAGUUUCAGAUUUUGCUUAUUUUUGAGUUUUUUUUUUGAAUGAAAUUAUUUUUGGGUUUUAGGGGUUUAGGGUUUCGGUGUUCGGGAGAUUAACGUGAUGGCUCGUUUGGUGUUCGGGAAUUAGUUUUCAUAUAAUUUAAAUAGAAAUAAUUAUGCAUAUAUAUAUAAGAUUAACUUAUCUUACAAGCGAGCAUAUAUAUACAAUUAUAUGUAGAUCUGAAUUAUCGGGACUAGAGCCCGUCUAUUCGAUUACAUGGACGAACAUCAGUAAUGGCCCCUAGCUACACUAAAUCGUCCUUUGUCAUCUAUAGCUUCCGUCCUCAGAAAUCCCGCAAGCUCCUCUGCAACAGCAAUCGCGCGUUGCUCUGGUAGGACCUUCGUCCUCAUGGCCUUGUGCUAUAUAAGAAGAGGAGAUGAAUAUGAAUAUCAAUCAUGAUAACAAAGAAUGACGGGUAAAAAUAAAGGUGUGAAUGUUCAUUGCUUACGUCGAAUCUGUGAUCCUUGUGCUCAGAGGUAAACGUGCGAAUGGUCUCGCAAACAUAGUAUCCGCAUAGAUGUGUUCCCCGUGGCUGCUGGUCGCACUUUACGAGAAUAGAAUAUAUAUAAUCAGAAUAAUAAUCUAGCAUCAUAAAUGUAUUGAAAAUAGAAGUAUAUCAUACUACUACUUACCUGAGCCGCUCUAAAGGUCAGCUUCUCAGGAAAGUUACCGGGAGUCACGCACUUGAACCGCUUCCAAACCCUGCCCGACAAGGAUAAUGAUUUGCUAAGUUUUUCAUUAAUUGAUAUAUCAGAAAAUCAUCGAAAGAGACCGAUAGAGCGCAAGAAUGAUUGAAAUUACCCUUGGAGCAUGUCCUGCAGGCUUUGGAACUGUUCCAAGGGUCUCGAUAAUGGAUCGAAGGCAUCAACUCUUCCCUUAUCAAUUUGAAUGUCCAACAGAAUCCAAUGAAAGCUGCACAUGUAUAUAUAUAUAUGUGUGUGUGUGUGAGUAACUUAUCAAUUACACUUAUAAGUGAAUGGACACAACAGAGUAAAGACCCUCACCUGAAGUUGUAUGGAAACAGUAUGUGGUCACAGAAAUUUUGAUCUGUUAGAAACCUUAGAAGGUUUUCCUCCGUCUCCUUGGGAUAAUCAGUUAGCGUCGCUAUAUGUAUUUUAUCUGGGUCAAUAAACCCAAUAUUUAGGAUGGUCUUACUUUUACAAUCCAGAAUCUUCAUUCUGCAUAAUAGAGUACAAGUUAUAUAUAGACAAUGAAUUGAAAUAACUAAACAAGUUAUAUGUAGACAACGAAUUGAAAAACUUACAGACAAUAGCNNNNNNNNNNNNNNNNNNNNNNNNNNNNNNNNNNNNNNNNNNNNNNNNNNNNNNNNNNNNNNNNNNNNNNNNNNNNNNNNNNNNNNNNNNNNNNNNNNNNGGGGGGGGGGGGGGGGGGGUGGAGGGGGUGCCAACCUCAUCUGUCCGUACCCACAAUACUCCCAUGCUCCGUACUUGGACUCAGCGAAGAACAUCAAGAAAAAGGAUUACACACACAUAAAGAUUAUUCUCGAUAGUGACAUUUUAACCUUCAGCCUUAUUGGUGGAUAUAUCCAGGUGAAAAAGUACAAGAAUAAAGGGUCGGAUUUCGUUCAUAAGACCGACUUCUGCUGCAUCGAGCAACCAAACGAUAGUAAGGUUGAUGGAUUCUACCUCAUGCUUCACAUGAUCGAGUACAAAAGGGAUAAACAAUGCCUUUAUAUUUCAGCUACUUCCGGCGCGAUGCCAAGAUUGUCAACUGGGCCACAAGAAUAGGAAGGACACCGGAUCAUCGAAUCUGAGCUGAGUUUUAUGACAUACGGUGUGAACUUUAUGAAGUGAUCAUGAAGGAGGUCGUUGAACAAACAGGGAUGUUCUUCCAUGGGCCAAUGAGGCGGGAGAAUGUCCGAGAACUGCUACUCGCUCAGCGUGUGGACCUGAAUGCUUUCACGAAGCUCGGGUCCUUCAUCCCUGAUUAUGAAGAUUGGAGCGUCGACAUGGAGGAGUGAUUGACGAUGACAAUCUGUGUUUAUAAUUAGUACUAGUGUCUUUCAUUGAACUAGCAUAGAUCGCUCUAGUUAAUUAGUUUGUGUAUGAGGAACUUCAUUAUUUAUGUUUACUAUAGGUUGCUUGUAUUUUGCUAACUAUGCCUCUUUGUGUUUCUCAAGUACAUUAUGUUGCAUAUUAUCGUUGAAUUCAUCAACUUACAAUGCAGCUACAUAGAUCGGAGAUGGCGAAGGACUGCUACAUCAUAUUCAUUGGGAGGGUUCCAGGAGUGUACGACCACUGUCCAGACGCUCAGGCCCUGGUUGACAGGUGCCCGGGCACUAGCCACAGAGUGUUCGACGAUAGAGCCGAAGCGGAAAAGAGUUACUUGAGUUGGAUGCCACGGCAAGAGAGGGAGCGAAACCGGUGCCUCAAGAAGUACUACAUAGCCGCGCUCUUGCUCAUACUGAUCACUCUUCUCUUCUACAUAAUGGUUUAUAUAAAGAUGAUGAAACUUGUGGGUGUGCAAUGACCAUGCAGUUGCAUUUAUUCGAGACACGACUUGUGUAUCGUUACUUUCGAGAUGUGAUGAUAUUUCUGUUGGAUAAUGAUGAUGAUGAUGAUGGUAUGACGAGACUAUUUUAUAUGUAUGAUAUGAUGAGAAUAAUAUAUGUUUAUUAUGAUAUGAUGAGACUACUGUAUAAAGCAUGCAAAAAUACGUAGAGGGGGCACAAAUACGUAGAGGGUAAUUAAAUUAUUGAAAGCGGGAAUGUUAGCAAUAACACUGGUAGGAAUAUUCGUAGUAGCGUUGGUAGGAAUAUUAGCAAUAGCACUUGUUUAGCAGCGGCACUUGUUGUCUUCCAGCGCUACUGCUACCGUACUUACCAGUAGUGCUGGUGCUAAAACUUAGGUGUAGCGCCUUAGCAGUAGCGCUGCCACCAACACUACUGGUAUGGGUAAAUCAAGCGCUACUACUAGGCUUUCUCCUAGUAGUGUUAUGAAGACAUGCACAUGCAGUAAUGACUGUGUUUGCGUAGCAGGUUUGUAUCGUGUGAUGCCAAGGAGGAUUCGCCAUUUCAUCUUCAUAACACUGAUAGUGAUGAAUGUAGAUGAUUGAAGGUCUCAUUUCUCCCUUGUGGUGGUAUUUGUUAAAAAUCAGGUACAUGGUAGCGUUGGCCUUAGUAUGGUGCAACAAGAUAGUAUUUUCCUGCAUUGAUUGCAAAUAAAAUCAAAACAAAUUAGUUAACGAAACACAUUAGAGCACAAGAACACAUGUAGAAGUUAUUUAUGUCCGUGGGGGUGUGGGAAGUAGGAAUAUUCAACUUGUGCAUCAUCCAACACAUGUGUGUCAUGCAUAGAUCCACGCCAUCCAGCAAUAACAAACAAAAAUCUCAUGUCAAAAUCGCAAAUAGCCAUGACAUUCUUGUUGGAAAUAUGCCCUAGAGGCAAUGAUAAAUAAUAAUUCUUAUAUUUCCUGUUUAAAGAUAAUCGUUUAUUAUCCAUGCUAUAAUUAUUUGGAAUGACAACAUAGAUACAUGUGUGGAUACAUAGACACAACAAUGUCCCUAGCAAGCCUCUAGUUGGCCAGCCAGUUGAUCAAGGAUAGUCAAGGUUUUCUGGCUAUGUGCAAAGUGUUGUUGCUUGAUAACUGGAUCACAUCAUUAGGAGAAUCAUGUGAUGGACUAGACCCAAACUAUGAAUUUAGCAUAUUGAUCGUGCCGUUUUAUUGCUAUAGUUUUCUGCGUGUCAAGUAUUUGUUCCAAUUACCAUGAGAUCAUAUAACUCACUGGCACCGGAGCAAUGCCUUGUGUGUAUCAAACGUCACAACGGAAGUUUUCCUCUAGAUCGUAUUUCUGUGGAGCUCGGGCGGAGCCCUGUAGGAGUAGAUCCUUCACCACCACCGGAGCGCCGUCACGCUGCCAAAGAACGCAUCUACUUCUGUGUCUUGAUUGCUGGAUCAAGAAGGCCGAAAUCAUCGUCGAGCUGUACGUGUGCUGAAUGCGGAGGUGCCGUCCGUUUGGCACUAGAUCGGAGCGGAUCGUGGGACGGAUCGCGGGACGGUUCGUGGGACGGUUCAAGGGGCGGAUCGAGGGACGUGAGGACGUUCCACUGCAUCAACCGCGUUUCUUAACGUUUCCUGCCGUGCGAUCUACAAGGGUACGUAGAUCCAAAUUUCCUCUCGUAUAUGGACAUCACCAUGAUAGGUCUUCGUGCGCGUAAGAAAAUAUUUGUUUCUCAUGCAACAUUCCCCAACAAUUCUGACUUGUUGAACCUUUCCUGUUGCGAUGCUUGGGUUGCUCACUUGUAGGCACAACACAUUCAAUGUGUGUUCCAUCUAUUACCUCAAUAGCAUCCUUAAAAUGAGGCCAAAAUCUCAAUUUUUUAAGCGAGUCAUGAGGUUGCGUGAAAGAUCCAUCUUUUGGUUGAAUAUAAUCACCGUCCAUACGGUACACACACAACAAGACCUCCUUAAACUUUUUUUUGAUGGUAGACAUAUUGUGUUCAAAUCGAUCCGCAACAUUCUCUAUGGUUUGGUGUGACCCCAAAGUCCACAAGAAUUGUGCCAAUGCUUCUUUGUUUGUAAUGUUGCGAGUUGAUCUUACACCAUACUUCUCAACUAAAAUGUCAUGUAGUGAGUAAAACACUAACCUCCGCUUCUUGAACAUGGAGUAGAAUUCUAGUGGUUGCUUAUCUUUCUUUUCCACCCACUUUCCAUAUGGCAAUCUCUCUUUGCUUAGAAGAUAAUGUACCAUUGCAACAACACAAAAGUCCAAUUCUUCAUUGAUAAUCCCCAAGUGCAAGGAAUCGUUGGAGCAAUUUCCAAAGAUGGAAGUGGUAAGUAUGGAGUGUCGAACCCACAAGGAGCUAAAGGUUAGAUCAAUAUUCUCUCAAGUCCUAUCUGCCACCGAUAUGACUCUAUAUACACCAAACAUUUGCUUAUAUCUAGUAAUGAGAAAUAAAACCGUGUUGUGGGUAUAGAAGGGAUAGCUUUGCAUGAUAUUGGAGAACUAAAAUAUGAAAAUAGUUGUUGCACUCAAUAGAGUUAGAAUAUAUCACAAUAUAUUACAAAUAACAAGUGUGGAAUAAUGAUGGUAUGGUGUGCGGUUCAUCGUAGUAAAUUCAUAACAUGACCGGUAAUCAUUCUUGAAAUAUUAUAUGAGGGAGAGGUAUGAGUUAAAUUCUUUCCGUACUUGGAUCACAUGAGCUUAUGAUUGGAUCUCUAGAAAGCAUCUGCAACUACUAGAAAUCUUGAAGGUAAACCCAACCAUAGAAUUAAACAUAAAGUCCCCUUUACUCCCAUAUGCAAACAACUCCCUUACUCGGAUGCAAGUUUCUAUCACUCUAGCCACCCACUAUAAGCAAAUCAUGAACAUAUUGCAAACCCUAAAAUGUGUGCGCGGCAGGAAGGGCACCAUAGGACAGCAGCAAAAUAAAGCAUACACUUAAAUCAAUCAAGAUCAUCAAUCAACCCAAAGGACAACAUAAAUCUACUCAACAAUCAUAGGAUGGCUACACAUCAUUGAUUAAUAUUAUGUGGCAUGAAACAUCAUGUUCAAAUAGGGAAUUACAAUUGGGUGCGGGAAAUUUGAACGCCAUAGAUAGAUGAGGUAAGGUGAUGGAGAUGAUGAUGUUGAUGAAGAGCCCCUCCUAUCUGAUAGAAAAGGGUCCCAUGAUCCCGAGCCGAUCUUACCUUGGCUCGCAAACCCCAAGUUUGUCUAUCAAGAGCUAAUCUAAUUGUAUUUUUUUCUAGAAUGGAUUUCUUAUGUGGAAUACUAAUGGAUAGGGCCUCGUUGCUAAGUGCUACAAGAUCUAGUGCACUGGAACUCGUGGUUAUGGACCCGAAUCCUUUAGUAUGGAACAUUGUCUUUUCCAAGUAAAAACCCCUAGUAUAUGAAAGAAUGAAAAUGUGCUUUCGUUCUUGUGGAAUAAGAAGCCCUCGUACCUUAAUGAAAGGAAAAUCGUAAUUUUUCCUUAGGUAUUUGACCAAAUAUGAUCGUCCAGUUCCUAUAGAACCUAUCACUAAAAUACCCGAUAGGGCUAAGCAGAACGAAAAGGGUUUUCCAUGAGAUGGUAAAUAAACGUGCAUUCCUACGUAAACCAAUACGCACUUUCUUACGUGAACCAAUUUUUGGUAUAGCUUUUGCCAUAUUUUAUUAUCUCAUAAAUAUGAGUUAGAAAUAAAAAAAAAGAUACAAAUAUAUCUGUUUCAGGGUAAAAUACACCCUUUACUUUAAUUAUUUGAAAUUAUUUUAUUUGGAAUUGGAACAUUUCCGCGGGUACUUUUUUUUUAGUUUUUAGACAGUAAAGUUCUUUUUCGAAAGAUUACCCCUGUCUUUGUUUAUGCUUCGGACUAGAGCAAAUCACUCUAAUUCGUCCACGCCUACGAAUCAGUCGACAUUUUGUACAAAUUUUACGAACGGAAGCUCUUAUUUUCAUAUUUCCGUAUCCUUUUUUAAACUAUGAAUCUAAUAUUUUGGAAAAAAAUAAGUCUCUUCGCUUGAAUUUUAGAACUUAGAAUUUAUUACCCUAGAAAAAAAAAGUUUUUGGUAAUCGACGAAGAUUACCAUAUUGAUAUUCGGGCGCAUGGUAAACAUCAGUACUCCAGUGCAUUUCACCGUCUGAUUCAGAAUAAAUAUGCUUUUGUACCCUUUCUUUAAAAUGUAAAGUGGAUGUUCCGGCACGAAUCUCCGAAAAAAAACCGAUCUACUUCUUUUUGGUAUUUUAGACUAAAUUCUUUUGUUCCUCGAUGCUCAAUCAAACCCUCUUUUUUUAAGAUGGAAUCUUCCUCUGGGCUCUCGUAUUCGUCCUCUGAGUCUUCUUCUGAGUCUUCCUCUAAAGUACCAUAUUUUUCCUCGCCGCUGUGGGAGAAAGUCGCCCAUCAUAUCUAUAGUAUAGAAGAAGACCCCCAAUCCUGCGGUGCCAUCCACGUCGCGCACUUGAUUCCUUCUGUUCAAAACCAUAUCCUUUCUUUGCCUAUUAGACUACCAAUUAUAUCUGUGAUUUCGCUCUGGUCACUAGUAUUUGUAUUAUCGAAUAUCUCCUUUUCACUACUAGUGUACGAUUAUUUCGGAAACCUAAGGACUCGAUCGUAUGGAUAUGGAAAAUACAGGAUUUCCGAUCCUAGCGGGAAAAGGAGGGAAACAGAUACUCAAUUUAAAGUGAGUAAACAGAAUUCCAUACUCGAUCUCAUAGAUCCCUAUAGAAUUCUGUGGAAAGCCGUAUUCGAUGAAAGUCGUAUGUACGGCUUGGAGGGAGAUCUUUCCUAUCUUUCCAGAUCCACCCUACAAUAUGGGGUCAAAAAGCCAAAAAAAUAAGUUAUUUUAGACCUUAUAAAAAGAAAACGGAUUCUUGAACCUCUUUCAAGCUCAUGUCACCUCGAGGUACUGCAGAAAAAAGAACUGCAAAAUCAGAUCCAAUUUUUCGUAAUCGAUUAGUUAACAUGGUGGUUAACCGUAUUAUGAAAGACGGAAAAAAAUCAUUGGCUUAUCAAAUUCUCUAUCGAGCCGUGAAAAAGAUUCAACAAAAGACAGAAACAAAUCCACUAUUGGUUUUACGUCAAGCAAUACGUAGAGUAACUCCCAAUAUAGGAGUAAAAACAAGACGUAAUAAAAAAGGAUCGACGCGGAAAGUUCCGAUUGAAAUAGGAUCUAAACAAGGAAGAGCACUUGCCAUUCGUUGGUUAUUAGAAGCAUCCCAAAAGCGUCCGGGUCGAAAUAUGACUUUCAAAUUAAGUUCCGAAUUAGUAGAUGCUGCCAAAGGGAGUGGGGGUGCCAUACGCAAAAAGGAAGCGACUCAUAGAAUGGCAGAGGCAAAUAGAGCUCUUGCACAUUUUCGUUAAUCCAUGAACAGAAUCUAUGUAUGUAGACACAUGGAUCCGUACAUCUCGAUCGGAAAAAAAUCAAUAGAAGGAGAAUCGGACGAUAUCUUUCUCGAAACAAACAAAAAGGAAAAGAAAGAGAAAACAGAAAUCAUGAUCAACUAAGCCCUCUCGAGGGCUUGCUUAAGAAUAAGAAAGAAGAAUCUUAUGGAAAUAGCAUGGAACUAACUAAUACUAAUAUAUAGAAAUAGAUAUCUAGAAAUAGAAACAAACUAAUAUAUAGAUAAUCGAAAUUGAAAAGAACUGUCUUUUCUGUAUACUUUCCCCGUUCUAUUGCUACCGCGGGUCUUAUGCAAUCGAUCGGAUCAUAUAGAUAUCCCUUCAACACAACAUAUGUCAUUGAAAAGAUCUCGGACAACUCACCAAAGCACGAAAGCCAGUUAGAAAAUGGAUUCCUAUUUGAAGAGUGCCUAACCGCAUGGAUAAGCUCACAUUAACCCGUCAAUUUUGGAUCCAAUUCGGGAUUUUUCUUGGGAAGUUUCGGGAAGAAAUUGGAAUGGAAUAAUAUACAGCUUGGGGAACUUCAAUAUCGACGGGCUUGCUAGCUAAAUGGCAAUUGGCACAUAUAAUUCGCCCAGUUGCUUCUCGUGGGUUUUCAUAACCCUGCUGCGCAAAAAUGGGAUAUGCAUUUGAAAUAGAUGUCCAAGUUAUUACGUAUAUCAUGAUCGAUAUAGAAUACGAUGAUCCCUGUUAAGCAUCCAUGGCUGAAUGGUUAAAGCGCCCAACUCAUAAUUGGUAAAUUUGCGGGUUCAAUUCCUGCUGGAUGCACACGAACCGGAACAUUCCAUAAGUCUAUUGGAACUGGCUCUCUAUCCAUGGAAUCUCAUCCAUCAUCCAUACAUAACGGAUUGGUAUGGUAUAUUCAUACCAUAACAUAAGAACAAUAAGAACUCGAAUUCUUAUCGAUACUGGAACUCAGAGCAUAGGAGGGAAAGUCGAUUUAUGGAUGGAAUCAAAUACGCAGUAUUUACAGAAAAAAGUCGAAUCGGGAUUCACUAAGACAGAAAUAAAGCAUUGGUUCAAACUCUUCUUUGGAUUAAGGUGGUAGCUGUGAAUAGCCAUCGACUACCUGGAAAAGGUAGAAGAAUAGGACCUAUUCUGGGACGUACAAUGCAUUACAGAUGUAUGAUCAUUACCCUUCAACCGGGUUAUUCUAUUCCACUUCUAGAUAGAGAAAAAAACUAAAGGAGAAUGAAUGAAAAAAGACAUAGUUUGGAAGUUAGACCUUUUUAUAAGACUCUCUUUCAAUUUCAAAAAAGAGGACGUUUGAAACUUUUAACAGGCGUAAUCGUGAGUCAACAUGCUAGAACUAGAUAAGGAAGUUUUCUAUAACCUUAAUAAAAAGGAUAAAAAGGUAGUUUUAGUUUAUGACUCCGAUCAUGAGCGAGAAAUCCUUGAUUUGGGAUUGGACAUAGAACCUGGACCCAUCGGAGAGACGUUGAAAGGAGCGUAUCCUGAUGGUAAGAAUUAUACUUUCGUGGAAAUACAGCGCUAUAGACUUCAGUGUGGUAGAGUAUACAUUUUGUUCCUAAUUUUUCUGGACCAAACCUCCGCUCCGACCCAACGAUACAAUGAAUUUUUUCUGUUCAUAUUCAUAAAUAAAAAAGAUUAGGAAUCGCAAUGCUACUAUAUGCGUCCAGAGCAGUAUUUUGAAUACUAUUCUUCUAUAAUCCAUUAUUGCGCGGGGUCUUACUAACAGGACUUCGCGGCACAGGACGGGUCUUCGUCGAAAAGCUAACACCACCUGGCAUUUUCAUACCCUUUCUUUGGGUGGUAUAUCGCCUUUAAAAGUCUAAGAGGGUAGUAGGGGGGAUCUUAAGAGGGUAGUAGGGGAUCUUAAGAGGGUAGUAGGGGAUCUAUAGUAGGUAAGAUAAUUUGCCCUUUGAUUUUGAUUGAAUAUACUAUUUUUCUGCCUUUACCACGCAUUAUUGUAUGCGCUUCUAGAGAAGUACGUAUGCAGGAAGUAAAUUCUAGUCGCUUUCUUUUGAAUCCAAUUUCAAAUUAGAUUAGAAAGAUAGAAAGGCCAUGAGGAUGGGAAAAUAAAAAAAAUAUUUUUAAUUAGUUCUCCUUUUUUGGAAUUUUCUUAUUAUCCUUAUCAUUUUUUUUACAGAAUAUUUUGCAAACUAAAAAAAUACAAUAGUCAAUAUUCCUUAUAAUAGAUAUACUUAAUUAUAUCAUAAGAAUCUUAAGAUAUUUUUCGACUAGAUAGAAAUAGUAAAUUUGAAUUGAGACACCUAUUCCAUGACGGAUUUAAACUUACCUUCUAUUUUCGUGCCUUUAGUAGGCUUAGUAUUUCCGGCAAUUGCAAUGACUUCUUUAUUUCUUUAUGUGCAAAAAAAAGAUUGGUAUCAAAUUGGAUCAGUGAUCGAUUUCUAGGUUUCGUCGUAAACCUAAUUGGUUACUUCCAAUUACGUAAAUCAAUAGUUCAAACCGCACUCAAAGGUAGGGCAUUUCCCAUUGAUAUAGGAACUUUUGUACCAGAAACAAUAGUAUCUCCAAUUAUAGCCCCUGUGGGAUGUAAAAUAUAUCUCUUCUCACCAUCCCCAUAGUGUAUGAGACAAAUGUAUGCAUUUCGAUUAGAGUCGUAUUCUAUGGUUACGAUUCUACCAGAUAUGUCUUUUUGAUUCCGUCGAAAAUCUAUUUUACGGUAUAGGCGCUUAUGACCUCCCCCUCUAUGCCUUGCGGUAGUAAUUUCAGACAAGUUUGGUUAAUUUAGUUUGUUUUUUUGUACUGUAUCAGCACCUAGUUCAUUACUCUUGAUAGAGAGGGAGGAUCCGCCUUCUUAAAUUUCUUUUUCUAUUUAUUUUUCCAUCUAGGAUUAGAACCGUAUACUUGAUAAUAAUAGCAACGGCACAUUAUGGCAAAAAAGAGUUUGAUUCAGAGGGAGAAGAAGCGGCAGAAAUUAGAACAGAAAUAUCAUUUGAUUCGUCAAUCUUUAAAAAAAAAGAUAAGAAGCAAAGUUUCUCCCUUGAGUUUGAGUGAAAAAACGAAAAUGCGAGAAAAAUUGCAAUCCCUACCGCGUAAUAGUGCACCUACAUGCCUUCAUCGACGUUGUUUUUUGACCGGAAGACCUAGAGCUAACUAUCGACAUUUUGGGCUAUCCGAACACGUACUUCGAGAAAUGGUUUAUGAAUGUUUAUUACCAGGUGCAACAAGAUCCAGUUGGUAAGGAUAAAAUACCCUUUCGUAUUUGUAUGGAUUUCUGGAAUAGAUAAUCAUAGAGGAGCCCUGUUUACCAUUCUGUAUAAAUGGACUAUUCUAUUUGUAUAGAUAUGGUAGAGGGACGUAUCGAACCCUCUUUUAUCCACUAGUUACCCCUCUUUAGUUUAAGAGUAUAGAGCAGUUUGGUAGCUCAUAAGUCUCAUAACCUUGGGGUUGAAAAAGGAAAGGUUCAUAGAAUUUUCUUCCCCUUCCCCUUUCCCCGAACUAAAUAGCCCUAAGACCAUUACCAUUAAUUCGUAUUUUCCCAUCAACUAGCUAAAAUUGAUUAACCCUAGGAUUAGGAUCCUUUUUGCUUUUUUCCUCUAUGUUUACAUACCACAGUAAUUUGCUAUAGAGAAUUUUUAAUUUCUAUUAAAUAAAAAUAAGAUAAUAUAAGAUAUUAUAUUAUUACUGGAAUAAAUUGCUAUUUGAUUUGAUACAUUGUGAUCCUUAACGUUGAUGAAUUAAGAAAAACGGAAAGAGAGGGAUUCGAACCCUCGGUAAACAAAAGUCUACAUAGCACUUCCAAUGCUACGCCUUGAACCGCUCGGCCAUCUUUCCUACAUAACUUAUUAUGGAAAAUAAACUGAGUGAAUAGCGAGUUUUCUUAUUCAUGCAGUACAGGUACAACCACAACCGCUCGGGGGUUCCCUAGUGAUCUUAUAUACUAAAUCUUAUAUGGAUCUAAUUUUUUAAAUGGCCUUUAUUAUUUCUUUUUUAUGGGGUUACUAAAUAUUAACCAAAUUUAAUUUAAGAAAUGAGAGAAUUCAGAAUAGCUACGAGAAAGACUAGUCCAAUCCAUAAUGAUGUACCGGAAAAUACAACAUUUUUAUUAUUUGACCAACCAUCAGGAGAAGCAAAUACAAGGGGUACACUAAUUACUAAGACUGAGGAAGUCGCAAUUAAUGCAAAAACAGCUAAUUGGAAAGCAAUAGUCAUAUUUCUAAUCCUCCAAGCUACCAUCAAAUAAAGUUGACUACAUAUUUGAUCCCUCACUUAACCAAAAUUGUAAAAAAAUACAAGAAGUAGGAGGGGUUUAAUCAUGAAUCCAUUGAUUCUUCUCUUUAAUUAAAAUUUAUUACUUAACCUCUUUUUUAUUUGGAUAUGGGGGUGAGAGGAGGUUAUUUAGUCUUUAUUUCACAAGCGGGUAUAGCGGAUCCUGUAUCCGUGUAUACAGUAUACAGAGAUAUAUCGAAAAGGAACUUGUAUCUGAUAUCUUUCUAGAGGUUAAUAAAUAUUUUUAUUUUUUAUAUGGCUAUGUUCUAUUUGUAGGAGUAAAAUAAGGAUUAGGCGGUGGAGAGAUGGCUGAGUGGUUGAUAGCUCCGGUCUUGAAAACCGGUAUAGUUCUAGGAACUAUCGAGGGUUCGAAUCCCUCUCUCUCCUUUUGCUUAUUGAAUACGUUUGUUUCUUUCAUUUUUUUUAUUCUGUCCCUUAUCUUUCUUUCAUAAAAAGGAAUGAAUGGCUCGGCUAGAUAGAAUAACCGAGCCAGAACAGAAAAAAAGUAGAGCAGGUAUAAAUAAGAAAAUCUUAGUUAAGAGGGUUCAUGUAAAGAACAGGUUCCAAAUCACGAUCGAUUCCCUUUUCAAAACCUGCUGCAGCAGCUCGGGCUCUUCCUGCAUGCCAUAAAUGGCCCACAAAAAAGAAGAAUCCUAGAACAAAAUGAGAAGUUGAUAACCAACUUCUAGGAGAGACAUAAUUAACUGCAUUGAUCUCGGUCGCUACGCCACCCACGGAAUUUAAAGAGCCUAAAGGAGCGUGGGUCAUAUAUUCUGCUGAGCGCCGUUCUUGCCAAGUUUGUAUGUCUUUUUUCAACCUACUCAAGUCCAAACCGUUGGGGCCCCUUAGAGGUUCUAACCAUGGAGCACGAAGGUCCCAAAAACGCAUAGUUUCCCCUCCAAAGAUAACCUCCCCAGUUGGGGAACGCAUUAGAUAUUUCCCUAAACCUGUGGGUCCUUGAGCGGAUCCCACAUUAGCUCCAAGACGCUGGUCUCUAACUAGAAAAGUAAAUGCUUGAGCUUGAGAAGCUUCUGGCCCGGUGGGUCCAUAAAACUCACUCGGAUAAGCUGUAUUAUUGAACCAUACAAAACAACAAGCGAUAAAACCAAAGACAGAUAAAGCAGCUAAACUAUAAGACAAGUAAGCUUCUCUAGACCAUACAAAUGCACGGCGAGCCCAUGCCAAGGGUUUGGUUAAAAUAUGCCAAAUUCCCCCAAAUACACAAAUAAAACCCAACCAUACAUGUCCACCAAUUAUAUCUUCUAAAUCAUCUACACUAACAAUCCACCGUUCUCCCCCAAAAGGAGAUUUUAGUAAAUAACCAAAUAUAACACUGGGACUAAGGGUCAAAUUGGUAAUUUUUCUUACAUCUCCCCCCCAGGGGCCCAGGUAUCAUAUACACCGCCAAAAUAAAGAGCCUUGAGUACUAGAAGAAAAGCACCUAGACCUAACAAAAUUAAGUGAAUACCCAAAAUUGUAGUCAUUUUAUUUCUAUCUUUCCAGACAUAACCAAAGAAUGGAAAAGAUUCUUCAAGAGUCUCGGGUCCCAGAAGCGCGUGAUAAAUGCCACCGAAGCCUAAGACUGCGGAGGAAAUUAGGUGAAGUACGCCAGAUACAAAGUAUGGAAAAGUAUCUAGAACUUCCCCCUGGCCCUACUCCCCAACCUAGAGUAGCUAGGUGUGGAAGUAAAAUCAACCCUUGUUCAUACAUGGGCUUUUCUGGUACGAAAUGGGCCACUUCAAAUAGGUUCAUUGCUCCGGCCUAGAAUACGAUUAAUCCGGCAUGGGCUACGUGAGCUCCAAGUAGUUUACCGGACAAAUUGAUAAGUCUGGCGUUCCCAGCCCACCAAGCAAAGCCGGUGGUUUCUUGGUCACGACCAGCUAAAACGAAAGUUCCAUUAAAGAGCGUUUCCACGUGGUAGAACCUCCUCAGGGAAUAUAAGAUUUUCAUGAGGCUGAUCCUGAGCUGCCAUCCACGCACGAAUACCCUCGUUUAAAAGAAUUUUUUUGGUGUAGAAAGUCUCGAAUUCAGGAUCUUCCACUGGACGGAUUUCUUGGGAAACAAAGUCAGAGGCACGUAAGUUCAGAGCCAAGCCAACUACGCCAAUAGCACUCAUCCAUAAACCGGUGACUGGUACAAAUAGCAUAAAGAAAUGUAACCAACGUUUAUUGGAAAAAAGCAACACCAAAGAUUUGGGACCAAAAGCGGUUAGCAGUGACCAUUGAAUAAGUUUCUUCAGCUUGAGUUGGGUUAAAAGCACGGAAGGUAUUUGCACCAUCACCGUCCUCAAAUAGAGUGUUUUCUACGGUUGCUCCAUGAAUAGCGCAUAGCAGAGCCGCGCCUAAUACUCCGGCAACUCCCAUCAUAUGAAAUGGGUUCAACGUCCAAUUAUGAAAUCCUUGGAAGAAAAGGAUGAAUCGAAAUAUCGCUGCUACGCCAAAACUCGGCGCAAAGAACCAACCAGAUUGCCCCAGUGGAUAAAUAAGGAAUACCGAAACAAAAACAUCAAUUGGACCAGAGAAUGAGAUUCCAUUAUAAGGCCGCAAUUGAACAGACCGAGCAAGUUCAAAUUGGCGUAACAUGAAACCUAUUAGUGCAAAAGCCCCGUGGAGAGCUACAAAAGUCCAUAGACCGCCUAAUUGACACCAACGAGUAAAAUCUCCUUGUGCUUCUGGCCCCCAUAGUAGCAACAAAGAGUGCGCUAAACUAUUGGCAGGGGUAGAAACUUCUGCGGUUAAGAAAUUACAACCUUCCAAAUAGGAACUUGCCAAUCCAUGGGUAUACCAAGAAGUUACAAAAGUUGUCCCUGUAAACCAACCCCCUAAAGCGAAAUAAGCACAAGGAAAGAGCAAUAGGCCAGACCAUCCUACAAAAACGAAACGGUCCCUUCGUAACCAGUCAUCCAUAGUAUCAAAUAGAUCAUUUUCUUCUUUAGGAACUCUACCAAGGGCUAUAGUCAUAGUGAUCCUCCUAUUCAAUUACUUCAACCAUUUCCGAGCACCUCAUAUCACUUUCCAAGGCAUAUGAUAGUUUUAUAUCUGUGGACGAUUUCUUUCUCGUUCAAUGCCCUUUUUCAAUGGUCUCGAAGAGAGAAAUUUUCCAUUUUUAUCUAUGGAGUCACAACCGAGGUCGUUGUAAAUCCAUGAAUUUGAUUCGAUUUGUUUUUCUUAUCUUAUACUUAUAGAAAUAAACCUUUGAAUUCAGCAUUAUUCCAAGACUCCUAUUUCAAAGUCUAUCUUUUAAGGGAAAAAUGAAAAUAAAAGUAACCCCUUUUUUCCCAUUCCCUCUCUAUUGCAUGGGGGGAAGAACUAAAAUGGAGGAUUCUGAAAAAAAAAGACCUUCGAAAUCAAUUUUUAUGUGUAGUGCAAAGGAGUUGCGAUUUCUUCUUAUUCCUAUAGAACAUCUAGUAACAAGAAUAUGAAAUCGUAAAUAGCGAAAAAUUCUUGUCUUGCGCGGUCUAUGUCUAAGGAAAUACGAAAAAUUCGCUUAUACAAUUUCAUCUACAUCGAAUUUAUAUAUCAGAAUAGCGGAUAGAGGCAUCAUUCAAGGAGUCAGGUCUACUUACUUUAUGCUUCUUUCCAAUUUUAUGGUGGAUUUGAUAAGAACCCUUUUUGCUUUCUUGAUAAAUAAUCGACAAAAAAAAGCGUUUUUUAUAUAUAGCUUGUUUUAUUAUAAUUAUAACAAGUCCUAUAUGAAAAUGCCCGCUAAAGAGAAAAUCUAUUUGAUUGUCUAUCGGUCAAUAUCGAUUUUUACAAAGAAAAAACAAGAAUUUUCUUCUUUUUUUUAUUAACAUUAAGAAUAAAGAAUAUAACUAAAAUGGAAUUGGCAAUAUAAUUUUUAUAGACUUUUGAAAGAGAAAAAGGGUUUUUUGCAACCGUUAUUUCUUAUUUCUUGCCUAUAUCAUAUCACGGAAACCUUUCGCUUUGGAACGUGGAGAGAUGGCUGAGUGGACUAAAGCGGCGGAUUGCUAAUCCAUUGUACAAUUUUUUUUACCGAGGGUUCGAAUCCCUCUCUUUCCGCUCCCUUGGAUCAUUUGGGACUUUCAAACUGGAAAGAAUUCUGACCCCCGGAUUUUCUCAUAGAUAAAUGUACGAAACAAAUCCAAUUUGUAAGAAAAAAAANNNNNNNNNNCAUUAGAUAAGAAUCCAAAGAUAAAGAGUGAAACAAAGAAUAUCACUACUGUAUAAACAAAAAGUUUGAGAGUAAGCAUUACAUAAUCUCCAAGAUUUUUUUUGAAGGAAUAGAUUACCAGUUUUUCCUUACCACACGGAUCCACUAGGAUGGUUUUUUUUAUACCUAAAAAUGCAAAAAUGAAUUCUGGAAAAAAAUUGCAAGAAUUCAUUUAUAAUAAGAACUCUUAUCAAUAGCAAAAAUAGGGUUAGGUGGUAUUGAAUAGGUAUUGUGUAGGUACCUAAAGGUACCUGCUCAACCUAGGUGCAGGGGAGUAGAAAGGCUGAUCCAAAUUUAUUGCUGUAGCUACCCAUUCAAUGUAGAAUAAUUUAAAUUUUAGAAUUGAGGGUUCAUAAUAUAAAAAUAUAAAACUUCUCGGCUUUUACCCAUUUUAAUUUUUUUUUUGGAAUGAACACAUCAUUCAAUUUGGCAUACAGAGUACUAAAGAUUUCAUCGAAAACUUACAGCAGCUUGCCAAACAAAGGCUAAUAGAAAAAAGAAUAGAGAUAUAACAGGCAUAAUAUCCACGAUUGGAUUGAAAAUAGCAUAAGCUUUGGGCAAUUUGGCAAAUAAAAAACUAGUAGGAUAAAGAACAGAAUUAAAACAGAUACAGGUUAAACUAAGUAUAUUAGGCAUAACAAGCAUUUCAUUCUUGUAGAGUAAAUAAUUGGAUUUUGAUUGAGUUAUUUUUUAAGGGAAAGAAGGAAAAGGCAGAUUCAAAAUCUUUUUUUCUUCAGACUUUCCCAAACACAAAAUACCUCCUUGUAUUCGCACUCUCAAAUGAGAGUGGAAUAAAUUUGACUUUCAUAUAAUAUCUUAAUAGAAUUCCAUGUAAUGAUCAAUGCAUUUUUUUGAUUCUAUAUUAUCCGCAUGUGUAGAAUACUAGCAAGAGAAUAUCUCUUCUUUAUUUAUGUAAUUGAAAUGGUAUUGACGAAUAACAAAUAAACAUAGUAGUGUUUAUUAGUGUCGCAUAAAACCCGAAAUGGGGCGUGGCCAAGUGGUAAGGCAGCGGGUUUUGGUCCCGUUACUCGGAGGUUCGAAUCCUUCCGUCCUAGAUUUUUCUGAUGAAACAAACGGUGAAAUCAUAUAGUACUCCGUAUGAGACAAAAGUUUAUUAAAGAGAAUAAUGAUAUCUUAUGUUUUCUCAGAAAACAUAAUAAAGUCUUAAGUCCAGUCAAAUUGACUACCUUUAUUUUCAUGAAAAAAAUGGGAUCUAGGAGGCACAUUCAGGAUAUGCCUCUACUAUGAUCACUUAAUAAUCACUUAAUAAUCACUUAAUCAUAUUUUUUUCUUCCUUUUGGUCUUCGAGUCGAAGAAGUACCAAAAACAAUUAACUACCAAAAACUUUCAAUCUAUUCAUUGGAAUAGUUUAUUUAGUUAUUAUAGUUAAUUGUUUUUGGUACAGAAAAAAUAUAUUACUAAUAGAAUUCUAAUUCUAGUAAUUAAAUGAAUUAAACUUUUUUGGAGGUUGAUAGUUUAUUUAUUGAGGAAGAGUCAAUCCUUCUCUUCUCACUUCAAGAUUGAUCAUCUCGAGCCAUCCGUUGAGGGUGGAAAUUUAAUAAUAAAUAAGUUUUAAGCAAACUUGUUUAGUCGUCUUUUUCUAUGUUUCAUUCAUAUGAUAGAAUUCGAAUAUGGGUUUAAAUAAAUUGGAUCUUGGCGGAGGCUUCCCGGAUAAAUACUUACUUUCUUUUAUCCAUAUUGCUCCAUAGAUAGCAAGUUUUAAUUUUAAUUAGUAUACAAAAAACAAAACUAAUGACUAUUCAUGAUUCCAUCCAUAUUGGAUCAAUUUUCUAUACCACUUUGCAAUGAAAAGAGGAAUGUUUGUUAUGGUAAAACUUCGUUUAAAAGGAUGUGGUAGAAAGCAACGUGCGACUUGAAGGACAUGAUCGAUUGUGGAUUUUGCUAUCCAUCAUUUUCCAUAGUAAUGAAAAUGCUCUUGGCUCGACAUAGCCUGUUCUAUUCGUUCCGAACCAAAUUUGCGCAGGGUUUAAGUAACAUAGUACACGAUGGAGCUCGAGAGGACAGAGUUUAUUUUUUAUCAAGGGAAAGAAUCUAGGGUUAGUGAAAACUAAUAAAUUAGGCCAACUUUGUCAGUCUAUCCUUAAUAUAGAAAUAAAUCGAAAGGUUAAAAUAAGAAGAAAGUCCAAUAAAAGUAUAUCAGAAUCAAUCCCCCUUAUUAGAUUUCUAUAGAAGAGAUAAAUGCUUUAUCGAAGGAAAUAAGAAAAAAGGGUAUGUUGCUACUCUUUUGAAAGAAAAAAAUAGGAAUUCCCGAAGUAAUGUCUAAACCCAAGGAUUUCACAAAUCAAAGAUAAAGGAUUCCAGAACAAGUAAACACAAUUUUCAAUUGUCUCAACAACAGAGUUGGAUCAGAAUAAGGAAUAAAAGUCAAUUCGUUCGAAAUGAGACAAAGAAAAGAGUUUAAAGACGACUCAAAAUUUUUUGAAGGAUUUUGCCUUCGAAGUUUCUCAGGCAGAAUUAGCCAACUUGAGACAUGAGUAUAAAUGAAAUUUGUUUUUUCUGUAAGGAAAUUAAUGGACGUCAUAGUCUAAUUUCUAUUAUUAUAGACAGAAAUUCGAAUCAUUUUCUCGAGCCGUAUGAGGAGAAAACCUCCUAUACGUUUCUAGGGGGGACAUUGUUUAUCUACAUCUAUCCCAAUAAGCUGUCUAUCGAAUCGUUGCAAUUGAUGUUCGAUCUCGAAGAGAAGGAAGAGAUCUUCGAAAAGUAGGUUUUUAUGAUCCGAUAAAGAAUCAAACUUGUUUAAAUGUUCCAGCUAUUCUCUAUUUCCUUGAAAAGGGUGCUCAACCGACAAGAACUGUUUAUGAUAUUUUAAGGAAGGCGGAAUUCUUUAAAGAAAAAGAAAGAACUUUGAGUUAAUUGAAGAACUAAAUGAAUAAAAAAGUAGGAUAGGAGAAGAUUAUUAGUAUUCCUCGUUGUCUAAUUAUUUAGACACAAUUUACCUCUUUCUUAAUCCUAUUUGGAUUUAUAUCGUGCCAAUCCAACAUAAGCCCCUAUUUUAUUUACUUUUUCUAUCUAAUUUGUUUUCUUACCAUUGUAUUUCCAUUGACAAAGGUCUAUUGAACAAAUAGAAUUUGAAGAUAGAUGGGUCUCUUUAUCCUCACUCCAUAUUUAAUUUUUCUGCUUACACUUCGCUCAAAUGAUAAGGGUGUUCCUCUUGCAUGUAUUCUCAUACAAUAUAAUAUAUAUAUUUUUUAAUAAAAAUCGCUAAAAAAAGGAGAAUUUGGCCAUCGUGAUUAGGGUCGCUCUUUUUUUUCACUUUAGUGGAAUUUAACCGGACCUGUUCGUUUUUCCAUUUGAGUGUUUUUCAUGGUCGAUAAAAUCUUUCUUUUGAUGUCUUGCUAGUUCAAUGUUUUGACAGAAGCGCGUGGUGUAAUUCCAAUGAUUUUUGGAUUUCGAUCGUAUCUAAGAUCCUUUUUUUAUCUGGGUUGCUAACUCAAUGGUAGAGUACUCGACUUUUAAGUGUGACUAUGAUCUUUUACACAUUUGGAUGAAACAACAAAUUCGUCCAGACUCUUGGUAGAGUCUAGAAGACCACGACUGAUCCUCAAAGGUAAUGAAUGGAAAAAAUAGCAUGUCGUAAUAAAAUCAAUCUUUUUUGAAUGGAAUCCAAAAUUACGAUUUUCUGGGUCUAGUGAAUAAAUGGAUAGAGCCUGGCUCCAAUUCUGGUAAAAUAAAAAGCAACGAGCUUAACUUCCGAAUUGGAAGGAUUCCCCGCUCUAAUUAGCCGUUAAAAAUAGAUUAGUGCCGGAUGUGGGGAAAGGUUGGGUUUUCCUAUGAGUGGACCCUUUAUUUUUUCUUUUUUUAGAAAUCCUAAUUAUUCUUGAUUAUGGAUUGAAUAAGGGAUGUUAUGGAUUGAAUGUGUAAAAGAAGCAGUAUAUUGAUAAAGAGGCUGUAUUCCAAAGUCAAAAGAGCGAUUGGCCUGCAAAAAUAAAAAACUUGUUCUGUUCUUUUUUGUAAUUUAGAACAAACAUAAACUAAUUCGGUAGAAAAGGAGCGGAAAAAGAUCCGUGGAUUAGACUCCCUUUCUUUCCAGGGUUUGUAUUAAAAAUGCAACACCCUGUUCUGACCAUAUUGCACUAUGUAUCAUCAUUCGAUAAACCGAGAAAUGCUUCUUCUCUCUGAUUCAAGUAGAAAUACAAAUGGAAAAAUUCGAAGGGUAUUCAGAAAAACAGAAAUCUCGUCAACAAUACUUUGUCUACCCACUUCUCUUUCAGGAGUAUAUUUAUGCAUUUGCUCAUGAUUAUGGAUUAAACGGUUCUGAACCUCUGGAAAUAGUUAGUUGGAAUAACAAGAAAUUUAGUUCACUACUUGUGAAACGUUUAAUUAUUCGAAUGUAUCAGCAGAAUUUUUUGGAUAACUCGGUUAAUCAUCCUAACCAAGAUCGAUUAUUGGAUUACAAUUUUUUUAUUCUGAGUUUUAUUCUCAGAUUCUAUCUGAGGGGUUUGCGAUUGUUGUGGAAAUCCCAUUCUCGCUACGGGAAUUAUCUUGUCCGAAAGAAAAAGAAAUACCAAAGUUUCAGAAUUUACGCUCUAUUCAUUCAAUAUUUCCCUUUUUAGAAGACAAAUUUUUGCAUUUGGAUUAUCUAUCACAUAUAGAAAUACCCUAUCCUAUCCAUUUGGAAAUCUUGGUUCAACUCCUUCAAUACCGUAUCCAAGAUGUUCCAUCUUUGCAUUUAUUGCGAUUCUUUCUCAACUACUAUUCGAAUUGGAAUAGUUUUAUUACUUCAAUGAAAUCCAUUCUUUUUUUCAAAAAGAAAAUAAAAAGACUAGUUAAAUUCCUAUAUAACUCUUAUGUAUCAGAAUAUGAAUUUUUCUUGUUGUUUCUUCGUAAACAAUCUUCUUGCUUACCAUUAGCAUAUUCUGGAACUUUUCUGGAACGAAUCCACUUUUCUAGGAAGAUGGAACAUUUUGGGAUAAUGUACCCUGGUUUUUCUCGGAAAACCUUAUGGUUCUUUAUGGAUCCUCUUAUACAUUAUGUUCGAUAUCAAGGAAAGGCAAUUCUUGCAUCAAAAGGCAGUUUUUUUUUGAAAAAGAAAUGGAAAUGCUACCUUAUCAAUUUCUGGCAAUAUUAUUUCUUUUUUUGGACUCAGCCGCGAAGAAUCCAUAUAAACAAAUUAGAAAACUCUUGCUUCGAUUUUAUGGGAUACCUUUCAAGUGUACCAAAAAGUCCUUUGUUGGUAAGGAAUCAAAUGCUGGAGAAUUCAUUUCUCAUAGAUACUCGAAUGAAAAAAUUCGAUACCAUAGUCCCCGCUACUCUCCUCAUAGGAUACUUAUCAAAAGCUCAAUUUUGUACUGGAUCGGGGCAUCCUAUUAGUAAACCCAUUUGGACGGAUUUAUCAGAUUGGGAUAUUCUUGAUCGAUUUGGUCGGAUAUGUAGAAAUCUUUUUCAUUAUCAUAGUGGAUCUUCGAAAAAAACGGACUUUGUAUCGACUAAAGUAUAUACUUCGAGUUUAUUGCGCUAGAACUUUAGCUCGUAAACAUAAAAGCACGGUACGAACUUUUAUGCAACGAUUGGGUUCGGCAUUUUUAGAAGAAUUUUUUACGGAAGAAGAGCAAGUUUUUUCUUUGAUGUUCACCAAAACAACUCUUUUUUCUUUCAGUGGAUCACAUACUGAGCGUAUUUGGUAUUUGGAUAUUAUAGGUAUCAAUGACCUGGUCAACCCUCUUAAUUAAUCAUUAGACAAAACUAAUAAACAGGAAAGGGUUGAUAAAUGAUCAAGAAAAAACUUUCAUAUUUUUCAUUCUGAAAUGUUCCUUUUAUUAUAAUAAAGAGUAGGUGAAUCAACUUACUAAUUAAAAAAUUAGUAGAACUUCCUCUUUGGAAUAGAAUAUGGCUAUUUCUACAUAGGGAAAGUCGUGUGCAAUGAAAAAUGCAAGCAUGAUUUGGGGAGGGAUUUUUCUCUAUUGUAACAAGGAAGAAUUAUCUACUCCAUCCGACUAGUUCCGGGUUCGAGUCCCGGGCAACCCAUAUAGAAAAGACCCAUCAAAGUUUUUAAGUUUUACUCACUUCAUUUACAAAUACAAAAUUAUUGGUUUGGUUAAUUUAUUUAUAUGGAUAGCCAAUCUUUGGGCUGACUUGGUUGACAUUGGUAUAUAGUCUAUGUUAUACUGUUAAAUAACAAGCCUUCUAUUAUCUAUAUUCUAGUUAAUACGUGUGCUUGGGAGUCCUUGCAAUUUGAAUAAACCAAGAUCUUACCAUGACUGCAAUUUUAGAAAGACGCGAAAGUACAAGCCUGUGGGGUCGCUUCUGCAACUGGAUAACUAGCACUGAAAAUCGUCUUUACAUCGGAUGGUUCGGUGUUUUGAUGAUCCCUACCUUAUUGACCGCAACUUCUGUAUUUAUUAUCGCCUUCAUCGCUGCCCCUCCAGUAGAUAUUGAUGGUAUUCGCGAGCCUGUUUCUAGUUCUUUACUUUAUGGAAACAAUAUUAUCUCUGGUGCUAUUAUUCCUACUUCUGCGGCGAUCGGAUUGCACUUUUACCCAAUUUGGGAAGCUGCAUCUGUUGAUGAGUGGUUAUACAAUGGUGGUCCUUAUGAGAUAAUUGUUCUACACUUCUUACUUGGUGUAGCUUGUUAUAUGGGUCGUGAGUGGGAACUUAGUUUCCGUCUGGGUAUGCGUCCUUGGAUUGCUGUUGCAUAUUCAGCUCCUGUUGCAGCUGCUACUGCUGUUUUCUUGAUUUACCCUAUUGGUCAAGGAAGCUUUUCUGAUGGUAUGCCUUUAGGAAUCUCUGGUACUUUCAACUUUAUGAUUGUAUUCCAGGCAGAGCACAACAUCCUUAUGCAUCCAUUCCACAUGUUAGGUGUAGCUGGUGUAUUCGGCGGUUCCCUAUUCAGUGUUAUGCAUGGUUCCUUGGUAACCUCUAGUUUGAUCAGGGAAACUACUGAAAAUGAAUCUGCUAAUGAGGGUUACAAAUUUGGUCAAGAGGAAGAGACUUAUAAUAUUGUGGCUGCUCAUGGUUAUUUUGGCCGAUUAAUCUUCCAAUAUGCUUGUUUCAACAACUCUCGUUCUUUACACUUCUUCUUGGCUGCUUGGCCUGUAGUAGGAAUCUGGUUCACUGCUUUAGGUAUUAGUACUAUGGCUUUCAACCUAAAUGGUUUCAAUUUCAACCAAUCUGUAGUUGAUAGUCAAGGUCGCGUUAUUAAUACUUGGGCUGAUAUCAUCAACCGUGCUACCUUGGUAUGGAAGUAAUGCACAAACGUAAUGCUCACAACUUCCCUCUAGACUUAGCUGCUGUUGAAGUUCCAGCUAUUAAUGGAUAAGGUUUUUCUGCUAACAUAUAAGAAUUUUUGAAGAAAGAAAAGACAAAAAUACCCAAUAUCUUGUUCUAGCAAGAUAUUGGGUAUUUUGAAUCUUUUUUUUCUUCUUAAUCUUUCUAUUCAGAAUUCAGUUAACGACGAGAUUUAGUAUCCUUUCUUGCAUUUUCAUAACUCGUAAAAUGCCGAGUAGGCACGAAUUCUCCCAAUUUGCGACCUACCAUAGGAUUUGUUAUGUAAAUAGGUAUAUGUUCCUUUCCAUUAUGAAUCGCAAUUGUAUGGCCAACCAUUGUGGGUAGAAUGCUAGAUGCCCGGGACCACGUUACUAUUGUUUCUUUCUCCUCCUUCAUAUUGACCUUUUCUAUCUUUGCCAAUAAAUGAUGAGCUACAAAAGGAUUAGUUUUUUUUCGUGUCACAGCUGAUUACUCCUUUUUUCCUUUUUAAAGAGUGGCAUUCUAUGUCCAAUAUCUCGAUCGAAGUACGGAGGUCAGAAUAAAUAGAAUAAUGAUCAACGGAAAAAAGAAAAAAAAAUCCUUUAGCUGGAUAAGGGGCGGAUGUAGCCAAGUGGAUCAAGGCAGUGGAUUGUGAAUCCACCAUGCGCGGGUUCAAUUCCCGUCGUUCGCCCAUCGCAUUAUUGCAAAUUCCAAAAAUGCAAUUUUCCAUAUUCCUAGUUACGUAUUUACUUACGGCGACGAAGAAUAAAACUAUCGCUAUAUUUUUUCCUUUUCCUAGUUCUUCUUCCAAGCGCAGGAUAACCCCAAGGGGUUGUGGGUUUUUUUCUACCAAUGGGAGCUUUCCCUUCACCGCCCCCAUGGGGGUGGUCCACAGGGUUCAUAACUACCCCUCUUACUACGGGGCGUUUACCUAGCCAACACUUAGAUCCGGCUCUACCCAAACUUUCUUGGUUCACCCCAACAUUACCCACUUGUCCGACUGUUGCUAAGCAAUUUUGGGAUACUAAACGAACCUCCCCAGAUGGUAAUCUUAAAGUGGCCGACUUACCCUCUUUUGCAAUGAGUUUCGCUACAGCACCUGCUGUUCUAGCUAAUUGCCCACCCCUUCCACGUGUGAUUUCUAUGUUAUGCAUGGCCGUGCCUAAGGGCAUAUCGGUUGAAGUAGAUUCUUCUUUUCUCUCAAAAAACCCCUUCCCAAACUGUACAAGCUUCUUCCAAAGCAUACGGCUUUCUAGAUGUAUAUGACCAUCUCUAGACAGAUGGAUCUUAUAUGAAUCAUAUGAUGAAGUACCACAUGAGUGGAUAUAUAUGGAAAGGAAUCCCCAUUUAAAAAAUUCUCCUCCUUAGGCUUCCUCCUCCAUGGCCUCUCCCUAAAUGAGGAUAGGUUCUCCCCUCUGGUCCUUGGCCGCUAUGGCUCGCAGAGAGGCUCUCGCCUCUCCAAAAAUGGAUCUCUCUCCCCCUUUGUGUGUGUGUGUGUGUGUGUGUGCGUGCGUGUUCCUCUCUUGUUUUCUCUAUCGUUUUUUCUCCAGAUUGGUUUCUCAUUGAUACAUAUAGGUUCGGCGGCGAGGAAGAGAGUCUCCCAUAAUUUCUGAUGGUUUAUCUAUUUAUAAGAUUUUAUUGACAUUGGAAUAAUGCAAAGAGGAGUUAUGAGGGCCCACAAGCCAUGACAGACCUUUUACCCCCCUCCCCUGGGCGUGCCUUGUUGGCUUGUGGCCAACAGCCCCCCUCCGGUGGUUCUUCACUCAAAUGUUGCUCAUAUGCUCCAGCAAAAAUUACCAAAAAGUUUCGGGCGGUUCCGAGAACUUUAAUUUCGUGCACAAAAAAACGACACCACGACAAUUCUGUUGAAAACAUCAUCACUCCGGGUUAGAUCUAAUUAAAUCACAAAAAGUGCAUCGAAGCCAUAUAAAAGUAUUGUAAACAUAGAUGAAUAUGACAUGAAUACUUCAUAAAUUAUCGGUUUGUUGGAGAAGUAUCAGCAUCCCCAAGCUUAAUUUAGGCUCCCUCAAGUAGGCAAACGAUAAAAUAAAUAAUUGGUAUCAUCCGCAAUUCCUGAGCCGGCACAUGCAUCUGACGCCCAAACUUUUGGCAGCCAUGACAUCGGCGAACGAUCUCCUCCGCGUGUGCGUGAGCCGUCAACCAAUAAAACCCAUGCCUGAAGGCUUUAGAAGCCAAGGAUCGGGAUCCAGCAUGAUGACCACAGUCGCCCGCAUGAAUCUCAUUGAGGAUCAUACGACCUUCCUCAGAAGAGACGCAUCUUUGAAAUACUCCUCAGGUGCUUCGCUUAUGUAGCCCGCCAUUAUGAAUGACCAUAGAUUUGCACCGACAGACAAUUUGGCGAGCCAGCAGCUCGUCAGCAGGUAACUCGCCUCUGGUGAGAUACGCCAUGUAGGGAAUCGCCCAAACUAGAGUAGCGUGAAGAGCCGCCACGAGUUGAGAUUCGGGGUCUGGUACCGCUAGGUCUUCUUCCGUAGGCAGUUUUACUGACGGGUUAUAUAAUAUAUCCAAAAAGACAUUGGGGGGAACCGUCUUACGCUGCGAACCAAGGCGGGAAAGAGGGUCCGCUGCCUCGUUAAGCCGUCGAUCGAUGUGAUCCACUUGAUAGCCACUGAAGUGACCCGCCACGUCCGACACAGCCCGUCUGUAAGCCGCCAUCAAAGGUUCUCGUUAAUCCCAAGUGCAAGAAACCUGCUGCGCCACUAGAUCGGAAUCACCCAAGCAUCUCACUCUCGUGAGGUUCAUCUCCUUGGCGAGUCACAAACCAUGAAGCAGAGCUUCGUAUUCUGUUGCAUUGUUAGUACAUGGAAACAUGAGUCGGAGGAUACAGAAAAACUUGUCACCGUGAGGCGAAGUUAUCACCACGCCAGCCCCCGAGCCUUCCAACUGCCUGGAUUCGUCAAUGUAGAUGGUCCAAUAUGUAAGAUCUGGUCUUUCCUUAGGGAUUUGUAACUCGGUCCAAUCAUUGAUGAAGUCCACGAGCACUUGAGACUUGAUAGCCGUCCGAGGUGUAUACCGAAUCUGAUGAGGACCCAGCUCGAUGGCCCAUUUAGCAAUCCGUCGAGUGGCCUCUCGGUUAUGUAUGAUAUCGCCGAGGGGAGCGGAGCUGACAACCGUGACCGGGUGUUCAUGAAAGUAAUGCUUCAACUUUCGACUCGCCAUGAAUACCCCAAAAACCAAAUUUUGCCAAUGCGGGUAACGUUGCUUGGAGUGGGUAAGGACCUCACUGAUAAAAUACACUGGCCUUUGGAUGGGGUAUUCCUUCCCUUCAUCAUUUUGCUCGACAACUAUUGCCAUGCUGACUGCUCUGGAAUUGGCCGCAAUGUACAGGAGCAUGGGCUCUUUGUCUGCCGGAGCCGCUAGCACCGACGGGUUAGCUAAUUGUUGCUUCAAGGCUUCGAAAGCAUCAUUGGCCUCAUCUGUCCAUACGAAAUGAUCGGUCUUCUUGAGCAGCUGAUAGAGAGGGAUGGCCUUCUCCCCAAGGCGACUUAUGAAACGGCUCAAAGCCGCGAUUCGACCCGCCAUGCGUUGUACUUGGUUAACGUUGGCUGGUUUCCCAAGCGAAGUAAUCGCUGCAAUCUUCUCUGGGUUUUCCUCGAUUCCUCGUUCUGACACCAAGAAACCCAAUAGCUUCCCCGCGGGGACACCAAAUACGCAUUUGGUGGGGUUAAGCCUCAUUUGGUAAACACGCAGAUUGUCGAAUGUUUCUUUGAGAUCCUCCAACAGCGUCUCCUUGCGGUCAGAUCUAACCACAAUGUCGUCCAUGUAAGCGUGGACGUUACGGCCUAUCUGGUUGUGUAAGCAGUUUUGGAUGCAGCGCUGGUAAGUCGCCCCCGCGCUCUUAAGCCUAAACGACAUGGACACAUAACAGAAAGCUCCGAAAGGGGUUAUGAAGGAUGUCUUUUCCUGAUCCACCACCGCCAUUUUUAUCUGGUGGUAUCCCGAGUAAGCGUCCAAGAAACACACACGUUCGCAACCCGCCGUCGAGUCAAUAAUUUGAUCAAUGCGAGGAAGGGCAAACGGAUCCUUCGGGUAGGCUGUGUUAAGGUCCGUAUAGUCGAUGCACAUGCGUAAAGAGCCGUUCUGCUUGAGUACCAAGACCGGGUUAGCCAGCCACUCCGGGUGAAAAACCUCAAUGAUGAACCCGGCGGCAAGGAGCCGGGCCACUUCUUCUCCAAUCGCCUUAUGGCGCUCUUCGUUAAACCGACGGAGGUACUGCCGUACCGGCUUAACCUUGGGGUCAGUAUUGAGAUGGUGCUCAGCGAAUUCUCUCGGCACACCCGGCAUGUUAGAAGGUUUCCAUGCAAAGAUGUCCCGAUUCUCACGGAUCAAUUCGAUGAGCGCGCUUUCCUAUUUGGGGUCAAGACCCGCCCCAAUAGUGAACUGCUUGGUGGAGUCGCCCGACGUAAAAUCAAUGACCUUGGUGUGGUCUGCUGGUCUGAACUUGAUGGGCGGCUCAGAAUCAAUAGUCGGCUUUUUGAGCGGCGUCAUGUUUGCCGGGUCGACACGGGAUUGGUGAAAUUUAAGCUCCUCGGCCGCGCAAGCUGACUCGGCAUAGGCGGCAUCUCCUUCCUCGCAUUCUUGGACAAUUUUCCUGUCGCCAUGGACGGUGAUGGGACCUUUAGGUCCAGGCAUCUUGAGCUUGAGAUAAACAUAGCACGGGCGGGCCAUGAACUUGGCGUAAGCCGGUCGUCCAAACAGCGCAUGGCAGGGGCUCUUCAUCUUGACAACCUCGAACAAUAGAGACUCGCUCCUGUAGUUUGAUUCCGUGCCAAAAGACACAUUAAGUUUGAUCCGCCCUAUGGGGUAUGCCGACUUACCAGGCACAAUACCGUGGCAAACCGUGGACGAUGGCAUCAGGUCCUUCUCGAGGAGGUUCAUCCGCCGGAAAGUGUCGAAGUAUAAAAUGUUGAUGAUGCUGCCUCCGUCCAUAAGGACUUUGGAAAGGGUGUAUCCCCCGACUUGGGGAGCCACGACCAGGGCUAAGUCGCCAGGGUUGUCGAAUCGGGGUGGAUGGUCUUCCCGGCUCCAUGUUAUGGGUUGCUCUGACCAGUGAAGAUAUCGAGGAAGCGCCGGCUCAGCAACGAAAGUUCUGUGCUUUACCUUACGGCCCCGUUUACACGUGUUAGUGGUGAACACAUGGUACUUCCCGCUGUUCAAUUGCUUGGGGUUGUUUUGGAACCCGCCCCAGUCCUCUUGUCGUUGGGGUCUACUUGCGGGGGAGGUUGUGGGAAUAUUCCUGGUGGGUGAUAUUGCUGGUUAUGAACUUGGUAUUGACCGGCAUUGUGCUGCGACCUGAUACGUCUCCGUCGUAUCUAUAAUUUUUGAUUGUUUCAUGCCAAUNNNNNNNNNNUAUACUUUUGGCAACUUUUUAUACUAUUUUUGGUACUAACAUAUUGAUCCAGUGCCCAGUGCCAGUUCCUGUUUGUUGCAUGUUUUUUGUUUCGCGGAAUAUCCAUACCAAACGAAUUCCAAAUGUAAUAAAAACUUACGGGGAUUUUUUUUGGAAUAUUUAUGAUUUUUGGGAAGAAGAAUCAACGCGAGGCGAUGCAUGGAGUGCCCACAAGCCCUGUGCCACGGCCAGGGGGUGGGCCCUCGGCAGGCAGGCUUGUGGACACUCCUUAAGGCGGUUGGAGCCCUUCUUUCGCCGCAAGAAAGAUAAUAUCCGGGAGAAAGUUGUGUUAAAAUUUCAGCCCAAUCGGAGUUACGGAUCUCCGGAAAUUUAAGAAACGGUGAAACGCAGAAUCUGGAGCGCAGAAACAGAAGGACACAGAGAGAGAGAUCCAAUCUCGGAGGGGCUCUCGCCCCUCCGCCGCCAUGGAGACCAUGGACCAGAGGGGAAACCAUUCUACCAUCUAGGGAGGCGGUCAAGGAAGAAGAAGAAGGAGGGGGCUCUCUCCCCCUUUCUCCCGGCGGUGCCGGAACACCGUGCGGGACAUCAUCGUGUGACGACGAUCUACACCAACACCUCCGUCAUCUUCACCAACAUCUCCAUCAUCUUACCCCAUCUAUAUUCAGCGGUUCAAUCUCCCGCAACCCGCUGUACUCUCUACUUGAACAUGGUGCUUUAUGCUACAUAUUAUUAUCCAAUGAUGUGUUGCUAUCCUAUGAUGUCUGAGUAGAUUAUCGUUGUCCUAUCGGUGAUUGAUGAAUCGCUAUGAUUGGUUUAAUUUGCUUGUAGUUAUGUUGCUGUCCUUUGGUGCCCAUCAUAUGAUCGCGCGUGUGGAUCACACCAUAGGGUUAGUUGUAUGUUGAUAGGACUUUGUAUUGGCAGGCUAGAGUGACAGAAGCUUCAAACCUAGCAUAGAAAUUGAUGCAUAUGGGAUUGAAGGGGGACCAAUAUAUCUUAUUGCUAUGGUUGGGUUUUACCUUAAUGAACGUUAGUAGUUGCGGACGCUUGCUAAUAGUUCCAAUCAUAAGUGCAUAGAAUUCCAAGUAAGAGAUGACAUGCUAGCUGAGGCCUCUCCCACAUGAUACUUGCUAUUGAUCUAGUAACGUAGUCAAUUGCUUAGGGACAAUUCCGCAACUCCUACCACCACUUUUCCACACUCGUUAGACACUCGUAGUUGUUUCUUUAUCUAACCAGCCCCUAGUUUUAUUUACGUCUUCUUUACUUUCUUGCAAGCCUAUUCUAUCACUCCUACAAAGUACUUCUAGUUUCAUACUUGUUCUAGGUAAAGCGAACGUAAAGUGUGCGUAGAGUUGUAUCGGUGGUCGAUAGAACUUGAGGGAAUAUUUAUCCUACCUUUAGCUCCUCGUUGGGUUCGGCACUCUUUCUUAUCGAGAAAGGCUACAAUUGAUCCCCUAUACUUGUGGGUUAUCCAGACCUUUUUCUGGCGCCGUUGCCGAGGAAGCAAUAGUGUGGGGUGAAUAUCCUCGUGUGCGCUUGUUUGCUUUAUCACUAAGUAGAUUUAUUUGUUUUUCUAAGUUGUUCUCUAUCUUUAGUUAUGGAUAUGGAACACGAAAUACCAAAAAAAUUAGGUGUACUUGCUACUCAUGGAGAUGGGGAACCUCCUAAAACCCUCGAGGCUCGUUAUGUGGAAAAUAUUAUGCACUUCUUUAAUAAUCCUAUGAAAGCUCCAUUCAAUUAUAUAAUGGGAUACACGUUGGAUCAACGUGAAUACUUCAGGGAUUAGCGCUUGACUCAAAAAGGGAAACUUUUAUGGGAUCAAAUCCAUUUGUUGAAAUGGUAUGCUUGGGAACUAUGCAAGAGAUAUGGUGUUACUUGUUGCUCUAGGAUGAAGGCUCCACACCUUCCCUUUUCUUGUGAAUUUAAUGAUCAUAGAACCUUGGCUUCUUAUGCUAAUGGUAUAUAUGAUUACUAUGAUGUGGAUCAAAUAGAAGAGUUUGUUGCUUUUAUGGGUGGUUAUGAAAUUGAGGCUCUGUUUAAAAGGUGUGAUGAUAAUGAUGAUGCUCCUUACUGAUCUGAAAAUUUGGCAAUGCUUCGUUAUUGUUAUACUAAUUAUGAAUAUAAUGCCCAUAUUGAACGAUUUAAGGAGAAAUCCUAUGCUGCCCAAGAAGAGCCUAUUAUUUUGCAGGAAACUAUGGAAGAAGAAAAUGUUGAAAUUGUGAGCUCAUUAGAUGAAAAAGAUGAAGAGGAGAGCGAAGAACAAAAGGAGGAAGAGCGGACUAGCUACCCGUGUCCACCUUCUAAUGAGAGUAACUCUUCUACUCAUACAUUAUUUAAUUUCCCUUCGUUCUUACCGAAGGAUGAAUGCUAUGAUCCCUUGGAUUCGUUUGAAAUAUCCCUUUUUCAUGAACUUGAUGCUUGCUAUGCUUGUGGCCAUGAUUCCAAUAUGAAUGAUGCUUAUGAAAUGAGCUAGCUAUAGUUCCUUAUGUUACACAUGAUGAUUUUGAUGAAUAUAAUAUGCAUGUACUUGCUGCUCCUACUUGCAAUUAUAAUGAGAGAGGAACUACAUCUCCACCUCUCUAUGUUUCCAAUACGAUAAAAUUACAAGAAACUGCUUAUGCUAUGUAUUAGCCUUUACUUGAUGUGCAUGAAUUGUUCUUUUAUGACAUGCCAAUGCAUAGGAAGAGACUUAGACUUUGUCAUUGCAUGAUAUAUGUUACCUUGUGUUCGCUACUAAAUUUCAAAUCAUUGCUAAUUAAAAUUGGCUUUGAUAUACCUUGGGAUCCGGGUGGAUCCAUAACUUUAGCACUUUAUGCCUAGCUUAAUGGCUUUAAAGAAAGCACUGCCUGGGAGACAACCCGGAACUUUUAGAGAGUAAUUUAUUUCUGUUCAGUUCUUUUAUUUAGUUUAAAAACAAAAAAAAUAUAGAGGGAAACUUAAAACUUUUUCAAAAAGAGAAGCGAUUGAAAGGUGAUGCAUUGCGGAAGUGAGGGUCGACCUUAAACACUUGUGUUCAUGAUCAUGGAAACAAUGUAGAAUUUUUCAUGGAAGUUUCUCACAAAAAUAAUUAUCCCCUUGUAAAAUUCCUUUAUGUUUUUAAAAAUAAUGUGCCAAGUAAAGCCUUUACGAUCAGUUUGGGUGAUAGUUGUUUGAUCACGCUGAGAAAAGACAGAAACUUUCUGCUCACGAAAUUAAUUUUCAUUUUUAUUCUGGAAGAGCUUUUGAGUUGAUUCUUUUUUAUGCUGAUUCAUAUGCAAAUUUUCCAGACUUUCAUAAUUUUUCAGAUGUUUUGAGAUAACAUAGGUAUACGGAAUAUACCGAUUGCUACAGACUGUUCUGUUUUGACAAAUUCUGUUUUCUAUGCAUUGUUCUCUUAUUUUGAUGAAUCUAUGGGUAGUAUCGGGGGGUAUGAACCAUGGUGAAGUUGGAUUACAGUAGAUAUAAUGCUUAUAUGAAUUUAGAAUGAGUUCACAACAGUACUUGAAGUGGUGAUUUAUUUUAUUAUACUAACGGAUCUCAUGAAGUUUUGUUGAGUUUUGUGUGAUUGAAGUUUUCAAGUUUUGGAUGAGAGCACGAUGGAUGAAGGAAUAAGGAGAGGCAAGAGCCUAAGAUUGGGGAUGCUCGAGGCACUCCAAGGUAAUAUUCAAGGAAGACUCAAGCGUCUAAGCUUGGGAUGCCCCGGAAGGCAUCCCCUCUUUCGUCUACAAUCUAUCGAUAAUUUUACUCGGAGCUAUAUUUUAAUUCGUCACAUGAUAUGUGCAAAUGCUUGGAGCGUCUUUUGUGUUUAUUUUUCCUUUUAAUUUUAUGCACCAUGCUGGUAUGAGAUAGUCCUUGGUUGGCUUUAUAGAAUGCUUCUUGUUCUUCACUUAUAUCUUUUGAAGUUUAGAUUGCCUGUUUCCCUACACAUAGAAAACCGCCAUUUGUAGAAUGCUCUUUUGCUUCACUUAUAUUUGUUAGAGCAGGGCAUAUCUUUUGUAGAAAAAAUUAAACUCUCAUGCUUCACUUAUACCUAUUUAGGGAGUUAACAUGAGUUGGUCAUUCACAUGGUUAGUCAUAAAAUCGUACAUAAAACUUGUAGAUCACUAAAUAUGAUAUGUUUGAUUCCUUGCAACAGUUUUGCGACAUGAAUAUGUGAUAUUAGAGUCAUGCUAGUAAGUAAUUGUGUUUUUUUAGAAAAUACUUGUGUUAAGGUUUGUGAUUCCCGUAGCAUGCACGUAUGGUGAACCGUUAUGUGAUGAAGUCGGAGCAUGAUUUAUUUACUGAUUGUCAUCCUUUGUGUGGAGGUCGGGAUCGCGCGAUGGUUAACUCCUACCAACCUUUCCCCUAGGAGCAUGCGUGUAGUACCUUGUUUCGAUGACUAAUAGACUUUUGCAAUAAGUAUGUGAGUUCUUUAUGACUAAUGUUGUGUCCAUGGAUUAUACGCACUCUCACCCUUCCACCAUUGCUAGCUUCUCUAGUACCGCACAACUUUCAUCGGUGCAUUACACCCACCAUAUAGCCUCUCUCAAAACAGCCACCAUACCUACCUAUUAUGGCAUUUUCAUAGCCAUUCCGAGAUAUAUUGCCAUGCACCUACCACCAUUCCGUCUCAUGACAUGUGCCACCACUUCCAUAUUGCCAUUGCAUGAUCGUAAGAUAGCUAGCAUGAUGUUUCCAUGGCUUGUCCGUUUUUUGAUGACAUUGCUAUGCUAGAUCAUUGUCACGGUACACUACCGAAGGCAUUUCAUAUAGAGUCAUCAUUGCUCUAAGUAUUGAGUUGUAAGUGUGAUGAUCAUUAUUAAUAGAGCAUUGUCCCAUGUGAGGAAAUAAAAGAGGCCAGCGAAGCCCAUUUAUAAAAAAGAGGCCAAAGAUGCCCACCAAAAAAAAGAGGCCAAAGAGCCCACAAAAAAAUGGGAGAAAAGAGAGAAGGGACAAUUGCUACUAUCCUCUUUCCACACUUGUGCUUCAAAUAGCACUAUGAUCUUCAUGACAGAGAGUCUCCUAUGUUGUCACUUCCAUAUACUAGUGGGAAAUUUUCAUAAUAUAACUUGGCUUGUAUAUUCCAAUGACGGGGCUUCCUCAAAAUUGCCCUAGGUCUUCGUGAGCAAGCAAGUUGGGUGCACACCCACUAGUUUCUUUUGUGAGCUUUCAUACACUUAUAAGCUCUAGUGCAUCCGUUGCAUGAUAAUCCCUACUCACUCACAUUGAUAUCUAUUGAUGGGCAUCUCCAUAGCCCGUUGAUACACCUAGUUGAUGUGAGACUAUCUCCUCCUUUUUGUCUUCUCCACAACCACCAUAUUCUAUUCCACCUAUAGUGCUAUGUCCAUGGCUCACGCUCAUGUAUUGCGUGAAAGUAGAAAAAGUUUGAGAACACUAAAGUAUGAAACAAUUGCUUGGCUAAAAUCGGGGUUGUGCAUGAUUUAAAUACGUUGUGUGGGGAAGAUGGAGCAUAGCCAGACUAUAUGAUUUUGUAGGGAUAACUUUCUUUGGCCAUGAUAUUUUGAGAAGACAUGAUUGCUUUGUUAGUAUGCUUGAAAUAUUAUUGUCUUUAUGUCAAAUGAUAGACUAUUGCUUCGAAUCACUCGUGUUUUAGUAUUCAUGCCAUGAUUAGAUUAUAUGAUCAAGAUUAUGCUAGGUAGCAUUCCACAUAAAAAAUUAUAUUUUUUAUCAUUUACUUACUAGAGGACGAGCAGGAAUUAAGCUUGGGGAUGCUGAUACGUCUCCGUCGUAUCUAUAAUUUUUGAUUGUUUCAUGCCAAUAUUCUACAACUUUCACAUACUUUUGGAAACUUUUUAUACUAUUUUUGGGACUAACAUAUUGAUCUAGUGCCCAGUGCCAGUUCCUGUUUGUUGCAUGUUUUUUGUUUCGCAGAAUAUCCAUACCAAACGAAGUCCAAUUUUUUUGUUUCGCAUAAUAAAAACUUACAGGGAUUUUUUUUGGAAUAUUUAUGAUUUUUGGGAAGAAGAAUCAACGCGAGGCAAUGCACGGAGUGCCCACAAGCCCUGUCGCCGCGACCAGGGGGUGGGCCCGCGGCAGGCAGGCUUGUGGACACUUCUUAAGGCGGUUGGAUCCCUUCUUUCGCCGCAAGAAAGAUAAUAUCCAGAAGAAAAUCGUGUUAAAAUUUCAACCCAAUCGAAGUUACGGAUCUCCGGGAAUUUAAGAAAUGGUGAAACCCAGAUUCUGGGAGCGCAGAGACAGAAGGACACAGAGAGAUCGAUCCAAUCUCGGAGGGGCUCUCGCCCCUCCGCCGCCAUGGAGACCAUGGACCAGAGGGGAAACCCUUCUCCUAUCUAGGGAGGAGGUCAAGGAAUAAGAAGAAGAAGGGGGCUCUCUCCGCCUCUCUCCCGGCGGCGCCGGAACGCCGCCCGCAACAUCAUCGUGUGACGGCGAUCUACACCAACACCUCCGUCAUCUUCACCAACAUCUCCAUUAUCUUCCCCCAUCUAUAUUCAGCGGUUCACUCUCCCGCAACCCGCAGUACCCUCUACUUGAACAUGGUGCUUUAUGCUACAUAUUAUUAUCCAAUGAUGNNNNNNNNNNAAGCCCCUAGUUUUAUUUACGUCUUCUUUACUUUCUUGCAACCCUAUCCUAUCACUCCUACCAAGUACUUCUAGUUUCAUACUUGUUCUAGAUAAAGCAAACGUAAAGUGUGCGUAGAGUUGUAUCGGUGGUCGAUAGAACUUGAGAGAAUAUUUGUCCUACCUUCAGCUCCUCAUUUGGUUCGACACUCUUACUUAUCGAGAAAGGCUACAAUUGAUCCACUAUACUUGUGGGUUAUCACGACCCGCCAUGUGGUCCUUGGUUGGGGAAGCCCCCGAACGUGACCUGUCGUGACCCGAACGGGCCGGGUUGCUCCUGCCGCUGGCCCUGCUCGCCGCCUUGACUCCUUUUGAGCGCCUCGGCCUGGAACUCUUACAUGACAUAGCAAUCCUCCCAUGAGUGAGUCGCCGGUCCAUCAGCUGUGGCGUGCUGCGGGCACGGGCCCUUAAGCAUUUCAUGGUAGUUACGCGGUUUCUUCCCAUUGAAGCCCCGUUUCUUCUAACACGGGUUUGUGUUGCCGGCAUUAGUAUUAGCUACAAAUUCCAUGGGACCCUCCUUCUGCCGCUUCUGGCCAUGCCCGCCAUGGUGGUUAUUUCCCCGGUUCUGGAACUGGGGUUGGCCCUUUUGUAACUCGCCCUUGCGGGUAGCUCUAGUUUUAUCAUCGCCCUCCCCGGGAUCCUUAGUGUCAUCCGACUCAGCAUAUCUGGUAAGGGCGUCCAUCAGCUCGCCCAUGUCCUGUACCUUUCGCUUAAGUCUCCCUAGUUUCAGCACCAGAUGCUCGUAGUGGCAAUUUUUCUCCAGGAUCAACACCGCCUCAGCCGCCGAAAUACCUUUCGACGAAUGAAUGACUUCCGCGACUCGCCGGGUCCAAUGAUGGGCCGACUCAUCUGGCCGCUGAACGCAGUGUUGUAAGUCGACGAUGGUCAUCGGGCGCUUGCAGGUCCCUCUGAAGUUCUUGAUGAAGCGCUCCUUCAGUUUUGCCCAAGUGUUGAUACAGUUGGGCGGCAGGUUUUUGAGCCUAGUGCGUGCCGUCCCUUCGAGCAUCAUGGUGAAAUAUUUCGUGCAUAUCGCCUCGCUAACGUCUAGCAUAUCCAUCGCGAGUUCAUAGUUCUCGAUCCAUGAUCCGGGCUCGAGAUCUGGCGAGUAGUUGGGAACCUUCCUGGGUCCUUUGAAGUCCUUCGGCAUGCGCUUGUUGCGCAAAGCUGGCGCGAGACAUGAUACUCCAAUGUGUUUGCCUCCACCAUCCAGGGCGCGGGAGACGGUGGUACGUAGGCCGGAUAGACCUGACCCGCCAUGGCCGUUGGCUCCAUGUGCUGCAAGGCUCGUGCUGCGUCCACAAUAUCCUGGGCUCGUGUGUCAGGCAUCCCAAGCAGAUCAUGUUGGGGGAGCCGUCGCGGCCCGCUGGUUACUACAGGGAAAUCCUCGUGGCGACUUCUGGUGUGACUCGCGUGAGGCAUAGAGUGGAUCCGAUCAAGGCUAUGGGAAUACUGCGCGUGCUGAACCAUGGCCGUUUUCAGCAUCUCAAUGGCGUUUCUAGCUUCUAUCUCGGCCGGGGUGUUUCCAUAAAUUGGAAGAGACUCCAGGUGGCGGGUUGCAGCGAGCACGUUGUCGACGGGGUUUGAGAAGUGACCUCGCGGUGUUUGGAAUCGAGUCGCAUGAGCGUCCAUGGGCUGAUCCGGCGACGGAUUGGGUGGUGGAAUCGUUCCUCCCCUCGAGGCGGCUUGCAGAGGCCGAUCAGGAUCGGCCCCAAGGGUGCGUGGAGUGUGAAAGAGGCGAGUUGGGUGUAAAUCUGCCGGGUCGCGCCCGCCGUGUCUUCUUUGGUGGACGGCAUCGGACGCGCGUUGCUGUAUCCCAAGCCGCCAGCCUUCGGUGUUCAGCUGAUCGGUCUCCGCGGCGAUCGCGGCUCGCUAUGUCUCGAUCCUGGUGGCUUCUGCUUCCAUGUCGCGAUGUGCUUUGGCCAUUGCCUCCCGCAGUUUGGUUAGCUCGGCAUUAACCGACUACUGAUUUUCAGAUGUAACCGGGGUUGCCAUAAGGCUCGUUAUCUCCGCUGCUAGUUCCGUCAUGGUUUGCGCUGGAGGCUUGGACGUUCCCCCGGUCUCGUUGUUGCCAGUAGGGUUCUGAGGAGGCUGCCUGACCCCGCCGUGUAGAUGGCGAUUUGCCGGCAAGAUCUCUCGAGGACUUCGGGAUCCAUCGCCAGCGAAAGCCCCCCGAGCUGCCCUUCCUCAAGGGGGUAGAUCGACGCCGUCUCGCCCAUGGAUGAAUCGCCAUCAGAAUUGAUGGGGGUGACGUCCUGGCCCGCCUCUUCAUCUUGUGAGUCGCCUCCCCCCGUAAAGCCGACGAAGACCUGGUGGCUCUUGUUCCACCGUGUGACGGGGAGGACGUACCUGGCCGGCUCGACGAUGUCGGUGGAGGUGUCCGGCUCAGGAACAAGCGUUCCGAUCAUGCCGAUGAAGAUGUUGAUCUUGCCGAAGGGGACUCGGUAGCCAUAUUCGACAGAAUCGGCCUUCGAUUCGCAUAGUGAGUUGUCGAUGUAAUACUUCCCGCGGUGACUCUUGGUCAUGAUGCCAACCUCAUAGCUUUCUAACCCUGAUAGGGCUCCCUUCGAGAACUCAACUCCACCGUGCGCUUGCCCCACGACGGGCGCCAACUGUCGUGGUUUUGUCACGACAGAUGUCCUCGUGAAAGGACUUAAAGAUGGAGCCAUCACACCUUGGUGGCGACUCAAAGGGGGUGAGCGAAAGCGAGACUCAGAUUUACCCAGGUUCGGCCCCUCGUGAGGAGGUAAAAGCCUACGUCCUGCUUUGUCUAGAUUAAUGGUGGUUUCGAUUACAAGGAGGGCGUAACUCGCCAAACCUAGCUCUUGAUUCUCUCUAACUCGCUUGGCCUUUCCCUGGGACUCGCCUUUAUAUACAGGUCGAGGCCCUAGGGUUUACAAAGUCAUGCCAUCCUACUCUUGGUAGCUUUCCUUAUCUCUAAGUCAUCGUGCUCCCCACGACGAGGAGCUUCCUUGAUGUUCAAUCAUCCGCAUGUUCUUCUUGAAUCGCCAUACAACUCAUGGGCCACUGGACGCAUGACCAAGGGUGAGUCGCCCCUUUGGUGACCCGGCCCAUUACAGGCGGGUUACCCACAGGUAACAUCCCCAACAAAUACCAACAUAUAAUCUCUCAUGCUAAAGUGAUAAUUCCUUCACAAAGUAAAGCAUGGAUCAAGAACCUUACCGAGAAGUAACAACCGAUAGCCUUUAGUCAUUGAAGCAAUUGCAAUUUAUCACAACAUCACAAAGAGUCAAAUAAGAGCUUGUAAAGCAAAUCCACAUACUCAAUCAUUCUUUCGUUCUCUACAAUUGCAUCACAAAGAGUCAAAUAAGAGCUUGUAAAGCAAAUGAGAUCAAAGUUUUAGCUGGACACAGAGAAAGAUAGGGGCUUACAGUUUUGCCUCCCAACUGCUUACAUCAAGGGUAAUGUCAACAAUAAUAAUUCAUGAAUACUUACCUCCAAGUUGACAUAUGAAUAUAGAUCUUUCCCUAGCAUAUGACGUUAGCCAAGAUAAAGGCGAAAUAAGGAAUUGGUGAAGAUCACCAUGACUCUUUCAGGAACAAAAAGUAAAGGUACAAGAUGGGCCCUUCGCAGAGGGAAUCAAAGGUUGUCAUGCGCUUUUGAGGUUUGGAUGCGUGUCCUCUUAGUGCGGAGGAACGUCACUUUAUAUUGCCUCAUGUGAUAAAGAACUUUAUUAUGCAGUCUGUCGCUUUUAUGUGUUCCUCAUCACAGGUUUGUACAAAGCUUAUUUUCCACACACUAAUUGACAUACAUAUUAGAGAGCAAUUUUUAUUGCUUGCAACGAUGACAACUUACUUGAAGGAUCUUAUUCAAUCCAUAGGUAGGUAUGGUGGACACUCAUGGCUAAACUGGUUUGAAGGUUUAUGGAUGCACAAGUAGUAUCUCUACUUGGUGCGGGAGUUUUGGCUAAUAUGAGGUGGAAGCAAUCGUCACAUGCUAAGGGAUCUCUAAUCAUAUAACAUUGUUCGGAGCCAAGCAAACACAAUCCAUUAUGUUGUCUUCCUUGUCCAACAUCUACAUCUAGGCAUGUAAUAGUUUAGUGAGUGUUCACAAUCAUAGAUGGUGUCAUAGAUGAUAUAUUUAUAUGUGAACCUCUCCUUCUUUAUCACUUCCUAUUAAUUGCAACAAUGACCAAGGUCUACGUUUGCCUACCCUCAACAAGUCUCAAUCUUCAUUCUUUUUAUAUGUGAAGCCAUCACUUCCCAUAAGAUCAUUACAUGAUAUGUCAUGCUUUUGUUCUAUUCUCACUCUUUUGAUCAUGGCAAGAGGCAAAGCCCUUCAACUAAGACACUCUUUAUUAUAUGGCUCACGAGCUCGAAUACAUCAGGGGUGACACAAAGCAAGACUCAAGACUAAAACACUAAGACUUUUAAUCUACUAGAGAAAGAGAAAACUUAAAAGGAAAACUAAAACAAAGGUAAAGGCAAAAGAUGUGAUGGUGAUACGAUACCGGGGCAACUCCCCCAAGCUUGGCACAAGCCAAGGGGAUUGCCCAUACCAAUGCUCAGUUGUCUUCCUUUGGUGGUGAUGGUGGUGGAGUUGUUGCAACAUGAGUUUGAUACUCCAUCUUCCAAGGCAUAGGUGCUCCAUCAUGGAAAGAUGAACGAGUCCCCGGAAUCCUCAAAUCUGCAGCCAACCGUAUUGAUUUAAAUCUAUACUCAUACUCACAGUUUUGGUUCUGCAGGUCAUAGAUCUGGGCAUAUAGUUGAUCAAUCCUGUCAUAGAGCCUAGAGAGAUGCUUCCCAAUGUCAAUGGCAUCAAUCCUGUGCUUGUUGGUGAACUCCGUGAUCAUCAUGUGGUUCGCGUCGAGUCCGUGCUCCACCAUCCCUUGGCACUUGAAGACUCGUUGCUCCAUUGCUUCGAGCCUCGUCUCCACGCUUCUGGUCUUCUUAGGCCCCUCAACAUCACAGAUGUGCAACAUCCCCUCACGCAUCUUGAUAGAUUGAGGGUGUUGCAGCACUCCCGUGAGGUAGGGAUUGAUGACCUUCUCGAAGAUCUUGUCCUUCGGAGCUUUUGGGGAAGUCAUAGCGAUCUAGAUCUGCAACAGAAACAGGCUCGAAACGAAAAACAGAGGAAAUCUACGUGAUGCAGGGGUCACACCAAAUGGGAGUAUAUAUAAUGAUUUUUUUUCAGACCAGAAGGAGUACCCCGCACGAAAACGGAAUCCGGGAGGCGCACGAGGUGGCCACAAGCCCUCACGGCGCGGCCAGGGGUGGGCCCGCGCCGUGCAGGCUUAUCGCCUACCCGCGCACUUUCCGGACUACUUCCAAUUUUUGUAUUUUUUCUAAUAUUCCAAAAUGGAGAAAAUUUCCUACUGGAAAAGUUUUGGACUCUGUUUUCUUACUGAAUCACAUACCUCUUCGUUUUCGGAGACUGAAACAGGCUGAUAAAUAUCCCUUAGGUAUUCCUCCGGAGUUAUGGUAUUGAUGAUAUUGCUUUCAACAUUUAUGGGAGUACCUGAGAUAUAAUGCUUGAUUCUCUGCCCAUUUACCACUCUUGGACAAUUACCUUCCGUGUUGUUGAUCUUGAUAGCACCGGAACGAUAUACUUCCUCAACAACAUAGGGACCUUCCCAUUUAGAGAGAAGCUUGCCUGCAAAGAAUCUUAAACGCAAGUUAUAUAGCAAGACAUAAUCACCUACAUUGAACUCACGCUUUUGUAUCCUCUUGUCAUGCCACCUCUUAGCCUUCUCUUUGAACAGCUUGGCAUUCUCAUAUGCCUGAGUUCUCCACUCAUCAAGCGAGCUAAUAUCAAAUAACCUCUUCUCACCGGCAAGUUUGAAAUCAAAGUUGAGCUCUUUGAUUGCCCAAUAAGCUUUAUCCUCUAGCUCAAGAGGUAAAUGACAUGCUUUACCGUACAACAUUUUGUACAGAGACAUGUCCAUGGGAUUCUUAUAGGCAGUUCUAUAAGCCCACAGUGCAUCAUCGAGCUUCUUAGACCAAUUCUUUCUAGACCUGUUGACAGUCUUUUGCAGAAUCAGUUUAAUCUCUCUAUUACUUAGCUCUACUUGACUACUGGACUCAGGGUGAUAGGGAGACGCAAUUCUAUGGUUGACAUCGUACUUAGCAAGCGUUUUACGGAAAGCACCAUGAAUGAAGUGUGAACCACCGUCGGUCAUUAGAUAUCUAGGGACUCCAAAUCUAGGGAAGAUAACUUCUUUCAGCAUCCUGAUAGAGGUGUUGUGAUCAGCACUACUAGUGGGGAUAGCUUCUACCCACUUAGUGACAUAAUCAACACCAACUAGGAUAUGAGUAUACCCAUUGGAUUUUGGAAAAGGUCCCAAAUAAUCAAAGCCCCAAACAUCAAAUGGUUCAAUGACAAGUGAAUAGUUCAUAGGCAUUUCCUGAGUUUGCUAAUAUUACCUAUUCUUUGACAUUCGUCACAAGACAAGACAAACUUACGGGCAUCCUUGAAGAGAGUGAGACAAUAGAAACCUAAUUGCAAUACCUUGUGUGCAGUUCUAUCUCCCGCAUGGUGUCCUCCGUAGGCCUCGGAGAGACACUUCUGUAGGAUCUGUCCCUAUUCAUGUUCAGGUACACAACGUCUAAUAACACCAUCUACUCCUUCCUUAUAAAGGUGAGGAUCACCCCAAAAGUAAUGUCUCAAGUGAAAGAAGAAUUUCUUCUUUUGCUGGUACGUGAAACUAGGUGGUAUGUAUUUGGCAACGAUAUAGUUUGCAUAAUCAGCAUACCACGGUGCACUACGUGAAGCAUUGAUGACAUUCAAUUGCUCAUCAGGAAAGCUAUCAUCAAUAGGUUGUGGGUCAUCAAUAACGUUCUCCAACCUAGGCAAGUUAUCUCCUACUGGGUUAUCAGCACCCUUUCUGUCGACAACGUGCAAAUCAAAUUCUUGUAGCAAGAGAACCCAUCUGAUAAGUCUAGGUUUAGCGUCUUUUUCUCGAUGAGGUACUUAAUAGCAGCAUGAUUAGUGUGAAUAGUGACUUUGGAAUCAACUAUGUAAGACCUAAACUUUUCACAUGCAAACACGACUGCUAAAAACUCCUUCUCCGUAGUAGCACAGUUUCUCUGGGCACUGUCUAGAGUUUUACUAGCGUUAUGAAUAACAUUCAGCUUCUUAUCGACUCUUUGCCCUAGAACAGCACCAACAGCAUAAUCGCUAGCAUCACACAUGAUCUCAAAAGGUAAGUUCCAAUCAGGUGGUUGAACAAUAGGUGCAGUUAUCAAAGCCCUCUUAAGUAUUUCGAAGGCUUCCUCACAAUCAUUGUCAAAGACAAAAGGAAUAUCCUUUUGCAAGAGAUUGGUAAGAGGCCUAGAAAUCUUAGAGAAGUCUUUAAUGAACCUUCUAUAGAAACCAGCAUGACCAAGGAAACUUAUUGUACCUUUGAUAUCUGUGGGGUAUGGCAUUUUCUCGAUUGCAUCAACCUUAGCCUUAUCGACUUCAAUACCUCUUUCAGAAAUUUUAUGUCCUAAGAUGAUGCCUUCAUUAACCAUAAAGUGGCACUUCUCCCAAUUCAAGACAAGAUUGGUGUCUUUACAUCUCUGCAAGACUCGAUCAAGGUUGCUGAGGCAAUCAUCAAAGGAAGACCCGUAGACGGAGAAGUCAUCCAUGAAAACCUCAACAAUCUUUUCACAAAAGUCAGAGAAUAUAGCCAUCAUACAUCUUUGAAAGGUGGCAGGUGCAUUACAUAAGCCAAAAGGCAUACGUCUGUAAGCAAAGGUACCGAAAGGGCAGGUGAAAGUGGUUUUCUCCUGAUCAUAUUGUGCAACUGGUAUUUGGGAGAAACCAGAAUAAUCGUCUAGAAAGCAGAAGUGUGUGUGUUUGGACAACCUUUCUAGCAUUUGGUCGAUAAAAGGCAAAGGGUAAUGAUCUUUCCUAGUGGCUUUAUUCAGUUUCCUAAAAUCGAUCACCAUCCUAUAGCCAGUAAUAAUCCUCUCUGGGAUCAAUUCAUCCUUAUCAUUAGGGACAACGGUAAUGCCUCCCUUCUUAGGAACGCAAUGCACCGGACUCACCCAAUCACUAUGAGCAACAAGAUAGAUGAUACCUGCUUCCAGUAGCUUUAGUAUUUCUUUUCUUACUACUUCUUUCAUCUUAGGAUUUAAUCUCCUUUGAUGAUCAGCAACUGGUUUGAAAUCAGGAUCAGUUUUAAUCUUGUGCUGGCAUAGGGUAGGACUAAUGCCCUUAAGAUCAUCAAGAGUAUAUCCAAUAGUAGCACGGUGCUUCCUCUGAGUUUUUAGUAACUUCUUUUCUUCAUGCUCUGAGAGGCUAGCACUAAUAAUAACAGGAUAUAUCUCCUUUUCAUCAAGGUAGGCAUACUUAAGAGUAUCAGGCAGCUGUUUUAGCUCGAACACAGGAUCACCCUUUGGUGGGGGUGGAUCCCCAAGUAGUUCAACAGGCAAGUUAUUCUUAAGGAUAGGAUAUUGUUCUAGGGCAACUCUAUCUAUCUCAUUCCUUUCAUCCUUAUGCAUAUCGUUUUCAUGCUCAAGCAAGUCUUGCUCUAAGGGAUCAGUAGGAGGCAAUAGAAGCUAAGUCAAUAGUUUCAUCCCUACUAGGCAACUCCUUCUCAUGAGGUUGUCUACCAAACUUAGAGAAAUUGAACUCAUGUGACACACCUUCAAAGCCAACAGUGACAGUUUGCUUCUCACAGUCAAUAUGAGCAUUGACGGUAUUGAGGAAAGGUCCGCCAAAUAUGAUGGGACAAAAGCUAUCUUGUGCGGUAGCAAGAACAAGGAAAUCAGCAGGAUACUUCGUUUUAUCACACAAGACUUCAACAUCCCUAACAAUUCCCACAGGGCAGAUAGUAUGUCUAUUGGCAAGCUGAAUAGUGACAUCAAUAGGCUCUAUCUCAACAGGUGCAAUCUCGUCUUUGAUUUCAUCAUAUAAGGAUUGAGGUAUUGCAUUAACACUAGCACCCAUGUCACAUAAGCCAUGAUAACAAUGAUCUCCUAUCUUAACAGAAACAACAGGCAUGCCAACAACAUGCCUAUGUUUGUCUCUAGCGUGAGGUUUAGCAAUUCUAGCAGCAUCUUCACAGAAGUGAAUAUUAUGUCCCUCAACAUCGUCGGACAGAAGAUCUUUGAUAAUAGAAAUGCUAGGUUCAACUCUAAUUUGCUCAGGGGGUGUAGGUGUUCUAAUAUAGCCUCUACGUAUCACAGUUGAAGCUUUAGAAUGAUCCUUUAUCCUAACAGGGAAAGGUGGUUUCUGAUAUGUCUCCAACGUAUAUAUAUAUUUUGAUGGUUUCAUGCUAUUAUCUUGUCAAACUUUGGAUGUUUUGCAUGCCUUUUAUUUGGGACUAACUUAUUAACUCAGUGCCAAGUGCGAGUUCCUGUUUUUUCCAUGUUUUUGAUCCUUUCAGAGGAGAUUUUGAAACGGAGUCCAAACAGAAGAAAAUCCCCGAAAAGAUUUUUUCUGGAACGGAAGAAGAUCGGGGAGCUUGGGAGCCAAGGCAGGGGAGCCCCAGGGGCCGCACAAGCCCCCACCCCGCGGGGGAGGCUGCGCCAUCCAGGCUUGUGGGCCCCCUGAGUGUCCCCUGACCUAGGGGUUGCGCCUAUAAAUUCCCUAAAAAUCCCCAAAAAAUCAGGAGAUCAUCGAAAGUACUUUUCCGCUGCCGCUAGCUUCUGUCUCCUUAAGAUCCCGUCUGGAGCACGUUCUGGUGCCCUGUCGGAGGGGGGCGGGAAUCGGACACGGAGGGAUUCUUCAUCAACACCAUGACCUCUCCGAUGAUGCGUGAGUAGUUCACCAUAGACCUACGGGACCAUAGUUAGUAACUAUAUGGCUUCUUCUCUCUCUUGGAUCUUCAAUACAAAGUUCUCCAUGAUCUUCAUGGAGAUCUAUCCGAUAUAAUCUUCUUUUGCGGUGUGUUUCUCGAGAUCCGAUGAAUUGUGGAUUUAUGAUCAGGUUAUCUAUGAAUCUUAUUUGAGUUUCUUCUUAUCUCUCUUAUGCAUGAUUUCAUAUCCUUGUAAUUCUCUUUGAGUUGUGGGUUUUGUUUGGCCAACUAGAUCUAUGAUUCUUGCAAUGGGAGAAUUGCUUGGUUUUGGGUUCAUACCAUGCGGUGACCUCACCCAGUGAUAGAAGGGGUAGCGAGGCACGCAUCGUGUUGUUGCCAUCAGGGGUAAAAAGAUGGGGUUUUCAUCAUUGGUUUGAGAUUAUCCCUCUACAUCAUGUCAUCUUGCUUAAAGCGUUACUCUGUUUGUCAUAAACUCAAUACACUAGAUGCAUGCUGGGUAGCGGCCGAUGUGUGGAGUAAUAGUAGUAGAUGCAGAAAGUAUCGGUCUACUUGUCUCGGACGUCAUGCCUAUAUGUAUGAUCAUUGCCUUAGAUAUCGUCAUGACUUUGCGCGGUUCUAUCAAUUGCUCGACAGUAAUUUGUUCACCCACCGUGAUACUUGCUAUUUUGAGAGAAGCCUCUAGUGAACACUAUGGCCCCCAGGGUCUACUCCACACCAUAUUUUCAGCCUUACACUUUUUACUUCGUUGCACUUUCCGCCUUCAGAUCUCACUUUGCAAACAAUCUUGAAGGGAUUGACAACCCCUUUGAAGCGUUGGGUGCAAGCUUGUUUGUGUUUGCGUGGGUACUCUGGACUUGACGAGACCCUCCUUUUGGAUCGAUACCUUGGUUCUCAAACUGAGGGAAAUACUUACUGCUCCUGUGCUGCAUCACCCUUUCCUCUUCAAGGGAAAAACCAACGCAAGCCCAGCCUCUGUCAACGUGUCAAUUUCUGGCGCUGUUGUUUGUGGGAUAGCAGUUUCUCAAUGUAAGCACUAGGAACAACAGGAUCAUUAUAGGCAAGGACUUUCUCUUCAACUGGAGUGGGUUGAACUACAUUGACUUCUAAAGGAGGAUGAUAUUUAAACCACUUCUCUUCGGGGAGAUCAAUAUGAGCAGCAAAUGAUGCACACAAUGAAGCUACUAUCUCAGAGUCAAGUCCAUACUUAGCGCUAAAAUCACUAAAGUUAUUUGUCUCAACAAAGGAUUUAACGCAAUCAAACGUGAAAUUCAUACUUGACUCCUUACCUUCUUCAAGCUCCCAAUCUUCAGAGUUGUGUUUAAUUCUCUCCAAUAAAUUCCAUUUGAAGUCAAUAUCUCUCUUCAUAAAAGAACCGGUACAAGAAGUGUCAAGCAUGGUGCGAUCAUCAUGAGAAAACCGAGCAUAGAAGUUCUAGAUGAUAAUUUCUCUCGAGAGCUCAUGAUUGAGGCAUAAAUAUAGCAUUGAUUUAAGCCUCCCCAAGCUUGAGCGAUGCUUUCUCUGUCACAAGGCCAAAAAUUGUAAAUAUAAUUCCAAUCACGAUGUACUAAAUGCAUAGGAUAAAACUUUUGAUGUAAUUCCAAUUUCAACCGAUUGUAGUCCCACGAUCCAGUACCAUCACAUAGCCUAUACCAUGUCAACGCCUUAUCCUUCAAAGAUAAAGGAAAGACCUUCUUCUUGACCUCAUCCUUGGGCAAACCUGCAAGCUUAAAUAAACCACAAACUUCAUCUACAUAGAUUAGAUGCAAGUCUGGAUGUGAUGUUACAUCUCCUGUAAAAGGAUUAGCGAGCGUUUCUCAAGCAUACCCGUAGGAAAUUCAAAGCAAAUAUUUUCAGUAGGUGCAGAAGGUUGAGGAGCAACUCUUUGUGCUUCCGUUCGAGGUGAAGAUACCCCGAACAAGCCCCUCAAAGGAUUAGUAUCCAUAGUGACAAGUGACAAUAAAUUUCAGCACACUAUAUGAAUGUUUCGUUACCAAGUUCCACUUACCAAAGGCGCUUCACUCCCCAGCAACGGCGCCAGAAAAGAGUCUUGAUGACCCACAAGUAUAGGGGAUCAAUCGUAGUCCUUUCGAUAAGUAAGAGUGUCGAACCCAACGAGGAGCAGAAGGAUCUGGCAAGUGGUUUUCAGCAAGGUAAAAUCUGCAUGCACUGAAAUUGUCGGUAACAAGUGAUUGUGUGGUGAGAUGAUUCGUAGCAAGCAACAAGUAACAAAAGUAGCAACGGUGCAGCAAAGUGGCNNNNNNNNNNNNNNNNNNNNNNNNNNNNNNNNNNNNNNNNNNNNNNNNNNNNNNNNNNNNNNNNNNNNNNNNNNNNNNNNNNNNNNNNNNNCCCUUUUGUAGCAAGGGACAAGCCUGGACAAAGUCUUAUAGGAGGAAAAACGCUCCCGAGGACACACGGGAAUUUUUGUCAUGCUAGUUUCAUCAUGUUCAUAUGAUUCGCGUUCGUUACUUUGAUCGUUUGAUAUGUGGGUGGACCGGUGCUUGGGUACUGCCCUUACUUGGACAAGCAUCCCACUUAUGAUUAACCCCUCUCGCAAGCAUCCGCAACUAUGAAAGAAGAAUUAAGACAAAGUCUAACCAUAGCCAUUAAACUAGUGGAUCCAAAUCAGCCCCUUACGAAGCAACGCAUAAACUAGGGUUUAAGCUUCUGUCACUCUAACAACCCAUCAUCUACUUACUACUUCCAAAUGCCUUCCUCUAGGCCCAAAUAAUGGUGAAGUGUUAUGUAGUCGACGUUCACAUAACACCACUAGAGGAAAAACAACAUACAACAUAUCAAAUUACCGAACGAAUACCAAAUUCACGUGACUACUAUUAGCAUGACUUAUCCCAUGUCCUCAGGAACAAAAGUAACUACUCACAAAGCAUAAUCAUAUUCAUGACCAGAGAGGUAAUGAGUAGCAUCAAGGAUCUGAACAUAAAAUCUUCCACCAAAUAAUCCAACUAGCAUCAAAUACAAAGAGUAAUCAACACUACUAGCAACCUUACAAGUACCAAUAGGAGUCGCGAGACGGAGAUUGGUUACAAGUGAUGAACUAGGGUUUGGAUAUAAGGUGGUGCUGAUGAAGAUGUUGAUGGUGACGAGUUCCCUCCGAUGAGAGGAGUGUUGGUGAUGACGAUGGCGACGAUUUCCCCCUCCGGGAGGGAAGUUUCCCCGGCAGGAUCAUCCUGCCGGAGCUCUAGAUUGGUUCUGCUCAAGUUCUGCCUCGUGGCGGCGGUGAAUCCACGAAAAAGCUCCUCCCCGAUUAUUUCCUGGACGAAACCCUUCAUAUAGCAAAAGAGGGGGGCAAGUGGGCCAGCAAGUUGCCCACAAGCCCUCAUGGCGCGACCUGGGGGGGGGGGGGGNNNNNNNNNNNNNNNNNNNNNNNNNNNNNNNNNNNNNNNNNNNNNNNNNNNNNNNNNNNNNNNNNNNNNNNNNNNNNNNNNNNNNNNNNNNNNNNNNNNNNNNNNNNNNNNNNNNNNNNNNNNNNNNNNNNNNNCGCCCCUGUGGCACUUUUUCGUCCCAGUAUUUUUUAUAAAUCCGGAAAAAAAUCCUCGUUGAUUUUUACGGCUUUUGGAGUUGCGCAGAAUAGGUAUCUCAACUUUGCUCCACUUUCAGGCUAGAAUUCCAGUUGCCAGCAUUCUCCCUCUUCAUGUAAAACCUUGCAAAAUAAGAGAGAAAAGGCAUAAGAAUUGUACCGUGAAGUGAAACAACAGCCAAAGAAGCGAUAAAUAUCAACAUGAAAACAUGAUGCAAAAUGGACGUAUCAAAGCACAAGAAUGAUCAUCAAACUACUCUUGAAAAGAUACAAGUGAAGUUCAUAGAGCAUUCUUCAACGAAUAUAGAGAGACCAAUAUCCAAGCUCAAAAUAUAUAAGUGAAGCACACGAAGCAUUCUAUAAAGCCACACUCACAAGAUUUAAGUGAAGCACAUGAAGAAUUCCAUAAAUCAACCAAGGAUUGUAUCAUACCAGCAUGGUGCAUAAAAUAAAAGGGAAUAGUAAACACAAAAUAUGCUCCAAGAAUAGCACAUGUGAAGGAGUGAAAACUUAGGACCAACAUUGGCUAAUCAAUAAUUGGUGACGAAGAGAGGUGGGAUGCGUAGCAUACCCAAGAUUAGAUUCUUGAAACUUCUUGUAAUAUUUGCUUGGGGUGCCUUUGGAAUCCCAAAUCUUGAGCUAUUGUACCCCGUUCAAUCUUCUCAUAUCCUGGUUUCACAUAAGUCUCAGAAACUUCACCCACACAAAACUUGAAAAGAACUUGUGAGAUAGGUUAGUACACAUAAGAAUAAAUCUACACUUCAUGUACUGCAAAAACAAGCUUCAUAAUAGUUUUCAAACAGUAGUUACUGUAUACUAUCAUUUCCACAAUUUAUAGCUACCAAUAUAAGCCAUUAAAACUCUAGGAUAAGUAGAUAGCAAAAGUAUGACAACAAUCUUUCCAAACGGAACAAUCUGUAGCAAUUCAUUUAAAUAGUGUACUUAUGUAUCACUAAAAAUUCUGAAAAUUUAGGAAAAGCUAAAGCAUAUGUUUGACGGUAUUUUAUAAAAAUGUCAGGAACUUUCCAUGUUUCAGUAAAAUCUCAUAAUUCAAAUACUACAACAAAUGUUUCUGUUUUUGUACAACACACCUCACUCAUGCAAUUCAAGCAUUCUAAAGGCAAUUCGUUGAAAAAAAAAUUGGGAAACAAGAUUAUAAGUAACAUCAAGAAAAUACUAACAAAAUAAAUGAUGCUCCAAGAAAAAAACAUAUUAGGUGAUGAAACAAAAUAUAGCUCCAAGUAAGAUAUACCGAUAGUGUUGAAGAUGAAAGAAGGGAUGCCUUCUGAGGGAUCCCCAAGCUUAGACGCUUGAGUCUUCCUUGGAUAUUACCUUGGGGGUGCCUUGGGCAUAUCCAGGCUUAGGUUUUUGACACUCCUUAUUCUUCUCAUAUCAGUAUCUCACCCAAGAUUUGAAAACUUCAAUCACACAAAACUUAAUAGAAACCUCAUGAGAUCCGCUAGUAUAAUAGGCAAAUCAUAAACUUUAGGUAAUGCUAAAAAAUGAUUCAUAUUUAAUUAUUGCAUAAGGUACUAUAUUCUAACUUCUCCAUGGCUUAUACCUCCCUCAUCCAAUCCAUAGCAUCAUGAAAACAAGCAAACUAUGCAAGCAAAAAACAGGAUCUGUCUAAAACAGAACAGUCUGUAAUGAUCAGCGCAAAUACCAAACUUCUGUAACUCAAACAAUUAUGAAAAAUUAGGAAGUCAUGGGAAACUUAUAUAUUAGUGUUAUGUACAAAAUUCAGAUCAAAAAUAUGUUCUGGUAAAAUCACAAAUAUUCUGCACCGGACGUCAAAGUUUCUGUUUUUGCACUGUAUCUAUUCUACUUAUCAUCCAAAUCAUCCUAAAGGCUUUACUUGGCACAUUAUUGAAAUAAGAUAAAAAAACCAUGAGCACAAAAAAACUGAAAGGAUAAGUGUUGUUUUAUCUCCCAACAAGCGCUUUUCCUUAAAGCCUUUUAGCUAGGCAUGAUAAUUUCAAUGAUGCUCACAUAAGAAUAGUGUAUGAAACAUGAAAAAGUGCAUCAUAAAUAUUAGGAAAAGCACAUUAUUUUUAUGAGAAACUUCCAUGAAAAAUUCUACAUCGUUUCCAUUAGCAUGGACACAAGUGUUCAAGGUCGCCCUCACUUCUCCAAUGCAUAGCUUUCCAAUCGCUUCUAUUAUAAAAGGAAAGUAAUUUUUUUGUGUUUUUAAUUUUUUAUUUGUUACCCACAACUAAAGAAAUAAAACAAUAAAAUAGAAACAAAAGGAAAACAAAAUCUACUUAGUGAUAGAAGCAAACAACCAUACACAAAAAUAUUAACCCCACGAUGUUGCUCCCUGACAACGGCGCCACAAAAGAGCUUGAUAACCCCCAAGUGCAAGGAAUCAUCAUAGCAAUUUCCAAAGAUGGAAAUUGUAAGUAUGGAGUGUUGAACCCACAAGGAGCUAAAGGUAAGAUCAAUAUUCUCUCAAGUCCUAUCUGCCACCGAUACGACUCUACAUACAACAAAUAUUUGCUUCUAUCUAGUAACGAGAAAUGAAACCUCGUUGUGGGUAUAUAGAGGAUAGCUUUGCAUGAUAUUGGAGAACUAAAAUAUGAAAAUUAGUUGUUGCACAAAAUAGAGUUAGAAUAUGUCACAAUAUAUUAUAAAUAGCAAGUGUGGAAUAAUGAUGGUAUGGUGUGCAAUCAUCCUAGGCAAUUGAUAACAAGAUCAAUAAUCAUUCCUGCAAUUUUAUAUGAGGGAGAGGCAUGAGCUAACAUACUUUCCGUACUUUGGUCAUAUGAACUUAUGAUUGGAUCUCUAGAAAGCAUUUGCAACUACUAGAAUCAUUAGGUAAACCCAACCAUAUCAUUGAACAUCAAGUCCCCUUUACUCCCAAACGCAAACAACUCCCUUACUCGGGUGUAAGGUUCUUUCACUCUAGCCACCCACUAUAAGAAAAUCAUGAAAAUAUUGCAAACCCUACAGCAAUAAUUCCCUCACGUGGGCGCGGCAUGAAGGGCACCAUAGGACAGCACCAAAAUAAAACAUACACUCAAAUCAAUCAAGAUCAUCAAUCAUCCCAAAGGACAACAUAAAUCUACUGAAACAUCAUAGGAUGGCACCACAUCAUUGAUUAAUAAUUGGUGGCAUGUUUAAGUAGGGGAUUAUAGCAAGGUGCAAGAGAGUGGACCGCCAUAGAUAGAUGCGGAAGGUGAUGGAGACAGUGAUGUUGAUGAAGACAAUCACCACUGCGAUGGUUCCCCCGGCGGCUCUCUGACGCCAUUGGAAGUGAGGGGGGAAAUCUCCCCCCUUACGCCUCCUCCUCCAUGGCCUCUCCCUAGAUGGGGAGAGGUUCUCCCCUCUGGUCCUUGGGCGCCAUGGCUCCUGGAGGGGUGAGAGCCCUCUGAGAUUGGAUUUCUCUCUUUGAUUCUCUCCUGUUUUCGCUACAGUUUUCUCCCCAUAUUGGUUUUUAUUGAUACAGAGAGUUGUGGCAGUGAGCCAAGAGUCUCUACUAAUUUCUGAGGGUUUCUCUAUUUAUAGGAUUUUUUGGCGUUGGAAUCAUGCAAAGAAGAGUUACGAGGGGCCCACAUGCCAUCAAGGCCCUCCCCCCGUGGGCGCACCCUGUUGGCUUGUGGCCAACAAGGGGGCCCCUCAGCUGGUUCUUCGCUUGAAUGUUGCUAAUAUGUUCCAGAAAAAAUCACCAAAAAGUUUUGGGUGAUUUCGAGAACUUCCAUUUUCCGCACACAAAAGGACACCACGGUAGUUCUGCUCAAAACAACGUCAGUCGGGAUUAGUUCUAAUUAAAUCAGAAAAAGUGCAUCAAAGCCAUAUAAAAGUGUUGUAAACAUAGGUGAAAAUGUCAGAAAUACUUCAGAAAUUAUUGAUACGUUGGAGACAUAUCAUUGAUCCUCCUCUUCAACAGAGAUAUCCAUCUGUUAUAUAAAACAACACACGAGACAUAUCAUUAACAUUUGUCCACAACACAAGAUAAAUGACAGUACAAAUGUAUCAACUGAUUCCACAACAACACAAAUUAGUUCAAAAUAAUACAAAUGAGUGCCCAACAAAGCAAAAUAGUGCACAACAAUAUCUAUGAGUUCCCAACAAAGCAAAUAAGUUUACAUCAAUACAUAUGAGUUCCCUACAAAUAAAAAAAGUGCACACAAAUACAAAUAUUCUAAUCUUUUUUCAUAAAUGUAUUCCAUGCCCUCUUGAUCCAUUCAAGCCUCACACUAGGAUCUUCGUCCUUGAGGGCACCGAAGACAUCACGAUGUUCCUUCUUUUUAAAGAGUUCAAGAUCAUGGAAAUACAUUUCACUUCCAGGUUUACCUUUACCUCCAUCAUUCACCACCAUCUCCUUCAUCCCUGUAAUCUCAUCUCUCACGGGAACCUCCUUCAUUUCAGAUGUCGCUAGAUUUUGACUAGUCUCUCUCUUUUCCCAAAGGUCAGCAAUACACUUAAAUUGUAGUCUUUCCUCACUAUCUUUUGCAAUCUUGUGCACCAUCGCAAGACUAGGUGAAUAAGGACAUGAUCUUUUUUUUGACAUUUAGCUCUCGUAGGUGUCACAUGGGUAACACCUACUUCACAUCCUGAUCAUGCCUCCUCCUCCUCAUCAUCAAUGUUAAUUUGAGAUGUGUCUCAUUUGCCCACCAUUCAUCAUUAGCUGCAGUGGUCUUCGUAAUGGUAUCAAACCCAAUGUCGGAUGACUAUUGGAUUAAUGUCUUCCAAACAACGUAAUAUUUUUUCACAACAUUAUUCAUCACUUAUUCUUGAAUUGCUUUUUGCAAUAUUCUCUCCUCGUGCGCUGAAAAAAUUCCUUAGAAAAUUUUUGUACCCAAUUGGUGUCAAUGUCCCUUCUUUGCCGUGGUUAUUGGCAUUCACUUCUUCCACACACAUAUAAAUGAAAGUCCUAAGACCCACAUUAUUCCAUUAUGCUUUCAUAUGUUUUUCAUCAUGUCAAUAUAAAAAGCAUUGCAAGAAUUAAUAUGUAGGAUAAACAGACCCUCAAUAUUUUUUAUAAUGAAAUACAAUGGUAGCAUCCACAAAGUCAAUCUAUCUUCUAGUACUACUCGGUAGCACACACAUAUCAAAACAUCCAUAUCAUAGCAAACUGUGCAAUCCGUAUCACCACAUCCAUAUCUUUCUAAUGCUACAAAUUGUGCAGUAUCAAAACAUCAAUAUCAUUGUAAGUCUACCUCAAAGUUGCCAAAAAACAAAGGAGGUACACCUUGCCUAUUUGGAGGAGUGGAGGGGAAACGGGAGUCCUUCGCCAGACUGGGGAGUCGGCCAGUGUGGGUCGUCGUCCAUCGGCCUGGAGCACCGUCCGGACCACCCACGAACUGCCACGUCGUGGUACACAGGGGGAGGGAGGGGUCGGCCUAGGGCAGGAGCAGCGACAAGGCAGAGGUCCUUGUCGCCGUCCAUGUCGCCGGAGAUAUCUUCGUGGAGGAGGAGCCGGACCCGGCGGCGGCGGUAAUGAUGACGGCAUGGGACACCCUAGCGAGCGGGGUGGGUGUCGAGAGGGGAUGCUAGAACGAGAGGACCGAGGGAGCGGGGUGCGUUUUGAGCGCUCAUUCGGUCGGGUAGGACGCGGGCUGACCAAGGUCAUUUUUGCUGUAAUUUUUGUAAAAAAUAGGGUCCCUUUACUAUACCCCUUCGGGGUUAAGUGAAAAGCUGCGGGAAGCUCCUCACCCCCAACUUUUUUCAUUGUGAAGAGAGGAGAUGUGAAAAUAAGUUAAGCUAGUAUUUGAAACGAGUUUUUUUUUUUGCAGUUUUACCUUAUUUUAACAAUAAGCUGAAAAAGAGACGACCCUUGUUUUCAUAGCAUAGCUCAAAAGAAUUGGCCCUUAGUUGCCUAGGCACCUGAUACAAGGCUAGACUGAGCAUCUACAAACCGGAACACUAUAGUCGUCCGGGCAUACAGUCCAGCCUGGAAAGAAGAGCGAAUGAAAGAAGCCACCUAUCCAGGCCCUCAUUUUGCCCCCUAAAUAACCGUGAUGUUCAAAAAUCCUUAUAUCCACAUUAAAUAUGAAGACGAUACGUGAAUGUCUAGGCAGCCCUUCACUUAUGAUGUGGUCCACCCCGAACCAUUUUUUUUCUUUUUUUUCUUAUUCUUUUCAUAUUCUCUCACUUUUUCUUUGUACCUACCAACCAUGUGUGCAUUUGAUUGGACAAUUUAGGAAGAAAAUAGGGGACAUGGUUGCAUGUAUGCAUAAAAUAAAGAUUCAAAAGGGAUAUGACCUGAUGUUGCCCGGAUGUGACCGCGGUCAUUUUAUGGCUCAUUUUUUGUGUUCGUAGUUGUAGAUGCUCUUAUAGACUUUGAACCAGAUCGUCUCAGACACGUAUGCCCUAUUAUAUGAUAUUGAUGACGAAGAAAUCUCUUAUAGACUUGAUAGCAUUUUAACACGAACUACAAGCAUGGAUAAUUAGUACGCUCAAGCGCUGCAGCCAACAAUAAUGGUACGUCGUCUUCGCAAAUAAAGUAAUUGUAACAGUGAUAGUAUUUGCCGCAACUAACAAAUGUGGCUACCCGUUCGUGAAGGUGUGGCGAACAGGUAGCUAGGUUUUGUGUUGCAGAAACUUUUGGCAACAAAAACAUAUUUUUCAACCGAAAAAAAAAAGAAUGAUUUUUUCAAGCAGUUAGUAGCAGAGAAGCAUCUAUAUUUCACCGCGGGCUUACAAAAGAUUCUUCCGGUAGUCUCGCGUGGAUGGUUUUGUGGCCACAAUAUAGCGUCGACAUCAGGCGAAUCCAUUUCCUUAUAUGCAGAAUUGAUUGUCUAGAAAACGGAAGUAUGUGCCUAAAAUGGUUUUGCUAAAACUGAUGUGAACGUUUACACAUAAAUAUGCACGCACCGCACACCAGCAUCAUACUACUAGUGGUUCUUAGCAGUGGAUAUCUAUCAACCGGUCAAGCAAGAAUGAACCUCACUCUUUGGACUUCGACGUGUGCGGGAAACACAACUGGAGUACGAUAAUUCUUUCUCUAAAGAAAAAAUUGUCAAGUAAAAAAGCAAUAUAAAAAUAUCUUCAACUUCUCAUCGCAGCCGCCAAUUUUCACUACUGAAAAAAAAACAUGUGUUUCAGCAAAAACAAGUCACACAGAUUAAACAGUUCCAAAAUGGGAUGUAGAGUUUCUGCUCCCCGAGCUCAAAUGAGCUUGGUGUACGCUAAAAUCGAGAAAAAAAUGAAUUGUUUUGUGACAAACAUUAACAAUAGUGUCAAGUGCCUAUAAAAAUUCGUCAUGGAAUCACAUUCCUAAAAGACGUGGUAAGAAAAACAAAAUCGAUACUCUGAAAAUGCUACUUUCAAAAGCACUCUGAAACACUUUUUUUUUUUGCCACGCCUUAUGAGAAUGUGAUUCCAUGAUGAACUUUUGCAAGCCAUUUAAACAUUUAUCCGUGUUUGUCAUAAAAAAACAUUUAUUUUGAAUUUCGUUUUUCUUUACUGUCCACCAAAUUUACUUGAGCUCGGGAGUAGGAGGACACUUUCGUCCAAAACGUCACAAUAGAUACACGUUCAGGAAAUGUGGUUGGCUGGCUUGCAGCAUCGAGCUACCUCAUAUCCCUUGGCAAUUAGUGACAAAGCUGACAAGUAUGUUGGUGGACAGAGGGAGAGGUUGUAUAGUCGGUGGAUAAGGAAAUUGCUAGUACCGUCUAAAGGCGAAUAAAAUCGUGUGGACUUUAAUUUAAGAGGUUGAUGGAACAUCUGUGCAUUUCUGUACCGACCAUUAGUGUCAUGUGCAAAAUGUACACAAGGAGAAGAGAUGCAUCUACGGACCAGCAAGGUAGAAGCCACUAGUAGAAAACGGGCCUUAGGCCGGGACCCUUUAGUCCCGGCCUGCCUCUGGGCCGGGACUAAAGGCCCGGCCACGUCGCCCCAAUUCUCAAUGCCUCCCUCGAGGCUAUAGUCCUGGCCCGUAAGGAACCUUUAGUCCCGGUUCGUGUCUCAAACCGGGACUAAAGGGCUACGCGGUGGGCAGUCUGCAUGUACGCCACCUAUAGUCUCGGUUUGUGUCUCAAACUGGGAGUAAAGUCUCGAAGAAAUCCAUAUCGACUUUGAUGACAUCUUCCAGAUGUACAAUGGCGACGCCCUCGACAAAUCGCUUAUGAGUUNNNNNNNNNNAUCUCUCUAGGUUCCAUUGGAUAGCUAUAGUGAUCUCUCUAGGUUCCAUUGCAUAUGUUCUAUUUGAAUCCUAAAUAUAAUUUUAUCUUUAGUUGUAGUGAAACAUGUUUCCUUAUUGCAGCAGUAUGUAACAUUUGUUCCAUUUUAAUUUGUUUCUGUUGCAGUAGUGACAAGCAUUGUCCAGAACUCAUGGACUUCCUUCGGAGCGGCAUCACUUUUGCUACCGUUGACAUAAGGAACGAAAAGCUGAAGAUGAGGUACAGCUUCGGUAUUGAGAUACCAACUGGUUGCCUCAUUGAUCUCCAAACGGUAUUCAGGCUUCGACAUGUCAGGACUUCGAUGGCUCAUAUGGCAGUUGCCUUGAUCGACGAGGAAUAUGGUGAUAUGAAGACCAGUUUCCCAAAGUCUCAGCACAAAGUUUGGGAGAAGGCCCCACUUGAUCCUAUCAACAUUGAGUAUGCAGCAAAAGAUGCAUACGUUUCAUACGAGUUGUACCGCAAGAUUCGAGUCGUCAACUAUGGCCAGCGUCACCUCGAGGAAGGUGGACAUUUUGAUUCAGACGAUUCAGACGAGUAGUGUUCUCAACAUCGAACACUUGUAUAUAUAUCUAUGGUAGCUAUUAUUAUGUACUGUCUGGACUAGUAUCAUGUACUGCUUGGACCAAUUUAUAUAUGUCUAGUUUCUGUUUGUGCCAUUAUAGUUUCCAAAUUUGAAUGGUUUAGCCCUUUCUAACUUCAUUUGCUACUUUUGAAUGGUUUAGCCCUUUCUAACUUCAUGGUCUCAUGCAUUUCGACCACAUAUAUAUACAAAAAGUCUUCAGUUCAAAUAAGUUCAAAAAAUGAAAUCCCUUUUGUAACAGAUCUGUUUUUGAUUAAAACAGUCAUUUAAAAAUGAAAGACCAUUAGUCUCACGUGGCGUGCAGCGGAACCACGUAGCCCUCUCAACUUUUUAACACAUGCUAUGUGGGUGAAAUGAUGAUAGCAUGCCAACUUUCAACAUUUUCAGAGUUUAUUUGUAGUGCUUUUCAAUUUCAGGGUCAACUAGCUCAAAAAAAAUAAGUAAAUGCACGAAGAAUACCAAAGGAAGUCAGAAAUUGUUGAAAUUUUGUGAUGUGCCUUUGAAAGGUGCAUUUUGAACACACAAAAAGUAUGGAGUUCAAAUAAGUUCAAAAAAAUGAAAUCCCUUUGUAAGAGAUGAGUUCUCGUUCGAAACCCUGAUACUUUGAGAGAGAUUGUCCGUUUUGUACACGAAGUGCAUCCAGUUUUUGUCGUAGCACUCUCAACUUUUUAACACAUGCUAUGUGGGCGAAAUGAUGAUAGCAUGCCAACUUUCAACAUUUUCAUAGUUCAUUUGUAGUGUUUUUCAAUUCAGGGUCAACUAGCUCAAAAAAAAUAAGUACAUGCAUGAAGAAUACCAAAUGAAGUCAGAAAUUGUUGAAAUUUUGUGAUGUGCCNNNNNNNNNNCCUCUCAACUUUUUAACACAUGCUAUGUGGGUGAAAUAAUUAUAGCAUGCCAACUUUCAACAUUUUCAUAGUUCAUUUGUAGUGCUUUUCAAUUUCAGGGUCAACUAGCUCAAAAAAAAAUAAGUAAAUGCACGAAGAAUACCAAAUGAAGUCAGAAAUUGUUGAAAUUUUGUGAUGUGCCNNNNNNNNNNNNNNNNNNNNNNNNNNNNNNNNNNNNNNNNNNNNNNNNNNNNNNNNNNNNNNNNNNNNNNNNNNNNNNNNNNNNNNNNNNNNNNNNNNNNNNNNNNNNNNNNNNNNNNNNNNNNNNNNNNNNNNNNNNNNNNNNNNNNNNNNNNNNNNNNNNNNNNNNNNNNNUGAAUAGUUUGGAUAGUCCAAAUAAUUACUUUUGAAAAUAGAAAAUAGUUUUGAAUUAUUUAUUCAAUUUCAAACACUUUUCAUUAUCAUAGUUUUGUCAAAUUCUCAAAUAUGCAAAAAGAAUUUUAAUAAACAUAGUUUUUAAUUGAAAAUAACAAAAUAGAUAAUAGUUUGGAUAGUCAAAAUAAUUAAUUUUGAAAAUAGAAAAAAUUGAAACUAUAUGAGAAUUCAUAGAGAAAAUUCAAUUUAAAUUCAAAGUGAACUCACUUUGGAUUCAGAAUGAAUUUUCUCCAUAAUUUCGAAUAUAGUUUCAAUUUUCAGUGAGUUUAGGCCCGUAAGCCUUCUUUAGAGAGGAGCUCGAUGGACAAGCUGCGACGGGGCUUAUAAACAAGUGUUAGUCCCCCUCGCUGGGCGAGGUGGGACUAAACUUAUCGUGCAGCCGAGGAGGGGCUUUAGUCCUGGGUGGAGCCACGCCCUGGGACUAAAGACCCCCUUUGGUCCCGGCUGGAACCACGCACCGGGACUAAAGACCCCCUGCUUCCCGCCUCCUGGUCUGCCCGAAAAGAGGCCUUUAGUCCCAGGUCGUGGCUCCACCCGGGACUAAAGGGGGUCCUUAGUCCCGGUUCAAGCAACGCGCCGGGACUAAAGAUCCACCUAUAUAAGCGGGACUUUGAAAAAUUCCAACCCAAAUCGUCCAAUUCUCUUCUUCUUCCUCUCGUUCUCCUGCCCGGCGCGGCACAGCGACGAACUCGACGAUGUCGUCAGGCUGCCCGCCGUCCUCCUCGCCGCCGCCUGCCGUCCUCCUCGCCGCGCGCCGUCGACACCUCCGGCCGGUAAGCCCCCCGCCCCCUCCACCCCAACACUCCGGCCAGUAGAAGAAAAGAAGAAAAAGGAGAAGAAAAGAAGAAAAAGGAGAAGAAAGGAAGAAAAAGGGAAGAAAAGAAGAAAAAUAUUUUUUUUGUCAUUUAAUGCCUAUUGUUAUUAUGUUUGUGCUAGAUUAUUAGGGUUAGUAAUAUUUAUAAUUAGGAAAAAGGAAAAUAAGAAGAGGAGGAGAAGAAAAGAAGAAAAAGGAGAAUAAGAAGAGGAGGAGAGGAGAAGAAGAGGAAAAAUAGAAGAAGAGGAGAAGUAGAAGAAGAGAAAAAAUUAGAAGAGGAGGAGAGGAGAAGUAGAAGAAGAGAAGAGGCGAAGUAGUAGAAGAAGAGGAGAAGUAGAAGUAGAAGAAGAAGUAGAAGAAGAGGAGAAAUAGAAGAAGAGGAAAAAUUAGUUUAGGGUUACAAGAAGAAGAAAUAUUGUAUAGUGUAUAUGCUUAAGUGUUAAUAGUGUUUAUUAGAUUAUUGCUUAAUUUUGCUAUUGUAUAUGCUUAAGUGUUAAUAGUUUAAUUUUCCUAUUGUAUAUGCUUAAGUGUUAAUAGUUUAUUUUUAGCAAGAAAAUUAAUAGAACUAGUUUAUUUUUUUAGUUCAUUUUACGAUGCCUAUCCCACAUCCUCGUCGUCGACUCGGCGGAGGACACCUGGUUGAUCAGAGGGGCCCUGUCCGGGACUGGGCUCCGCCUGACUGGUAUUGGGAGGUGCUACCUUCCGGGGGGCGUAGGUUGGUGAGGAGCCAGCCCGUCGUUGACCCGAUCCUUGUUUGGUGGCGGUCGCGUGGGCCAGUGAGGGUGCCGAGGCUUCCGGACACCGCGGAGGUGGUACGUCACCGUGUCGGCGAGGAGGAUGAACACGUCCGUCGCUACAUGGUUGCGUUGGAGGGCAGGUUCGAGCAUACCUGGCAGGUUCUUCGGGGAUCUCACUGGAGCUAUGAUCCUGUGAUGGUUCCUUCUCUUUGGGUGUCCACCGCCCGCGCCGAUACCCGUCGGGCGCUACGGUUCUAGAUGUAUCAGUGAUGCUAUAUGUAUGAUAGUAUUCGAGGAGUAUUAGUGAUAAUAUUCGACGAUGUACGGACAAAAGAGAUGAUGUAUUUGCUUAUAAUUGAAUGCAUGCUAAUUUGAAUACUACUUUAUUUUACGAUUUGGUUUUGCUUAUUGAAUGCUCAAAUUGGAAAAUUACUCCUACUUUGAAUACUAUGCAGAAAUCUAGGAGUCCCGGGUGGAGCCACGACCCGGGACUAAAGUUGUUUUGGAACGGAGUUCCUGAUAGAAUAAUUCUUUUUUGGUACAAAGGUUAAGAGAAUCCUUUUUUUGCAGAACUAUGGAUCCACAUAUCAGGAACCUCGAAGAGGAAGAACUUCUCGAAGAUAUAAUCAAAGACGGCCCCGACGUUGAACCAGCUGAAUCUCCGUCGUCAUAUCUAAACCUCGACAUUGGAAUGGAGGUCGAGCGACACGAAGAUGAAGCCGAUGGGGCAGGAGAUAGGUCCAAUGACGGAGAAGGUGAUAGCUCCACUAAUGGAGAAGCCGGUGAAGAAAUAAUAAAGUCCGGCGAGGUAUACAUAUGAAGUUCGACAAUCACUUGUAAUAUGUGAAAAAUAUUGGAGAUAGCUCUAUAUUGUACACAUAUACAUUCAUUUGACGAUUGUUUCUCCCUCUUAGGCCUCCACAUCGAGCAAAGCUACAAAACGAGGCCCGACUAGAAAGUUGGAUGCACGGACGCAUUACACCUUUGAGGUGAUAUUGCCUACGGGCGAACCCAAGCUUCCUAAGAAUGCUGCUGACACAUUCAAGAAGCAAUGCGGAGUUCUCAUUAGGGAUCACGUCCCGAUCAGCGUUCGGGAGUGGAACAAGCGCAAAGGGGCAGCCGAUAGUGACUAUGUCGCCGAAAGGUACAAAUAUAAUCUUUGGAAUGAUCUGAUGUCACAUUUCAACCUGCCAGAAUGUGAGAAUGAAGACGCCGCAGACAAACUGAGGGCCAAAGUCAAGCAGUGGACUCUAAAGAAGAUGGCCGAACUGUUCCGUAACUGGAAGAAGAAGCUAUGGAAAAACUAUCUGAAGACAAAGAAAGUGCCAGUAUUCGAGAGGUAUCUAGCCAAGCAGGCGAAUCACUGGAAGGCAUUUCAAGAGUACAAGGAGUCAGAAGAUGCCCAGGCAUUAUCAGAAAAGAACAAGAUAAAUGCCGACAAGAAGAAAUAUCACCACAAGCUGGGGCCAGGGGGCUAUGAGACUGCCAUCCCAAUGUGGGAUAAGAAAGAGCAAGAUCUGCUAGAUAAAGGCAUCGUACCUCAACCACUCCGUGAUGAGUGGGAAUUGAAAGCAAGAAAUUGGUUCCUUGCGCAUGGUGGGUCGUACGACGAAAAAACAGGGGACCUCAUCUGCAAUGACGGUCUUAGGAUACCCAGGGAGAAUUGGAAAAGGAUAGUGAAAGAAAUUAAGGAGGGAAAAAGAAAGUUCACUGCAGAUAGAGAGAAAGAUUUGUUCACACUGGUCCUCGGCAAUGACGAACAUGGAGGACGAACGCGAGGCUUCGGUCCUUCUUACCCGUGGUUGCUUGGGUUUGCCAGAGACCAAGACACUUACAGAAGUCGAGAGAGAGAAAAGAAGCGGCAGCAGAAUGAGGAGAAUGACAAGUUCAACCAGUUGCUUGCCAGGAUUAACGAGCAAUAGAAGCAGAUUGAUGAGCUUAGAGGAGUAGCGCACCAGGAAUAUCCUGCACUUGAUAUUACCGGCGCCCCAUCUAAGCGGAAAAGCAGCGUGGCUGAAUCUGAGGCCCCGCUCGACGAUGCACGAAGAAUGAUAGAGGGCGGUCCCGGCUACCCCGUGGAUGGAAUCAAGGAGUCAACAUCAUGUGAACUCCAUCAGAAAUUCAAGAACAUAUCCAUGAAGGUGGCCGUCGGACAAGCUUUACCUUCUGGCCUUGAUGCACGCUGGCAUGGCCGUGAGAUUCCAGCUGGCUUUGCUAAAGUCGGGGUGGAUGAAAUCAUGACGGGGUUUCAUGAUAUGGAGCUCGACAUAGUUGGACCCGAAGAUGAGAGUACACUCGGAGAAGUACUGGGUGGAGUCAUCCUAUGGGACAAGAACUACAUCAAGCUUCCAGGCUCGGCCCCAAGGACAACACCGCCUCCGACUCGUCGCAGGUCACCUACACCUUCAUUACCUCCAAGCCCUCCACAUGACGUCGGCCAGCACAACACGAGUCCAUCUCGAUCACCGCCGCCGGACUUGGGUCGUCCGUCUCCGACGCCGCCCGCACAGGAUACUAAGCGGAAGCGUGCCACCAAGAAUGCUCCGCCGACGAUUCCUAAGCGACGGAGCCCCCCAAAGCGCAAACGGUCGCCCCUCCCAAAGGUACCUCAUGCUAAUCUUCCUAUCAGACCUUAUGAUCGUACCCCCGAGGAAAACGCCAGGAUAGCAAAGGAACAUCAUGAUGCGCAAAUGAAAAAAAGGAACCCGAGCCCCGCCCGAGAUACACCGAGAAGCAAAUAGCAUGGGCAAAAGACUUCAUGACCCUUCCAUCACAGUAUGACUUACACCAUAAGCCUGAUGACUAUACACGCACAUUGCAGAAGGAAGUGAAAAAGAGCAGAUCACGUGCAAGUGCAAGUGGGAGCAAAUCAAGUUCAACUACAAGCAAGAAAAAAUCAGACGUUCCUCAGCUUGGACAAUAGGCCAAACAGUCGAUCCCACCCCUCAAGGUGUUAACCGAGAAUGUUCCCCUCCGGUGCAGGGGCAAGCUUUUGAAAUAGCAAAGGAGUGGGCGGCUGAAUGUGGUGUCUCGGUUGAAGAUUUGCUGGCUUUCCAAGACGACAGGAUACCCAAGGCUGUGGUAACCCCUAAGCCACAGUUUGUCAUGGGAGAGCCUUUGGUCAGCAAAGAUGAUCUCCCAACAAAUAUGCGUUACUUGCAUCAAUGGUACUUAAGUGAAUCAAAGGAUGGGAGAACGAUGAUCGUGCUGAGUGUCCCAUGAGAGUACUACGGCCGCUCCGAAGAAAUCCAUAUCGACUUUGAUGAACUCUUCCAGAUGUACAAUGGCGACGCCCUCGACAAAUCGCUUAUGAGUUGCUAUUGUCUGUAAGUUUUUCAAUUCGUCGUCUACAUAUAACUUGUUUAGUUAUUUCAAUUCAUUGUCUAUAUAUAACUUGUACUCUAUUAUGCAGAAUGAAGAUUCUGGAUUGUAAAAGUAAGAAUAUCCUAAAUAUUGGGUUUAUUGACCCAGAUAAAAUACAUAUAGCGACGCUAANNNNNNNNNNAUACUCUAUUAUGCAGAAUGAAGAUUCUGGAGUGUAAAAGUAAGAGCAUCAUAAAUAUUGGGUUUAUUGACCCAGAUAAAAUACAUAUAGCGACGCUAACUGAUAAACCCAAGGAGACACAGGAAAACUUUCUAAGGUUUCUAACAGAUCAAAAUUUAUGUGACCACAUACUGUUUCCAUACAACUUCAGGUGAGGGUCUUUACUCUGUUGAGUCCAUUCACUUAUAAGUGUAAUUGAUAAGUUACUGACACACACACACACACACACACACACACACACACACACACACACACACNNNNNNNNNNUGUCCAUUCACUUAUAAGUGUAAUUGAUAAGUUACUCACACACACACACAUAUAUAUAUAUACAUGUGCAGCUUUCAUUGGAUUCUGUUGGACAUUCAAAUUGAUAAGGGAAGAGUUGAUGCCUUCGAUCCAUUAUCGAGACCCUUGGAACAGUUUCAAAGCCUGCAGGACAUGCUCCAAGGGUAAUUUCAAUCAUUCUUGCGCNNNNNNNNNNUAUAUACAUGUGCAGCUUCCAUUGGAUUAUGUUGGACAUUCAAAUUGAUAAGGGAAGAGUUGAUGCCUUCGACCCAUUAUCGAGACCCUUGGAACAGUUCCAAAGCCUGCAGGACAUGCUCCAAGGGUAAUUUCAAUCAUUCUUGCGCUCUAUCUGUCUCUUUCAAUGAUUUUCUGAUAUAUCAAUUAAUGAAAAACUUAGCAAAUCAUUAUCCUUGUCGGGCAGGGUUUGGAAGCGGUUCAAGUGGGUGGCUCCCGGUAACUUUCCUGAGAAGCUGACAUUUAGAGCGGCUCAGGUAAGUAGUAGUAUGAUAUACUUCUAUUUUCAAUACAUUUAUGAUGCUAGAUUAUUAUUUUGAUUAUAUAUAUUCUAUUCUCGUAAAGUGCGACCAGCAGCCACGGAGAACACAUCUAUGCGGAUACUAUGUUUGCGAGACCAUUCGCACGUUUACCUCUGAGCACAACGAUCACAGAUUCGACGUAAGCAAUGAACAUUCACACCUCUAUUUUUACCCGUCAUUCUUUGUUAUCAUGAUUGAUAUUCAUAUUCAUCUCCUCUUCUUAUAUAGCACACGGCCAUGACGACGAAGGUCCUACCAGAGCAACGCGCGGUUGCUGUUGCAGAGGAGCUUGCGACCUUUCUGAGGACGGAAGCUAUAGAUGACAAAGGACGAUUUAGUGUAGCUAGGGGCCUUUACUCAUGUUCGUCCAUGUAAUCGAAUAGACGGGCUCUAGUCCCGAUAAUUCAGAUCUACAUAUAAUUGUAUAUAUAUGCUCGCUUGUAAGAUAAGUUAAUCUUAUAUAUAUAUGCAUAAUUAUUUCUAUUUAAAUUAUAUGAAAACUAAUUCCCGAACACCAAACGAGCCAUCACGUUAAUCUCCCGAACACCUAAACCCUAAAACCCUAAAACCCAAAAAUAAUUUCAUUCUAAAAAAGAACUCAAAAAUAAGCAAAAUCUGAAACUCUUUAGUCCCGGUCCGUGUAACGAACCGGGACUAAAGGGCCUGCCCCUGGGGUGCUACGAGGCGCCCACGUGGAGCAUCUUUAGCCCCGGCUUGUAACAGAGCCGGGACUAAAGGUUAGGCCUUUAGUCCCGCCCCUUUAUUCCCGGUUGUUGAACCGGGACUAAAGCCCCUUACGGGCCGGGGCUAAAGGCCCCGUCCCCACUAGUGUACUCCUUGAAAACGACAUCAACUUUGAUGGACUCGCAUGAAGGACGACGUCGUCAGGCGAGCAUGAAGGGCCACCUAUCAGAAUAUCUGAGCAUUGAAUACUUAGAUGCACUCACCGCCCGUUCCGACACCAUCACUUAGCUGCCUACCUAUAGGAACCUGCUAGAGGACUAGCUGGGUUAGGUUACUCAUAGUGGGGAGUAUCAUAUAAUAGUAUCAUGCAUAUGAUACUAUCUUCAUAAUGCAUAGUAUCAUAAACUAGUAUUAUAGAUAGUCUUAUUUAUUGACAUGCAUGAUACAUAGUACUAUGACAUUUAAUAUUGAUACGGUAUCUACUUAUAUUAUUCUAACCCUCUCUCUCUUCUUUAAUUAUUUGUCACAUCAACAUGUUCGCUAGUCCGAAGAAUAUGAUACUAGCUAUAAUACUUCUGCUAUGGCCAAACUUCCCACACACACACGCGUGCCCUAAUAGAUUACCCAACAACUCAUUAGACUAACCUUUUGAUUGGUAUCGAUGCGAAAGAAAUCUUCCUACGGGAUCACACUUGAUAGCAUUUUAGCACGAGCUACAAGCACCGAUAGUUAGUUUGCUGAAGCGCUGCAGGCAAUAAUAAUAAUAUUUUGUCGUCGCCAAUAAAUCCAUUGUAACAGCUGUGACAGUGUCUGUCCUAGCUAAGAAACAUCUCUAUCCAUUAAUCAACUUGUUUGGCCAACAGAUAAUGGUUUCGUUUUCUGAAACUUUUGGCCGCACAAAACAUAUUUUUCAUGAAGUUAGUAGCGGAGCUGCACCUAUGAGUUUCAUAGUGGGGGGCACAAAGGAUUCUUCAGGGCUUGUUCGGUUAAUCCCCACCACAAGGGGAUUGGAGAGGAUUGGAGGGGAUUAAGGUUGAUUUUGAUUUACAGGGAAUUUAAUCCUCCCCAAUCCACUCCAAUCCCUUUCAAGUUCGUUGCAACCGAACAAGGCCUCAUGUGACCUCACAUGGAUGGUUCUGUAUCGACAAUGAUAUGGAAGUCCACACCAAGCGCUGUAUUCACUUUGGGCAGAAUUGAUUGCCUAAAAAAGGAAAUAGUAUGCCUAAAAUGCAUUUGCUAAAAUCGUUGUGAGCAGCAGAUGCAUAUUUUCUUUAACACCGACUGCGACACUCCACCAGCAUUGUACUGGUGGUCCUUAGCACUUGGUAUAUAUUGACUGCUAAAGCAUAAAUGAAUCUGAUUGUUUGGACGUGAAAACUUGUGUAAGACACCAUUGGAGUACAAUAAUUCCUUCACUAAAGGGGUAGCCCUAGUACAUUUUUUUUCUCACAGUUUUAUCACGGAUACAUUGCAUGAUACAUGAGUGGUGAGUUAUAUGGUUUCUCAUAGCAUGAUUAUGUGCUUAGACAAAUUGAAUUACUUUUCUCUAUAUAGGAUUUACAUAUAUAGAAUCUACCACCACUUUGAGUGCUCGUGGAUCGGUGUACGCGUCUUGAUCCUUGUACAAGAAGUCUAACAUCCGUGUUGAAUUCACCACGGCCUCUAGGAGCGGCGCUGCCGGCCGUGUGGUGGCUGACUUCAGCAUCUCCUCAAUGAUGUCCAUCCAUGACUCCUCUAUGAGCUCCCUGAGCUUUCUGUAUGCAUCUUCCUUUGCAGUGUAGUUGUUCUCCUCCAUGCACGCUUCUACCGUUGAUAUCACAGGCCUCUCACCAGAGCUCUGUUCUUGUUCUCGCUGAUUUACGAGAGAGGAUAAUUUGUCAUAUUGACAAAGUGAUAAUACCUUCUUUUAAUAUAGCUACAUAUAUCAAUGCAUCCAUUGAUGCAGAGACCAGUUAUCCUUCCCUAGUUAAAUAACUUUUCUAUUAGUUAACCAAUAUUUUAUGGCAAGUAGUUUGUAUGACCAGUUAACUAUUAUCCCGGCUCCAAAAUAGAUGGUGUUCUAGAAUAUAGUGUUCCAAAUAUCUAUAAGGGAACUGUCUGUAUAUACGAAAUUAUCCGAGCUUUUUCAACUACAAUAAUAUCACUAGAUUUAAUAAUUUAAGUUCUGUAAGUUUAUAAUUUACAACAGUAUAUGCAUAUAGGUGUUUAGAGUCUUAGAUACUAUUUCAGAAUGGUGGGAUUACAUCAAUGUACUUAACUGUCUUUUAAUUGGCAUAGAUAUCCUGUUGCACAUAACGAGGAUUUAUUAUGUUUUUGCAUAAUAUUCAUCACCAAAUAUAAGAGACAAGCUACAAACUAAAUGGAUCCCAAACUUAUCCAUGAACCAAAAACUGCAAAGAAAAUCGAACAUGACAUAUAUUUUCAGUUGUAAGUAUGUAACCUCGUGUGAAGCCACAUCGUUGAUGACACGACCGAUGACGCAAGAAGCUCGCAUUAUUUUGGGAUAGGACAUGGCCCAUUCGAUGGCGUCAAUGCUUGCCCCUAUGACAAUGAAGGCAAGGCAUACAAUAUGCAUGCAACCAGAGCUAGGCACCGAGAAUCGCAGGUGAUCCUCAACAGUAACUGAAGUUUCGCUUUCCUCACGGCAUUUUGCCUCGUUGUAGUAGCAUUUCGUAGCAUCAACUAGCUGCAUAAUUACAAUGAUAUAUUUAUUUUUCAUGGGAAAGUUAAUUGUCGAUAUCCGUAAACAUAUUUCUUUCAUGUAGCAGAUUUGUUUUAUGAGCGAACAAAAAGAAAACAUAGGCUUCAUAGUAUAGGUGGUAACUUUUACCAACAAAUAUUGUAGUUCUGUAGGUUUUUUGAAACGAAGUCAACAGUUAAGAUGAACCAUGCACCGACUACACCCACGCACCAUACAUCGACUACACUGUUUAUGAGUUAAAAUAUUUUAAACUUCAAAUUUAUGCAGAGCCAUGAUGAUUUCAUCACUUUUAUCUAUUUGUACACCCAUGCAAAUGGCCCUGCAACAAUUGCUAAAUGCGAUUCAGGGGAUCCGUACCAUAGUGCUAGUUGCAUUCCAUACAUAAUGAUCUUAUGCGAGUAUUUAACAAUAUAUUUUUGUUUAAUUAAACAUGUUCAUGAGACAUCGACUUACUAGCUUUUUUACAUAGUUUGCGUGCUUGUUUCCUUGACUGUCCAAGUCUUUUUCAAUAACCUUCAUGGUAGCGAGUACUUUGUUGUAGAAGAACUUCAUGUAACCUGGGAGCUGUUCAGCGGCUUGUUCAUCCCACCUAACAAGAAUGGAUAAAUGUUCCAGAAUUAGUAUCAAGCAACACAUUAAUUGGUUAUUAAAACCACCCUAUGCCAUACAUCUAUAUAGAGACCUUUCCAUUGCCAUGGUGAGGAGCUUGCUUUCUUCUAAGGUGCUGUAACUGUCGUAAAUGUCAUCAAAUAUCGACAUAAAUGUAAAGAACUUAGUUAGCACGAUUCGUCCGUAUGAAUACUGUGGCUCAAAUAAAACUCCUAGCAUCCAAAAGUGCAUCUCCACCAUCCUGUCUCGUGCGAAGCUCAAAUAGUCUUUGAGUUGCAGUUCUUUCCACCACCUGCAAAUAAACCACGAGCUCAGAUUGUAAUGGUACGAGGGAUGGUAUAUAUGAAACCCAUUUCAGGAGUUAAAGGGGCAUCGCGUUGUGUCUGCACUUAGAGAUUAGUGACGAACUAUAAAUUGUACCAAGGGAAAGUAGGUGAAACUUUACCGACAUACUAGCGGAUUUCAUCAUAGUCACUUACAAAGUAAGAGCCCUCAGCUCCUCACAGUACAGAGCUUGCAGAAUACUGAAAUCCAGCUUUGCAAGCUCCAAAAUGGCCUCAUUCCUUGUACUCAUUCUCUCAUAAACUGAGAUGAAGUGUCGCGCUUCAACUCUUUGAGGCCUCCUGAAAAGAGGUGUUUCCAGCGUGCGCCGCACCUGAUCGAGCAAUAUUGAUGGUGGAAUUGUUUGUUGCUCCACCGCACGCUGGAGAUGGUCUUUUGUGUAAGCCAUCGCGCUGUUAAGUGUUUCUUCACCAUGGGUUCGAAUAUGGGCAGCGUUG
RNAcentral lists this long non-coding RNA (280059 nucleotides) under Hordeum vulgare. RNAcentral describes it as "long non-coding RNA (HVUL_LNC011372)". Lineage: Eukaryota; Viridiplantae; Streptophyta; Magnoliopsida; Poales; Poaceae. The record is from RNAcentral.